Molecule: long non-coding RNA, 251011 nt
Filed under: Gossypium raimondii (Peruvian cotton)
Lineage: Eukaryota; Viridiplantae; Streptophyta; Magnoliopsida; Malvales; Malvaceae
Description: long non-coding RNA (GRAI_LNC005951)
Source: RNAcentral
GUUAGUUGAUCUAACGCCCACUUCAGAUUUGUUAAAUUUUGUCAUCAAUCAGUAUUUGCAUUAGUGGUUUAGUGUCUUAGUUUUGUUUGUGAGGUCUUGGGUUUAAGUCCUGUUUUUAUUUUGGGGAAUUAAAUUACUUUUGUCAGACCUAGGUCAAAUAUUGUUUAGGUUGGUGGUGUGGGAUUGGGUUUUGUUUUAAACUCUUAAAAAACGAUGGUAAGUUAGCAGGUUGUUGGAUUAGAUUUGAGAGGGAUUUUGUUCUUAUUUUUAUUCUUUUAUUCUUUUUAUUUUAGUUUUUUUUUUCUUUCCCAAAAUUUCCCACGUUUGCCUCAACUUCGCUUCACGUUAUUGUUUUCUUCCCUCUUCUUUCUUCGGUUCUUUUUUUUUUCCUUUUUCAACUUUUUUGUUUGGCUUCUUUACCUUCUUGUUUCGGUUCUUUUGUUACUUCUUUAUGGUGUAGCUUCUAUUUGGUUGGCCCCAAUCCUUAGCGGUAAGGUUCUAUCAUCUUUUACUGUGUUCUUUUGUGAAAUUGUUCGUUGGGCAUUUGGGGAUUUCGGAAUUUUGUUUGUAUGGUGCGAAAUUUGUAUUUUUUUGUGUUAUCUAAUUAAUCCGCUAUGUUUUAGGAGAAGUUCAAGAUGCGUUUUGUGUUCCUCCAGCGACUUAGGAUUUGCAUAGAAGCUGUUCGUUUAAUGGUAAGUAUGUGGAUGUAUUUUUGGAGGGUUGUAUAAGCUCGGUUGUGGUCAAUUCUUAGUUAGAUUUCGCAAAUCAUUAUUAAAAUUGGUUGUGUUAAUUGUCAAUUUAGGUGGGGGAUUACUCAUUUUUGGAAUCGUAUUCGGAUGUGUAAUGACCCGAAAAACAACAAAUGACAAAAGUCGAAAAACUGCACUGUCGACGCCACACGGCCCUGUGAGAAAUUAUUUAGCCACAAAGUCUGGGCCAUUUGGACCCGUGUUGCCCACAUGGUCGUGUGUGAGACUGUAUGGGCCCAAUAUUUUGAAUUUUCCCUAGUGCCAUAAACAUCAUUUGGGUCGAACGUAUGUUAUAAAUUAAGUAAAAUCUAUAAUAUGCUAUGUAUGAUCUGAUAUACGGUAAGCAUGACUUGAGUUUGAUAUUAAGCAUGUUUGACAUAUACAUUUCCGACAUCUAUGAUUACUAUAUGUUUGUGCAUUUGGGGAUGGGAUUGUGUAUAUGGAGGAAGUGUGAACAGAUAUAUUUCUACCGUAUUUGGUGGCACAACCAUACAUAUUUAUGUAAAUGGCGAUAAAUCGCUUAAUAAACUGGCAACUCAGCUACAAAUAAUUUGAAAAGUGUCAUACCGACGCUAAAUGGUGUGUAGGGAUGGAUGAGUAUAUAAUGUCAUAUAUGGUGCCUUGGGAUGAUCGGAGAUGAUGUGUAGGGGGUGGGGGUAGAACUAUAAAUUUGCAUCUAUUAUGUUCUAAUAAGCUUUGUUUCUAAUAUAUGUAUGUCUAAAUGGUUUCUGUAUGUGAUGUUACACAUUGGGUUUCGAAAACUCACUCUCUGUUUGACUGUCACUUUCAAGUAACCCUCAGACUUAGGCGGACUGGUGCGAUUGAAGCUUGGUUAUAAUAUUUUGAUUUCUUCUAACUUACUUAAAAUUUGGAAUUUACGUGUUUUAAAAAAUUUGGUCUGUCUUUGGUCAUUUUGGGACUGUUUAAAUUAUUGGACUUUACUUUAUGAUUUUAAUUGUUUUAUUGUUUUUGGUGGGUUUAUAAUAUGUUAUGUGAAAUGUUGAUUUAAAAAUAUUAAACUGUGUUUUAAAAACUGGACUUAAAUAAGAUUUUUCCCCUGCAAACUCAAAUGUUUUAAAAAUAUACUUAUGUAUAAACGACGAUUUUAAUAAUCAGAUAAGAAAGAUAGGCUUACAAACAAAUCAGAUUUUUAUGUAACGAAAGUUAACGACGUUUUGUAAAACUAAUGUACUCAGGGUUAUUAUAUAAUUUACAGUAAUAUCUCCGGAUCUAACCAUAACGUCUAGACCAAGUUUAGAGUGUUACAACUAAAAUAUGAUAAUUCUCAAUUAAAAACAAAGUUAUAAAAAAUAACAUGCAAUCGAAAAUAAUAAUAAUAAUUAUAUUUUUAGUCAUUAAAACUAGGAAAUAGAGAAGAAAAGAAAGAAAUACCUAUUAUGUAAAUGCCAUCCCUUGAUGUUAGCCACUUCAGUCAAAGCAUUUCGUCACUUUUGGAUCUUGUCUUUAUUUUCUUUGCAUCUUUCUUCGUGUUUGGAGAAGGCUUCUUCAACUUUUCCUUUUUGUUUUCUUAAAUCAGAGGGAUCCACAUCGUAGAAAAUUGGAAAUACUUUAUGACCCUUGUCAUUUUUUUGUUUAACAAUCUCGGCAAGCUCCUCCAAGCACCAACCUGAAACGGCAUAGGUUUCCGAAAAAACGAUUACCGAGCACCAUGAUUGCUGAAUUGCGUUGAAGAGUUCCGGUGCGAUCUCUUCACCAGCUUCCAACUUUGGAUCAUCUCUAAAAGUGACGAUCCCAUUUCUAUUUAGAGCAUCGUAGAGAUGAUCCGUAAAGUUCUUGCGAGUAUCUUCACCUCUAAAACUCAAGAAAACAUCGUAUUUCUUUCUAGAAAUGGAUGAGGAAGUCGAAAGUAAUGACGACAUGAGGAUGUAUGAGAAGAAAAAUAUAUGUGGAUGUAAUGUUCAAAAUCAGAAAACAGAUGGCUCAAUACCUCAGAAACAAAGUAGAAGCAGCAAGUAUAUGAGGGAAAAACAGAGGACUUCGUAAGGAAUUUCUGUGUACUUUGCCAAAUGAAUCUAUCAGUAUAAUAAUAGCUAUGAAAGGGAGUAGGUGUGGAAAUUCGGGGUUAUAGGUGUGGAGCCUACAAUUAUUAUAAAGUGAAGUGUUGGAAAUUCUAUUGGAAAUUUGACGUUUUACUUUAUUAUUCAAAAUAAUAACUAAUUAACUAAUAUUAAUUAAGUGAUAAUUAAUAUACUUAAAAUUCUAUUAAAAAAAUAAUUCUAUUUUAUAUCAAUAAAAUUAACAUAACUUUUGUUUAUGUCAAAAAAAAAAUUUAAUAAUGAUAAAUUAUAAUUAUAAUUAUCACAAAAUUUUUUCCCUAUAUUUUAUUCUUAAGGUUCUAUUGAAGUUAUAACUCAAUUUUAACAUUAGUACAAGUUUUUUAAAUUAAUAAUUGUAAUUAUUUUUAGCUGGGUAAUUAUCACAACUUCUAUUAAAUUAUACUUAUUUUAUUUUGAUAAAAUGCCUAAAAUUAUCCAUAAUGCUUCCCCAACCCUUAUAAAUGCACUUCAACAUGCUUGAACAUACAUCCUCUUGCAUUAGCAAUAAUAUCGAUGUCAACUGAGUUAAACUCAGUCAGCAAUUAUAAUUUUUUUAAAUGUAUAAUUAUCAAAAUUUUUAUUUUGUUUCAACUUUCUUUAACCAAUAAUUCUAAAUUAAAUAUUAUAAUUAUUUUUAAAUAUAAAUUUAAUAAUAUGAAUGAAAACAAAUGGUAUUCUCGUCAAUUCAAAAUCAAAAUUCCUAUUAAAUUAUAAUUUAUUUUUAAAUAUGAAUUAGUAAUAUAAAAAAAUAGAGGUUAUUUUCAAAAUUAUUUUCAAACUCCUUGUUAUAUAUAUAUAUACAAAUUACGCACUCAUCUUCCUUUCUAAUAAAUUAACAAGUGCCAAAUUAUUCAACUCCGCUUGAUUAGUGCUGUUCAAAUCUGCUUUAACUUUACCUCCAUAAUACGCGGAGACCACGAAAAGCACUCAUUCCUUAAUACCAUAGUUCCCACGACGCCACUAUUGAAAACAAAGGCAUUUCUAUUUGUCAAAAGUCUCCAGCGGGCCAUAGCAAAAAGAUUACCCCAUUCACAGAAAAAGCAGCUUGAGUUUCGGAGAAAUUCACCGUUCUCCCAUGUCCUAGUGCCCAAUAGACACCAUCCACUACAUCUUCCCAAAUAUUGGACAAAGCCCUCCAGAAAAAAGUUUCUAUCUUUUCUUGAUUGGUUCAACAUUCAUUAAAAUAGUUUCCAAGGCUCUUUACCCAUUGCCUUAACAAAUUUGCAUUGGCUGAAAAUUUUCAACUUUGGUGGCAACAACUUCAAUAGAGAAAUUCCAUCAUGGUUUGGUCACUUUGCUGAGUUUCGAGUCUUACAGUUGCACAUUAACAAUUUCAGUGGCACUAAAAAUAUAUAUAAACCAACACUUUAGUUUUAGUUCAUUCGUACAUCUCACAAAGAAAUUAAGGAUGAGGAGAUAUCUAACUCUAUUAUUCGCCAACUAUGGGAUUGUGGAGGUGACUAUGAGUUUUUGACACCAAUUAAGAGUUGGAUUGAAAAUCUUACAUUUUUUAGGAAUAUUAUUAAAGCAGGUUAUUCCAAUUAGCUUAUCUAAGAAGUUGGCUUAAUUGACAUCAAUUAAUUGGUAGAUGGCUCAAUUGUCAUAAAUAGAAAAAUAUAUAUUUACUCUAACUUUGCUAGAACUAAACUUAAUGGUAAUUGUUUUAAAGUCAUGCUUCAAUAUUUAAACAAUUGUUCAUAGAAAUUGAAUAAGAAUGAACGAAUAAAACAAUAACCAUGAAUAGCUUACAUUUGAGAUUGUUAUCAUCGAGAUACCAAGUGUUGAGCAUAGUAAAAAUUUCGAUUUCUGUAGGUAUAUAUACUUCCCUCUAAAUUGUUGAUAUACAAGGAUAAAAGCUUCAACUUUUUGCACUUGAAUAAGCUAUUUGGAAUUCAAUUAAAAAUUUGAUUCUCACUCAAUUUUAACUUUUCUAGUUUUGACAAAUUUCCCAAAUAGAUGGAUAAGACCAGUGAAGUUGUUAAUGUGCAACUAUAAGACUUGAAGUUCAGCGAUGUGACCAAACCACAAUGGAAUUUCUCCAUUGAAGUCGUUGUCCCCAAUCUUCAAAAAUUUCAGUCGAGACAAAUUUGUUAACGCAAUAGGUAAAGAACUAUGGGAACUGUUUUCAUGAAUUUAGAGCCACGCAAGGAAAGAUAGAUUUUCCAAUUGAGAUGAAAUGGUGCCUGCGAUAUUCAUGCUUGAUAAAUUUAGAGUGGUGAUUUUGUGGUGUCUGGAUCCGUAUGUGAGACCAAUUCGGUUAUAAAUAGAGGUAGAAGUAGACCAAUUUGAUUAUUAAGAGGUUGUAAGGAUCAUGAGUUAUAUGAGAAUUCAGUUCUAGAAUGGCAGAUUGAUCAGUGGUGAUUUUGGGUGAAUUCACAGACAAAAUAGCCUCAAAGGUUACUAUUUGGCAGAGAAUGAGAUACACUGUAAAAGCCAAUUCCACUAAUUAUCCUCUUGGAUUUCAACACCUGAUAAGGCUCUCACCCAAAAAAGAGCUCUAAGCUUGGCAAGAAAGAGAGUCUCUUCAACCAGAACAAGUUUCGCAUUAAAAGUAAAAUCGUUACGCGGCAGUCAUAUCGACCAUAACCCCGCUGCACAGCAGAGGAGCCACCACUGUUUAAUAUCACCUUUAAACAUCCAGCCAUUGCAUUCAACAAAAAAACCAAGGAUUGAUCGUGAUAGACAGCCUUCAAUCCCCCCACCACGACAAAGUACAGUACCAAAAAUUACGCAUCAAGGAACAACUAAACAAUAAAUGGUCUGACGUUUCCAGAUCAGAGCUACACCAAGCUGGGAAGUUGAGAAUGAGAUCAAAGAAAUGCAAGAGAAAGUUGAUACUUUGCAAGAUCCCAGUUCGUUCAUCGCCGAGGGAAAAGCUUAUAAUUAUUCUCUUCUUUUAACAACAUAUUAUCUUUAAUAUUUAAAACAAGGAUAAAGUGCACUUUUAGUUUUCGUUUUGGUCCCCAGGUAACAAAAUGAUAACAUGGUAUUAAUUAUGUAAAUGGUUAUUUUUAAAUCCUUAAUCAUAUGGUCCCCCAAGGUUUUUACAUUGUUUUGUUUCUUUUGUCACCCAACCGACAGUUGAGUAACAAAAUAAUAAUAUGACAUUUUUUAAUUGUCAUAAUAACAAAUUUAGCUCUUAAUGUUGAUAUAUUCUAUCAAUUUGGACAUGAUUAUAUAUAAAAGUUAUAAAAAAAAUUAAAACAAUAAAAAAUUCAAAAAAUAUAUAAAAAUAAGUAAGAAUUCAAAAAAUAUAUAUAAAAAAUUAAAAAAAUGAUGAGAGAUACAUAAAAAUAUAAAAAAAAACUUCAAAAUUUUUAAAAAUAAAAAAUUGUUAAAAUUAUAAAAAUCAGUAGCCCACCACCACACAUCAGUCAACAUCUGAUAUAUAUUUUUUGUGUUUCAAGUGUCAAUUGCCAUGUAAAUCACUAGUGGUUUAUAGACAUGACAAAGGUUCACGACUAUUGUAAAAUCCCAUGAGCAAAUAGAAGUUGUAAAUUAAUGUGUAUAUAUAUAUAUAUAUAUAUUUAUAUCAUUAAAAUAUCUAUUAAUAUAUAUAAAUUUGUUGUCCUUAAUGAUCAUUUUGUAUUUUUAUUACAUAUCAUCUUACCAUCAUAAGUGAGUUAUUGAACCAUCAUAAGUGAGUUUAUCUUCAAUAACAUAUCUCAUCAUUAAUUUUAUCUCACUGCUAUAGUAUUUAAUUUUAUUACUACCUUAACUGUAUAUUUAAUCUCUUUAGAACUAAUUUCACCAUUCAUCCAAAUAAACCAUGUGUAAGUUUUUGCUCCAUAGCAAGGCAACUAUUAAUUUAUUUGUAGCCUUAAAAAAUUUUAAUUUUAGGAAAAAGGUCAAUAUAUAAAAGUCUUAAAUUUUGUUAUCUAUAUAUAUUAUAAAUUAUCACAUGAUAAGUUCUUUUUACUUUAGAUAUAUAUAAUAAGGGGAAGGAUGACAUGUAAGACUAACAUAAUUUUGCAUGCUUUCUUAACUCUAUUUUUGUAAUUGAUAUUUUAUAUUCACAUGUAAUUAUUAUCUAUUGUUAUUUCAAUUCGAUUAAGUAAAUUAUAAAAUGAUCAUUAAAUUAUUAAUUUUUUAUUUAAUCACUAAAUUUUUGGAAAUAAAAUAUUUUGAUCACUUUUCCAUUAAUUACAGUUUAUUAAUUUAAUAAUAAAUUUAGCCUUUAAAAUUUACUUUUCAGAAAAAAGUUAUUAAAUCAAUAGUGAGGUGUUAGGGAAUUGUACACAAUUAGUUAAACAGAGAGGACAGAGCUUGGAUGAUAUCUAGUGACUGAGAUUUGGAGUUUAGAUAUACAAGGUUGAAAUGAAGCAAUGGUGGAGUUGAAAUGAAAUAAUUGUUUUGUGAAAAUGGGAUAUUUUUACUUUUUUAUCCAUUCAGACAUAUUACUGUUCCUGUCUUCCUUUUCAUGUUUUUAUAAAAAACAGAUUCCCACCAUUCUUUUCUCUUUGGUAAAUGUUGAUUGCUGAGAGGACAAUCUUUUUGCACAUUCCCGAAUUCUAUGGACAUCAUUUUUUGCAUCUCAAUCAAAGGUUUGAAAAGUUAAAAUUAUAUUUAGGAUUUUAUUUUACUUCCCAAUGAUAUCCAAGUAUUGAACUUUCAUGCUCGUAUUAUGGACACGAAUAUACAUUAAGAGUUCCAUCACAUCAAUCAAUGUUGCGGAUAUAAAGAAUACUUAAUUAUGGUAAAUAAGAAUCUAUUUGUACGAUUAAACAAAAACAGGGAAAAAGAGAAACUUAAUUAAAUAGGAGAAAAUAUCUUGAAAAGGCUAGUCGUUUAACAUUUGAUAAUUUCAUUCUAUUGGUUUUUAAUUUGAAUAGUUCAUUCAUUUAAAAUAAUCAUAAUUGUGCAUCAAUUAUGAAAGAAGUCAGAAGAAAAUUUUUAAUUUUUUAUUUAAUCACUAAAUUUUUUGAAAUAAAAUAUUAUGAUCACUUUUCCAUUAUUUACAGUUUAUUAAUUUAAUAAUAAAUUUAGCCUUCAAAAUCUACUUUUCAGAAAAAAGUUAUUAAAUGAAUAGUGAGGUGUUAGGGAAUAGUAUACAAUUAUUAAAAGAAGUUUGAUAGGUAAAUUAGAGAGGACAGAGCUUUGAUGAUAUCUAGUGACUGAGAUUUGGAGUUUAGAUAAACAAGGUUGACAUGAAGCAAUGGUGGAGUUGGAAGGCAGUGUUAUUAAAUACUAAAUAAUUGUUUUGUGAAAAUGGGAUAUUUUUACUUUUUUAUCCAUUCAGACAUAUUACUGUUCCUGUCUUCUUUUUCAUGUUUUUAUAAAAAACAGAUUCCCACCAGUCUUUUCUCUUUGGUAAAUGUUGAUUGCUGAGAGGACAAUCUUUUUGCACAUUCCCGAACUCUAUGGACAUGAUUUUUUGCAUCUCAAUCAAAGGUUUGAAAAGUUGAAAUUAUAUUUAGGAUUUUAUUUUACUUCCAAAUGAUAUCCUAGUAUUGAACUUUCAUGCUCGUAUUAUGGACACGAAUAUACAUUAAGAGUUCCAUCACAUCAAUCAAUGUUGCGGACAUAAAGAAUACUUAAUUAUGGUAAAUAAGAAUCUAUUUGUACGAUUAAACAAAAACAGGGAAAAAGAGAAACUUAAUUAAAUAGGAGAAAAAAUCUUGAAAAGGCUAGUCAAGUCGUUUACCACAAGUAGUUUAACAUUUGACAAUUUCAUUCUAUUGGUUUUUAAUUUGAAUAGUUCAUUCAUUGUGCAUCAAUUAUGAAAGAAGUCAGAAGAAAAUUGUGCAGUAAUCAAAUGCAAUUUUCUUCGCUUUUAUCAGGUCUUUGAGUUGGAGGAAAAGAUGGUCCAAUUGAGAUACACUUGAAAAGUUUAAUGAUGAAUUGAAAUGAAUUCAUUGUUAUGUCAUGUCAACACUGUUAAAUUAAUAGUUAAAUCAGUAUUUUACGUUAAAAAAUUCAUAAUUUAUCUCAAUAAAAUGUUGAGAGCCAAAUUACUAAAAAAAAAAAUGAAUAUAGGUCAACUUGUCAAAUUUUAUAAACACUAAGAACCUUUUUUUUUUUUAUCAUUAUGCCUAAUUUUAAAGGUUUUAUUUACAAUACAAUUAAAUUACUAUUUGAAUUUACAUUUUAAAAACAACGUUCAUUUCAAUAUGUAUAAUUUACAUUACAUGAUAUGAUAAAAACAACUAAUUAUAUUUUGCUAAUUCUCUAAAUUCGUCCGAGCCUAUAAUUGUUAAAGUGUCCGCUUCCAUUCCAACUUGAUGACUUUUGUUGGUCCCUCACUUGCAUGAUCCUUUGAGCAGAUUUUCAUGCUUCUCUUGGUCUAGGGGACAAACAUAAAGCACCAUCAUUAUUUUUGUUGCACUGAGAUCAUCUAUAUUAACUUACCUCAAAUUGAGAAAUUUUUGUUGAUAUCACAUAAAUACAAUCAUUGAAAAUCUUACUCAUAUAGACCAAAAAUCAUAUUUUUAUUUCUCUAAACAAUAACAUUAGACAAUAACAAAAACGAAAUUAUAGAAUUUUGAAAAAAAAAUAUUAGAUAUGAAAAUGUCUCUCAACAGAAAAGAUUUUCCAAAUAAUUAAAAGAGUUUAUAUUUGAAUAAGUGUUAAAAAUAAAUGUCUAAACUUAAAUACUUUGUAAAAAAUAUAAAUUGAAGUGUUGGAAUAAUAUUAUUUUUACUUCAAGCCAUGAAGUUUAAACGGUACUUUUGUUAGAAGGAAUUCAACCUAUCCAAAUAUAUAAAAAACAAUUUUGAUUGAUUAAAUUGAACACAUAAGUUGGUCUCAAAUAAAAAUAAAAUGGUUUUUAACUCAGUCGAAAUUAUGAUCUAAUCCUCACUAAAGAAUUUUCACCUUAUUAUUACAUGUAUUGUCGUCGAAGCUAUCUAUUUUUCUCCACAUUUCUAUCUCAAUUAAUUAUAUUUACUUCAACCUAAAAAUAAAAUAUAGAUGUAAGUCAAUAUAUAUAAUGAGAAUAAAAUUUUAAUAAAAAAAAACCAAUCAAAAUAUACACAUUUCAAUUAUGUAAAAAGGAAUGAAUUAGGUGAAUAAACUUUUAAAAGGUAAUUUUUUUUAAAAAAAUUAGUAUAUAAUAAAAUGAUCAUAUCUCAAAUACAAAUAAGUCUAGAAUGAUUAAUUUAAAUGAAAUAAAAGAUGUAAACAAGGUAGAUGAGUAAAAAAAUUUAGUAGGGCAAGGUUGGUUAAGUAAUUUACCAUAGUUAAUGUGUCUUCCCAGAUUGGCCAAUUAUAAAAAAUUGAAAAAAAGUUGCAUCCGUUUUGGUUGCGUCCCUUCUUCCUCCGCUUCAUCGUAGAUAUUAGGUUUCUAUUUUAUGUGAGAAGUGCUACCUACUGAUUCAUGGUUGUGAGCAGAGUGUUGGUGGAUGUGUUCAAAAUUUGGAGAAGAUUGAGUGGUAUGGCACUGCAACUCUUUUAUCUCUUCCAAAUCUUUCUCAUACACUAUUCUAAAACCACACUUCUUCACCUUAACACUGCAUCCCAUGAAAGACGCCUCAAGCUCAUCGCAUUUUUUAUCUAAGCAAUGUGUUGUCCAUAAAUUAGUGGUUUCACAGUCGUCAUAUUUAUCCUCCAAGGAAGGAUAUAAUUUAUCACGCGACCAAUAACGAAGAAAAAGGUGAUCUUUCAUUAUUGGUUCACGCAGCCCCCAGCCACUCCAGUCAAUCUGUCGAUAAUUUCUACCUCGAAAAAUAGACCCAUUACAGCUGGCUUGCUCAGAAUUUCUACAAUAGAUAUAUGCUCUACAACUGAUAUCCUGUUUGUCAUCCCUUGAAGCAUCAUGUUGGUGUUUAGAACUCGAACUUUGAUGGUUGAUCGAGAGAUUUAAAGCAGAAAGAAGAGACAAGAAGUUUUAAGUAGAAAAGAAAAUAAAUGAAGGCUGGAAUAUAUUAAUUGAUUUGCACCUCAACUAUUUAAAUACAAAAGUUCAAGCUAAAAAUAGAAAAAAAAAGUUCUAAAAAUCUGCUAGUAACAAAAUAACAAACAAAUCAAAAAAUCUAAUCUCCUAAAGUCAAGGAGAAUUAUUCAAACUUAGUAAUAGAAAAAAUUUAAAUGGCAGCAAUCUUAAACACAUUAUCUCAACACUCCUCCUUGUUUAGAUGCUGCAAACUCCAAGUUUCUUCCUGAAGCUUUCAAACUUGCUAAGUGGCAAUGGUUUGGUGAAGAUAUCUGCAAUUUGAUCUUCAGAUUUGCAGUAACAAAGAGACACAUCACCACUCUUUUGAACUUCUCGAACAAAAAAUAACUUGAUGUUGAAAUGCUUAGUCUUCUCAUGAAAGACUGGAUUGUUAGAGAUUGCAAUGGCAGCCUGGUUAUCAACUAGAAUCUUUGUGCUUUGCUUCUGCUCCAUGUUUAGAUCAACAAGGAUCUUCCUUAACCAGAGAGCUUGGUUAACUGUUGCUGAUGCAGCCACAAAUUCUGCCUCAGCAGUGGAUUGAGCUACAAUUUCUUGCUUCUUCGAGCUCCAAGAGAACAUGCCUGAUCCAAGGCAAAAACAAUAACCAGAGAUACUCUUCAUAUCAUCAGUUGAGCCACCCCAAUCACUGUCAGAGAAACCAAUCAACUUCAAUUCCCUGUGCUUUAAAAACUUUACUCCAUAAUUCCAGGUCCCCUUAAUGUAUCUGAUAACUCUUUUUGCAGCUCUCAUGUGAGUCUCAUUGGGACAAUGCAUGAAUCUGGAGAGAAUACUUACAGCAUUCAAGAUGUCGGGUCUGGUUGCUGUUAAGUACAUUAGACAACCUACCAAACUCCUGAACUCAGCUUCAAUGACUUUGGCAAAACCAUCAUCUUUGAUUAGCUUCUCUUUUUGAUUCAUAGGAGUACUCAUUGCUUUGCAAUCUUCCAUAUGAAAUUUUCUAAGUAUCUCCUUUACAUACUUUCUUUGACAGAUGAACACUUCAUCUUGGCUUUGUUUGAUCUCAAUGCCAAGGAAAUAAGACAUCAGACCAAGGUUUGUCAUUUCGAAGACCUUUUGCAUUUCCAAUUUGAACUGAUUAACUUGAUGAUAUUGCUCCCUGUAAUCAAUAAGUCAUCUACAUAAAGAGAAAUGACUAAAGUAUUUGUACCUUCAUGCUUGACAUACAGUGUGAGCUCAGAUUGACUUUUCUGAAAGCCAAGUCCCAUCAAAUGAUCAUCAAUUCUACUAUACCAUGCUCGUGGAGCCUGUUUUAGGCCAUACAAAGCCUUCUUCAGCAAGUAAACUUUGUCUUCAUUGCCUCUGCUUACAAAACCUUCAGGUUGCUCAACAAAUAUUUCUUCUUGCAAGACUCCAUUUAGGAAUGCAGAUUUAACAUCCAACUGAAAAACUUUCCAGUUCUUUUGUGCAGCAAGAGCAAACAGCAACCUUACAGUGUCAAGCCUGGCAACAGGUGCAAAUGUUUCUGAAUAAUCGACUCCAAAGACUUGUGCAUAUCCCUUCACAACAAGUCUUGCUUUGAAUUUGUUAACUGAACCAUCGGGAUUUAGUUUCGUUCUGAACACCCAUCUUACUCCAAUUAUCUUUCUGUCUAGAGGUCGAUCAACCAACUCCCAAGUUUUAUUUUUCUCGAUCAUCGAAAGCUCUUUAUCCAUUGCAGCCAUCCAAUGUUGACUGUUUUUUGCAUCAUGAUACCCUGCAGGCUUACAAAUAGCCAUGUUACAUCUUUGGUAAAUGUCGGAGAGUAGCCUUGUACCUCUGACAGGCGCAUCAUCAGCCAAAACAUCUUGCCCUUCAUCUUCAAGCUCUUCUAACGUGCUGCCAAUUGUAGAACGAUUUGGUGCACUAGACCUUUGGUUUGUCUUGAUCGAGUCUUCCCAAUUCCAUUGCUUAUUUUCAACAAAAUAAACAUCUCUGCUCACAAUAGCACGUCUAGUGUGUGGUUGAAAGACUCUGUAAGCUUUAGAUACAGUGCUAUACCCAACAAAAAUGCCAGCUUCUGCCUUUUUGUCAAGCUUAUCACGCUUGACCUGUGGAAUGUAAGUGAAACAUAGGCAACCAAACACUCUAAGAAACUUUAAAGAAGGUUUGUAACCAUACCAAGCUUCAAAUGGCGUCUGAUCCUUCACAGCUUUUGUUGAAAUAUGAUUUUGCAAGAACACAGCAGUGUUUGCAGCUUCUCCCCAAAAGCCUUUUGGAAGAUUCUUCUCAUGAAGCAUACAACGAGUCAUCUCCAUUAUGAAUCUGUUCCUCCUUUCACUGACUCCAUUUUGUUGUGGAGUGUAUGGCGCCGUCAACUGAUGCUCAAUUCCAGCCUCUUCACAAAACCUAUUAAAGGUUUCUGAAGUGUACUCCUUGCCAUUAUCAGAUCUUAAAAUCUGAAUCAUGCAUCCACUUUCAUUCUCAACUCUAGCUUUGAAUUUCCAGAACAUACCAGCAACUUCUGAUUUUUGCUUCAACAAAAAAAUCCAACACAUUCUUGUUAGAUCAUCAAUAAAGGUUAUGUAAUAGAGGUUACCAUUUAACGAAGGCGUUCUCUGAGGACCACAAAGAUCAGUAUGAACAAGCUGUAACUUCUUCGAGGCUCUCCAGGCUUGUUUAGGAAAGGGUUGUCUAUGUUGUUUCCCAAAUUUACAAGCUCGACAAUGAGGUAGAUCAUCAUCAAUGUCUGUAAGUCCUUCCACUAGCUUCUUCGACUGCAUUUGAAGUAAUCCUCGAUGGUGAAAGUGCCCAAGUCUCUUGUGCCAAGUCUCAGUAGCACUAACUCUGGAUUUAAAAGCCAUUUGCUCCUUUUCCAUUGGAUUAAGAGCAAAACUUUUUCCCUUCAUUUUGACAUUGAACAAGUCUCUGCCAUUAGCAUCUCUGAUCAAGCACUGCUUAUUUUCAAAUAGCACUUUAUAGCCUUUAUCCAGCAACUGGCCAACACUUAAGAGAUUUUGAUCAAUUUUAGGUACAAAUAAAACAUCUGAAAUGAAUUUUGUACCUUCAUAGCUUGUAAUAGCUAUUGUGCCUUUUCCCUUGACUUCCAAGUACUCACCAUUUCCAAUCCUCACUCUUUUGACUUCAGUGUUUCUCAAUUCCUCGAAGAGCUCCUUGUCAUACGUCAUGUGAUUUGUGCACCCACUAUCAAUCAACCAGCUCUCACUUGAUUCUCUGCCUGAGAAACAAGUAACCACGAACAAUUGAUCUUCUUCUUCUUGAUCAACUACCUGUGCAUCUACUUCUUGCACCUGGCCUUUGACCUUGCAAAUCACUGCUUCAUGUCCAAGUUGAUUGCAUUUGGAGCAUUUGGCGUCAGGUCUUUUCCAACAUUCGAAUGGUGGAUGACCUUUCUUCUCACAAUGGUGACAAGGUGGGUAGGAUUUCUUGACACCUCCUUUUUUGCUCUUCUGAUAAUUGCCUGAUGAAUUUUCUCCACUCGUCGACUGGUUAUUAAAAUUUUUCUUCUUUUUAUACCUGUUGUUGUCUUGAUGCUUGACAGGUAAUGCCCUUCUAUCACUCCCUCUUGCCUCAUGGAUCUUCUUUGCUCUUGUGCUUGUAAAGCAUUCAAGAGCUCUGCAAGAGAGAUCUUUGACAGGUCCUUGGUGUUCUCCAGAGUAGUAAUGGUCGCUUCAAACUUCUCUGGAACAGUGACCAGCAGCUUUUCUACGAUUCUAGAGUCGUUCAAUUCAGAACCAAGCAAUCUCACCUUGUUGGCAAUACUGAGAAGUCUGUCAGAAUAUUCUUUCACUGACUCAGAUUCCUUCAUCUUCUGCAACUCGAAAUCUCUAAUUAGAUUCAGGAGUUUCAUUCCACGAAUCCUCUCAUCUCCUUCAUACUCAGCCUUGAGGUAAUCCUAGAUUUCCUUUGCUGAUUUCAGAGACAUUAUCCGUGUGAAAAUCAUUUGAGACACAACUGCAAAUAAGCAAGCUUUUGCCUUUGAUUUCCUUAUCUUCUUUUCCUCUUGUGCUUUAAUCUGUGCCACAGUAGGAUUUGCUGGAAGUGGUGGGACCUCGUAAUCCUCUUCUACAGGUUCCCAAAGAUCCAAAGCCUCUAGGUAAGUCUCCAUGUGAACUGCCCACAUCUGGUAAUUGUCUCCAUCGAAGACUGGUGGUGCAACAACUGAAAAAUUGGACCCUCCUUCCAUUUUAACACGCAAAUAACCUCACAGAUCUCUCAAGAAAACAGCUCUGAUACUAAUUUGUUGGUGUUUAGAACUCGAACUUUGAUGGUUGAUCGAGAGAUUUAAAGCAGAAAGAAGAGACAGGAAGUUUUAAGUAGAAAAGAAAAUAAAUGAAGGCUGGAAUAUAUUAAUUGAUUUGCACCUCAACUAUUUAAAUACAAAAGUUCAAGCUAAAAAUAGAAAAAAAAAGUUCUAAAAAUCUGCUAGUAACAAAAUAACAAACAAAUCAAAAAAUCUAAUCUCCUAAAGUCAAGGAGAAUUAUUCAAACUUAGUAACAGAAAAAAUUUAAAUGGCAGCAAUCUUAAACACAUUAUCUCAACACAUCAUUAUUGACAAAAAUGCAGCAGCAAGCAACUUCAAUCCAUUGGCUAUCUUUCCGAAGGUCGAUAGGUAGGCGUAUCAUAAUGAAUGAAGAGUCGCUUUUUUGUUGGCUAAACCAUUCUGGGAUUUCACUUCCGGGAAUAAUAAUAUCAAAGAUUUUUCUUGAAUUUGCAGAUGCCUGCAAAGUAAAACACAAGUCGUUUGGUAACUAGAACCAUAAAUUCUCAAGUAUGAGAUUUUGUAAGGGAGAAAAUGGAGAUUAAUCGACCUUAAGCUGUUCUUUCAGCAGUGUUAAUGCAUUCAUAUUCUCGGCCAAUUUGAAGCAGUUAAUGGCUCUAAAGGCACCCUUAUCUGUUCUAUUGCAUACUUCACGUAGUGUUAAUGCAUUGAUAUUCUCAGCCAAUUUGAAGCAGUUAAUGGCUCUAAAGGCAGCCGAAUCCACUAAAUUGCAUACUUCAAGUGAAGAACAACCAUCUAGCCACACUUGUCCUAACCUUGUCGGUAUCUCAGGCAACAAUUUAAGCAUCUUGCAAUAUGACAAUCCAAGAAACUGAAGCUUGGAUAGUCCAGUAAGAGAUGCAGGUAUGCUGAUGACAUUGUUACCACAAAGACCAAGAUGUACCAAAGAGGAUAGACCAGAAAUAUAACUAUGAAUAUCUGCUUCACCAAGAGUGCACAUGUUGCAAUUUGACAAGUCAAGAAACCCAAGCUUCGAGAGUCGAGUAAGAGAUGCAGGUAUGCUGAUGAAAUUGUUACCACGAAGAUCAAGAUGUUUCAAAGAGGAUAGACCAGAAAUAUCACGUGGAAUAUCUCCUUCACAAAGAUUGCAGUCCCUUAGACUUAGCCGUCUUAAUGAACUCAAACCUGACAUCAAAGGCAACAUUAGAGCCAUGGGAGUUGUCCUUCUUCCUUGGAUUACCUUGAAAAGAGAAGACAAAUUUGGUCGCAACUUUGCUUGCUGUAAAUUCUCCGAGAAAUUUUAAACUCUAUAACAACCAGAAAGCUCUAGAGUUUUUAUACGUUCCAUUUUCCCAUCCGGAAACCUUACAAGACUUGAACAACCCGAAAAAAUUAAUGUUUCAAGAGAUUCCAUUCUAAUUUUGGUCGGAAGAGUCCUAAGACUUUUGCAAUCUCUUAAAUUCAAAAGUUUAAGGCUCUUAAGCACUCCUAUUGAUGGAUGAACAUCCACUAAUUUGGUACAGCCUUCCAAAAUUAAAACUUCAAGAUUUGAUGCUGUUGUGAAGUUUGGUGUCUUGAUCAGGUUUUGGGAAACUUUGAGGCUCAUUAUUUUCAACUUAUACAAGGGCUGUUGAAGACAAUAAUAAAUUAGAGAGAAAAGAGAACAUAAUAAUUCUCAUUUUUGUUUUUGUAUUUUUACCUUAAUCGGAGUUUAAUAAUUUAUAUUAAAAUAAUUUAAAACAUAAGGAUAAGAUGAGUUAAUUCUUACUCUAUUUCCCUUCCAUAGUUGUUUAAUGUGACUAUACGGUAAAAGAAGUGCAACAAGGUUGUUUGGUUGGAAACUUGAAGGCAAGUAUCUUAAAGGAUAUCCUGUCCAAUCUAAAAGCCGUAGUUCAUUAGAAAGAUAUUUGAGAUUAUCACAAUUUGAUUGGCAAAGCACUUUGAGCAGUCUCAAGUUUUUCAUCUUCGAAAAGGUAUUGGCACUCAAAUUGAGCAUCUUGCUUGAUUCCCUAAUAACCAUGAGUAAAACAAAUAUGGGAUUCAAAAUAUACAAAGACAUUCAAUAUCUAAAAGCUUUGUUGCAUCGAUAGAUGAUCAAUUUCCAUGGUAAUGCAAAAAAUUGAAUCAUUCCAAAUUGGAAUGAGAAGGAAGACAAUGAGAGAGAGAUAUUUUCUUUUCUUUUCUUCUCACUUUUUGCUAUACCAAGAAAUAGUGAGGAGGGAAAUAUAUUUUCCAUUCAAUUUUCCAUCUUUCCAAUCAAGUUUUCCAUCCCCACAGUUUUCCACCAUUUUGAUUUUCUUUCCACUCUGCCAAGCAAAGCCAAAAGUUUUUUUAUUGUUAUUUUUUAUUAGAUUUUUUUACAAAAAAUAAUAACAAUAUUAAUAGUACAUAUUGAUAAAUUUAUAUGUAUGUUUUCUUACCUUUUAUUGUCGAUGAUCAUAUCUUCAAUCACUUCGGUAGCCUAAAAGUAAUCAAGAAUAGACAAUAAAAAUGCAAAAUAAAUUAUCUAAAUUGUACAAUAAAACUUUUGAAAUUUACAUAUAUGUUCAACAUUAUCACAAUCUUUUGGUCGAAAUAUAGGAAAUAAAAUAUUUUCGAAUGAGAGUAAUUCAAUAGAAUUAAACACUUGUAUAACAAAUCAUUAUUAAUAUUUAUACCCAACUUUUAAAGCCACUCAAUGUUAGUUAAGGAUCGAUAUGUAAACCAAUUAGACUAAGCUUUUUGAUUUACAUCAUAUAUUGAUAAAAAGAAAAUUUUGUAUAUAAUUUUUGUUGAAUGAUUUACCGUGUUUUUUGUUAGGACAUGAUGGACGUCCCUUUCUUUCCACAAUCUACAACGUUUUCCAGGUUCAUCAACACAUUUUUCUUCAACAAUUUUUCUUCCCAUUUCUUGCAACAAGGCAUGCAUCCGCAAAUGUUGGUUGUCAUCACUAACUUUUAUGAGAGAUUUCUUAAUGAGAACAUCGAUUCCGAUAUCUGGAAAAAGCUCACAACCAUCCAAUACUUUCAUUACCAAAGCUCUCUUCUCACCGUUGAAAAAGCAUGCUAUAUCUAGAAAUAUAUUCUUCUCCUUUUCUUCCAAUCCAUCAAAGCUAAUUCUUAGCGUGUUAAGAAUUUCUUUGUUAGAAUCUUCUUUUAAGUCUUUCGAUUGCACUUCUCCAAUGAACUAUAUCUCUAUGGCACAAAAAUGAACCCAAAACUUCAAGAGCUAAGGGGAAACCACCAGCAUAACAUACAACAUCUUCAGAAAGCUCAAUGAAAUCAUCUUUUGGCACUGUAUCACUAUGAAAAGCUUUCAAAUUGAAAAGUCAAAGUGCAGCAUCUGGAUUCAAUGUUUUAUGCUCAUACACACCAUCGACUCCGUAAGAUUGGAGUAAAUGUUCAUCUCUUGUUGUUACAAUGAUUCGACUCCCUAGACCAAACCAAUCACGCCUUCCAACCAAGCAUUUCAAGUGUUGUACGUUAUCUACAUCAUCAAGAACAACAAGAACCUUUUCACUACACAACCUGCGGCUAAUUAUGGCAUUCCCUUCAUGAACAUUGAAAAAAUUGAAGCAUUCAUUUGGCAAGAUUUGAGAAAGAAGUUGUUUCUGUAAAGAAACAAGUCCACAUUUGUUUGAAACUUCUUGAAUAUCAGCAAGAAAGCUUUUGCCUUCAAAAUGUGGUGACAUUUGAGUGUAAACAACCCUGGCAAGAGUUGUUUUACCGAUGCCACCCAUUCCACAAAUUCCUAUAAUGCGGACAUCAUCCUCCCCAAUGUUUAUUUUCAAAUACAACUCCUUCAAAGGUAAGCUAAUUCCAACCAAUUCAUCAUGAACAAUUGGAUAUGUCUCACAUAAUUUGGCUGAUAUCUUCCUAACAAUGUCUCGGAUAAACUCUGACUCAUUCCUUCAAUGAAAUAAAAAGUUGUUUCUAUCUUUCAAAUUCUCUUUGUCAUUUUUAGUUCAAUGAAUCAUGAAAUAUAAUAUAGUUGGAAGCAAACAAAAACCAAGAAUAAGACAGCAAGAUAUAUUAUGGCAUCAAAAUACUCAACUUUCUCGUUAGAAUUCUUAAUUAAACACGAAAUUAUAAAAAAUUACAUGCAAUCUAGAAAAAAACAAUUAUUUAGCCAUUAAAAUUAGGAAAUAGAAAAAAACAAUUAUUUAGCCACAUCGGUGAAUCUUGCCUCCCUAACAUUGCAGUUAGAAGAUUAAAGCUACAGCAGCGAAUCUUACUUCUCAGAUAGUACAAUAGAACAGAUUAAAGCCACAGCGGCGAAUCUUGCUUCCCUGACAUCACAGUUAUGAGUUACAAAUCUAAUCUCCCCGACGUUACGGUGGAGUGGAUCGAGGCAUCGAUUCCUAUACCUCUGAAGAUGCAGUAGGAUGGAAUGAGGCAACUCGAAGAAGAAGAGCACCAAGGUUCAACACGACCGGGCAAAAUUGGUCAUCUUUAGUCUUUGCUCUAUUCUCGUUACACGACAAUGAGCAAAGAGGGGCAGCUGUAGGGCCCAAAUUUUGCCCGGGCCCAAUGCUUAACAAACCAAGCCCAAAAUUAUAACCCAAAUCACUAACCCAAAAGACCCAACUAAAACCCAAACCCACUAAUCUAUAACCCAAUAUACAAAAAGCCUAAUCAGCCCAAAUCCCAACCUGAGAGCAGAAACACCUAGGGUUUCUAGAUCCCCUGGCGCCGCAAGCUCCCACGCGUGGCCUCCUCCCACGCGCACCUCUGCACGUUGCACCUUGCCACGUCCUCGUACUGUACCUGCAAAACAACAGAGCAACAACGCAACAAACUAGCAGCAGCAGGAAUGCACACAAAAAAUAGCAGUAGAAAUCGGCAGCAACAAAAAAGAAAAUAGCAGUAGAAAAAUAGGGGAUUUUCAGUUUUUUAUUUGAUUUUUCGGGCUAUAAAAGCCAAACAUGCAAAUUGUAUCAAGGACCCACGAAUAUUGUAUCAAAAAAAUCUUUGAGAGAAAAGCAAUAGAAAAGAGCAGUUUCAAGAGGUGAUUUGAAAUUGAUUCUACUUUUUCUUUCUUUGCGAUUUCUUCUUUCUUUUCUGUUUCUUCAACCUUAGUUUUGUUUUUCUUGUUUGCAAAAAUAGAAAAAGGAGAUAAAAAAGGGCUUAGGGAUCUUACUGAGGGUCGGUACGUCGCCGGAUCCCUCCUCCGUUCAGGUCGAGGUUGAAUGAGAGGGGAGGGACCUUCGAUUUUGAAGCGGCGCUGAGAGGAGAGCAUUCGGAUUCCUUUUAUUUUUGUUUGUUUUUUUUAUUUCUAUUUUGAAAAAUGAAAUGGUGGCUGCCAAUUUAGGGUUUGGCUUUUGACCCUUGCCUGUUGUAUGAAACGACGCCGUUUGGAGUCUGACUAGUGGCUCCAAAACGGCGUCGCAUUGAUCCAGACCCGCGCGCAACCCGACCCGCUCCAUGGGGGAACCGCACGUUAUUCGUUAAAUGGGUUAUUUGUCCAUCUAGUCCCUCUACAUUGGAAACGUGUUCCAAUUUGGGCCAUGUCAAGGCACUGCGUUUUGAGGGAAGGGAAUAUUUCCUAUUUGCCCCUCAUGUUAUCCACGUGUCGCUUUUUGGCCCUCGGUUUUGUUUUAUUUUUUUCUUUUAAUUUUGUUUCAAAUUCAAUUCAAUCCUUAUUAAUAUAUUUAAAUUCGCUUGUUUUCUUAUUUAUUCAAUUAUUUAUUGUUAUGAUAUUUUUAACUUAAAAUUUAAUAUUACUAGAAUGUUUAAACUUAUUUAUUAUUUUCAUACUAAUCCAAUAUAUUUCAUAAAUUUUAUAAUAGUUUUAUUUUAUAAUACUUUUAAAAAUUCACUAUACAAUAAUAUUCUUAUACAAUGCUCUAUUUAUAUAUGCAUACAUAGUUCAUAUUAAACUAUUUUCAUACAUACAUGUACAUAUAUUAUAUUAACGAUUUCAUAUUAUAUAUAUUUUCCCUUAUUCCUAUAUUUAUAUAAUUGUUUUCUUUUAAAAGCCCUACUUUAUAUAUUUCGUCUAUUUCAACCUCAUUCAUAUAUAUAUUAUUAUUAGGUAUAUAUUAUCAUUCAUAUUGUUAUUAACACCUUCUUUUCACAUGAGUAAUAUUUUUUAAAUUAAUAUGUAUAUAUUAUUUCAUGUAUUUUGGUUUUCUUCGUAUACAAUAUUCACCUUAAACUUCAUUUUGAUAUUUUUUAUGGUAUUUAUUUUUUUUAUCUUCAUUUUUGAUUUAUUUUAAACUCAUGUAUGUAUAUUGUUUAUUUUAAAUUUUACGCAUAUAACUCAUUUUUAUUGAUAAUUCGUUUAUUCUUUGGAUGUCGAUAUUAUUAGCAUUGGCAUAAUGUAUGAUUGAGAUUGUUGUUACUAUGUUUGCUUGUAUUUGCCUAUUGAUUAUUCGCAAUUCAUUAGUGUAUGUUAUUUACAAAUCAUCCUUUAUGUCGUACAUUAUAAUUCAAUCGUUUUUAUUCGAAAGAUCACAAAUAUCAAAAUCAAUUUAUCCAAAAAUCUUCAAAAUACUCGAAGUUUGGAAUCCUCGAGAGAAUUGAGCCCUAACGUAUUGGGUUCCAAUUUCCUCGUCGAUUAUAAAUAAUCGAAUUUUUUAAACAUACAAAUUUCAAAUAAAAGCUCACUCUCGGGAAUUUGACGCGUUGUGUCCUAACGCAUUGAAUAUGACGUAUUAUUUUCUCGAGACGAGAAUUUUAAGGUAAUGUUCGAUAUUUAGGAAUUUUGUGAAAUCGAACCCUAACUUACUGGGUUUUGAUUUUCUCAUUUGACCCAGAUAAUCGGACAUCCUCCUCAAGAUGCAUAGGUUUUAAAAGACAAGAGAUAAACUUAAUUUUGAGGAUUUAAAAUGUUGCACUCUAACUUACUGAGUGUGACGAUUUAUUUCUUUGAAAUAAGUGAAUCUCAUCGUCUAAUUCAUUUUAUUCAAAAUAAAAGGAUCGUAUUUUAAAAUCUUUUCAAAAUUUUGACAUUAAGACAUUAAACAAUCAAAUCGGUACCAAUUUUAGGCGUCACGAGGGUGCUAACCCUUCCUCGUGCGUAACCGAUUCCCGAACGUAUUUUCUCAAAAAUUCGCAGACCUAAUAUUAUUUUCAAGAUGAUCCGAUCACACCACAAUAAAAGAUCGGUGGCGACUCCCCAUUUCCAUUUUCAAAAUCGAUACCUUUUUUUUAAAUUAUUAAAAGUGGUUUUGACAGUCGGGAAUUUCUAUAAUGGAUAUAAGUUGUACUACCAUCGGAACCACCAUCAUUGACGAAAAUGCAGCAGAAAGCAACUCCAAUCCAAUUUGUUUGGUAUAUGUGAAACGUUUUGUGAGUUUGUUUUUUAAAAUAAAGGUAAAUUUCAACAAUUAUUUUUUAAUCAUCAUUAUUAAUAUAAUUGAAAUCCCAUGCAAUGUAUGUUAGUGAUAAUGAAAAAUUGAAAUGUGACAUACUCUUGAUGUGUUUAGAAAAAAAAUUAUAACCAUCAUGGCAUUGGUUGAAUUUGUUAAUUUAAAAGUUUUAGAAAUCCAAUGUUUUAGGUUCUAAUCUCAAUUUUAUAUAAAAACAUAAAAAAAUUACUAUAAUAAUAUUUGUUACUUUUAAAAAUAGUAAAUUUUUUAGUCAUUUUCCAAAUAAGUUAAUAUCUAAUUGACUUAUAACUGAUAAGUAAAGUAUAAUAUAAAGUAUGUUUGGUUAAAAAUAAAAUUCUGUGAAAAUGAUAUAUAAUGUUUAAUAUAAUGUAAGUUAUUAAUAUAGUAAAAUUGGAAAUAAUUUAAAGAUAAUUAUUAUAUUAGAAAAUAUAGGCAUUAAAGUUGAGGCAUUUUAAGAAGUUUACCAAAUUUUAUAUAAUGUAAAUCAUAAAGACUGUUCCUUACUACCACCGCGCACGAUUAGCGCUGUUGGAAGCGUUAGUCCCCUGCUUUAACUUUACCUCCAUAACAUGCCGAGACCAUGAAAGGCACGCAUUCCUUCAUACCAUAUAUAGUUCCCGCAACGCCACUACUGAAAACAAAGGCAUUUCUAUUUUACCAAAGUUUCUAGCAGCCAUAGCAAAAAGAGUACCCCAAUCAGUUCCUUUCACAGAAAAAGUUCUUUGAGCUCCGGAGAAACUCAAUGCUCUCCCAUUUCCUAGCGCCCAAUAAACACCAAUUACUACAUCUUCCCAAAUGUUGGACAAAGCCCUCCAGAGAAGCGAGCAAUUAGAAGGAUGUAUUGAAGCCGACCAUCUACUUAUUACCCCAUACUUGUUUCCAAGGACUUCAACCCAUAGCACAUUCACGUUAGAAAUGACAUUAAAAGCUACCUUAAUCAUGCAAGCUUUGUUGUGGUCUCGUACUUUCCUCAACCUAACUCCACCAUUCUUCAAAGGCAUACAAAAUUUAUACCAGCUCACUAAGUUGGUUUCCGAUUGCCAAAUGUUGACCCCAAAUGAAUCCUCGAACCAGCUUCUCAUUUUUGUUGCAAUUGUUUAAGUGAUCACCUAAAAUUGAGAAAUUUUUGUUGAUAUCACAUAAAUACAAUCAUUGAAAAUCUUACUCAUAUCGACCAAAAAUCAUAUUUUUAUUUCUCUAAACAAUAACAUUAGACAAUAACAAAAAUGAAAUUAUAGAAUUUUGAAAAAAAAAAAUUGGAUAUGAAAAUGCCUCUCACACGGAAAAAUUUUCCAAAUAAUUAAAAGAGCGUACCUUAUUUUUAUAUUUGAACAAGUGUUAAAAAUAAAUGUCUAAACUUAAAUACUUUGUAAAAAAUAUAAAUUGAAGAGUUGGAAUAAUAUUAUUUAUACUUCAAGCCAUGAAAUUUAAAUGGUACUUCUGUUAGAAGGAAUUAAACCUAUUUAAGUACUAUUAAGGACUUGUAUUUAAUCUUCCAAAUAUAUAAAAAAAAAAUUUGACUGAUUAAAUUGAACACAUAAGCUGGUCUCAAAUAAAAAUAAAAUGGUUUUUAACUCAGCUGAAAUUAUGAUAUAAUCCUCAUUAAAGGAUUUUCACCUUAUUAUUACCUAUAUCGUCGUCGAAGCUAUCUAUUUUUCUCCACAUUUCUAUCUCAAUUGAUUAUAUUUACUUCAACCUAAAAAUAAAAUAUAGAUGUAAGUGAAUAUAUAUAAUGAGAAUAAAAUUUUAAUAAAUAUCAAAAUGUACACAUUUCAAUUAUGUAAAAAGGAAUGAAUUAAGUGAAAAAAGUUUUAAAUGGUAUUUUUAAAAAAAAAAUUAGUAUAUAAUAAAAUGAUCAUAUCUCAUAUGCAAAUAAGUCUAGAAUGAUAACUUUAAAUGAAAUAAAAUAUGUAAACAAGGUAGAUGAGUAAAAAAAUUUAGUAGGACAAGGUUGGUUAAGUAAUUUACCAUAGCUAAUGCGUCUACCCGGAUUGGCCAAUUAAAAAAAAUUGAAAAAAAGUUGCAUCCGUUUUGGUUGCAGCCCUUCUUCCUCCGCUUCAACUUAGAUAUUAGGUUUCUAUUUUAUGUGAGAAGUGCUACCUACUGAUCCAUGGUUGUGAGCAGAGUGUUGGUGGAUGUGUUCAAAAUUUGGAGAAGAUUGAGUGGUAUGGCACUGCAACUCUUUUAUCUCUUCCAAAUCUUUCUUAUACACUAUUCUAAAACUACACUUCUUCACCUUAACACUGCAUCCCAUGAAAGACACCUUAAGCUCAUCUCAUUUUUUAUCAAAGCAAUGUAUUCUACAUACAUCAGUGAUUUUACAGUAGUCACAUUUAUCCUCCAAGGAAGGAUAUAAUUUAUCACGCGACCAAUAACAAAGAAAAAGGUGAUCUUUCAUUAUUGGUUCACGCAGCCCCCAGCCACUCCAGGUCCAUCCACCAUUUCUACCUCGAAAAAUAGAUCCAUUACAGCUGGCUUGUCCAGAAUUUCUACAAUAGAUAUUUGCACUACAACCGAUAUCCUGUUUGUCAUCCCUUGAAGCAUCAUUAUUGACAAAAAUGCAGCAGCAAGCAACUCCAAUCCAUUGACUAUCUUUCUGAAGGAGGAUAGGCAGGGGAAUGUUAAUUGGAGAGUCACUUGUUUGUUGGCUAAACAAUUCUGGGAUUUCACUUCCGGGCAUCAUAAUAUCAAAUUCUAUUGAAUUUGCAAAUGCCUGCAAAAUAAAACACAAGUCGUUUGGUAACUAAAACCAUAAAUUCUCAAGUAUGAGAUUUUGUAAGGGAGAAAAGGGAGAUUAAUCGACCUUAAGUUUUUUUUUUCAGCAGUGUUAAUGCAUUCAUAUUCUUGGCCAAUUUGAAGUAGUUAAUGGCUUUAAAGGUACCCAAACAGAAAUUGCAUACUUCACGAAAGGCAGCCGAAUCCACUAAAUUGCAUACUUCAAUUGAAGAACAACCAUUUUGUUGCGCGAAAGCGUGUAAAAGAUAAAAUUAUUGUACUAAAAAAUCACACUAAGUUCAAUUCUCAGGAAAGAGAGGUGGAUCACGAGGAUCACUUAAGUACAAGGUCUUUCCUAGCCAGAAUAUCCUUCUAUCGUAAUUUAAUAGCACAAUAAAUCACUACAAUCACACUCGCAAAAUAUGCAAAAUAAACAAUAAAAAACACUAGAAUUUUAACGAGGUUCAGCAAAUUUUGCCUACGUCCUCGGGCACUACCAAAUAUAUUUCACUCCAAAAUACAAGUGAAAAUUUACAUAUGAGGAGAGAGAACAAUGCCUUAAGUAGAGAAUGGCAUUUGUGGGAUGUAGAAAAUGAGAAAUAGCUAGGCCUAUUUAUAGUUGAAGCUCAAGGAUCAACUUGCAAAGUCCCUAUACAAUUAGGGACCAAAAUUACAAUUAUCCCAAGCCAAAUUUCAUCCCAAAAAUCUAUACCUUAAAUGCUUGGAUUUUCGGUGCCAAUUUUCUGACACCAAUAUCUUUGAAAAGUCAAAGAUUGUAGGUUGCCAAUAAUCUCCACCUUGAAGAUUUGAUUAGGAUAAUCUUAUAUUCACACAAUUCUUUCUGCCUUUGACAACAAUACUUGAUAGUGCCUUCUUCAACUGUUAAACUUGCAGGAUAUUGAUCAAGUUCAAACAAUGUUUGAACUUGAUUGUUGUUACCACCUUGGUCAACAUAUCUGCGGGAUUAUCUGCAGUCUUGAUCUUCUGAAGACGAAUUUUCCCCUCAUCAAUAAUUUCCCGCACAAAAUGGAAUCAUACGUCGAUAUGCUUUAUACGUGCAUGAUAGACUUGAUUCUUUGCUAAAUGAAUAGCACUUUGACAAUCACAAUACACGUUAAUAUGCUCCUGAACCAAUCCCAAGGUUUUAACCAUACCUUGUAACCAAAUAGCUUCCUUUACAGCCUCAGUUACAGCCAUGCAUUCGGCUUCUGUGGUUGACAACACAACUGUAGACUGCAAUGUAGACUUCCAACUUAUUGGUCUUCCAGCAAGUGUAAACACAUAACUGGUGGUUGAUCUUCGUUUGUCCAAAUCACCGGCAUAGUCAGAAUCAACGUACCCAAUAACAUCUUUACCAAGUGUAGUAUCCUGCUUGAACAGUAAUCCAAUAUCCACGAUCUUCAGAAUAUACCGUAGAAUCCAUUUCACAGCUUGCCAAUGUCCUUUUCCAGGAUUAUGCAUAUACCUGCUCACUAUACUAACUACCUGUGAUAUGUCGGGUCUUGUACACACCAUUGCAUACAUCAAGCUACCCACUGUAUUAGAAUACGGAACUUCUAACUUGUAUUCUCGUUCCGUAUUCGUCGAAGGAGAUAGUUGUGUAGAAAGCUUGAAAUGAGAAGCCAUGUAACACCCCUUACCCAUAUUCGACACCGGAAUAGAGUACGAGGCAUUACCAGAAUACAUGCACUUGUAAACGUAUUGAACCGAGUUAUAAAAUUCCAUUAAUUAUUAAAACUUUCAAAUUAAUAACAUGCUUUUAUAAUUCUUCAUAAUAUAAAUAAUACAACCUUUCCUACCAACCACAAUCGAGCUUCCGAUAACCAUCUCACUACAUCUAAUAAUUGUACAUAUUACUAAUAAUAAUUCAAUUUCAAUAAUAGAACACAUAUCUAUAUAAUAUUCAUCAUCAAAUAACAUUCACUUUAAUUAAAAUUAUACAGAAUAUAGUUCAUAAGAACUUACCAGGCUAAAUUGCAGAAAUACCAAAAUAUAGGGACAUUUUGGAAAUUUUCUAUUUUUCUCGAAUUUCCAUCCAAUCUUGAUCUAAAUUAAUAUUUCCUUAAAUUUACUAAUUUAAAUAAUAAAACAACUCAUUUCAUGCAAUUUGAUCGUUUUUUGACAUUUUUACAAAUUUACCCUUAAAUUUUUACAUUUGUUCAAUUUAGUCCCUGAAACAUAUAAAUUGAUCAUUUCUAAUAAAAACUCAUGCUAGUUGAAUAAUCAUAUAUUUUCCUCCUCCUCCUCUCCAUUCCACAUCCUUAAUGUAUGUAACAUGCAUAUAGGUAACAUUAUCUAUAAUUUCACCAUUUACUUAUAUAUUCAUUUAAAGCUGUCCACUUGAGUCAUAGUCACUAAAUUAUUUAUAUCUUGAGCUACAGAACUCAAAAUUAAGAUCUGUUAAUUUUCUAUAAAACUAGACUCACAUAUCUUCUUAUCUCAAAAUUUUCAGAAUUUUUGGUUUAGCCAAUAAGUACAGUUUGUUCUUUAAAGUCAUCCCUGUUCUGCUGUCUGACAGUUCCGACCCUUCUUCACUAAAAAUUAACUAUCUUCUCGUACAGAAUUUUGAAUGAUGUUACCAUUUAUUUCUAUUAAAAAUAGACUCAGUAAGCAUUUAAACAUAUAAAUUUAAGCCUCUAAUUAUUUUUCCCCAAUUUUUUAUGAUUUUCCAAAGUCAGUACAGGGGAACCCGAAAUCAUUCUGACCUUAUCUCACAAAACAUAUUAUAUCUCAUAAUUUACAAUUCCAUUGCUUACAUCGUUUCUUCUAUGAGAAACUAGACUCAGUAAGCUUUAAUUUCAUAUUUUUUUCAUCCUCUAAUUCAAUUUAUACGAUUUUUGGUAGAUUUUCAAAGUCAAACUACUGCUGCUGUUUCAAAACUAUUUUAGUGUAAAAUGUUGAUUACUAAGUCUAUAACACUCUUAUUUUACUUCUCUACACUAUUUCUCAACACUUUCUCUUAUUUUCUCUUCACUAACAUAUCAAGAACAUAUAACCUUAUAUAUUAACAUCAAUCUCAUAUUUUUUUUAAUAAUAUAAAACUCAAAAAUAUAUUGAAAUCAUGAUGUUCUUACCUUACUCAAUUGACUUCAAUCUUUAACUUGAUUUUCUCUCUCCUCCAGCCUCUAUUUCUUGAAUCUACCUUAAUAUUCUAGCUCCCCAUAGUCUCCUUGUCAAUUUUCUCUCUUGGUGGCUAUGGAAAUUUCUUUGAUUUCUAAGUGAAAAUGGUGGAUUUUUGGUGAAAGGACCAAAUUGUAAAGAAAACAAAGCUUUCUUUCUUCUCCUCUUCUGCUCACGUUAAUGCAUGCAAAAAUGGUGGGGGAUGGAUGCUUUUCAUCCUUCCUUCCACAUAUAUAUAUACUAAAUAAAUUAAUAAUAAUAAAAUAAUAUCAUUUAAAAAAAUCAAAUUAAAAUAUUAAUAAAUUAAUAUUUAUUUAUUUAUUAAUCUAAAAUAUCUCCAACAUCAUCAUUAUCUUCUAGAUUUCUCUCUCUUCUAAUUGACCAUUUUGCCCUUUAUGAUCUUUUAAAAUUCCAUCCUUGAGUCAUCAUUUAAUUUUGUAAAAUUGUGAUUUAGUCCCUCAAACUUCUUCACCUUUUUCAAUUUGGUCCCAAUCCAUCCAUUUUUCUUAGUUUCUAGAUUAUUCCACCCUUAAAAUCUUUAAACCAUUGGUCCUUCAACUUUUUCAUAUUUACACUUUAACCCUUCAACUUUUGAGUAUUUACUCUUGGGUAACAAAACUUUUCUCACUUUUGCGAUUUAAUCGUUUCUUGAAUUAAUAUGUUAUAAUAUACUUCCCAAUAUUGCCAUAACUCAAAAUUACCCCUUUUUAGAACUUUAUUUCCUUAUUUUACUAUAUUAGAGAUAUUAUCUUACUUUCCUUACUGUAGAAAUUUUCGGGGUAUUACAUUUCUCUCCCCCUUAAAAUAAAUUUCGUCCUCGAAAUUUCCUUGUGUUAUUUUGAUCAUGAAAUUCAUCAUUUCUAUAUUCUGUCAAUUAUUCUUUUUUAUUCAUUCCUAUCAUUAACAUUUCAACUCUGGAAUUUCAUCGUAGCAAAACAGUACACUUUUUAAAUAUGCAUGCAAAACAGAACAAUAACUGUUCACAAACCGGCCAAUCCAAUAGGGCUUUUGUCUGACAUCAUAAUUAGCUAAAAUUCUCAUAACAUAAGAACUCCAUUAGAAACUGAACAGUUAUACACAUAUCUCUGAGGAUAAAAGAAUAUAUAUAAUAUCCAGAAAAGAUCAUCGUGUUCAUUUCGAUUGUAAUCGUCUCACAUAGGCAUCUUUACCACUUAAUUAUCAUUUCUCUGACUAAUUCUGUUAUCACGGAACUCACAUUAUUCUAUUCACUAAUAAUCUGAUAUUUCUUUAAAAAUUGAGUUUAUUUAUUAUACUAUACUCAACUCUGUUUGCAUUACUAAUUAUUUGACCACUGAACUCUUUAGUUCACAUUUAUAAGCUUAUUCAACAUAAUUCUCGUAAAAAUUUUCUUCAUAAAGCAAUACUAAUAAAGGGGUGAUGGUGAGGUCAUAAAGCCUUUAACUUAUUCUCAUAUAUAUAUAUAUAUAUAUAUAUAAGACUUAACAUUCAUCUUCAAUGUAAUACCACCAUAACCACCUAGUUCAUUCAUAUAUUUUCUCACAUAUAGGGGUCACACGCCCAUGUGUCUACCUGUAUGGACAAAAUCAGGCUAUUUUUCAAGCCUUAUUUCUCACCCAUUUGACCUUUUAACUUCACCAUUUGUUCACUUUAUAGCCACAUCAAUAAUCACCAUUUUCUUGUAUUUCAGAUAAAUACAUAUAACCAUACAUAAGCAUGCACAUCACUAUUUCUUCUUGUCAAUCACAAUUUCAACUGACAGAUUCAUGUAAAUGAGCUCAAUAUCAUUAUCUGUUUAAUUUCUAUCACUUAAAUUCACAUACACAUAAUUUAUUAACAUAAUCUGACAAACAUAAUCUCUAAAUGGUGAGAUCACAUAAUUGAGCUAAAUUUUAUUGUUCAAUAUGUUUUAUCACAUAAAAUUUGCUUAACACUUACCAAAAUUUAUCAAAUUAGAGAACGUCUUACGGAAUUGAGUACCUCGUUUUCUCGAUACCAUAGUCCAACUAUGGUCUUACAUGUAAUCACUUAUCACAUACCGAUGCCAUAGCCCAGCUAUGGUCUUAUACGGAAUCACAUAUCACUUAUCGAAAGUACUCAUUCCUGCGUUCUACUCAAAUUAAUCUUCCAAUUCAAUUUCCAGCAAGCUGAUUUUCUGUGUCACAGUCACUAAUUUAUUUUUAUCUGGAGUUAUAGGGCUCCAAAUUGAAUUAUGUAAAUUUUCCCCAAAACUAUACUCAUAUCCCUUUCCACCAUAAAAUUUUCAGAAUUUUUUUAUUUAGUCCAUUAGUACAAUUUAUUCAUUAAACCUUCCCCUGUUUCACUGCCCGACAGUCCUGACCUCUCCUUACUAAAAUUUACUUAUCUCCCUGUAAAAAAAUUCAAAAAAUGUUCUAGUUUCUUUCUCUUAAAAAUAGACUUACUAAGGAUUUCAAGCAUGUAAAUUUCAAGCCAUAAUUAUUUUUGUACAAUUUUUAGUGAUUUUCCAAAGUUAGAACAGGGGAUUUCGAAAUCAAUCCAACCAUGUCUCAAAUAAAUUCAAAUAUACCCAAAUAUACAACUCUUUGCUUUCUCUGUUUUUUUCAUAUAAAAAUAGACUCAUUCAGCUUCAAUUUCAUAUAUUAGUCAACCUCUAAUUCAUUUUCCACCAUUUAUGGUGAUUUUUCAAAGUUGCCCAACUGCUGUUGUUCAAAACAGUUUUGUAUUUAAAUUGUUUCUUUUGUAUUUUUGAUAUUUCCUUCCAUCUUAUACAUGGGUCGAUUAAGUAUCAAACCCAAUAUUCCUCCCAUAAACUUUUCCACCACAUAUAAAUAUUCACCUUCCCAAUUUACUCGUUGAACACUCGGAAUAUUAACCGUUAUCGGUGGAUUCAGCACUUAGCAACCACCAGUGAUUAGGGGAAUCAGCACUUAGCAACCCCUUUCACAUUCAAAGAUAUGGUGGAAUCAGCAGUUAGCAACCACCACUGAAUCGGGGAAUCAGCACUUAGCAACCCCUUGGGGGAAUCAGCACUUAGCACCCCCCUUCACAUUUAAAAUACGGUGGGAUUAGCACUUAGCAACCACCAAUGAAUCGGGGAAUCAGCACUUAGCAACCCCUUGGGGGAAUCAGCACUUAGCAACCCCCUUUAUAUUCAAGAUAUGGUGGAAUCAGCACUUAGCAACCACCAAUGAGUCGGGGAAUCAGCACUUAGCAACCCCUUGGGGGAAUCAGCACUUAGCAACCCCCUAAUAGUUAAUGGUACCCGGUUCACAUAGUAGCCUGCACAUAGUACUACACAUGUGACCAUUUACAUCUGAUACACGUAGUAGCCUACACAUAGUACUACACACGUGAUCGAAGCUAUCCGGUUUUCAUAGUAGCCCGCACAUAGUACUACACAUGUGACCCAUCAUUCCGGUACACGUAGUAGCUUGCACAUAGUACUACACACGUGACCAUCACUUUCACUUUUACAUAGUGGCCUACACACAGUCCGUGCCACACAUGUGAUCAUUUCUAUCACUUCAUUCGUAUCCCCUUUUUAUUCUGAAGGUUCAUUCGAGAAUUUUUCUCUUUUUCUCACUUCUCUUUUUAUCGAUCAAUUUCAAUUUCUUAUCUUUCUUGAUUUAUAACAAUACAUUUAACUUAUAUAACAUUCACACUAUUCAUUCCAGUCCAAAAAUCAUACUUUGGAAAAAUUAUGUUUUUGCCCCUAAAGUUUCACAAAAUUAUGAUUUUGCCCCUAGGCUUGUAAAAUAAUUUUUAUUCAAUUUCCUUGCAUUUUAGGACAAUUUCAAUCCACAAUUUUCACUUAUUCACACACUUAUGAAUAAAAUAAAUCUCAUCAAGGUCGGGAGAUAUCACACUAUCACAGGUUAUAUAAUGACAUGUAUAUUCCAAACAUCACAUACGCUACGUUCGGCCCGAGAAUCGACUAAACCGUAGCUCUGAUACCACUAAAUGUAACACCCCUUACCCAUAUUCGACACCAGAAUAGAGUACGAGGCAUUACCAGAAUACAUGCACUUGUAAACGUAUUGAACCGAGUUAUAAAAUUCCAUUAAUUAUUAAAACUUAUAAAUUAAUAACAUGCUUUUAUAAUUCUUCAUAAUAUAAAUAAUACAACCUUUCCUACCAACCACAAUCGAGCUUCCGAUAACCAUCUCACUACAUCUAAUAAUUGUACAUAUUACUAAUAAUAAUUCAAUUUCAAUAAUAGAACACAUAUCUAUAUAAUAUUCAUCAUCAAAUAACAUUCACUUUAAUUAAAAUUAUACAGAAUAUAGUUCAUACGAACUUACGAGGCUAAAUUGCAGAAAUACAAAAAUCUAGGGACAUUUUAGAAAUUUUCUAUUUUUCUCGAAUUUCCAUCCAAUCUUGAUCUAAAUUAAUAUUUCCUUCAAUUUACUAAUUUAAAUAAUAAAACAAAUCAUUUCAUGCAAUUUGAUCUUUUUUUGACAUUUUUACAAAUUUACCCUUAAAUUUUUACAUUUGUUCAAUUUAGUCCCUGAAACAUAUAAAUUUGUCAUUUUUAAUAAAAACUCAUGCUAGUUGAAUAAUCAUAUUUUUUCCUCCUCCUCCUCUCCAUUCCACAUAAAAUUAAGAUCCACUUGAGUCAUAGUCACUAAAUUAUUUAUAUCUUGAGCUACAGAACUAAAAAUUAAGAUCCGUUAAUUUUCUCUAAAACUAGACUCACAUAUAUUCGUAUCAUAAAAUUUUCAGAAUUUUUGGUUUAGCCAAUAAGUACAGUUUAUUCUUUAAAGUCAUCCCUGUUCUGCUGUCUGACAAUUCCGACCCUUCUUCACUAAAAAUUAACUAUCUUCUCGUACAGAAUUUUGAAUGAUGUUACCAUUUAUUUCUAUUGAAUAUAGACUCAGUAAGGAUUUAAACAUAUAAAUUUAAACCUCUAAUUAUUUUUCCCCAAUUUUUUAUGAUUUUCCAAAGUCAGUACAGGGGAACCCGAAAUCAUUCUGACCUUAUCUCACAAAACCUAUUAUAUCUCAUAAUUUACAAUUCCAUUGCUUACACCGUUUCUUCUAUGAGAAACUACACUCAAUAAGAUUUAAUUUCAUAUUUUUUUCAUCAUCUAAUUCAAUUUAUACGAUUUUUGGUAGAUUUUCAAAGUCAAACUACUGCUGCUGUUUCAAAACUAUUUUAGUGUAAAAUGUUGAUUACUAAGUCUAUAACACUCUUAUUUUCCUUCUCUACACUAUUUCUCAACACUUUCUCUUAUUUUCUCUUCACUAACAUAUCAAGAACAUAUAACCUUAUAUAUUAACAUCAAUCUCAUACUUUUUUUUAAUAAUAUCAAACUAAAAAAUAUAUUGAAAUCAUGAUGUUCUUACCUUGCUCAAUUGACUUCAAUCUUUAACUUGAUUUUCUCUCUCCUCCAGCCUCUAUUUCUUAAAUCUAACUUGAUAUUCUAGCUCCCCAUAGUCUCCUUGUCAAUUUUCUCUCUUGGUGGCUAUGAAAAUUUCUUUGAUUUCUAAGUGAAAAUGGUGGAUUUUUGGUGAAAGGACCAAAUUGUAAAGAAAACAAAGCUUUCUUUCUUCUCAUCUUCUUCUCACGUUAAUGCAUGCAAAAAUGGUGGGGGAUGGAUGCUUUUCAUCCUUCCUUCCACAUAUAUAUACACUAAAUAAAUUAAUAAUAAUAAAAUAAUAUCAUUUAAAAAAAUCAAGUUAAAGAUUGAAGUCAAUUGAGCAAGGUAAGAACAUCAUGAUUUCAAUAUAUUUUUGAGUUUGAUAUUAUUAAAAAAAAAGUAUGAGAUUGAUGUUAAUAUAUAAGGUUAUAUGUUCUUGAUAUGUUAGUCAAGAGAAAAUAAGAGAAAGUGUUGAGAAAUAGUGUAGAGAAGGAAAAUAAGAGUGUUAUAGACUUAGUAAUCAACUUUUUACACUAAAAUAGUUUUGAAACAGCAGCAGUAGUCUGAAUUUGAAAAUCUACCAAAAAUCGUAUAAAUUGAAUUAGAGGAUGAAAAAAAUAUGAAAUUAAAUAUUAUUGAGUCUAGUUUCUCAUAAAAGAAACAGUGUAAGCAAUGAAAUUGUAAAUUAUGAGAUAUAAUAGGUUUUGUGAGAUAAGGUCAGAAUGAUUUCAGGUUCCCCUGUACUGACUUUGGAAAAUCAUAAAAAAUUGGGGAAAAAUAAUUAGAGGCUUAAAUUUAUAUGUUUAAAUCCUUACUGAGUCUAUUUUUAAUAUAAAUAAACGGUAACAUCAUUAAAAAUUAUGUACGAGAAGAUAGUUAAUUUUUAGUGAAGAAGGGUCGGAACUGUUAGACAGCAGAAUAGAGAUGACUUUAAAGAAUAAACUGUACUUAUUGGCUAAACCAAAAAUUCUAAAAAUUUUAUGAUAACAAGAUAUGUGAGUCUAGUUUCAGAUAAAAUUAACGUAUCUUAAUUUUGAGUUCUGUAACUUAAUAUAUAAAUAAUUUAGUGACUACAACUCAAGUGGACAGCUUUAAAUGAAUAUAUAAGUAAAUGGUGACAUUAUAGAUAAUGUUACCUAUAUGCAUGUUACAUACAUUAAGGAUGUGGAAUGGAGAGUAGGAGGAGGAAAAUAUAUGAUUAAUCAACUAGCAUGAGUUUUUAUUAAAAAUGACCAAUUUAUAUGUUUCAGGGACUAAAUUGAACAAAUGUAAAAAUUUAAGGGUAAAUUUGUAAAAAUAUCAAAAAACGAUCAAAUUGCAUGAAAUGAGUUGUUUUAUUAUUUAAAUUAGUAAAUUGAAGGAAAUAUUAAUUUAGAUCAAGAUUGGAUGGAAAUUCGAGAAAAAUAGAAAAUUUCCAAAAUGUCCCUAGAUUUUGGUAUUUCUGCAAUUUAGCCUGGUAAGUUCUUAUGAACUAUAUUCUGUAUAAUUUUAAUUAAAUUGAAUGUUAUUUGAUGAUGAAUAUUAUAUAGAUAUGUGUUCUAUUAUUGAAAUUGAAUUAUUAUUAGUAAUAUGUACAAUUAUUAGAUGUAGUGAGAUGGUUAUCGGAAGCUCGAUUGUGGUUGGUAGGAAAGGUUGUAUUAUUUAUAUUAUGAAGAAUUAUAAAAGCAUGUUAUUAAUUUGAAAUUUUUAAUAAUUAAUGGAAUUUUAUAACUCGGUUCAAUACGUUUACAAGUGCAUGUAUUAUGGUAAUGCCUUGUACUCUAUUCCGGUGUCGAAUAUGGGUAAGGGGUGUUACAAGCCAACGGGGUACUUACGGGUUUUGUCUGCUCGUUCAUGCCAAACUGCUGUAGGACUUUCUUCAAAUACUGCUUCUGAGACAAACUAAGUCUACCUUGAGCUCUAUCUCUACAUAUUUCCAUGCCAAGAAUCUUCUUAGCUUCACCCAGAUCUUUCAUCUCAAACUCAAGAUUGAAUUGAGUUUUUAAUUUCUCAAUCUCAACUUUGCUCUUAGAUGCUAUCAGCAUAUCAUCAACAUAUAAGAGCAAGUAUAUGAAAGUUCCUACUUGUAGCUUCUGUAAAUACACGCAAUGAUUAAAUUUACUUCUUGUGUACCUUUGCCCUUUCAUAAACUGCUCAAAUCGCUUGUACCACUGCCUCGGAGAUUGUUUCAAUCCAUAAAGUGACUUCGUCAGUUUGCAAACCCAAUUUUCUUUAUCAGCAACCUUGAAUCCAUCAGGCUGAGUCAUAUAGAUUUCCUCCUUUAAAUCACUGUGUAAAAAGGCCGUCUUCACAUCAAACUGAACUAGUUCAAUGUCAUACUGCGCAACCAAGGCUAGCAAAAUCCGAAUAGACGAAUGCUUCACAACUGGAGAAAACACUUCAUUAUAGUCUAUUCCUUCUUUUUGAGCGUAACCCUUUGCUACCAAUCUAGCCUUGUAUCGAAUUUUAUUUUUACCAGGAAAUCCUUCCUUCUUUGCAUAUACCCAUUUGCAUCCAAUUGCCUUCUUUCCCCUUGGACAGUGUCACCAACUCCCAAGUCCUAUUUUUAUGAAGAGACUGCAUUUCUUCAUUCAUAGCUUGCUUCUGUGUUACUUAUUACUUCUGUGUAAGUAGAAGGAACAUCAUCAUCUGCAAUUGGAAUCAUCAAAGCGAGCAGGCUUACAAAUCUCUCUUCUUAGCCUCCUAUAUGCAAUUGAAUCUUGUUGCUGUAAAAGUUCUUGGGUCGAAACUUUUUCAUCAUUUGUUCCUUCAAUAUUAGCUGGAUCAUCAUUAACCUUUUCAAGCUCCACCUGCUGCAAAGUGCCACUGGUUUGGUCAUCCUUUUGUGAAUCCUUGUUCUUCAUCAUGGUUGAUUUAUCAAAAGUCACAUCUCUACUAAAAACAAUCUUCCUUGUAUCAGGACACAAGAGACGGUAUCCUUUUACUCCUUCUACAAGGUUUGUUGCUAUGUGAACAACCUCUUACUGUUAAAACUUCUGCAGUUGUAUCUCUGUGAUCUCUUUUAUCUUUCUUUCGAGUCUCAGAUCUAUACAAUGCACUGCAGACUGCAUCAAAUGUGAUCAUAUCCUUCCCAUGAAGCAAUGUGGUGGUAAGAUGAUCAUAUUCAUCAGGAAGAGAAUUCAACAACAAUAAUGCCUUGUCUUCAUCUUCAAAUUUCUCAUCAAGUCUGCUAAAAUUUUAUUGAAUGAGUUCACAUGGUCAUUCAUCGACAUACCGGGUGCAUACGUGAACCGAAAAAGUUUCUUUUUCAUAUAAAGCCUAUUUUCAAGACUUUUCGUUAGAAACUUUUCUUCUAGUGUAUCCCGCAACUUCUUUGUUGAUGUCUCCCUCAUGACAGAGUACUUCUGCUCUUUGGCCAAACAUAGGCGGAUUGUACCACACGCCUGUCUAUUGAUCUUGGCCCACUCCUUGUCAUCCAUCUUGUCAGGUUUUUCUUCAAGGGCUAUAUCCAACUCUUGCUGACAUAAGACAUCCAGGAUCUCACAUUGCCACAUACCAAAAUUAUUGGUACCAUCAAAUUUCUCUACUUCAAAUUUUGCAUUGGUCACGGUAGUCUUUGUUGAUGACGAUGCCUCUGCCAUUUUUCUCCUCAAGCCCAACUACUGUAUAUGUGAACAGUACCGUCUAUGUGAAUAGUGCCAUGGAUGAACAAUACCGUAUACAUAAAUAGUAUCGUAAACGGUCGUAUUCCCCAAGUACGAAUCUAGCUCGGACACCAAUUGUUGUGCGGAAGCGUGUAAAAGAGUAAAAUUAUUGUACUAAAAAAUCACACUAAGUUCAAUUCCCAGGAAAGAGAGGUGGAUCACGAGGAUCACUUAAGUACCAGGUCUUUCCUAGCCAGAAUAUCCUUCUAUCGUAAUUUAAUAGAACAAUAAAUCACUACAAUCACACUCGCAAAAUAUGCAAAAUAAACAAUAAAGAACACUAGAAUUUUAACGAGGUUCAGCAAAUUUUGCCUACGUCCUCGGGCAGUACCAAAUAUAUUUCAGUCCAAAAUACAAGUGAAAAUUUACAAAUGUGGAGAGAGAACAAUGCCUUAAGUAGAGAAUGGCAUUUGUGGGAUGUAGAAAAUGAGAAAUAGCUAGGCCUAUUUAUAGUUGAAGCUCAAGGAUCAACUUGCAAAGUCCCUAUACAAUUAGGGACCAAAAUUACAAUUAUCCCAAGCCAAAUUUCAACCCAAAAAUCUAUGCUUUAAAUGCUUAGAUUUUCAGUGCCAAUUUUCUGACACCAAUAUCUUUGAAAAGUCAAAGAUUGUAGGUUGCCAAUACAUUUAGAGACACUAGUCCCGAAGUUGUCGGUAUCUCAGGAAACGAUUUAAGCAUCUUGCAAUAUGACAAUCCAAGACACCCAAGCUUGGAUAGUAGUCGAGUAAGAGAUGCAGGUAUGCUGAUGAAAUUGUUACCACCAAGAUCAAGAGACCACAAAGAGGAUAGACCAGAAAUAUCACGUGGAAUAUCUCCUUCACAAAGAUUGCAGUCCUUUAGACUUAGCCGUCUUAAUGAACUCAAACCUAACAACAAAGGCAACAUUGGAGCCAUGGGAGUUGUCCUUCUUCCUUGGAUUACCUUGAAAAGAGAAGACAAACUUGGUCGUAACUUUGCUUGCUGCAAAUUCUCCAAGAAAUUUUCAACUCUAUAACAACCAGAAAGCUCUAGAGUUUUUAUACGUUCCAUUUUCCCAUCAAUCUCCGGAAAUCUUACAAGACUUGAGCAACCCGAAAAAAUUAAUGUUUCAAGAGAUUCCAUUCUAAUUUUGGUUGGAAGCCUCCUAAGACUUUUACAAUCUCUUAAAUUCAAAAGUUUAAGGCUCUUAAGCACUCCUAUUGAUGGAUGAACAUCCACUAAUUUGGUACAGCCUUCCAAAAUUAAAACUUCAAGAUUUGAUGCUGUUGUGAAGUCUGGUGUCUUGAUCAGGUUUUGGGAACCUUUGAGGUUCAUUAUUUUCAACUUAUACAAGGGCUAUUGAAGACAAAAAUAAAUUAGAGAGAAAAGAAAAAACAUAAUAAUUCUCAUUUUUGUUUUUGUAUUUUUACCUUAAUCAAAGUUUAAUAAUUUAUUUGAAAAUAAGCUAAAACACAGGGAUAAUAUGAGUUAAUUCUUACUCUAUUUCCCUUCCAUAGUUGUUUAAUGUGACUAUAUGGUAAAAGAAGUGCGACAAGGUUGUCCGAUGGAAAGCUUGAAGGUAAGUAUCUUAAAGGGUAUCCUGUCCAAUCUGAAAGUCGUAGUUCAUUAGAAAGAUAUUUGAGAUCAUCACAAUUUGAAAGGCAAAGCACUUUGAGCAAUCUCAGUUUUUUCAUCUUGAAGAAAGUAUCCACACUCAAAUUGAACAUCUUGUUUGAUUCCCUAAUAUCCAUGAACAAAACAAAAAUGAGAUUCAAAAUAUACAAAGACAUUCAAUAUCUAAAAGUUAUGUUGCACAGAUAGAUGAUCAAUUUCCAUUGUAAUGGAAAAAAAAAUCAUUCCAAAUUGGAAUGAGAAGGAAGACAAUGAGAGAGAUAUUUUAUUUUUAAAUGUUUUAUUUUCUUUCUUUCUCACUUUUCGCUAUACCAAGCAAUAUUGAGGAGGAAAAUAUAUUUUCCAUUCAAUUUUCCAUCUUUCCAAUCAAGUUUUUCAUCCCCUCAGUUUUCCACCCUUUUGAUUUUCUUUCCACUCUGCCAAGCAAAGCCAAAAGGUUUUUUUUUUGUUGUUUUGUUUAUUGAAUUUUUUACAAAAAAAUAAUAACAAUAUUAAUAGUACAUAUUGAUAAAUUUAUAUGUAUGUUUUCUUACCUUUUAUUGUCAAUGAUCAUACAUUCAAUCACUUCGGUAGCCUAAAAGAAAUCAAGAAUAGACAAUAAGAAUACAAAAUAAAUUAUCUAAAUUGUACAAUAAAACUUUUGAAAUUUACAUAUAUGUUCAACAUUAUCACAAUCUUUUGGUUGAAAUAUAGGAAAUAAAAUAUUUUCGAAUGAGAGUAAUUCAAUAAAAUUAAACACUUAUAUUACAAAUCAUUAUUAAUAUUUAUAAUCAACAAAUGGAAAUUAUUUUAAAGCCAUUCAAUGUCAGUUAAGGAUCAAAAUGUAAACCAAUUAGACUAAGCUUUGGAUUUACAUCAUAUAUUGAUAAAAAUAAAAUUUUGUAUAUAAUUUUUGUUGAAUGAUUUACCGUGUUUUUUGUUAGGACAUGAGGGACAUCCCUUUCUUUCCACAAUCUACAACGUUUUCCAGGUUCAUCAACACAUUUUUCUUCAACAAUUUUUCUUCCCAUUUUUUACAGCAAGGCAUGCAUCUGCGAACGUUGGUUGUCAUCACUAACUUUUAUGAGAGAUUUCUUAAUGAGAAUAUCGAUUCUAAUAUCUGGAAAAAACUCACAACCAUCCAAUACUUUCAUUACCAAAUCUCUCUUCUCACCAUUGAAAAAGCAUGCUAUAAGUAGAAAUAUAUUCUUCUCUCUUUCUUCCAAUCCAUCAAAGCUAAUUCUUAGCGUGUUAAGAAUUUCUUUGUUAGAAUCUUCUUUAAGUCUUUCGAUUGCACUGCUCCAUUGAACUAUAUCUCUAUCGCACAAAAAUGAACCCAAAACUUCAAGAGCUAAGGGGAGACCACCAGCAUAACAUACAACAUGUUCAGAAAGCUCAAUGAAAUCAUCUUUUGGCACUGUAUCACUAUGAAAAGCUUUCAAAUUGAAAAGUCUAAGUGCAUCGUCUGGAUUCAAUGAUUUAGGCUUAUACACACCAUCGACUCCGCAAGAUCGGAGUAAAUACUCAUCUCUUGUUGUUACAAUGAUUUGACUCCCUAAAUUGUAAUUUUACCAAAUUAAAUGAUGACUCAAGGAUGGAAUUUUAAAAGAUUAUAAAGGGCAAAAUGGUCAAUUAGAAAUAGAGAAUUCUAGAAGGUAAUGAUGAUGUUGGUGAUAUUUUUAAUUAAUUAAUUAGAUAAAUAUUAUUUAAUUAAUAUUUUAUUAAGAUUUCUAGUAUUAUUUUAUUAUUAAAUGAUUAAUAUAAAAGGGAGGAAAGAUGAAGAGAAUUCAUCAUCUUUCCCAUGCACCAACGUGAGAAGAAGAAGAAAGAAAGAAAGUUUUCUUUUCUUUACAAUUUGGUCCUUUUUACCAAAAAUCCACCAUUUUCACCUAGAAUUCAAAGAAAUUUCCAUAACCACCAAGAGAGAAAAUUGAUAAGGAGACUAUGGGGAGCUAGAAUAUCAAGCUAGAUUCAAGAAAUAGAGGCUGGAUGAGAGAGAAAAUCAAGCUAAAGAUUGAAAUCAAUAGAGCAAGGUAAGAACAUCAAGAUUUCAAUAUAUUUUUGAGUUUGAUAUUAUUGAAAAAGUAUGAAAUUGAUGUUAAUGUAGGAUUUUAUUAUAUAAGGUUCUAUGUUCUUGAUAAGUUAGUGAAGAAAAAUAAGAGAAAGUGAUGGGAAACACUAUAGAGAAAGGGAAUAAGAGUGUUAUAAAUUUAGUAAUGAACAUUUUGCACUAAAACAGUUUUGGACAGCAGCAGUAGAUUAAAUUUGAAAAAUCACCAUAAAUCAUGGAAAUCGAAUUAGAGGAUGAGAAAAAUAUGAAAUUAAAGCUUAUUGAGUCUAGUUUCUCAUAGAAUAAACAGUGUAAGUAAUGGAAUUUUAAAUCAUGAGAUAUAAUGAAUUUUGUGUGAUAAGGUCAGAAUGAAUUCGGGUUCCCCUGUUCUUACUUUGGAAAAUCAUCAAAAAUUGCAUAAAAAUAAUUAGGUUUUAAAAUUUACAUCAUUAAAAUCCUUAAUGAGUAUAUUUUUAAUAGAAACAAAUGGGAACAUCAUUCAAAUCCCGUACAAUGAGAUAAUUAAUUUUUAGUAAAGAAGGGUCGAAACUGUCAGACAGCAGAACAAUGAUGACUUUAAAGAAUAAACUGUACUUAUUGACUAAACUAAAAAUUCUGAAAUUUUAUGGUAAGAAGAUAUGUGAGUCUAGUUUUUGGAAAAAUUAGCGGAUCUUAAUUUGGAAUUUUUUAUCUCAAGAUAUGAAUAAUUUAGUGAUUAUUACUCAAGUGGAUAGCUUUGAAUGAAAAUAUAAAUAAAUGGUGAAAUUAUAGGUAAUGUUACAUAUAAGCAUAUUAUAUACAUUAAGGAUGUGGAAUGGAGAGGAGGAGGAGGAAAAUAUAUGAUUAUUCAACUAGCAUGAGUUUUCGUUAAAAAUGGUCAAUUUACCUAUUUUAGGUUCAGGGACUAAAUUGAACAAAUGUGAAACUUUAAGGGUAAAUUUGUAAAAAUGUCAAAAAGUGACCAAAUUGCAUGAAAUGAAUUGUUUUAUUAUUUAAAUUAGUAAAUUGAAUGAAAUAUUAAUUUAGAUCAAGAUUGGGUGGAAAUUCGAGAAAAAUAGAAAUUUUCCAAAAUGUCCAUGAAUUUUGCUAUUUCUGCAAUUUAGCCUGGUAAGUUCGUAUGAACUAUAUUUUGUAUAAUUUUAAUAGAAGUGAAUGCUAUUUGGCAAUGAAUAUUAUAUAUAUGUGUGUUUUAUUAUUGGAAUUGAAUUAUUAUUGGUAAUAGGUAUAAUUAUUAUAUGUUUUGAAAUGAUUAUCGAAAGCUCGAUUGGGUUGGAAGCUUGUUGGAGAUAUAUCACAUUAUCCAUUGGUUCUAUUGGUAAUUUUGGAUGAUUUGAUUCUGGUUAUAAUGACUUGUAUAAGUUAAAUUGGUUAAUGAUAGCUCAUAAAUGUUUUGAUUUUGAUUGGUUAUAAAUAUGAAUGCUUGAUGAAAUGAAAGGUCUGAAAAUUAAUUUGUAAACUCCGGUAAUGCUCUAUAACCCUAUUCUAGAGAAGGAUACGGGUUAGGGGUGUUACAUUCAAGGUAUUAGUGGUAGUAGGUAACAAUUAGGUGACCUUAUGCUGAUUUUGACAAGCUAAUUGCUUGAUUUAUGUAUUGGCAUUAUGCCAUUGAAAUUUUUGAAUGAAUUCCAUCAGUUUUUGUUCCAAUACUCUUCACUUAUCUUUGCUUUCUUUUUUUCUCAAAUUCUAUUGUUUCUUUAGCAAGCAUCGAGCCUUGCUACUCAAGUCUCAGCAAACUUGUUUGUUUCUUUGUUCAUAGCACCAACAAUUGGUAUCUAGAGCUGCAAUCUUAAGGGACCUGUUAUUUAAAAUAAUGGCCUCAUCAAACUUCUCACCAGCUGCACCACCAGUCUUCAAUGGAGAAGGCUAUCACAUAUGGGUGGUCAAAAUGAAGACCCACCUGCAGGCUUUCAAUAUGUGGGAAGUGGUCAACUCUGAUGUUGAACCAAAGCCACUCAGAGCCAAUCCAACAGUGGCUCAGAUUAGGGAGCAUGCUGAUGAAAGGAUCAAAAGGCACAAGGCCAUGUCUUGUAUCCAAAACUAGUGCCAGAUGUGAUAUUUAAAAGGAUCAUGGCCUAUGAAACACCAUAGCAGGCCUGAGACAAAUUAAAAGAGGAGUUUCAAGGGACAGAGAGGACAAAGCAGCAACAGUUGUUGAACUUGAGAAGGGACUUUGAGAAUUUGAAAAUGAAGGAAGAAGAAACUGUCAAGCAGUACUCAGACAGGAUUAUGGCUGUAGUAAACAGCAUAAGGCUCCUUAGUGAGCAGUUCAGUGAAGCAAGGAUUAUGGAGAAGGUGAUUUCCACCUUACCUGAGAGGUAUGAGGCAAAUAUUUCAUCCCUCGAAGAUUCAAGGGACUUGACCAGCAUCACAUUAACAGAGUUGAUCAAUGCUCUUUAUACACAAGAGCAAAAAAAAGCAAGUAGACUAGAGAAGCACCAGGAAGGUGCCGUUCAAGCAAAAAUAAUAUCUGCCUCGAGCAACACUGCUUACAAAGGUAAGAAGACUUGGAGAGACAAGCCAAAGUUUGAUUCUACAAAGAGAAGGGACCAACACUGCAGACAUUACAAGAGACCUGGUCAUUUAGAAGCAGAUUGUUGGUUUAGACCAGAUUUGCAGUGUCAACACUGCAAAAAGAUGGGGCAUGUUGAAAGGGUUUGCAGAAAUAAGAGCAAACCGAGACAAAAUCAAUUCCAAUAGCCAAAUGCUGAGGCUCGAGUGGCCAAGGAAGACAGUGACCAUGAGGAGCAAGUUUUUGCUGUGUCAUGCUCAGCUGCUCAAGAGAAGAUUACAAGUGGCUGGCUCUUGAACAGUGGAUGCACCAACCAUAUGACACCAGAUGCAACCAUCUUCAAGUCCUUAGACAGAAGCUGCAAAACUAAGGUCAAGAUUGGUAAUGGCCAUUUUAUAAAAGCAAAAGGUAAGGGUGAUGUGCUGAUAUGUACUCCUCUAGGUAACAUGACUCAUCUCAAGUGUGUUACUAGUGCCUGAAAUUGAUAGAAACCUGCUCAGUAUAGCUCAAUUGCUAGAAAAAGGGUAUUCUGUGGUGUUCAAGGGCAAGGAGUGCCAAAUCAGUGAUCCAAGUGGAUCUAAGCUCAUGGCAGUCACUAUGGCUGAUAAGAGCUUUGUUGUAGACUGGAUAAAUGGCUCAGAUACUGUCUACACUGCCAUAACAAAUGAAUCUAAGCUUUGGCAUCAAAGGCUUGGUCAUACCAACUACAGAUCAAUGGAUCAGCCAUCCAGGGAAGAUUUGGCUAAAAACUUUAUUGGUUCUGUUGAAAAACAAGAAUUUUAUGAAGUAUGCCAGUAAGGAAAGCAGGCUAGACUCCCAUUUCCCUCAAAUCAGGCCUGAAGAGCCUCUGAAAGGCUACAGCUAUUGCACACUGAUGUGUGUGGUCCCAUGAAGACUAAGUCAUUGAAUGGAAGCAGGUAUUUCACCCUGUUUAUUGAUGAUUUCUCAAGAUUUUUUUGGAUUUAUUUUUUGAAACAGGAAUCAAAGGUAGGCUCAGUUUUUUCAUAGUUCAAGAUUACUACUAAAACUGAAACAGGGUGUAAGCUUAAGACCAUAAGGUCUGACAAUGGGACUGAGUACACUCAGCUCAGUUCCAGACCGAUGAGGCAAGCAUCAAACACCAUCUCACCAACACCUAUACUCCUCAACAAAAUGGUGUGAGUGAGAGAAAAAAUAGAAGCUUAAUGGAUUUGGCCAGGUGUCUACUGUUUGAGAAGAAUCUGCCUAAAACCAUGUAGACAGAGGCAGUCAACACUGUUGUGUACAUUCAGAAUAGGCUUCUAACCAUGGCCUUGGCUUACAAAACUCCAUUCAAAGCCUGGUUUGGCUUCAAACCUUCAUUGGCUCAUCUGCGAGUCGUUGGCAGCAUAUGCUAUGCUCAUGUCCCAGAGUUAAAAGAGACAAAUUAGGGAAGAAAGUUGAACCUGGUAUAAUGGUGGGGUACAACUCAGUCAAAAAGGGCUAUAGGAUCUUAGAUCUAUUAACGAACAAGGUGUUUGCAAGUAGAGAUAUGGUGUUCGAUGAGAAAGCAUGUUGGAACUGGGAGAAGAAUGAACCACAGGCAGUUUUUGAAGACCUUGUUACAGAUCAAACUGAGCCAGAUCAAAAUGGUCCUGAAAUAGACAUUGAUGAUGAACUAGUUAGGGGCACUAGACAUUGGCUGAGAUUUAUGAAAGAGCUCAUGUUGCUAUAGCAGAACCGAACUACUUUGAAGAGGCUAAAGCACACCAAGGCUGGAAACAAGCAAUGGCUAAAGAAAUCAGCAUGAUCUAGAAGAAUCAAACUUGGAAACUGGUUGAAAGACCAGCCAAAAGGAAGAUCAUUGGGGUGAAAUGAGUUUAUCGACCCAAGCACAAUGCUGAUGGGAGCUUGAAUAAGCUAAAGGCAAAGCUGGUUAUCAAAGGGUUUAGCCAGAAGUAUGGUCUGGAUUACUUGGGGACCUUUGCACCAGUGGCCAGGCUCGAUACCAUCAGGUUGCUGAUUGCCUUAGCAGCACAAAUGUAGUGGAAAAUCCACUACCUUGAUGUGAAGUCUACCUUUCUCAAUGGAAUUCUUGAAGAGGAGAUCUAUGUUGAAUAACCUCAAGGCUUUGGAAUAGCUGGUAAAGAACACUUGGUUUAUAAGCUAAAGAAAGCCUUGUAUGGCUUGAAAUAUGCUCCAAGGGCCUGGUAUAGCAGGAUCGAUAGCUACCUGGUUAGUUUGGGGUUUGAAAGAAGCAAGAGUGAGCCAACAUUGUAUGUCAAGAUGGAAGGAGUACAAAUACAACUCAUUGUGUCUCUGUAUGUUGAUGACUUGUUGGUGACAGGAGGAGACCGAACAAUACUGGUCGAUUUUAAGACCAAAAUGUAGCAAAUGUUUGAGAUGUCUGAUCUAGGAAGGAUGACUUACUUUCUUGGCAUGGAGGUGACUCAAACACAGAAUGGGAUAUUCCUAAGUCAAAAGGCCUUUACCUCUAAGGUUUUGGCCAAGUUCUCCAUGCAAAACAACAAAGCAACUAAGACUCCUAUUGCUAUUGGAGAGAAGCUAUCGAACCAUGGUGAUUUUGAAAGGGUUUGUGAAACUACCUACAGAAGUUUAGUUAGUUGUUUGCUGUAUUUAACAGCCACUAGACCUAACAUUGUGUUCGAUGUAAGUUUUCUCUCAAGGUUUUUUCAUUGCAGUAAUGAGAAGCACCUUCAAGCUAGAAAAAGAGUGCUCAGGUAUGUCAAGGGUACAUUGAGCCAUGGAUUAAUGUACAGCAAACCUAAAAGCCUGAAGCUAGUUGGCUACACUGACAGUGACUGGGCUGGUUCAAUUGAUGACAUGAAAAGCACCUCAUGGUAUGAUUCUAAUCUUGGUUCAGCCAUGUUUAGCUGGAGUUCGAAGAAGCAAACAUUGGUGGCUCAAUCUACUGCUGAAGUUGAAUAUGUUGCAGCAGCAAGUGCUGUCAACCAAACCAUUUGGCUAAGAAAAAUUAUGGCUGACUUGAAUAUGCAUCAAAGGGAAGCAACAUAGAUCUUUUGUGACAAUCAAUCUGCUAUUGCAAUUGCAAAAAAUACGGUGUUCCAUGGAAGAACAAAACAUUUCAGCAUUAAACUCCAUGUUAUUAGAUAAAUGAAGCAAGCUCAAGAAGUGAAACUGGUUCAUUGCAAUUCACAUGAUCAACUUGCUGACAUUCUGACCAAGGCCCUUAGUGCAACAAGGUUUGAGCACUUAAGGAAGAAAUUAGGAGUUUGCAACAUGCCAACCAAGGAGGAGUGUUGAAGGAUGGUCAGCAUGUAGCAAAGAAGCAGGCAACAAGUAGGCCAUGAAGAUCGAGCCAUGCAGAAGCUGCUACAGCAAGCACAAUUGUUCUUUUUUUGUUUAUUUUGUAAUCUUUAGUUGAUGUAAUGUAUUUUAGUUCAUUUUGAACUAUGUCAGGUUGAUGAUUGAUGUAAUUUGUUGAUGAUAGAGUUGUUAACUCAGCCUUUGUUUAAGUGUGCAAGCUUGUUUUUACAAGUUUCAAGGUAUUAGUGGUAGUAGGUAACAAUUAGGUGACCUUAUGCUGAUUUUGACAAGCUAAUUGCUUGAUUUAUGUAUUGGCAUUAUGCCAUUGAAAUUUUUGAAUGAAUUCCAUCAGUUUUUGUUCCAAUACUCUUCACUUAUCUUUGCUUUCUUUUUUUCUCGAAUUCUAUUGUUUCUUCAGCAAGCAUCAAGACUUGCUACUCAAGUCUCAGCAAACUUGUUUGUUUCUUUGUUCAUAGCACCAACAUAAUUUCAUUUUUCAAAACUCUACAAUAUGUCAUUUUGUUCACCAAAAACUCAACUAACCCAACUAAAGUAUCUUAAAACUUGUAAACAUUGCUUGCAUACAAGUUGAUUUGUGUCAAUUAGCACCUAAAUGUGUCAUUACAAUAUUAGCUCAGUUCAUUUUCAAUAAAGUAACUGUACAAAAAACUAAACCAAAACAAUAUGACAUUUGAAUUGAUGUAGCAAGCAGUUUUUAGUUCACAGCUCACAUGCAUUGUUGCUUGCAUGCAGCUCACAGUUCCCAAUUCGCCAUAUGUAGAGAUAGCUCGUACUUUGGUGAGCUCGCAUCUUUUGCUGAGCUCGCACUUUUUUAGCUUGCCCUUUUUGCAUCUUGGACUUUGGAGAGCUCGCACUUUUGAACAGUUCGCAAGCUCACAUUCUUUGGAUAGGUUGCACUUCUUCAGACUGCUAGCUGUUGCAUGGUUGGCCAACUUGCAACAUAGGCUUUGAGACAGAGAAGAAUAACAGUGUGAGAAGAAUAAAACUCCCUUAGCUUCAAUGCAAAAAGAAUAAUAUAGGGAGAAUCCUACUAAGAACAACAGGGGUCAAUAUCCAUAUGGCUAUUCUAAGGACAUGAUUUUUUUUGCAUCUGAAUCAAAGGUUUGAAAAGUUGAAUUCUUUGAAGUGCCCAUUCAAUAAACUAAGAAAUCUGAAAAGUUGAAAUUAUAUUUAUCAUAACAUAUCAUUUUUUAUUUAUAUCAAGGAUUUUAUCAUGUUAGUAUUAUGAACACGAAUAUAAUGAAUACUAAAUUAUGGUAAAUAAGAAUCUAUUUGUACGAUCAAACAAAAAAAAGGGGAAAAAAAUCAGCAAAGAGAAACUUAUAAAAUAACUAAAUAGGGGAAAAAUCUUGAAAAGGGUAGUGAAGUAGUUUACCACAUUUAAUGCUUCUUCCCUGAUUUGGCCAUUACAAAAUUGAAAGUUUUUUGCAUCCGUUUUAGUUGCAGCCAUUCUUCCUUCGCUUCAUCAUAGAUAUUAGGUUUCUGUUUUAUGUGAGAAGUGCUAUCUACUGAUCCAUCGUUGUGAGCAGAGUGUUGGUGGAUGUGAGAAGAUUGAGUGGUAUGUCACUGCAACUCUUUUAUUUCUUCCAAAUCUUUCUCAUACACUAUUCUAGCACCACACUUCUUCACCUUAGCACUGUCUUCAUUAUUUGGGUUUGAGAAAGACACCUCAAACUCAUCACAUUUUUCAUCUAAGCAAUCUGUUGCCCAUAAAUUAUUUGUUUCACAAUGACCAUAUUUAUUUUCCAAGAAAAAUGGAUAUAAUUUAUCACGUGACCAAUAACGAAGAAAAAUGUGAUCUUUCACUAUGGGCUGGUUAAAUCGUUUACCCACCAACCAGCCGGUCCCAUCAAUCAGUCGAGGAUUUCUCCCACGAAAAAUAAAUCCAUUACAACUGGCAUCUUCAGAAUUUCUACAAUAUAUAAAUGCUCCACCACCGAUAGACACGUCAUCCCUUGAAGCAUCAUUAUUGACAAAAAUGCAGCAACAAGCAACUCCAAUCCAUUGACUAUCUUUCGAGACGGGUAUCUUAAUUGAAGAGUCACUUCUUUGUUGGCUAAACCAUUCUGGGAUUUCACUUCCGGGCAUUAGAAUUUCAAACUUUUUUCUUGAAUUUGCGAAUGCCUGCAAAAUAAAACACAAGUCGUUUGGUAACUGAAACCAUAAAUUCUCAAGUAUGAGAUUUUGUAAGGGAUAAAAUAGAGAUUAAUCGACCUUAAGAUGUUUUUUUAGCAGUGUUAAUGCAUCGAUAUUUUCAGCCAAUUUGAAGCAGUUAAUGGCUUUAAUGAAACCAAAAUCCACUAAAUUGCAUACUUUUGAUGGACUUGCAAAUACUUCAAGUGAAGAGCAAUCAUCUAUACGCACAUCUGCUAUACUUGUUAGAAGCUCUGGCAACGAUUUAAGCAUCUUGCAAUUUGAUAAUCCCAGUAAAUUAAGCCUGCUAAGUUGAGUAAGAGCCAAAGGAAUGGUGAUGAAAUUGUUACCGCUAAGAUAAAGAUAACUCAAAGAGGAUAGACCAUGAAUAUCUGCUUCACCAAGAGUGCACAUGUUACAAUUUGACAAAUCAAGAAACCAAAGCUUCGAGAGCCGAGUAAGAGGUGCAGGUAUGCUGAUGAAAUUAUUACCACUAAGAUCAAGAUCUGUCAAGGAGGAUAGACUAGAAAUAUCACGUGGAAUAUCUCCUUCACAAAGAUUGCAGUCCCUUAGUUUUAGCUUUCUUAAUGAACUCAAACCUAAUAGCGAAGGCAACAUCCGAGGCAUGGGAUUCUUCCUUCUUCCUACGAUUACCUUGAAAAGAGAAGACAAAUUUGGUCGUAACUUUGCUUGCUGCAAAUUUUCCGAUAAAUUUUCAACUCUAUAACAACCAGAAAGAUCUAGAGUUUUUAGACGUUCCAUUUUUCUAUCAAUCUCCGGAAACCUUACAAGACUUGAGCAACCUGAAAGAAUUAAUGUUUCAAGAGAUUCCAAUCCAAAUUUGGUCGGAAGAUUCCUAAGACUUUUGCAAUCUCUUAAAUUCAAAAGUUUAAGGCUCUUAAGCACUCCUAUUGAUGGAUGAACAUCCACUAAUUUGGUACAACCUUCCAAAAUCAAAACUUCAAGAUUUGAUGCUGUUGUGAAGUCUGGUAUCUUGAUCAGGUUUUGAGACCCUUUGAGGUUGAUUAUUUUCAACUUAUACAAGGGCUGUUGAAGACAAUAAAUAAUUAGACAGAAAACAUAAUAAUGCUGAUUUUUGUGUUCAUUACCUUAACCAAAGCUUAAUCAUUAAUAUUAAAAUAAGCUAAAAUGAUGAGUUAAUUCUUACUUUGUUUCCCUUCCAUAGUUGUUCAAUGUGACUAUAUGGUAAAAGAAGUGCGACAAGGUUGUCCGGUUGAAAGCUUGAAGGCAAGUAUCUUAAAGGAUAUCCUUUCCAGUCUAAAAGUCUUAGCUCAUUAGAAAGAUAUUUGAUAUCAUCACAAUUUGAGACACAAAGCACUUUGAGCAAUCUCAAUUUUUUCAUCUUCGAGAAGGUAUCGGUACUCAAAUUGAGGAUCUUGCUUGAUUCCCUAAUAACCAUGAGCAAAAUAAAAAUAAACUUAAGAAUAUACAAAAACAUUCAAUAUCUAAAAGCCAUGCUGGAUCAAUAUUACUUUUUUAAGUAUCCAUAUCUAGCACUUAUAUCUAUUGCAUAUCUGAAUAUGGUAUUGAGAUAUGAUUAAUAACAUAUUAGAAAAUACUUUAUCUAACACUUAUAUUCGACUUUUAAUUACCUAAGCCUAAAAAAAUGGAACUAUUAUUUUGAUUUAUGUUCGGUGCACUGAUGUAUAGUUCUAUACAUUACCAGUGAACCAAAUGGUGGCAUGACCUGAAUUUAUUUUUAAAAACUUUUAAUGACAUGUUAUAACCUAGUUCAUUGAUAUAGAUUUUCAUUACAUCAAAUAUAAACCAUUAACAUUAGCAAAGACAAUGACACACAUCUCUUUAUAAUUUCUUUUGAAAGAGUAAUGUGUUCCUAUAUAAAUUUUAUAAAUAGAACAUAAAAAAAAAUUACGCUUUAAGGGUGUACUUGGUUGAGUGGAAAUGUCAAGGGAUAUGAGGAUGAAUUGUGCUUGGUAAAGAAGAAAAGUGAGAAGAAAAAAAAAGGGGAGAAAUGAUCAUUUUAUAUUAGUGAGAAGGGAAAUGUAGUAUCUACAAUACUAGGAGUACAUAUUGAUAAAUUUAUAUGUUUCUUUUCCUACCUUUUAUUGUCUAUGAUCAUGCCUUCUAUCACUUCGGUAGCCUGAAAGUAAUCAAGAAUCGAUAAUAAGAAGAUAAAAUUAAUGCUCUAAAUUGUAUGAUAAAACUUUUAAAAAUUUACCUACAUGUUCAACAUUAUAGCAAUCUUUUGGUCGAAAUACAGUAAAUAAAAUAUAUUCUAAGAGAGUAAUUCAAUAAAAUUAAACAUUUAAUUUACAAAUCAUUAUUAAUAUUUAUAAUCAACAAAUGAAAAUUAUCUUAAAGCUACUCAAUGUCACUUAAGGAUUGAUAUAUAAACAAAUUAGACUAAACUUUAGAUUUACACCAUAUAUUGAUAAAAAGAAAAUUUUGUAUGUAAAUUUUGUUUAAUGGUUUACCGUUUUUUUUGUUAGAACAUGAUGAACAUCCUUUUCCUUCCACAAUCUGCAACGUUUUCCAGGUUCAUUAAUACAUUUUUCUUCAACAAUUUUUCUUCCCAUUUCUUGCAACAAGGCAUGCAUCCACAAAUAUUGGUUGUCGUCAUCAACUUUUAUGAGAGAUUUCUUAAAGAGAACAUCAAUUCCAAUAUCUGGGAAAAACUCACAACCAUCCAAUACUUUCAUUACCAAAUCUUUCUUCUCCCCAUUAAAAAAACAUGCUAUAUCUAGAAAUAUAUUCUUCUCCCUUUCUUCUAAUCCAUCAAAGCUGAUUCUUAGUGUGUUAAGAAUUUCUCUGUUACAAUCUUGUUCAAGUCUUUCAAUUGCACUUCUCCAUUGAACUAUAUCUCUACCGCACAAAAAUGAACCCAAAACUUCAAGAGCUAAGGGAAGACCAUCAACAUAAUGUACAACAUGUUCAGAAAGUUGAUUGAAAUCAUCUUUUGUAGUUGUAUCACCACCAAAAGCUUUCAAAUUGAAAAGCCUUAGUGCAUCGUUGGUGUUCAAUGUUGUAGGCUUAUACACAUCAUCGAUUCGAUAAGAUCGGAGCAAAUGUUCAUCUCUUGUUGUUACAAUGAUCCUACUACCUAAACUGAACCAAUCACGCCUUCCAACCAAGCAUUUCAAGUGUUGUACAUUAUCAACAUCAUCAAGAACAACAAGAACUUUUUUGCUAGACAACCUGCGGCUAAUUAUGGCAUUCCCUUCAUGAACAUUGAAAAAAUUGAAGCAUUCAUUUGGCAAUAUUUGAUAAAGAAGUUGUUUCUGUAAAGAAACAAGUCCAUACUUGUUUGAAACUUCUCGAAUAUCAGCAAGAAAGGUUUUACCUUCAAAAUGAGGUGACAUUUGAGUGUAAACAACCCUUGCAAGAGUUGUUUUACCGAUGCCACCCAUUCCACAAAUUCCUAUAAUGCGGACAUCGUCUUCCCCAAUAUUUAUUUUCGAAUACAACUGCUCCAAACGUGAACUAAUUCCAACCAACUCAUCAUGAAGAACUGGAUAUGUCUGACAUAAUUUUGCUGAUAUCUUCUUAACGAUGUCUCCAAUAAACUCUGAUUCAUGCCUACAAUGAAAUUAAAUUUAGAUGCUAUAUUUCAAAUGCACUUCUUCAUUUUUAGUUCAGUGAAUAAUGAAAUAUAAUAUAGUUGGAAGCAAACAAAAAGCAAAAAUAAGACAGCAAGAUCUGUUAUAGCAUCAAAUGACACAACUUGCUCCUUAGUUGAAAUAUGGGAAUUCUCAAUUACACACAAAAUUAUAUUAAAAAAAAUGCAAUCCAAGAAAAAAAUAGUCAUUAAAAUUAGAAAAUAUAGAAGAAAAGAAAGAAAUACCUAUUAUGUAAAUGCCAUCCUUUGAUGUUAGCUACUUGAGUCAAAGCAUUUCGCCACUUUUGGAUCUUGUCUGUAUCUUCCUUGUACCUCUCUUGGUGUUUGGCGAAGGCUUCUUCAACUUUUCCUUUUUGUUUUCUUAAAUCGGAUGGAUCCACAUCAUAGAAAAUUGGAAAUACUUUAUGUCCGUUCACAUUUUUUUGUUGAACAAUCUCAGCAAGCUCCUCCAAGCACCAUCCUGAAAAGGUAUAGGUUUUUGAAAAAACGAUGACCGAGCACCAUGAUUGCUGAAUUGCAUUGAAGAGUUCAGGUGCGAUCUCUUCACCAGCCUCCAGCUUUGGAUCAUCUCUGAAGGUGACGAUCCCACUCCUCUUUAGAGCAUCAUAAAGAUGAUCCGUGAAGUUGUUGCGAGUAUCUUCACCUCUAAAACUCAAGAAAACAUCAUAUUUCUUUUUAGAAAUGGAGGAAGAAGUUGACGGUAACGAUAACAUGAGGAUGUAUGAAAGGAGAUGGAUAUCUCAAUCUGGUGUUCAAAAUCAGAAAAUAGAUCGCCCGAUACCCACAAAGAAACUAGAAAAAGUAAGUAUAUGAGCAUAUAUAUGAGCAGAGGGGCGGAAAUUAGGGGUCAAAAGAUGAGCAAUGGAUGUUCUUGCCAAGAAGUAUCCAAGAAGGUGAGAGUUGGCAAAAUGGAAAUUACGUAAUAAUUAAAAAGUUGGACGGUUUGUAUUUUACGUAUUUAAGAAUUAUGAGUAGAUAAGAUUAUGACUAAUAAUUAGAAUUAAUUUAUGGGCGGGUUAAAAAGUUUACCAAGCAACCAACUACUCGCAUCCACACGUGGAAGAUUUCUAUCUCCAGAUACAGAUCCAUUUCGACCGGCUUGUCCAGAAUUUCUACAAUGGAUAACAGCUCUGGAGAUGAUAACCCUGGCAGGGCAGAAGUAUUUUUUUUUUAAGGUACAAACUUAAAUUGUAACUUUUAUUAUAGUAAAAAUAUAAUUUUACAAUUUUAAUAGUUUAUAUCUUCAUAAUAUUUAAAAGAUUAAAUUAAAUUUUUAUUAUUUUUAAGAGGGUCAACGUGUAAUUUUGUUUUUAUUAAUUUAAAGUUUUAUCAUAUCAUUUUUUAUUUAUUAAAUGUGUGGUAUUUAUAUCUAGGAUGAUUCAACUUUUAAUUUCAAAAUGCAUUUUGCCUUUCUUUGAUUUACUACUCUCAAUAUCAAUUUCGUGUUGGUGUUAUGAACACCAAUAUAUUUCUAGUUCCAUCACAUCAAUCAAUGUUCCCAAUAUAAUGAAUCUAUUUGUACCAUCAAACAAUCACAAAGAAACUUAACUAAAUAGGAGAAAAAACCUAUUUGUACGAAAGGGCUAGUGAAGUAGUUUACACAAUUAUUGCUUCUUCCCUGAUCGGCCGGUUAUAAAAUUGAAAAUGUUUUGCAGCCGUUUAGGCUUCGGCCCUUCUUCCUCUGUUUCCUCGUCGAUAUCACGUUUUCGUUUUACAAAGGAAGUGCUGCCUGCGGAUCCAUCGUUUUCAGUAGAGUGAUGAUGGAUAUGUUCAAAGUUUGGAGAAGAUUGAGUGGUAUGGCACUGCACCUCUUUUAUAUCUUCCAAAUCUUUCUCAUACAUUAUUCUAACACCACACUUCUUCACAUUAACAGAAGGAUACCUUUUUGCAGAUUGGAAGGACAUCUCAAGCGAUAAAUUCUUGGUUUCCCAAUUAUCCUUUAAGGAUAAUGGAUAAAAUACUUCACGCGAGAAAUAACGAAGUAAAAGGUGGUCCUUCUUUAUGGGUCGUCGAUCAAAAUCAAUGAAAUUGAAAUCGACCCUUCGACUAUUUUUAACUUGAAAAACAGAUCCAUCACUACUAGAUUGUCCAGAAUAUGUAGAAUGGAUAUAAGCUGGACCACCGAUAACCUUUAUCUCGGAACCAUCAUCAUCGCCAAAAAUGCAGCAGACAGCAACUCCAAUCCAUUGUCUGUCAUUCUGAAUAUUGAAAGGCAAAGGUAUUUCAAUUACAGAGCCGCCUCUCUGUUGGCUGAACCAUUCUGGGAUUUCACUGCCAGGUAUAACAACAUCAAGUCUUUUUCUUGAAUUCUCAAAUGCCUGCAAAUUAAAACAUCAGUCGUUCUUGAAUUUGCAAAAUAAAAUAUCGGUGGUUCUGUAACUAAAACCAUGAAAAAAAAAAAAAAAGAGGGAUCAAUGAACCUUAAUAUGUGUUUUCAGCAAUGUUAUUGCACUCAUGUUCUCAGCCAAUCUGUAGCUGUUAAUGGCUAUAAAGUAAGACCGAUUAUGUUUCCAAUCACUUGUCUUCUUUGCUAGAAGCACAGGCAACGAUUCAAGCUCACUGCAAUUACACACUCCAAGCCUUUGAAGAUUGGAAAGACGAGCAAGAGACGCACCUAUGCUGGUGAAAUUGUUACCAUGAAGAUCAAGAAUUCUCAAUGAGGAUAGACCAGAAAUAUCACUAGGAAUAUCUCCUUCACCCAUAUUGCGCAGGCCGCACCUUGACAAACUAAGUUCUUCAAGCUUGGAGAGCCCAGUAAGAGAUGCCGGUAUUCUGUUGAAAUUGUUAACGCUAAGAUCAAGAAAUGCCAAAGAGGAUACACAAGAAAUAGCACUAGGAAUAUCUCCUUCACCAAGAUUGCAGCCCCUUAGUUUCAACUUUGUUAAUGACCUCAAACCGGAUAAUGAAGGUAGCAUUGGAGCUAUGAAAUUCAUCCUUCCUGUUUGGCGUACCUUGAAAAGCGAAAGGAGAUUUCUUUUCAACUUAUACGGACCCUUGCAUCCAUCAAAAGACAAAACUUUAAGAUUUUUCAAUUGAGAAAUGAAGGAUGGUGGUUCUUUUAUGGCUGUUUCACACAAGUCAAGCUUUUCCAAAGAUUCUGCUUGAUGCAAAUUCUCUGGCAAAUAUUCAACUUUAUAACAACCAGAAAGAUCAAGAGUUUUUAGAUGUUCCAUUUUCCCAUCAAUCUCUGGAAACCUUGCAAGAUUUGAGCAACCCGAAAGAAUUAAAGUUUCAAGGGAUUCCAUUUCAAUUUUGGUUGGAAGUCUCCUAAGACUUUUGCAAUCUCUUAAAUUCAAAAGUUUCAGUCUCUUAAGCACUCCAAGUGAUGGAUGAACAUCUACUAAUCUGGUACAAUCUUGCAUAAUCAACACUUCAAGAUAUGGGGCUGUUGUGAAGUCUGGUGUCUUGAUGAGGUUUUGGGACCCUUUAAGGCUGAUUAUUUUCAACUUAUACAAGGCCUGUCCAAAACAAUAACAGAUUAGAGAGAAAAGAGAAAACAUAAUAAACCUCAUUAUUAUUAUCUUAUUCAAAUUUUAACAGUUUAUAAUAUUAAAAACUUAAUAGUUUAUAUUAAAAUAAGCUAAAACACAAGGAUUAGAUGAAUUUAAUUCUUACUCUAUUUCCCUUCCAUAGUUGUUCAAUGCGACUAUAUGGUAAGAGAAGUAUGACAAGGUUGUCCGGUUGAAAGUUUGAAGGCAAUGAUUUUAAAGGAUAUCCUGUCCAAUCUAAAAAUCGUAGCUCAUUGGAAAGAUAUUUGAAAUCAUUACAAUUUGAGACGCAAAGCACUCUCAGCAAUCUUAAUUUUUUCAUCUUCAAGAAGACAUUGACACUCAAAUUGAGCAUCUUGCUUGAUUCUCUACAAAACCACGGGCAAACAAAAAAUAAGCAUUAAAAUAUACAAAAACAUUCAAUACCUAAAAGCUAUGUUUCUCCAAUAAUACUAUUUUUUAGGAUUUUCAUCCCUUACUUAUACCUAACAUGUGUCCAAAUAUGAGCAUUGAUAUAUGAUCCCUCAAGAACUCUUUAAAUAUAUAUGAAAAAACUUCUUAAAAAAAUCACACAUACCCAUUUUAGACAUAUAUCCCAUUUGACUUCGAAUUACCUAAGUUUUAAAAACUAGAAUUAAAAUCUUGAUUUAUAUUGGUGCAAUGAUAAUGCAUAAUUUUAUUUAUUAUUACUGAACGAAACAAUAACACAUCAUUAAAAAUUUAAUUGGUUUUAUUUUGAAAAUUUUUUGAUGACAUAUUAAAAUCUUAUUUAUAAAGAUACACCAUAGUGCAUCAAAUAUAAGCAUUUAAUAUUAGCAAGGAUAUAUCUUGAUUGUGUUUCUUUUGAAAGUGUUAUGCCUUGCUAGAUAAAUUUCAUAAAUAUAACAUUAAAUAUUAAGCAUUAAUGGUUUUUUUUUUCCAUCGAUUUUCAUUGGAUACUUUUACCAAAAAAAACCAAUAACAAUAUUAAUAAUACACAUCAUAAAUGUGUAUGUAUGUUUUCUUACCUUUGAUUGUCAAUGAUCAUGCUUUCAAUCAUUUCUGUAACCUAAAAAAGCAAGAAUAGAGAAUAAAUAACUUUUUGAUCGAAAUAGAGUAAAUAGAUCAUUUUAAAUAAGGUAAAACAUUUCCGAUGAGAGAGAUUCAAUUAAAUUAAAUACUUAUUUAUACAAAUCCUUAUUAACAGUAAUCAUCAACAAAAGGCAUUUAUGUCAGUCAAAUUUUUAAUGUACUCCUAUAUUAAUCAAUUGGACUAAGCCUUACUCAAUUUUAUUUCAGAAAUAAAGUAAAAUAUUUUCGAAUGAGAGUAAUUCAAUAAAAUUAAAAACUUAUAUUACAAAUCAUUAUUAAUAUUUAUAAUCAACAAAUGGAAAUUAUUUUAAAGCCACUCAAUGUCAGUUAAGGAUCGAUAUGUAAACUAAUUAGGCUAAAUUUUAGAUUUAUAUCAUAUAUUGAUAAAAAGAAAAUUUUGUAUAUAAUUUUUGUUGAAUGAUUUACCGUGUUUUUUGUUAGGACAUGAUGGACAUCCCUUUCUUUCCACAAUCUACAACGUUUUCCAGGUUCAUCAACACAUUUUUCUUCAACAAUUUUUCUUCCCAUUUCUUGCAACAAGGCAUGCAUCGUCAAACGUUUGUUGUCAUCACUAACUUUUAUCAAAGAUUUCUUAAUGAGAAUAUCGAUUCCAAUAUCUAGAAAAAACUCACAACCAUCCAAUGCUUUCGUUAUAAAAUCUCUCUUCUCACCAUUGAAAAAGCAUGCUAUAUCUAGAAAUAUAUUCUUCUCUUUUUCUUCCAAUCCAUCAAAGCUAAUUCUUAGCGUGUUAAAAAUUUCUUUGUUAGAAUCUUUUUUAAGUCUUUGGAUUGCACUUCUCCAUUGAACUAUAUCUCUAUCGCACAAAAAUGAACCCAAAACUUCAAGAGCUAAGGGGAGACCACCAGCAUAACUUACAACAUCUUCAGAAAGCUCAAUGAAAUCAUCUUUUGGCACUGUAUCACUAUGAAAAGCUUUCAAAUUGAAAAGUCUAAGUGCAUCGUCUGGAUUCAAUGUUUUAGGCUUAUACACACAAUCGACUCCGUAAGAUCGGAGUAAAUGUUCAUCUCUUGUUGUUACAAUGAUUCGACUCCCUAAACCAAACCAAUCACGCCUUCCAACCAAGCAUUUCAAGUGCUGUACAUUAUCAACAUCAUCAAGAACAACAAGAACCUUUUCACUGCACAACCUGCGGCUAAUUAUGGCAUUCCCUUCAUGAACAUUGAAAAAAUUGAAGCAUUUAUUUGGCAAGAUUUGAGAAAGAAGUUGUUUCUGUAAAGAAACAAGUCCACAUUUGUUUGAAACUUCUCGAAUAUCAGCAAGAAAGCUUUUGCCUUCAAAAUGAGGUGACAUUUGAGUGUAAACAACCCCUGCAAGAGUUGAUUUACCGAUGCCACCCAUUCCGCAAAUUCCUAUAAUGCGGACAUCAUCUUCCCCAAUGUUUAUUUUCGAAUACAAGUCCUUCAAAGGUAAGCUAAUUCCAACCAAUUCAUCAUGAACAAUUGGAUAUGUCUCACAUAAUUUGGCUGAUAUCUUCCUAACAAUGUCUCCGAUAAACUCUGAUUCAUUCCUACAACGAAAUAAAAAAUUGUUUCUAUCUUUCAAAUGCUCUUUGUCAUUUGUAGUUCAAUGAAUCAUGAAAUAUAAUAUAGUUGGAAGCAAAGAAAAAGCAAGAAUAAGACAGUAAGAUAUAUUAUGGCAUCAAAAAACACAACUUUCUCGUUAGAAUUCUUAAUUAAACACAAAAUUAUAAAAAAAUUACAUGCAAUCUAAGAAAAAACAAUUUUUUAGUCAUUAAAAUUAGGAAAUAGAGAAGAAAUGAAAGAAUUACCCAUUAUGUAAAUGCCAUCCUUUGAUCUUAGCUACUUCAGUCAAAGCAUUUCGCCACUUUUCGAUCUUGUCUUUAUCUUCCUUGUACCUCUCUUCAUGUUUGGCAAAGGCUGCUUCUACUUUUUCUUUUUGGUUUCUUAAAUCGGAUGGAUCCACAUGGUAGAAAAUUGGAAAUACUUUAUGUCCAUUAGCAUUUUUUUGUUGAACAAUCUCAGCAAGCUCCUCCAAGCACCAUCCUGAAAAGGCAUAGGUUUUUGAAAAAAUAAUUACCGAGCACCAUGAUUGUUGAAUUGCUUUGGAGAGUUCGGGGGCGAUCUCUUCGCCAGCCUCCAGCUUUGGAUCAUCCCUGAAGGUGACGAUCCCACUACUCUUUAGAGCAUCAUAAAGAUGAGCCGUGAAGUUCUUGCGAGUAUCUUCACCUCUAAAACUCAAGAAAACAUCAUAUUUCUUUCUUGAAAUGGGCGAAGAAGUCGAAGGUAACGACAACAUAAGGAUGUAUGAAAGGAGAAGGAUACCUCUAUCUGGUGUUCAAAAUGAGAAAAUAGAUCUCCCGAUCCUCGCAAAGAAAGUAGAAAAAGUAAGUAUAUGAGCAUAGGGGUGGAAAUUAGGGGGUCAAAGAUGAGUGAUGUAUGUUCUUUCCAAUAAGAAUCCAAGAAGGUGAGAGUUGGCAAAGUGGAGGCUGUUAAAAAUGUUGGACGGUUUGUAUUUUUCGUAUUUAAUAAUUAUAGAGUAGAUAAGAUUAUGACAAUAAUCAUUAGAAUAUAUCUUUAAUAAUUAUUCUUCGUUAUGGGCUGGUUUAAAAGUUGACCAAAUAACCAACUACUCGCAUGACACGUGGAAAACUUCUAUCUCGAAAGACAGAUCCAUUUCAGCUGCUUAAGAUUAUUUUUGGUUAGAGCCGACCCGAUUAAUGAACAAAUAAAUAAAAAUAAGAAAAAAAUUUAAAAUAUGAACACAACGUGGAAAAACUCUCUGAAAAUGAUAAAAAAUCACAGGUAAUGAUAAUUUUAUUAUAAUGGUAAAAGAAUGAAUGGUACAAAAGAUGAAGAUAAAAAUUAAACUCCGAAAACAAAGAACUCUCAAAACAUAAACACAAAAUUCUCUAAAAGUGUUAUGAAUUCUAAUCUCUAAUAGGUGUAUUUUCUAAUACUGUAAAAAAAUUCUAUUGAUAGGCUAAAUUCGUAUGUGAAAUAAUAAUAAAAUAAUCUAGACUAAUCAGAUUUUGAUUGAAACAAAUAAAUAGAGUUUAAUUGGAAGAUUAUUUAUCAAAUUUGACUGAAAUAUGAGUCAUACUCAACAAAUCUCCACAUUGACUGGUAUUUCCACAACGCCACCUUUGCUAAAGCCUACCAAGAGCCUAUCUUGACCUAUGUAGGGAAUUAAUUGAGUUGAAUUUGUGUUUAGAAGCUGGAAUGCUUCUAGACUUCAACUUGUGCAUUGUCAAAUCAAAACUAACCCGGAUCUGAUUUUCACAAACACAAUGCUCUAACUUUUUAAAAUCGACAUCUAAAAGAGAACCUCCGCUCCAAACGAGUUAACUUUGACUCCGUAAUAGAUGAGGGACGUCCGAUUUCACUAAUCACUGUAGAACCUUUAAAAAAAUAAAGACUGUCGGUCCUUUUACCUUUUAACAAACUGAGAGUCCCACAAGACACCUUAAUGUCGUUAGACUCGAUGUUGAUUCUGUAACUUUUCGAGUCUAAAUUACUUAAGCAGAUGAGAUUCUUUCGUAAAUCAGGUACAUACCUGACAUCUGAGAAUGCCCUAAUCGCCUCAUCGUGCAUCCUAAUUUUAUAGUAACAAUACCAAUUACCUUACCAGAUGAAUCAUUUCCCAUACGCUUAGCUCCACCUUCAACCGAACUGUAUGUGAAGAACCAUUCUCUAUUGGGACACAUGUGGAAAGAACAUCCCGAAUCUCGGAUCCACUUGGACAUAAGCUCAGAACUACCGCUUGUUAACACUAAUAAAAAAUCAUCACCGCUUUUGUCGGCCAAAUUAGCACAAGCUACACCUUCCUCAUUGCUCUCAAUAGCCUUUUUAAUUUGCAGUUUAUAACAAUCUGCUUUGACGUGACCUAACUUCUAACAAUAGCGAAAUCUUUUGUCUCGCUUCUUUCGCUUCUUUGAUGUUACCAAAAUAGAAGCUUGCCUAUUUUCCUUGCUAUCCAAACCAAACUCAUUGUUGAGUUUAUCUUUGCUUAACAAAUGACCCUUCACGUCCUCCAAUGAGAGAUUAUCUCUCCUAUAAGUCAUUGUUUCCCUGAAAGACUUGUAUAAAGGGAGUAAAGAGCACAAAGAUAAUAUAGUCUGCUCCUCAUCAUCAAUUUGAACCUCAACGUUAUUUAAAUCAUUUAAAAGAGUAAUGAAUUGACUGAUGUAAUCUCUAAGAAGCUCACAUUUGUUCAUGCGAAAUGUAAAUAGUUGUUGCUUUGGAGAGUUCGGGUGCGAUCUCUUCGCCAGCCUCCAGCUUUGGAUCAUCCCUGAAGGUGACGAUCCCACUACUCUAUAGAGCAUCAUAAAGAUGACCCGUGAAGUUCUUGCGAGUAUCUUCACCUCUAAAACUCAAGAAAACAUCAUAUUUCUUUCUAGAUAUGGGCGAAGAAGUCGAAGGUAACGACAGCAUGAGGAUGUAUGAAAGGAGAAGGAUAUCUGUAUCUGGUGUUCAAAAUCAGAAAAUAGAUCGCCCGAUCCUCGCAAAGUAUAUGGGCAUAGGGGCGGAAAUUAGGGGUCAAAGAUGAGUGAUGGAUGUUCUUUCCAAUCCAAGAAGGUGAGACUUGGAACAGUGGAGGAUAUUAAAAAUGUUGGACGGUUUGUAUUUUACGUAUUUAAUAAGAUUUUGACAAUAAUCAUUAGAAUAUGUCUUUAAUAAUUAUCCUUCGUUAUGGGCUGCUUAAAAAGUUUACCAAACAACCUACUACUUGCAUCGACACGUGGAAAACCUCUAUCUCGAAAGAUAAAUCCAUUUGGGCUGGUUAAGAUUAUUUUUGGUUGGAAAUCGAUUCGAUUAAGCAACGAAUAAGUAAAAAUAGUAAAAAAAUUGAGAAAUUAAACACAUAAAUUUAACAUGAAAAAACUCUCCGAAGAGGAUAAAAAAUCACAGGUAAAGAUAAUUUUAUUAUAAGGGAAAAAGAACGAAGAGUAUAAAAGAUGGAGAUAAAAAUUAAAUCCCGAAAAUAAAGAACCCUCAAAAUAUAAACCAAAAUUCUCCAAAAGUAUCAUGAAUUCUAAUCUCUAAUGGAUGUAUUUUCUAAUAUUGUAAAAAAAUCUAUUUAUUGACUAAAUUUGUAUGUCAAAUAAUAAUAAAAUAAUCUAAACUAAUUAGAAUUUGAUUAAAAUAAACCAAUAGAGUUUAAUUGGAAGAUUAUUUCAGUUGUUGUAAGGAUCAUGAGUUAUAGUGGUGAUGCUGGGUGAAUUCACAGACAAAAUAGCCUCAAAGGUUGCUAUUUGACAGAGAUUGAGAUGCACUGUAAAAACAAAUUCCACCAAUUACCCUCUUGGAUUUCAACACCUGACAAGGCUUUCACCCGAAGAAGUGCUCUAAGCUUGGUAAGAAAGAGAAUCUCUUCAACCGGAGCAAUUUUCGCAUUAAAAGUAAAAUCGUUACGCGCCUAUAUCGACCAUAACGCCGCUGCACAACAGAGGAGCCACCACUGCUUAAUAUCAUCUUUAAUUUUAUUUUUCAUAGAAGUUUGGCUUUAAAGCUAAUGUCAAAUGGAUUUAUGGAUGGUAUUUAAUUAUAAAUUAGACAAGGCUUGAGGGGUGGUUUUAAUUUAUAAAUUUAGGAAGCUUUAAAUGUAAUUUAUAUGGUAAUUAUUAUAAUGCAACGAUUAAAGAAAGAAAAGUUUGUGCAGAAUUUUCAAAAUUGGAUGGCGCUGGAAUUAUAAGUUGCAAUGAAUAAAAGAAAGAAAAAGUUGUGCAGAACUUUCACCAUAUUCACUAAAUUAUACUGCUUGCCCCUCCUUUUCUUUUCAAAUAUUUAUUUAUUUUUGGUGACGGGUUCAUGCUUUUAAUUUCUUUAUUACUAUGAUUACGAAUCAAACUUUAUUUUAAUAUUUGUGGUGUUUUAUAAGUUGUUACAGGGAGAUGUUUUAUUGGGAUCAAUUACAUUAAAGAUCACUAAAUUAUUAAUAAGUUUAUAUUUUGGUCAUUGAAUUUUAAAAAGUUAUUAAAUAAUCGCUAAAUUAUUUAAAUUUUUUUAUUUAAGUCACUGAAUUAUCCAAAAAAAUUUAUUAAAAUUAGUUAUUCGUUACAUUUUUUUAUUUUUCUUUUAAAUAUACAUAUAUUUAUUAGGAAAGGGUCAAAGGUUUUGAUUUGUUUAUUAUUAGGGAUAAAUGUCAAAUUUAUAUAUGAACUUUGGUUCAAAGUGCAAUUUGAUACAUGCAUGAAUUUUGACUUGGUGCAAUUAUCCACAUGAAAUUUAAAUUGUGGUUCAUAUAUAUACAUGAAAUUUAAUUUUGAUUCAAUUGAACGCAUUUAAAGAAAUGAAUACAUAUAAUUAUUUUCACAUUGAAUAAAAGUUCAUGUCUUCUGUUAUUAUCAUGGGUGAUACAUGGAUUUAAAGGAGCUCAUGUGUUCAUAGCGAUGAACUAUUAUUGAGUGUUGAUUUUCACUUACCGUAGUUAAAGUGAGUUGGGAGAGAGUUUACUUAAUUGUAUAAUAGUGAGGUUGCACCAAGUUAGGCUUGAAUAAUUUUAUUGUAUUGUGAAGUUUAUAGUGGAUUCAUCUGACAGAUGUAGGACGAGUUUCAAACUACACAAUCAUCUUGGUUGUGCUCUUUAUUUUGCUUGUUGCAUGUGUCAACUCAAAAAUUAAUUUUUGUUUUUCAAAAAAUUUAAACUUAUAAUUAUAUCAAUAGUCUCCAUUAAAAUUUAUCUAUCAAAUUAAAUAAACAACUCAAAAAUUAACUUGUCUGCACAUAAUUAUAGAUAUUAAACUUUUUUAACUUUUUGAAUUUUUAAUGAUUUUUGUCUCCAUUAUUGUAAAAAUUUAAAUUAAUUCCCAAAUAUGUAAUGCUUGUGAUUAUUUUUGGUUGGGGAUCGACCCGAUUAAGCAACGAACAAGUAAAAAUAACGGAAGAAUUGAGAAAUUGAACACACAAAUUUAACAUGAAAAAACUCUCUGAAGAAGAUAAAAAAAUUACAGGCAAAGAUAAUUUUAUUAUAAUGGCCAAAGAAAGAAAAUUACAAAAGAUAGAGAUAAAAAAAACAAAUAAUUUUACUAUAUUUAGAGUAUAAAUACACAAGGUUGAAAUGAAGCAAUGGUGGAGUAGGAAGGCAGUGUUAUUAAAUACUAAAUAAUUGUUUUGUGAAAAGGGGAUAUUUUUACUUUUUUAUCCAUUACAUAUCACUGUUCCUGUCUUCCUUUCCAUGUUUUUGUAAAAACCAGAUUCCCACCAUUCUUUUCUCUUUGGUAAAUGUUGAUUGCUGAGAGGACAAUCUUUUUGCACAUUCCCGAACUCUAUGGACAUGAUUUUUUGCAUCUCAAUCAAAGGUUUGAAAAUCCCAUUCAAAGCUGCAAAGUUGAAAUUAUGUUUAGGAUUUUAUUUUACUUCCGAAUGGUAUCCAAGUAUUGAACUUUCAUGUUCGUAUUAUGGACACGAAUAGUCCAUCACAUCAAUCAAUGUUGCGGAUAUAAAGAAUACUUAAUUAUGGUAAAUAAGAAUCUAUUUGUACAAUUAAACAAAAACAGGGAAAAAGAGAAACUUAAUUAAAUAGGAGAAAAUAUCUUGAAAAGGCUAGUCAAGUAGUUUACCACAAUUACUGCUUCUUCUCUGAACGACCCAUUAUAAAAUUGAAUUUUGUUUUCAUCUGUUUAGGUCCUCUGUUUCCUCGUGGAUAUUACGUUUUCGUUUUACAGGGGAAGUGCUACCUGCGGAUCCAUCCUUGUCAGUAGAGUGAUGAUGGAUGUGCUCAAAGUUUAGAGAAGAUUGAGUGGUAUGUCACUGCAAAUCUUUCUCAUAGAUUAUUCUAACACCACACUUCUUCACCUUGAAAGAAGGAAAACCAUCUGCGCCUUUGAAAGACAUCUCAAGCUUAUCGCAUUCAUGAUCAGAGCAAUCCAUUGUCCAUGCAUAUUGUAAUUCACGAGAGAAAUAACGAAGAAAAAGGUGGUUGUUCGUUAUGGGCUGCUCCUAUUCCCCACCUAAACCAAUGAAACUGGGAUCGACCGUUCGAGGAUGUUUAACUUGAAAAACAGAUCCAUUAUGACUAGAUUAUCGGGAAUUUCUAUAAUGGAUAUAAGUUAUACUACCGAUAACCCUUUCAUCGGAAAAUGCAGCAGAAAGCAACUCCAAUCCAAUUUGUUUGGUAUAUGUGAAACGUUUUGUGAGUUUGUUUUUUAAAAUAAAGGUAAAUUUUAACAAUUAUUUUUUAAUCAUUAUUAGUAAUAUAAUUGAAAUCACAUGCAAUAUAUGUGACAUUAGAAAGUAGUGAUUAUGAAAAAUUGGAAUGUGCAAUACUCUUGAUGUGUUUAGAAAAGGUUAUAGUUAUAGAAAAAAUUAUAUAACCAUCAUGGCAUUGGUUGAAUUUGUUAACUUAAAUGUUUUAGAAAUCCAAUGUUUUAGAUUUUAAUCUCAAUUUUUUAUGAAAAGAUAAAAAAAAAAUUACUAUAAUAAUAUUUGUUACUUUUAAAAGUAGUAAGUUUUUUAGUCAUUUUUUAAAUAAGUUAAUAUCUAAUUGACUUAUGACUGAUAAAUAAAGUAUAAUAUAAAGUAUGUUUGGUUAAAAAUAAAAUUAGAUGAAAAUGAUAUAUAUUUAAAUAUAGAAUAAAUUAAAUUUUAUAUAAUGUAAGUUAUUAAUAUAGUAAAAUUGGAAAUAAUUUAAAGAUAAUUAUUAUAUUAGAAAAUAUAGGCAUUAAAGUUGAGGCAUUUUAAGAAAUUUACCAAAUUUUAUAUAAUGUAAAUCAUAAAAACUGUUCCUUAAUACCACCGCGCACGAUUAGCGCUGUUGGAACCGUUAGUCCCCUGCUUUAACUUUACCUCCAUAACAUGCCGAGACCAUGAAAGGCACUCAUUCCUUAAUACCAUAUAUAGUUCCUGCAACGCCACUACUGAUAACAAAGGCAUUUCUAUUUUACCAAAGUUUCUAGCAGCCAUAGCAAAAAGAGUACCCCAAUCAGUUCCUUCCACAGAAAAAGUUCUUUGAGCUCCAGAGAAACUCAAUGCUCUCCCAUUUCCUAGCGCCCAAUGGACACCAUUUACUACAUCUUCCAAAAUAUUGGACAAAACCCUCCAGAGAAGCGAGCAAUUAGAAGGAUGUAUUGAAGCCGACCAUCUACUUAUUACCCCAUACUCGUUUCCAAGGACUUCAACCCAUAGCACAUUCACGUUAGAAAUGACAUUAAAAGCUACCUUAAUCAUGCAAGCUUUGUUGUGGUCUCGUACUUUCCUCAACCUAACUCUACCAUUCUUCAAAGGCAUACAAAAUUUAUACCAGCUCACUAAUGUUGGUUUCCGAUUGCCAAAUGUUGACCCCAAAUGAAUCCUCGAACCAGCUUCUCAUUUUUGUUGCAAUUGCUUAAGUGAUCACCUAAAACAAGACCGUACAAAGAUUGAUCGGUCUAAAAUGAGAUAGUAAUUCCUGUCUUGCCACCUUGGGAACCAACACAAUAAGAGUUUGAUUCAAAAUAGAAGCAAACAUUUGAUAAUUUCAUUCUAUUGGUUUUUAAUUUGAAUAGUUCAUUCAUUUAAAACAAUCAUAAUUGUGCAUCAAUUAUGAAAGAAGUCACAAGAAAAUUGUGCAGUAAUCAAAUGCAAUUUUCUUCACUUUUAUCACGUCUUUGAGUUGGAGGAAAAGAUGGUCCAAUUGAGAUAUACUUGAAAAGUUUAAUGAUGAAUGAAAUGAAUUCACUAUUAUGUUAUGUCAACACUGUUAAAUUAAUAGUUCAAUCAGCAUUUUGCGUUAAAAAAUUCAUAAUUUGACUCAAUAAAAUGUUGAGAGCCAAAUUACUAAGAGGAAAUGAAUACGGGUCAACUUGUCAAAUUUUAUAAACACUAAGAACUUUUUUUUUUAUCAUUAUGCCUAAUUUUAAAGGUUUUAUUUACAUUACAAUUAAAUUACUAUUUGAAUUUACAUUUUAAAAACAACGUUCAUUUCAAUAUGUAUAAUUUACAUUACAUUACAUGAUAAAAACAACUAAUUAUAUUUUGCUAAUUCCCUAAAUUCGUCCAACUUGAUGACUUUUGUUGGUCCCUCACUUGCAUGAUCCUUUGAGCAGACUUUCAUGCUUCUAUUGGUCUAGGGGACAAACAUAAAACACCAUCAUUAUUUUUGUUGCAUUGAGAUCAUCUAUAUUAAUUUACCUCAAAUUGAGAAAUUUUUGUUGAUAUCACAUAAAUACAAUCAUUGAAAAUCUUACUCGUAUCGACCAAAAAUCAUAUUUUUAUUUCUCUAAACAAUAAGUACAUUAGACAAUAACAAAAAUGAAAUUAUUGAAUUUUGAAAAAAAAAUAUUGGAUAUGAAAAUGUCUCUCACAUGGGAAAGAUUUUCCAAAUAAUUAAAAGAGCAUACUUUUUUUUUUAAUAUUUGAACAAGUGUUAAAAAUAAACGUCUAAACUUAAAUACUUUGUAAAAAAUAUAAAUUGAAGAGUUAGAAUAAUAUUGUUUAUACUUCAAGCCAUGAAAUUUAAAUGGUACUUUUGUUAGAAGGAAUUAAACCUACUAUUAAGGACUUAUAUUUAAUCUUCCAAAUAUAUAAGAAAACAAUUUUGACUGAUUAAAUUGAACACAUAAAUUGAUUUCAAAUAAAAAUAAAAUUGUUUUUAACUCAGCCGAAAUUAUGAUCUAAUCCUCAUUAAAGGAUUUUCACCUUAUUAUUACAACCUAAAAAUAAAAUAUAGAUGUAAGUGAAUUUAUAUAAUGAGAAUAAAGUUUUAAUAAAUAAAAAAAUAAACCAAUCAAAAUGUACACAUUUCAAUUAUGUAAAAAGGAAUGAAUUAAGUGAAUAAAAUUUUAAAUGGUAUUUUUUAAAAAAAAAUUAGUAUAUAAUAAAAUGGUCAUAUCUCAUAUGCAAAUAAGUCUAGAAUGAUUACUUUAAAUGAAAUAAAAGAUGUAAACAAGGUAGAUGAGUAAAAAAAAAUUUAGUAGGACAAGGUUGGUUAAGUAAUUUACCAUAGUUAAUGCGUCUUCCCGGAUUGGCCAAUUAUAAAAAAUUGAAAAAAAGUUGCAUCCGUUUUGGUUGCGGCCCUUCUUCCUCCUCUUCAUCGUAGAUAUUAGGUUUCUAUUUUAUGUGAGAAGUGCUACCUACUGAUCCAUGGUUGUGAGCAGAGUGUUGGUGGAUGUGUUCAAAAUUUGGAGAAGAUUGAGUGGUACGGCACUGCAACUCUUUUAUCUCUUCCAAAUCUUUCUCAUACACUAUUCUAAAGCCACACUUCUUCACUUUACCACUGCAUCCCAUGAAAGACACCUCAAGCUCAUCGCAUUUUUUAUCUAAGCAAUGUGUUGUCCAUAAAUUAGUGGUUUCACAGUCGUCAUAUUUAUCCUCCAAGGAAGGAUAUAUUGUAUCACGCGACCAAUAACGAAGUAAAAGGUGAUCUUUCAUUAUUGGUUCACACAGCCCCCAGCCUCUCCAAUCAAUCCGUCGAUAAUUUCUACCUCGAAAGAUAGAUCCAUUACAGCUGGCUUGUUCAGAAUUUCUACAAUAGAUAUAUGCUCCACAACCGAUAUAUUCGUCAUCCCUUGAAGCAUCAUUACUGACAAAAACGCAGCAGCAAGCAACUCCAAUCCAUUGACUAUCUUUCUGAAGGUUGAUAGGCAGGGGUAUGUUAAUUGAAAUGGCACUUGUUUGUUGGCUAAACCAUUCUGGGAUUUCACUUCCGGGCAUAAUAAUAUCAAACUUUUUUCUUGAAUUUGCGAAUGCCUGCAAAAUAAAACACAAGUCGUUUGGUAACUAAAACCAUAAAUUCUCAAGUACGUAUGAGAUUUUGUAAGGGAGAAAAUGGAGAUUAAUCGACCUUAAGCUGUUUUCUCAGCACUGUUAAUGCAUUCAUAUUCUCGGCCAAUUUGAAGCAGUUAAUGGCUCUAAAGGCACCCGAACCUAUUAAAUUGCAUACUUCACGUAGUGUUAAUGCAUUGAUAUUCUCAGCCAAUUUGAAGCAGUUAAUGGCUCUAACGGCAGCCGAAUCCACUAAAUUGCAUACUUCAAGUGAAGAACAACCAUCUAGACACACGUGUCCUAACCUUGUCGGUAUCUCAGGCAACGAUUUAAGCAUCUUGCAAUAUGACAGUCCAAGAAACUGAAGCUCGGAUAUUCGAGUAAGAGAUGAAGGUAUGCUGAUGAAAUUGUUACCACUAAGACCAAGAUGUACCAAAGAGGAUAGACCAGAAAUAUAACUAUGAAUAUCUGAUUCACCAAGAGUGCACAUGUUGCAAUUUGACAAGUCAAGAAACCCAAGCUUCGAGAGUCCAGUAAGAGAUGCAGGUAUGCUGAUGAAAUUGUUACCACGAAGAUCAAGAUGUUUCAAAGAGGACAGGCCAGAAAUAUCACGUGGAAUAUCUCCUUCACAAAGAUUGCAGUCCCUUAGACUUAGCCGUCUUAAUGAACUCAAACCUGACAACAAAGGCAACAUUGGAGCCAUGGGAGUUGUCCUUCUUUCUUGGAUUACCUUGAAAAGAGAAGACAAAUUUGGUCGCAACUUUGCUUGCUGCAAAUUCUCCGAGAAAUUUUCAACUCUAUAACAACCAGAAAGCUCUAGAGUUUUUAUACGUUCCAUUUUCCCAUCAAUCUCCGGAAACCUUACAAGACUUGAGCAACCCGAAAAAAUUAAAGUUUCAAGAGAUUCCAUUCUAAUUUUUCCCGGAAGACUCCUAAGACUUUUGCAAUCUCUUAAAUUCAAAUGUUUAAGGCUCUUAAGCACUCCUAUUGAUGGAUGAACAUCCACUAAUUUGGUACAGCCUUCCAAAAUUAAAACUUCAAGAUUUGAUGCUGUUGUGAAGUCUGGUGUCUUGAUCAGGUCUUGGGAACCUUUGAGGUUCAUUAUUUUCAACUUAUACAAGGGCUGUUGAAGACAAUAAUAAAUUAGAGAGAAAAGAGAAAGCAUAAUAAUUCUCAUUUUUGUUUUUGUAUUUUUACCUUAAUCAGAGUUUAAUAAUUUAUAUUAAAAUAAGCUAAAACACAAGGAUAAGAUGAGUUAAUUCUUACUCUAUUUCCCUUCCAUAGUUGUUUAAUGUGACUAUAUGGUAAAAGAAGUGCAACAAGGUUGUCUGGUUGGAAGCUUGAAGGCAAGCAUCUUAAAGGAUAUCCUGUCCAUUCUAAAAGCCGUAGUUUAUUAGAAAGAUAUUUGAGAUCAUCACAAUUUGAUAGGCAAAGCACUUUGAGCAUUCUCAAGUUUUUCAUCUUUGAGAAGGUAUCGACACUCAAAUUGAGCAUCUUGCUCGAUUCCCUAAUAACCAUGAGUAAAACAAAAAUGAGAUUCAAAAUAUACAAAGACAUUCAAUAUCUAAAAGUUAUGUUGCACCGAUAGAUGAUAAAUUUCAUUUGUAAUUAAAAAAAAUCAUUCCAAAUUGGAAUGAGAAGGAAGACAAUGGGAGAGAUUUUUUAUUUUCAAAUGUUUUAUUUUCUUUCCUUCUCACUUUUCGCUAUACCAAGCAAUAGUGAGGAGGAAAAUAUAUUUUCCAUUCAAUUUUCCAUCUUUCCAGUCAAGUUUUCCAUCCCCUCAGUUUUCCACCCUUCUGAUUUUAUUUCCACUCUGCCAAGCAAAGCCAAAAGGUUUUUUGUUGUUGUUUUUUAUUGGAAUUUUUACAACAAAUAAUAACAAUAUUAAUAGUACAUAUUGAUAAAUUUAUAUGUAUGUUUUCUUACCUUUUAUUGUCGAUGAUCAUACCUAUGUUUUCUUACCUUUUAUUGUCGAUGAUCAUACCUUCAAUCACUUCGGUAGCCUAAAAGUAAUCAAAAAUAGACAAUAAGAAUACAAAAUAAAUUAUCUAAAUUGUACAAUAAAACUUUUGAAAUUUACAUAUAUGUUCAACAUUAUCACAAUCUUUUGGUCGAAAUAUAGGAAAUAAAAUAUUUUCAAAUGAGAGUAAUUCAAUAAAAUUAAACACUUAUAUUACAAAUCAUUAUUAAUAUUUAUAAUCAACAAAUGGAAAUUAUUUUAAAGCCACUCAAUGUUAGUUAAGGAUCGAUAUCUAAACCAAUUAGACUAAGCUUUGGAUUUACAUCAUAUAUUGAUAAAAAGAAAAUUUUGUAUAUAUUUUUGUUGAAUAAUUUACCGUGUUUUUUGUUAGGACAUGAUGAACAUCCCUUUCUUUCCACAAUCUACAACGCUUUCCAGGUUCAUCAACACAUUUUUCUUCAACAAUUUUUCUUCCCAUUUCUUGCAACAAGGCAUGCAUCCGCAAAUGUUGGUUGUCAUCACUAACUUUUAUGAGAGAUUUCUUAAUGAGAAUAUCGAUUCCAAUGUCUGGAAAAAACUCACAACCAUCCAAUACUUUCAUUACCAAAUCUCUCUUCUCACCAUUGAAAAAGCAUGCUAUAUCUAGAAAUAUAUUCUUCUCCUUUUCUUCCAAUCCAUCAAAGCUAAUUCUUAGCGCGUUAAGAAUUUCUUUGUUAGAAUCUUCUUUAAGUCUUUCGAUUGCACUUCUCCAUUGAACUAUAUCUCUAUCGCACAAAAAUGAACCCAAAACUUCAAGAGCUAAGGGGAGACCACCAGCAUAACAUACAACAUGUCCAGAAAGCUCAAUGAAAUCAUCUUUUGGCACUGUAUCACUAUGGAAAGCUUUCAAAUUGAAAAGUCUAAGUGCAUCGUCUGGAUUCAAUGUUUUAGGCUUAUACACACCAUCGACUCCGUAAGAUCGGAGUAAAUGCUCAUCUCUUGUUGUUACAAUGAUUCGACUCCCUAAACCAAACCAAUCACGCCUUCCAACCAAGCAUUUCAAGUGUUGUACAUUAUCAACAUCAUCAAGAACAACAAGAACCUUUUCACUAGACAACCUGCGGCUAAUUAUGGCAUUCCCUUCAUGAACAUUGAAAAAAUUGAAGCAUUCAUUUGGCAAGAUUUGAGAAAGAAGUUGUUUCUGUAAAGGAACAAGUCCGCAUUUGUUUGAAACUUCUCGAAUAUCAGCAAGAAAGCUUUUGCCUUCAAAAUGAGGUGACAUUUGAGUGUAAACAACCCUCGCAAGAGUUGUUUUACCGAUGCCACCCAUUCCGCAAAUUCCUAUAAUGCGGACAUCAUCUUCCCCUAUGUUUAUUUUCGAAUACAACUCCUUCAAAGGUAAGCUAAUUCCAACCAAUUCAUCAUGAACAAUUGGAUAUGUCUGACAUAAUUUGGCUGAUAUCUUCCUAACAAUGUCUCCGAUAAACUCUGGUUCAUUCCUACAAUGAAAUAAAAAAUUGUUUCUAUCUCUCAGAGGCUCUUUUUCAUUUUUAGUUCAAUGAAUCAUGAAAUAUAAUAUAGUUGGAAGCAAAGAAAAAGCAAGAAUAAGACAGUAAGAUAUAUUAUGGCAUCAAAAUACACAACUUUCUCGUUAGAAUUCUUAAUUAAACACAAAAUUAUAAAAAAUUACAUGCAAUCUAGAAAAAAACAAUUUUUUAGUCAUUAAAAUUAGGAAAUAGAGAAGAAAUGAAAGAAUCAUUCCUUAUGUAAAUGCCAUCCUUAAUCUUAAAACUUCAGUCAAAGCAUUUCGCCACUUUUGGAUCUUGUCUUUAUCUUCCUUGUACCUCUCUUCAUGUUUGGCAAAGGCUUCUUCUACUUUUUCUUUUUGGUUUCUUAAAUCGGAUGGAUCCACAUGGUAGAAAAUUGGAAAUACUUUAUGUCCGUUAGCAUUUUUUUGUUGAACAAUCUCAGCAAGCUCCUCCAAGCACCAUCCUGAAAGGGCAUAGGUUUUUGAGAAAAUAAUUACCGAGCACCAUGAUUGCUGAAUUGCUUUGGAGAGUUCGGGUGCGAUCUCUUCGCCAGCCUCCAGCUUUGGAUCGUCCCUGAAGGUGACGAUCCCACUACUCUUUAGAGCAUCAUACAGAUGACCCGUGAAGUUCUUGCGAGUAUCUUCACCUCUAAAACUCAAGAAAACAUCAUAUUUCUUUCUAGAAAUGGGCGAAGAAGUCGAAGGUAACGACAGCAUGAGGAUGUAUGAAAGGAGAAGAAUAUCUCUAUCUGGUGUUCAAAAUCAGAAAAUAGAUCGCCCGAUACUCCCAAAGAAACUAGAAAAAGUAAGUAUAUGAGCAUAGGGGCGGAAAUUAGGGGUCAAAGAUGAGUGAUGGAUGUUCUUUCCAAGAAGAAUCCAAGAAGGUGAGAGUUGGCACAGUGGAGGCUAUUAAAAAUGUUGGACGGUUUGUAUUUUACAUAUUUAAUAAUUAUAGAGUAGAUAAGAUUAUGACAAUAAUAAUUAGAAUAUAUCUUUAAUAAUUAUCCUUCGUUAUGGGCUGGUUAAAAAGUUUACCAAACAACCAACUACUCGCAUCGACACGUGGAAAACUUCUAUCUCGAAAGACAGAUCCAUUUCGACUGGCUUGUCCAGAAUUUCUGCAAUGGAAGCAUCAUCACUGACAAAAAUGAGACAGGAAGCAACUCCAACCCGUUGACCAUUCUGAAUAUUGAGUGGUAGAGGUAUCUAAUUGUAGAGCCACCACUCUGUUGGCUAAACCAUUCUGGGAUUUCACAUCCAGGUACAAUAACAUCAAACAUUUGUCUUGAAUUUGCAAAUGCCUGCAAAAUGAAACUUCUGUCGCUUGGUAAAUAAAACCAGAAAUUCCCAAGUAUGAGAGGGAAAGAAAGAGAGAUUAAUUAAACUUGAGAUGUAUUUUCAACAAUGUUAAUGCAUUGAUGUUCUCAGCCAAUCUGUAGCAGUUAAUGGCUUUAAUGGAAGCUAAAUCCAAUAAAUUUCAUACUUUUGAUGGACUUGCAACUACUUCAAGUGAAGCACAACCAUCUAUGCACACUCUUGCUAUACUUGUUAGAAGCUCAGGCAACGAUUUAAGCUCAUUGCAAUUUCAUAACAUAAGCUCUUUGAGUAAGAGACGCAAGUAUGCUGAUGAAAUUGUUACCACUAAGAUCAAGAUCUGUCAAGGAGGAUAGGCAAGAAAUAUCACUAGGAAUAUCUCCUUCACGAAGAUUGCAGUCCCUUAGCUUUAACUCUCUUAAUGAACUCAAACUUGACAACGAAGGCAACGUUAGAGGCAUAAAACUUGUCCUUCCUUUUUGGGUUUCCUUGAAAGGAGAAGGAAGAUUUUGUUGUAACUUUGAUGGUCCCUUGCAUCCAUUGAAAGACAGAGCUUUAAGAUUUUUCAAUUGAAAAAUUAAGGAUGGUGGUUCUCUUAUGCUUGUUUUAGCUCUUCCAAAUAUUCUACUUGCUUCAUAUUCUCUGGCAAAUUUUUAACUUCACAACAACUAGAAAGAUUAAGAGUUUUUAGACCACCUAUUUUCCCUUCGAUCUCCAAAAACCUUACAAGAUUUGAGCAACCCAAAAGAAUUAUUGUUUCAAGAGAUUCCAUUCCAAUUUUGGUUGGAAGACUCCUAAGACUUUUGCACCCUCUUAAAUUCAAAAGUUUAAGCCUCCUAAGUACUCCCAAGGAUGGAUGACUUCUACAAUUCUUGUACAACCUUCCAAAACCAGAAUUUCAAGAUUUGGGGCCAUUGUGAAGUCCGGUGUCUUGAUUAGGUUUAGGGACACUUCAAGGUUGAUCACUUUCAACUUAUACAUAGGCUGUGAAAAACAAUAAUAAAUUAGAGAGAAAAGAGAAAAAAUAAGAAAACUUAUUUUUGUUGUUUAUUUUUUAUCUUAAGCUAAAAAAUAAGGAUUGGGUGAAUUAAUUUUACUCUAUUUCCCUUCCAUAAUUGUUCAAUGCUAUUGAAUGGUAAGAGAAGUGCAACAAGGUGGUCCGGUUGGAAGCUUAAAGACAAGGAUCCUAAAGGAUAUCCUAUGUAAUCUAAAAAUAGUUUUUCCAUUGAAAGAUAUUUGAAAUCAUCACAAUUUGAAGGCCAAAAGACUUUGAGUAAUUUCAACUCUUUUAUUUUCGAGAAGACAUCAACAUUCAAAUUAAGUGUCUUGAUCGAUUCUCUAAUAACCAUGGACAAAACAAAAAACUUAGCUUCAAAAUAUACAAAAGCAUUAAUACCUAAAAACCAUGUUGCCACGAUACUUUUUUUAAGUAUCCUAUAAGGUAUAUCUAAAUAUGGGCAUUAAGAUAUGACUCUUCAAGAAUUCUUUAAUACAUGAAAAAAUCUUUUGAAAAAUGAACAUACCCAUUUUGAACAGUUAACACGCACAAUUGACUCCGAAUUACCUAAACCUAAAAGUAUUAGAACUAAAAUUUUCAAUUAUAUUUGGUGCACUCGUAAUAUAUAAUUUUAUGCAUUAUUAGUGAACUAAAUGGAGACGCAUAAUUAAGGAUGAAAUUACUUGAAUUUAUUUUAAUAAAAUUUAAUGACAUGUUAUAAUCUAGUUUAUAUAUUGUCAAUUUAUCAAAUAUAAACUUUUAUUUUUCAUAAAAAAGAAACAUCUCUCUCUAUUUUUAUUUUUUUUAGAAAGAAUAAUGUGUUACUUGAUAAAUUCAUAAAUUAGCAUUCAAAUAUUAAGUACUAAGUGUUUUUUUUUUCACUAUAUAUUUUUUACAAAAUAAAACUAAAUAAUAACAAUAUUAAUAAUACACAUCGAUAAAAGUAGAUAUAUACUUUCCUACCUUUUAUUGUCGAUGAUCAUGCCUUCAAUCAAUAAAUAGGUUUUUUCUCAAAGCUAGUGAAUAUCACUUUUUAGGGAUUGUUAUAUAGAUGAAUUAGAAUAAACUUUAAGUUUAUAUUAUAUAUUGGUUAGAGAUCCAAUAAAAAAAAUUAGUAUGUAAAUUUUGUGGAAUGGCUUACACUGUUUUUUGUUAAGACACAAUGGAUGUCCCUUUUUUCUCACAAUUUGUAAUGUUUUUUCGGUUCAUCAACAUAUUUUUCUCUAUUAAUUUUUCUUCCCAUUUCUUGCAACAAGUCAUGCAUCCAAAAAUAUAUGUGUGUUCAUUGAAGAUCUUUCUCUUCUCCAUUGAAGAAACAUGCUAUAUCUAGAAAUAUAUUAUUCUCCCUAAUUUCUUCCAAUCUAUCAAAGCUUAUUUGACGUCUAUUGAGAAAUUCCUUAUUAGAAUCUAGUUUAAGUCUUUCGAUUCCACUUCUCCACUGAAAAGCAUCUCUACUGCACAAAAAAGAACCCAAAACUUCAAGAGUUAAGGGGAGACCACUAGCAUAAUGUACAGCAAGUUUAGAAAGGACAAAAUUGUAACAAUUUGGACUAAUUUGAAUAAAAUUAAGAACAUAGAUAGUGAUGCUCCAAAGGGAAUAUUAAGAUAAAGUGAGACCGAAAGGUAAUCUUGUCGUGCACCUGUUCAUUAGUCCCGGAUUAACUGGUAAGAUUGGAAGAUAAACUAGACCUAAUCUGUCUAAGUUGGCAAAAUUAAGACCGGAAGAUAAAAUAGAGCCACUUGGUAAUUAUGUGAUUUAUGUCAUUGGUCCAAGAUUUGGUGAACCACAUCGAAGUCAACCAACCCCUAUUAGUCAUUUGCUAGAUUGUCCUUCUAGUUUACAUUUCUUGUAAUUUAGUCCCUAGAGUAGAAUAUUUAAUUUUCUUGUAAACUUAUCUUUUAUGAAUCACCGUAAUAUAAAAUUGUAUCAAUAGCCACUUAGCCUCUAUUGUGUACGUUAGUUAUUGCUCAAUCGCCUAUUCCUUUGGGUUGAAUCCUUAGAAUACUUUUGCAUUUCAUUAUAACACUAUAAAUAUAAAUAUUAAAACUGACCUGUACGCUUGCAGUAAAAUUGGGCUUUUAAAAUAGUUAUAUAAAUUUAGUGUUUUAAGCACACGCAUGCAACCGGUCAGUAGUCAAUCUCACCCCAUUAGCCACCAUGACAUGAAGUUGACUAAAGUGCUCCACUAAUAAAUCCAACCUCUUAACCAGCUUAGAAUCUAGAAAAUUGUGUGUACUUCUUGAGUCAACCAGGAUAAUGACAUUGGAGUGACCAAUACUUGCUAAAAACUGCAUAGAAUUAUGUCUCUAUAAGCCUUGAAGGGCGUGUAAGGAUAAAACGGGGGCAGUGUGUUUCGUUUCCUAUUCUAACACUUUCAGUUGUUCAGGACAUUCUUGGAAUUCUUCAAACAUUGGACUCUUGCUUCCACCCUCAUGAUCUGAAUAAAGUUCCAGAACCAGCUGAUAAAGUUGAGACUUGGUGCACUUAUGACCUGGGGUGUAUUUGGAUGCACACCGAAAGCAAAGUCCCUUCUUUCUUCUCUCUUCUAUUUCAGCUUGAGAAAAGGGUUUGGUUUGGAAUUUUUACCCCGAGUUACUAUUUGGAGGUCCAUUUAGCCUUAUCGAGUUACAGUGGUGAUAUUGCACCUUGGGACCAAGAAUUAGGGGGCUAAGGUGACUUAUUCCCCCACUUACAUUCAAACUCUUCUUUGUGAACUUAGCCACAAUGCGUUCAACCUAUCGAGCUAUUUGAUAGUCUUCCACCAGUGUUUGAGCCUUGAACAACCGUAGAUACUACCCCAUCUCAGGUUUAAGAUUGCAAGUGAAAACACUAAGGACGUAAUCCUCAGUUAGAUGUAACUGAUUAAGCAAACUUACAAAACGGUCAUGGAAUUGGUCCAUUGACCCUUUCUCCUUGAGUGAAAUAUGUCCUAACAUGGGGUCUAAGAAGGAGUUAGAUCUAAAACGAUCCCUCAGCCCUCGAACAUAUAUCUCCCAAGUCAGGUGAUGUAAUCCCCCUGUCAUUGCACAAAAGUGAUGCCAAUCUAGGCCUUUACCUUCUAAGUGCAACAUUACCAUUCUAACAUUGGUCUACUUUAUUAUAUUUGCAGCUUCAAAGAAUCGUUCUAACUUGGACCACCAAUCUUGAUAAUCUGUCCCAUCAAAUCAUGGGCAUUCUAGCCGAAGAGUUUUACUGACAAAGUCCACAAGACCAACUUGAGAAAAAGUAUUCAUGUUUUCCAAAUCCGACACAGGUGAUAAUGUAAGUGGCUUUUUGGAAGGGAACUUAGGAGGAGAGCCUCCCAUAAUGCCCUUGUCUUGAACUCUUCCAGUUACACUGGUAGAAGCAUUUUGACCAAAAUAGUGUUCAAAAAGAGAGUGGAGUUCAGUUUGAAUCUCACCUUUGAUACUUUCAUGAAAAUCCUUUAACCGAGAUUCGAUCUUAGCAUCAAUCUAGCUAACCUCUAAUUGCAUCUGAGAGAGCUCGUGUUGCAGCACUCCCAUCUUUUUUUGUAACCUGGUGGUGACUCUAUCAUUUGCCAUAAAAAUCGGCUUCAGCUCUAAUACCUUUGUCAUGGGAAAAUCUUUAGGGCAGAAGAGAAAUUGGAUAGCAAGAGGAAGAAAAAGGAGUUGAGAGAAAUCAGAGAGAUAGAAGGAAAGAGAGAACUGUAUUCAUUCCAAUAGCUGCCUUCCCCUACCUUGAUUGGUGUUUUUAGGGCGGGUAACGACCCUCUCAAACAAAUUGACGGUUGUUAAUACAACUAUAGCAAAACGCACCAUUUUUUAGUAAAUGACAAAACGUCUCUAAACGCAGUCGUUUGGACCAUAUUUAACCCUCCCCCCUUAAACCUGUUGUUUCAUUAUAACAUUAAACUAAACGUUGUGUUUUACAAUAAUUAAGGCUAAAACAGAAGUAAACAGAAAUUAACAGAAAUUUAAACAUAAUUGUUGUCUUUAGUUCUAUUCCGUGACAUGCAAUCCUUUCACCGCCCUCUAGCCUCGGCUCAUCCCUAAAAGUGAUGAUUCCAUUCCUUUUUAGAGUAUCAUAAAGAUGAUCGGUGAAGUUCUUGUGAGCAUCUUCACCUUUAAAACUCAAGAAAACAUCAUAUCUAUAUCUAGAAAUGGAUGAGAAAGACAUGAGGAUGCCUGAGAAGAAAAAUAUAUCUCAAUCGAGCGUUCAAAAUCAAAACAAUAUUUCCCAUCAUUUAUUUUUCCAAAUGAAUAUGGAUAAUAAUAAUAUUAAAGCUUUUAAUCAAUUGUACAUAUCCUUUAUUAAAUUCCCAAUUUUUUUUGUAUUAAAUAUUACAAAAUCAUUCAGAUUCUCUUAAUAUGCUAAUCAAUUCUUGUUGGCUCAAAAAAAAAAAACAUUUUUGUACACGUAGACAAAUAUAUUGAAAAUUUGUCGUGAAUAUCAUGCCACCACCUCAUGAUAUUCAAUAAAUUAUUAAAUUUUGGACAGAAAAUUCACCAACCAAAGAUGAAAAAGUAAUUUUAAUUUGUAAUUCAAAUUAUUAAAUUUUAUCAGUAUUUUCUACAUUUUUCUAAUGUUUAAAGUAUUUAGGGUAUCAAAUGUGUAAUAUAUCCAUCAAAAUGUUCUGUUUUUUAAUUAUAUAAACCCCCAAAAAAAUUAAACAAAAACCAGAUAAUCCAUUCCUACAAGAUAAUCCACUCCAUUGAUUUGUGAUUUUGAGAUUUUAAUUUAAAAGAUAAAUAUCGAAAUAUAUAAUUUUUUAAAAAAUUAAAAACUGAGACCAGUAUAAAAUUAUUUAUCUCAGAUGGAAUGCUCGCUUAGGUGAUAUUUUAUUAGGAUCAGAUAAACGAUCUCAUCGAGAGAGAGAGUCAUCACAGGAUGGAUGAUUGGGAUUGGUAGACGAUGAGACUCCAUGAGUGUGGAGCCUUCCUUGAGUGGACAACGGCAGCGUUGGGUUCACACCUGCGCUUGGAGAGGACUUUGAAGCCUUCACAAAUCAUGUAAAGAAAUGAAAGAAAAUGAAGAAAAUGUUAAAAGCAUGUGCCAAACGUACCAUGAUUAGGGAAAUGAGAUACAACAUUACAAAGCAUGAGUCCAACUAAUAAAAUUAAAGCUGACUUGAAUUUUAUAGGAUGGGAUAAUUUCAUUUUCGGUCCUCUAUAAUCUGCACUAUAUGCGUAGCUCCUGAUUUUAUGUUAUGUUAUGUUAUUUAUUUAAUUCAAUCCCUACCGUUUUUUAGUUUUUUCUUAAUUAGUAUUUGUGACUCUUAACAUUAUUAUUGUAGGUAUUUAGAUAAUAUUUUUACUAUUUGUAUUUAUAAUUUAUUUUAAAUAUUAGAAGCUAUUAUUCUCUUAUCUUUAAUUACUUUUAAUAAUUUUGAACUGUUAUUAAACAAGUGCAAUCUAUUACACAUUAUAUUGUCAAAUAUAUUUCACGUGAUUAAAUUUUAUAAAAAUGAUAUGUAUAAAUUUGAAAUUUAUUUUUUCUACUUUUAUUUGUAAGAAUUUAAUUUAUUUAUUUUUAAAAUUUUAAAAUUCAGAUUUAAUUGUUAACACAAAUUUUUCCUUAAAUUUAUGUGAUAUUUUGAAAUUAAAAAAAAUACACAUUCACUUUCUAGAAAAAGUUGAAUUGGAAUUAUGGUAGAUAAAACGAAUGAAGCAUGAAGAUCACCGUGUGCCAAAUCCAACCACCUUCCUUUUCUUAUACAAAAUUUUAAAGAGUUUCACAAUGAUGCCCUCAAGAAAAGAAAGUAUACAUCAAAGGAAAAAGGAAUUGUGUAAUGAGCGAUGUCAGCUUCACCGAUUAUUUCUUCUUAUCACAUGCCAAAGCAAUUUCCUUGUACAGACUGGGAAAACUCCUGGAAUUUCGUCUAAGUUUGAACGAGGUCGAGUUUUAUAUAAUACUGGACUACCAAGUGUAUGAAGUCGACCAAACACAGAUUACUUCGUCUGUAAUAAAUAAUUAUCAUAAUGUCGUGUUUGAUAAUGCUUGUGUUGCUGCUUUUCCUCCUGGUUGUUGCAUCUUCAGAUAUCAACCAGGGCCAGUUUAGUUUCAAUGGUUACUUGAAUGUCGAGGGAGUUGCAGGCGUAGAUUCAAGUGGGCUGUUUACACUUACAAAUACCACAAGCCGAAUAAUUGGUCAGUUCUUCUACCAGAAUCCGAUCCAGUUCAAGAACUCCACAAAUGCAACUGUUUCCCCCUUCCCCACUACAUUCAUUUUUGCAAUUGUACCUGGAUACACCGACCUUGGUGGCCAUGGAUUGGCCUUCGUUAUCUCCCCUAACGAUGAAAUUUCUGGAGCUCUUCCCACCCACUAUCUCGGUCUUUUCAAGGAAACAAACAUAGGCUUAGACUCGAACCAUGUUGUAGCGAUUGAGCUGGGCACGGCCCGGACCAUUGCGGUCGGUGACAUAGACGGCAACCACGUCAGCAUCGACAUCAAUAGCCCAAGAUCAGUGACAGCUGCUUCUGCUGGGUAUUUCACUGAUGAAAGUGAGUUCAAAAAUCUCAACCUCAAGAGUGGAGAUCCAAUGCAGGUUUGGGUUGAAUACGACGGGCUCUAGAAGCAACUCGAUGUUACAUUGUACCCAAUCAAUGUAACGAAGCCAAAACCUCACUUUUAUACUUGAAAAAGGAUCUGUCUCCAUAUUUGUAUGAGUCUAUGUUUGUCGGCUUCUCGUCGUCCACCGGUGUUCUUGUAUCGUCGCACUACAUAUUGGCUAUUCUAAGGACAUGAUUUUUUUUGCAUCUCAAUCAAAGGUUUGAAAAGUUGAAUUCUUUGAGGUGCCCAUUCAUUAGACUAAGAAAGCUGAAAAGUUGAAAUUAUAUUUAUCAAAACAUAUCAUUUUUUAUUUAUAUCAAGGAUUUUAUCAUGUUAGUAUUAUGAACACGAAUAUAAUGAAUACUAAAUUAUGGUAAAUAAGAAUUUAUUUGUACGAUCAAACAAAAAAAGGGGAAAAAAUCAGAAAAGAGAAAGUUAUAAAAUUAACUAAAUAGGGGAAAAAAUAGUGAAAAGGCUAGUGAAGUAGUUUACCACAUUUAAUGCUUCUUCCCUGAUUUGGCAAUUAUAAAAUUGAAAGUUUUUUGCAUCCGUUUUGGUUGCGGCCCUUCUUCCUUCGCUUCAUCAUAGAUAUUAGGUUUCUGUUUUAUGUGAGAAGUCCUAUCUACUGAUCCAUCGUUGUGAGCAGAGUGUUGGUGGAUGUGAGAAGAUUGAGUGGUAUGUCACUGCAACUCUUUUAUUUCUUCCAAAUCUUUCUCAUACACUAUUCUAGCACCACACUUCUUCACCUUAGCAUAGUCUUCAUCAUUUGGGUUUGAGAAAAACACCUCAAACUCAUCACAUUUUUCAUCUGAGCAAUCUGUUGCCCAUAAAUUAUUGGUUUCACAAUGACCAUAUUUAUCCUCCAAUGAAAAUGGAUAUAAUUUAUCACGCGACCAAUAACGAAGAAAAAGGUGAUCUUUCAUUACGGGCCCGUUAUAUCGUUUACCUAAACACCAGCCGAGCCUAUCAACCACUCGAGGGUUUCUACCUCGAAAAAUAGAUCCAUUACAACUGGCUUCUUCAGAAUUUCUACAAUAGAUAAAUGCUCCACAACCGAUAGACUCGUCAUCCCUUGAAGCAUCAUUAUUGACAAAAAUGCAGCAACAAGCAACUCCAAUCCAUUGACUAUCUUUCGAGACGGGUAUCUUAAUUGAAGAGUCACUUCUUUGUUGGCUAAACCAUUCUGGGAUUUCACUUCCAGGCAUCAGAAUUUCAAACAUUUUUCUUGAAUUUGCGAAUGCCUGCAAAAUAAAACACAAGUCGUUUGGUAACUGAAACCAUAAAUUCUCAAGUAUGAGAUUUUGUAAGGGAGAAAAUAGAGAUUAAUCGACCUUAAGAUGUUUUUUUAGCAGUGUUAAUGCAUCGAUAUUUUCAGCCAAUUUGAAGCAGUUAAUGGCUCUAAUGAUACCCGAAUCCACUAAAUUGCAUACUUUUGAUGGACUUGCAACUACUUCAAGUGAAGAGCAAUCAUCUAUACGCACAUCUGCUAUACUUGUUAGAAGCUCUGGCAACGAUUUAAGCAUCUUGCAAUUUGAUAAUGCAAGGAAAUCAAGCCUGCUAAGUUGAGUAAGAGCCAAAGGAAUGGUGAUGAAAUUGUUACCCGUAAGAUAAAGAUAACUCAAAGAGGAUAGACCAUGAAUAUCUGCUUCACCAAGUGUGCACAUGUUGCAAUAUGACAAAUCAAGAAACCGAAGCUUCGAGAGCCCAGUAAGAGAUGCAGGUAUGCUGGUGAAAUUGUUACCACCAAGAUCAAGAUGUUUCAAGGAGGAUAGACUAGAAAUAUCACGUGGAAUAUCUCCUUCACAAAGAUUGCAGUCUCUUAGUUUUAGCUUUCUUAAUGAACUCAAACCAAACAGCGAAGGCAACAUCUGAGGCAUGGGAUUCUUCCUUCUUCCUACGAUUACCUUGAAAAGAGAAGACAAAUUUGGUCGUAACUUUGCUUGCUGCAAAUUCUCUGACAAAUUUUCAACUCUAUAACAACCAGAAAGAUCUAGAGUUUUUAGACGUUCCAUUUUUCUAUCAAUCCCCGGAAACCUUACAAGACUUGAGCAACCCGAAAGAAUUAAUGUUUCAAGAGAUUCCAUUCCAAUUUUGGUUGGAAGAUUCCUAAGACUUUUGCAAUCUCUUAAAUUCAAAAGUUUAAGGCUGUUAAGCACUCCGAUUGAUGGAUGAACAUCCACUAAUUUGGUACAACCUUCCAAAAUCAAAACUUCAAGAUUUGAUGCUGUUGUAAAGUCUGGUAUCUUGAUCAGGUUUUGGGACCCUUUGAGGUUCAUUAUUUUCAACUUAUACAAGGGCUGUUGAAGACCAUAAAUAAUUAGACAGAAAACAUAAUAAUGCUAAUUUUUGUAUUCUUUACCUUAACCAAAGUUUAAUCAUUUAUAUUAAAAUAAGCUAAAACGAUGAGUUAAUUCUUACUCUAUUUCCCUUCCAUAGUUGUUCAAUGUGACUAUAUGGUAAAAGAAGUGCGACAAGGUUGUCCGGUUGAAAGCUUGAAAGCUUGAAGGCAAGUAUCUUAAAGGAUAUCCUGUCCAAUCUAAAAGUCGUAGUUCAUUAGAAAGAUAUUUGAUAUCAUCACAAUUUGAGACACAAAGCACUUUGAGCAAUCUCAAUUCUUUCAUCUUCGAGAAGGUGUCGAUACUCAAAUUGAGCAUCUUACUUGAUUCCCUAAUAACCACGAGCAAAACAAAAAUAAGCUUCAGAAUAUACAAAAACAUUCAAUAUCUAAAAGCCAUGCUGGAUCGAUAUUGUUUUUUUAAGUAUCCAUAUCUAGCACUUAUAUCUAUUGCAUAUCUGAAUAUGGUAUUGAGAUAUGAUUAACAUAUUAGAACACUUAUAUUCGACCUUUAAUUACCUAAGCUUAAAAAAUCUAGAACUAAUAUUUUGAUUUAUGUUUGGUGCACUGAUGUAUAGUUCUAUACAUUCCCAGUGAACCAAAUGGUGGCAUGACCUAAAUUUAUUUUUAAAAACUUAUAAUGACAUGUUAUAACCUAGUUCAUUGAUAUAGAUUUUCAUUACAUCAAAUAUAAACCAUUAACAUUAGCAAAGACGAUGACACACAUCUCUUUAUAAUUUCUUUUGAAAGAGUAAUGUGUUUCUAUAUAAAUUUUAUAAAUAGAACAUAAAAAAGUAAGCUUUAAGGGUGUACUUGGUUGAGUGGAAAAGUCAAGGGAUAUGAGGAUGAAUUGUCCUUAGUAAAGAAGAAAAGUGAGAAGAAAAAAAAGGGGGAGAAAUAAAUAUUUUAUACUAGUGAGAAGGGAAAUGUAUUAUCUUUCAACUUUCUGUUUACUCUACCAAGCAAAGUCAAAAGGUCUUUUUCUUGUUAUUUUUUAUUGGACUUUUUACAAAAAAAAUAAUAACAAUACUUGGAGUACAUAUUGAUAAAUUUAUAUGUUUCUUUUCUUACCUUUUAUUGUCGAUGGUCAUGCCUUCAAUCACUUCAGUAGCCUGAAAGUAAUCAAGAAGAUAAAAUUAAUGCUCUAAAUUGUACAAUAAAACUUUUAAAAAUUUACAUGCAUGUUCAACAUUAUUGCAAUCUUUUGGUCAAAAUACAGUAAAUAAAAUAUAUUCUAAUGAGAGUAAUUCAAUAAAAUUAAACAUUUAUACCACAAAUCAUUAUUAAUAUUUAUAAUCAACAAAUGAAAAUUAUCUUAAAGCUGCUCAAUGUCACUUAAGGAUCGAUAUAUAAAGCAAUUAGACUAAGCUUUGGAUUUACACCAUUUAUUGAUAAAAGAAAAUUUUGUAUGUAAAUUUUGUUGAAUGGUUUACCGUUUUUUUUGUUAGAACAUGAUGGACAUCCUUUUCCUUCCACAAUCUGCAACGUUUUCCAGGUUCAUUAACACAUUUUUCUUCAACAAUUUUUCUUCCCAUUUCUUGCAACAAGGCAUGCAUCCACAAAUAUCGGUCGUCAUCAUCGACUUUUAUGAGAGAUUUCUUAAAGAGAACAUCAAUUCCAAUAUCUGGGAAAAACUCACAACCAUCCAAUACUUUCAUUACCAAAUCUUUCUUCUCCCCAUUGAAAAAACAUGCUAUAUCUAGAAAUAUAUUCUUCUCCCUUUCUUCUAAUCCAUCAAAGCUGAUUCUUAGUGUGUUAAGAAUUUCUCUGUCACAAUCUUGUUCAAGUCUUUCAAUUGCACUUCUCCAUUGAACUAUAUCUCUACCGCACAAAAAUGAACCCAAAACUUCAAGAGCUAAGGGGAGACCAUCAACAUAAUGUACAACAUGUUCAGAAAGUUGAUUGAAAUCAUCUUUUGGAGUUGUAUCACCACCAAAAGCUUUCAAAUUGAAAAGCCUUAGUGCAUCGUUGGUGUUCAAUGUUGUAGGCUUAUACACAUCAUCGAUUCGAUAAGAUUGGAGCAAAUGUUCAUCUCUUGUUGUUACAAUGAUCCUACUACCUAAACUGAACCAAUCACGCCUUCCAACCAAGCAUUUCAAGUGUUGUACAUUAUCAACAUCAUCAAGAACAACAAGAACUUUUUGCUAGACAACCUGCGGCUAAUUAUGGCAUUCCCUUCGUGAACAUUGAAAAAAUUGAAGCAUUCAUUUGGCAAUAUUUGAUAAAGAAGUUGUUUCUGUAAAGAAACAAGUCCACACUUGUUUGAAACUUCUCGAAUAUCAGCAAGAAAGGUUUUACCUUCAAAAUGAGGUGACAUUUGAGUGUAAACAACCCUUGCAAGAGUUGUUUUACCGAUGCCACCCAUUCCACAAAUUCCUAUAAUGCGGACAUCGUCUUCCCCAAUAUUUAUUUUCGAAUACAACUGCUCCAAACGUGAACUAAUUCCAACCAACUCAUCAUGAAGAACUGGAUAUGUCUGACAUAAAUUUGCUGAUAUCUUCUUAACAAUGUCUCCAAUAAACUCUGAUUCAUGCUACAAUGAAAUUAAAUUUCGAUGCUAUAUUUCAAAUGCACUUCUUCAUUUUUAGUUCAGUGAAUAAUGAAAUAUAAUAUAGUUGGAAGCAAACAAAAAGCAAGAAUAAGACAGCAAGAUCUGUUAUAGCAUCAAAUGACACAACUUGCUGCUUAGUUGAAAUAUGGGAAUUCUCAAUUAAACACAAAAUUAUAUAUAAAAAAAAUGCAAUCCAAAAAAAAAAAAAAAUUAGUCAUUAAAAUUAGGAAAUAUAGAAGAAAAGAAAGAAAUACCUAUUAUGUAAAUGCCAUCCUUUGAUGUUAGCUACUUGAGUCAAAGCAUUUCGCCACUUUUGGAUCUUGUCUGUAUCUUCCUUGUACCUCUCUUGGUGUUUGGCGAAGGCUUCUUCAACUUUUCCUUUUUGUUUUCUUAAAUCGGAUGGAUCCACAUCGUAGAAAAUUGGAAAUACUUUAUGUCCGUUCACAUUUUUUUGUUGAACAAUCUCAGCAAGCUCCUCCAAGGACCAUCCUGAAAAGGUAUAGGUUUUUGAAAAAACGAUUACCGAGCACCAUGAUUGCUGAAUUGCAUUGAAGAGUUUAGGUGCGAUCUCUUCACCAGCCUCCAGCUUUGGAUCAUCUCUGAAGGUGGCGAUCCCACUCCUCUUUAGAGCAUCAUAAAGAUGAUCCAUGAAGUUGUUGCGAGUAUCUUCACCUCUAAAACUCAAGAAAACAUCAUAUUUCUUUCUAGAAAUGGAGGAAGAAGUUGACGGUAACGACAACAUGAGGAUGUAUGAAAGGAGAUGGAUAUCUCAAUCUGGUGUUCAAAAUCAGAAAAUAGAUCGCCCGAUACCCACAAAGAAACUAGAAAGAGUAAGUAUAUAUAUGAGCAUAGGGGCGGAAAUUAGGGGUCAAAAGAUGAGCAAUGGAUGUUCUUGCCAAGAAGUAUCCAAGAAGGUGAGAGUUGGCAAAAUGGAAAUUACGUAAUAAUUAAAAAGUUGGGCGGUUUGUAUUUUACGUAUUUAAGAAUUAUGGGUAGAUAAGAUUAUGACUAAUAAUUAGAAUUAAUUUAUGGGCCGUUUAAAAAGUUUACCAAACAACCAACUACUCGCAUCCACACGUGGAAGAUUUCUAUCUCCAGAGACAGAUCCUUUUCGACCGGCUUGUCCAGAAUUUCUACAAUGGAUAACAGCUCUGGAGAUGAUAACCCUGGCAGGGCAGAAGUAGAAUUUUUUUUUUAAGGUACAAAAUUAAAUUGUAACUUUUAUUAUAGUAAAAAUAUAAUUUUAUAAUUUUAACCGUUUAUAUCUUUAUAAUAUUUAAAAUAUUAAAUUAAAUUAUUAUAAUUUUUAGGAGGGUCAACGUGUAAUUUUAUUUUUACUAAUUUAAAAUUUUAAAAAUCUUAAAAAACUUAAAUAAAAAACUUUUCAUUUUAAGAGAAGGAACCCUACUAUCCCCUAGAUUCGCCUCUGUAUCUCUGAGAAGCAUCAUCAUUGAUAAAUAUGCAACAGGAAACUACUCCCUUCAUUUGUCUUGAAUUUGCAAAUGCCUGCAAAAUAAAACUUCAGCGCUUAGUAAAUAAAACCAUAAAUUCCCUUCAUGGACAUUGAAAACUUUUGUAGCUAAAUACGCCUGAGAUUUUGCUCCUGAUUCAUCAUGUCUUAUCUGCCUGCCUUUGCCUUUCCAUUUAUUCCUGGAUAAAUUUCUGUUCUUCAUAUUUCUUCUAUUGAGAGGACAUUUGCUCCUCCAUAACUCUUAUUCUCUUCUGCAUGUCCAAAUAUUGCUAACUACCAGAUUGAUUAUGUUAGAACCUUUGAUCCAUUGGUGAUGCUUCGGCAUGGUGUUUAAUUUUUGGGGUUAUAAUACCAUGAAGGAGUAUUGGUAAAACUGAUGGUAUGAAUUGUAUUAAAAAAAAGUUUAUGCAUAUAACAUAAAAUGUAUUAAAAAAUCCAUUAAACUUUACAAGUUUCAAUCAGGCACAAAAGAAUGAAUUGUAUGAAUAAAAAUUUAAAUGGUAUAAAAAAUUAUGUUCUACAAAUUCGAGAUAUGUGUAGAAUAUGAGUUUAGUGUUUAACAUGUUCAUACUCAAAAUUUAGAAUUAGUUAUAACAUUUCAAGAAUAUUACCAAAUCCUAUGUUGAGUAAAGAUGUCCAAAAUGAAUACUUCAAAUCAAAUAAAAGACGUGCAUAAAAUAGAUUAGUAUGUCUAAAAAAUAAUUAAUAGUCGAUUGAGUUUUAGCUCGAUUGAUAUCAAUAUUUUUGUCAAUACAGGUGUGAAAAUAGAAUAUUGGUAAUGACAAUGUGUCACAAAGAAAAAGAGAGAAAAAUAAAGAACACACAGAUUUUACGUGGAAACCCUUUCGGAAAAAAAUCACGGGCUGAGGAGAAGAUAAUACACUAUACCGAAUUCGAAUGAAUACAAGAGGAGUAGACUAUGUCUAUUUAUAGGCUUGUAAAACUAUAUUCUAAUAAGAGUGUAGUAAGAUUGAAACACCUUAUUCUAAUUAAUAUCAAAUAGAUGGAGUUUAAUAAGGUUUAAAAACCUUAUUCUAGAAUAAAAUAAAAGAAGUGUAGUUCUAUAUGGAUUUUACUUUUAUUUUAUUUUACCAUUGUAUUUUAUUUAAAUAAGAAUUCAGGUCACUCAAUUCUAACAAUCUCCACCUUGACACGAAUUUUUAAUGAACAAGUUCUUCAUUGCAAACUCUCAACGAACAAGUUCUUCACCUCUUUCAUAAAACCCCAUUACAGGUUUAACUUCAACAAUGAACACCAACCAAGUCUAAGCAAUGCUCAAAUUUGGUUAUAGGAAGUGACUUAGUCAUCAUAUCUGCAGAAUUUUCAUGAGUAUUAAUUUUACUCACAACAAUAUCACCACGAGCAAUAAUAUCAUGAACAAAAUGAUACCGGACAUCAAUGUGUUUUGUUCUUUCAUGAAACAUUUGAUCUUUUGUAAGGAAGAUGGCACUCUGAUUGUCACAAAAUACUGUACUGAUUUGAAGGUCUUCAUUGAGUUCACUAAAGAGUCCCUUCAACCAAAUAGCUUCUUUACAAGCCUCAAUAAUCGCCAUGUACUCAGUUUCAGUGGUAGACAAAAUGACUGUAAUUUGCAAAGUGGCUUUCCAACUGAUUGCACAACCUCUAGUUGUAAAGACAUAACCUGUGGGAGAUAUUCUUCUAUCAAGGUCUCCAGCAAAAUCAGCACCAACAUACCCAAUGACUCCACAUCUCGUUCUUCCAAACUGUAAGCAAACAUCAGUAGUACCUAGUAAGUAUCUUAAAAUCCAUUGAACUUCUUUCCAAUGUUCUUUAUCUGGAUUUGCCAUGCAUCUGCUAACUUCACUGACUGCAUAUGAUAAAUCUGGACGUGAACAAAACAUAGCAUACAUGAGAGAUCCCACUGCACUAGAGCAUGGAACAUGUGACAUGUACUCAACCUCAUCAUAUGAUUGUGGAGACAAAGCUGAUGAAAGUCUGAAAUGGGCUGCUAAAGGAGUAUUAACAGGCUUAGCACUCUGCAUAUUGAACCUGCAAAGAACUUUCCCCUUCUGACUUAGGUACAAUUUACUUGCUUUUUUGUCUCUGAGAAUCUUUAUACCAAGUAUCUUCUUUGCUGGUCCCAAAUCUUUCAUCUCAAAUCUUUCACUUAGUUGGGCUUUGACCUUUCUUAUCUCUUAUUUUUCUUUCGCUACUAUCAACCUAUUAUCAACAUAAAGGAGUACAUACACAAAAGAAACAUCAUUGUUUUUCUUAAAGUAAACACAACUGUCAUAGCUACUUCUUUUGAAAUCAUGAGAAGUCAUAAAGAAAUCAAACCUUUUGUACCACUGUCUUGGUGACUGUUUCAAACUGUAAAGGGACUUUUUUAGCAAGCAAACAUAGUCCUCUUUUUCUGAGACUAUAAAACCCUCUAGUUGUUGCAUGUAAGUAUCCUCCUCAAGUUCUCUAUGCAAAAAUACAGUUUUUACAUCUAACUAUUCAAGCUCCAAAUCAUGCAUAGCCACAAUACCAAGUAAAGCUUGAAUCGAACUAUGCUUCAUAACUGGGGAGAACACAUCUGUGAAGUCCACUCCUGGAAUUUGACUGUAACCCUUUGUAGCAAGCCUUGUUUUAUAUAUGGGUUCUUCAACUCCUAGAGUCCCUUCAUUCUUUUUAAACACCCAUUUACAACGAACAAUCUUUUUAUCUUUAGGAAGUUUCACAAGAUCUCAUGAUUUGUUUUUCUGGAGUGAUUCCAUCUCUUCUUGCAUAGCAAACAUCCAAUUUUCUAAGUCUUCACAGCUAACCGCCUCAAAAUAAUUAGAUGGCUAUUGGUUUGCAUCUAUAUCUUCAACCACAUUUAAAGCAUAAGCAACUAGAUCAGCCUCGGCAUACUUCUUUGGGGGUUUAAUUUCUCUUCUACUUUUGUUUUUGGCAAUAAAGUAUUAUGGCGAAGAAGCAACUUUAUUCUGAAUUUUUGUACUGGCUUGAAAAGUCGACUCUAUUGUAGAUUCUGGAUUAAUCUGAUGCUCCACCUACUUUUGAUUUUCUUUAUUGGAAGAGAGAUAAGUUAGGUAGCAUAGUAGUUUCAUCAAAAACAACAUUUCUACUAAUCACAACAUUUCUAUUUUUAGGACACCAUAACUUAUACCCUUUUACACUAGCUUUAUAACCAAGAAAAACACAUUUAAUGGAUCUCGGUUCUAAUUUUCCAUUAUUAACAUGAGCAUACGUACGACACCUAAAGAUCUUUAAGUCAGAAUAAUCAGCAGGAUUACCAAGCCAUACCUCUUGUGGAGUCUUUUUCUCAAUGGAAAUGGAUGGAGAUCGAUUGAUCAAAAAACAUGCAGUAGAGGUUGUUUUGGCCCAAAACGACUUUGGUAAGUUGGCAUUUGACAACAUACAUCGAACCUUCUCCAUGACCAUUUUGUUCAUUUGUUCUGCAAUGCUGUUCUGCUGUGGAGUAUGACAAACUGUCAAGUGUCUCACGAUCCCUUCUGACUUGCAUAGUUAAUUAAACUCAUCAAAACAGAACUCUGAGCCAUUAUCUUUGCGGAGGUAUUUUAUUUGUUUUCCCGUCUGUUUUUCAAUCAUAUUUUUUCAAGACUUAAAUGCAAAAAACACAUCGCUUUUUUGUGUAACUCAUACCCAACCGUUUGAUUGUAUCAAUAUUCUGCAGAAUUGUAAUGUAGGACAAGAUUUCCAUGAACUAAACUAUAUCACAUGUUACACAAUACGAAAUUAAUACAAACAUGAAACAUAUUUGCUCAUGUGCACACACUUGUAUAUACGUGAUUUAAGUUAAACAAUAUAUUAGACAUGGCAUGAUUAACAACUGAUUAUAAAAUAAAGGUAUUUAGUUACACGCAGACACACAUGUAUCUAAACUCUUUACCGUUGAUGGAGAUGAAAGGAAAAUAUCCCCCCAAAUGUUAGAAUGAAAGUUGGUUGAGGGACGCUUCUGGUUGGACAUGGAUCCAUGAAUUGAAGAAGGAAGCUUUGAUGAAGACAUUUCGUUAGCUAGUAACUAUGUAUGUUGGAAACCCUACGAAAUGAGAUGAAGUGGUGUGAGGCAAAGAGCUCCUAUGUUGACUUAUUUAUACAACUUUCUCAGCAUGUGAAAAUCCUACAUUUACCUAUACAUCUGGAAAUUGAACAGUAGGAUUCGGUAAAAAUCAAAUCGCAUAGUGCCUUAUUAAUUAUUUUUUAAAUUUAAAAAAAAAGAAGAAAGUUAUUGAGAUUAUUUAAAAAUUUUGUAAAAAUAAAAAAUAUAUUAUAAAAUUUUAAAAAUUCAAAAAAAUAAAAAUUUAAUUAUUGAUUUGACAUCCACGUGUAUGUCCACGACAACAAAUUAAAUGUUUGAUUAAAAAAUUCAUCCAUUUUGGGUGAUUUGACAAAAAAAAAUAAGUUCAAAGAUUAAAGAGGUAGAAAAUUAAAUAGAGGGCUAAAAAGAUUUGGUUUUUUUUUUUUGUAAUGUUGGAAGCCUAAAUGUGUCAUUAUACCAAAUUAACUCAAUCACUUAAAAAUAUAACUAAACUAUAAACAAAACAAUUUUUAUAUGUCAUUCAAUCAUAAGUGAAGUGAUAAAUAAUUUGUAUUCAAGUUUUAAGUUGAUAUUGACAUUGUUGCCAGUGUAGGAGGAUGUGGGUUCAAGCAAGCUGAAGCGUGUCAUUCUCCUUUUUCAGGGUUAAGAAGGGAAUAUAAAUAGUUCUAGGUAUUAUAUCAAAAAAUAAUUUUUAGUUGACGUCAAAAUUUAAUUUCAUCCUCAUCCUUAUAAACAACUACUUUUUUGAAAAACAAAAUUUAAUGAAGUAUUAAUAAAGAAAUAAAAAUGUAAAUGGUUUUGAAAAAAUUUACUAUUGCUAGCAAGAAGUGUGUUGCUAAUAGAGACAGGACACUAAGAAAUUGGUGCCUAAGUUGGUGGGCACUUCUUUAGGCACUAAACGAGAAAAAUAGAAAAACACACGAACAUGAUUACGCAAUUCAGUUACUCUACGUCUGUGGAGCCUAGCUCAGUUAAAAGUUUGUACUCUUUUCAACAAUUACAAAGUGAACCCUAAUUGUAGGAAAAAAAAAUCCAAUUUGAAAAUGGUUUUCUUGCCCAGUAAAAAAUUAAAAUUUUAAAAACUGACCCAGUUUGUGAUAUUUAUAGCAGUAAACCUUAGACCGAAAUUAUACCUAUGUUUUUGGUUAAGCGAAUCCUAGACGUUUUUCGAUUUUCAACUAAACGAGUUACGUGAUUAUCAAGUGAAUUUUAAAAAUAAAAAUAAAAAUGUCACGCAAGAGAAUUUAAUAGAAAAAUUUUAACAAAAUUUUUCAACUAAACGAGUUUUUGGUUAAGCGAAUCCUAGACGUUUUUUGACUUUCAACUAAACGUGUUACGUGAUUAUCAAGUGAAUUUUUUAAAAAAAAUUUAAAAAUGUCACGCAAGAGAAUUUAAUAGAAAAAUUUUAACAAGGGUAACGAUCAAUCCUGAAUUUUUAAAUUCAAAAACUAGAAAAUUAUGCUCCUAAAAAUAAAAAUAGAGGACUAAAUUUCAAAUGUAAAAGUAUAUAGGGAUCUAGUGUAUAUUUUAAUAUUCAAAUUUUUAGUCUUUAAUUUGACACAAAUAAUAAUUAACCUAACGUGGAAUGUGGGUCGAGUCCAUACUAGUUUUGGGUCAAAGCCUAAAAACGUGUUAUAUUUCUGUUUUUCCUACAAAACUUUGUUGUCAAGAGUUCAAAUUUUACAUAUAAUUUAUCUAUAUUACAAUGAUUAAUAUAACAAUAUCUUAAUGGGUUGAGUAGAAUGGUUCAACAAGUACAAAGAUGAUGAAGGAAACUUUAACAUGUCCUUAACAAGUGAUGUGAAAGGCUUACUAGAAUUAUAUGAAGCUUCACAUUUACGUGUGCAUGGGGAAGAUAUACUUGAAGAAGCUCUUGGUUUCACCACCACUCAUCUAGGUUUAGCCAAAGCUGCGGGCACUAUCGAAUAUCCCCUUUCAGCCUUAGUCUCCCAUGCUCUAUACCAACCCAUCCGCAAGGGCUUGCCAAGGUUGGAGGCUAGGCGAUUCAUUUCCAUUUACCGAGACGAUGCUUCACAUAACAAAACACUGUUGAAGUUUGCAGAGUUGGAUUUCAACUUGUUACAAAUUUCACACAAGGAUUUCAAGGCAAUAUAUUACUCCUUCAACAUUCAAUAUUUUAAUUGUUUAUCCUAAUUUAAAAGGACUAACUGAUACCUAAUGAUGAACUAUACAUAGGCUAAUUUGAGUUUUGUUUCAGGUGGGGGAAAAGUUUAGACUUACCUACAAAACUACCUUUUGUUCGAGAUAGAUUGGUAGAAGCUUACUUUUGGGCACUGGGAGUGGAUUUUGAGCCACAAUACUCUUUUGCUAGGGAGAUAUUAGCAAAAACAAUGGUCAUGACAUCAAUAAUGGAUGACAUAUAUGACGCAUAUGGCACACUUGAAGAACUUCAACUCCUCUCGAAUGCAAUUCAGAGGUUAGCAACUUCACACGAUUCAAUUUUAAAUUUGAAAGUUGAUUCAGUUAGUUCAUUGUAAUCAUGUAUAAAAAACAUUACUCAAUAUGUUUGAUUUUGAACUUUUCUCUAAUUGAUUUUGCAGGUGGGAUGUUGAUUAUAUAGAUCAACUCCCAAAAUACAUGAAGUCAUUUUACAAGCCAUUGUUAGAUCUUUUUGGAGAAAAUGAGUAGGCAAUGAUUAAGCAAGGAAAAUAAUGUUAUGUCAAAUAUGCGAAAGAUUAUACAUUCGUACCUUAUCUCAUUUUUUAAAUAAUUUUACAUAAGCAGUAAAAAUUAGUAACCCCUUUCUCCUUUUCUCAUAUAUUAUAUGAGGAAAAUGACAAGUAGUGUUGGCAAUGAAGCAAGGUGGAGUGGGACUAUUCACCUUAACCCCAUCCAAUCUUUAUAUCUCCUACCUUGACACCACUCCGAACAUGAUUUUAUUUGAAAUUUCAUAUCCAACAAAUUUUUUUUUUCUCAACUUUACCCAACUCACACAAAAAUAUUAAAUAAUUUUUAUGUUGUAUUACUUUUUACAAUAUCAAAUAAAAUGCAUAAUAUAAAAUCAUAUAAAAAUUUAAAAUAUCUAACUAAAAAAUAAAAAAUUUAAAAUUUUAUAAAAUCUUAUAGAAGUUUAAAAAAUUUAUAAUUAAAAUAUAUAAAAUUAGUUAUGAAAUUAAAAAGGUAUUUUGGUAAUUUUUUAAGAUAGUGCAAGUUUAAGUAAAACCUUAUCUCUUCCCAAACUCUAAUUUUCAUAAAAAUAAAAUAUGUUUUAUAGGGUUGGAUCGAAACAUAUGGAUUUGGGUCAUUUUUAUUAUCCCUAAAUAUACAUAUAUGUUUAGCAUGAUUAUAUUCCAUUUUAUAAAAAUAUAUAUAUAUUUAUAUAUGAAGGAUUAUAAGUUGGUACUUAUAUACUCUAAACUUGAAAAUUUAUUAUGACCUAAAGGUAAUGACUACAAUGAAAACUUUGUACCAAUAAUGGAGGAGUAUAUGAGGAACGCGGUUUUAUCUGUUGGUUAUAUCAUGUUAACCGUCACAUCUUUUAUUGAGAUUUUUGAUUGGGCAUCCAAGAACCCUAAAAUCACUGAUGCUUCUUCCGUUGUUGAUCGUCUCAUGAAUGAUGUUACUUCACACAAGGUACCUUUUUUUCCCGAAUUUUGCAAGAGUAUUUUCAAUAAGUUAUAUUUGAUGAAUAAAACUAAUAUAAAUAUAUAGUUUGAGCAAGAGAGAGGGCACUGUGCAUCAGCUUUGAAUGCUACAUGAGAGAACAUGCAGUUUCAGAAGAAGAAGCAUGUACUGAAUUGAAGAAGCAAGUGGAGAAUGCUUGGAAAGAUAUCAACCAGGAAAUCAUAUUUAGUGAGAUAUCUAAAGUUGUUCCAAGACCGGUUCUUACACGAGUUCUCAAUUUUACAAGAUUGGAGAUGAGUACACACAUGUUGGGAAAAAUACAAAAGAUGGGAUAACUCUGUGCUCAUUGAUCCAAUCUCAGUCUCCUAUUGAGGAAUUAAGACUCUAUAUCAUCUAGCGAUCCAUUUCCUGUUUGUGUUGCUUUUAUAUGUUAUAUGCUUUUAAGAUGUUAUUUAAAUCCUAACAUCUCAGUAAUCCAUGGUGUAUAUUUAUGUUACUCUUUUUUACUAUGUUUUAUGUCGUAUUUUGAUAAAUUUUCAAAUCUCAAGAUUUCUUGAGACUUAAAGGGUUGGUGAAUGAAUCAAGGCGUUGUUAUUUAAAUGGGUUUUAUGGUUGUUCUUUUGGUGCAGUUCUGAUUGUGUCUCAACUGCUUUUUGUUUAUGAGAUUUUAGUGCAAGGGAUCAUGAGUGGUAGUUGUGUUGCAAAGGGCUAAUCCUUACAGUAUAUCAACAUGGGAUGAUGGUGAAUGAACCUUGGCUUUAAAGUUUUUUAGGUGUUAAUGAUGGUAAGUAUGUGAUUGCUUAAGAGAUUAAAGGUAUGGGUUUUAAAGAAAAUGGGUGGAUGGAAGGAAUUGUGGGUAAUCAGCAGUGCAUUUUACUGGAGGAGGGAAGUGCAACUGGUAGGGGAUUUCUAAGUUCUUAGAAUGGUUUGCAUGUAAAUUUUGGAGUUCUAAAAAAAAAAAGAGUUAACUUAAAUCACUUUUGAGAUGAAUUUCAAUGGAAAUGUGAAAUUCCCAACUAUAUGUUUUCUAAAAUGAAGAAACAAGAGAGAGAAAAUCUAACUAUUUUGCAAAGAGAAAAAAAAGAAGCCAUUUUUAUAUUACCCACUCUGCAUUGAGAAAUUAUUUUAUGGACCUUUUUAUCACAUCAUCUAGGAUUUUUUACACAAAUAAUACAAAAAAAAUUAAAAAAAUAACAAAGUAAUACAACCAUUUUAUUAUGUACCAAAAUGGUACAAACAGUAAAAAACCUAGUCGAGGGCCUGCCACAGGCGGCACCUGUGUCAUGUUUUCCUGGGGCUCCCCAAUUUGUUUGUUUUUGUUGUUUAAGGUUUAUGAUGUGAUUGGUUUUGAUUUAAUUGAGAUUUAAUUUUAAAUUUAUUUUUUUACAAGGUAUUAUUUGAUUAAAAAUAGAUAUUAAGAUAUGUUUAUAUUUAUCUAUAUUUUCAUUCAUUCAUAAUUUAAUUUUAAUUUUUAUGUUAUGUACAUUCUAUGUUUUAUUAUUUAUGUUAUGUACAUACUAUGUCUUAUUAUUUUAUCAUUUAUGUUAUUAUUUAUGUUUUAUUAUUUAUGUUAUCUACAUUCUAUGUUUUAUUAUUUUAUUUAAUUUAUUUGUUAAGUGUGUUUUAUGUUGAUUAGAUAUAUUUUUUAUGAAACUUAUUUAGCAUGUUGUAAUGAGAUUUUUUUACAAAAAUAGUAUUAAAAAUAAAAUACCGAAAAAAUAUUUUUAUGACAAAAUAAAAUACAAAAAGAAAUAAAAAUGAAAAUAGUAUAUUUACUGAAAGUAAUAAAAUUCGAAAAAAAAAAAAUUACGAACAAAGGGUCAAAAUAAAGGUUUUUUACUAAAUUUAUAAAAAAAACACACAAAAAUAAUAUAUUUCAGACAUUAUGUACUAAAAUAAUAUAAAAUAAUAAAAUACAAAAAUAGUAUAUCUUUUGAAAGUAAUAAAAUCCGAAAAUAAGAAAAAUAUGAACAAAUAGGCCAAAAUAAGGGUUUUUUUAUAAAUUUAUAUAAAAACACACUAAAUUAAUACAUUUCAAACUUUAUGUACUAAAAUAAUAUAAAAUAAUAAAAUACGAAAAUAGUAUAUUUUUUGAAAGUAAUAAAAUCUGAAAAUAAGAAAAAUACGAACAAAGGGCCAAAAAAUCGGGAAAACAUGGCACAGGUGCCGCUUGUGGCAGUGGCAUCUUUGGUGCUGCCUCUGCCACUGGCACCUUUGGUGCCGCCUAUGGCAGACCCUCGACCAGGUUUUUUACUGUUUGUACCAAUUUGGUACAUAAUAAAAUGGUUAUAUUAUUUUGGUAUUUUUUUAAUUUUUUUUGUAUUAUUUGUGUAAAAAACCUCAUCAUCUAUGGUCCCACCCAAUUAAAAGAAGACGCAUCAUCUUUGAUUCCACUUCUCCACUGAGAAGCAUCUCUACCGCACACAAAAGAACCCAAAACUUCAAGAGUUAAGGGGAGACCACUAGCAUAAUGUACAACAAGUUUAGAAAGGACUAAAUUGUAACAAUUUGGACUAAUUUAAAUAAAACAAAGAACAUGGAUAGUGAUGCCCCUAAGGGAAUAUUAAGAUAAAGUGAGACCGAAAGGUAAUCUUGUCGUGCACCCGUUCAUUAGUCACGGAUUAACUAGUGAGAUUGGAAGAUAAACUAGACCUAAUCAGUCUAAGUUGGCAAAAUUAAGACCGGAAGAUAAAAUAGAGCCACUUGGUAAUUAUGUGAUUUAUGUCAUUGGUCCAAGAUUUGGUGAACCACAUCGAAGUCAACCAACCCCUAUUAGUCAUUUGCUAGAUAGUCCUUCUAGUUUACAUUUCUUGUAAUUUAGUCCCUAGAGUAGAAUAUUUAAUUUUCUUGCAAACUUAUCUUUUAUGAAUCACCGUAAUAUAAAAUUGUAUCAAUAGACACUUAGCAUCUAUUGUGUAUGUUAGUUAUUACUCAAUUGCCUAUUCCUUUGGGUUCAAUCCUUAGAAUACUUUUGCAUUUCAUUAUUACACUAUAAAUAUAAAUAUUAAAACUGACCAGUACGCUUGCAGUAAAAUUGGGCUUUUAAAAUAGUUAUAUAAAUUUAGUGUUUUAAGCACACGCAUGCAACCGGUCAGUAGUCAAUCUCACCCCAUUAGCCACCAUGACAUGAAGUUGACUAAAGUGCUCCACUAAUAAAUCCAACCUCUUAACGAGCUUAGAAUCUAGAAAAUUGUGUGUACUUCUUGAGUCAACCAGGAUAAUGACAUUGGAGUGACCAAUACUUGCUAAAAACUGCAUAGAAUUAUGUCUCUAUAAGCCUUGAAGGGUGUGUAAAGAUAAAACUGGGGCAGUGUGUUUCGUUUCCUAUUCUAACACUUUCAGUUGUUCAGGACAUUCUUGGAACUCUUCAAACACUGGACUCUUGCUUCCACCCUCAUGAUCUGAAUAAAGUUCUACAACCAGCUGAUAAAGUUGAGACUUGGUGCACUUAUGACCUGGGGUGUAUUUGGAUGCAAACCGAAAGCAAAGUCCCUUCUUUCUUCUCUAUUCUAUUUUAGCUUGAGAAAAGGGUUUGGUUUGGAAUUUUUACCCCGAGUUACUAUUUGGAGGUCCACUUGGCCCUAUCGAGUUACAGUGGUGAUAUUGCACCUUGGGACCAAGAAUUAGGAGGCUAAGGUGACUUAUUCCCCCACUUACAUUCAAACUCUUCUUUGUGAACUUAGCCACAAUGUGUUCAACCUAUAGAGCUAGUUGAUAGCCUUCUACCAGUGUUUGAGCCUUGAACAACCAUAGAUACUACCCUAUCUCAGGUUUAAGAUUGCAAGUGAAAACACUAAGGACAUAAUCCUCACUUAGAUGUAACUGAUUAAGCAAACUUACAAAACGGUCAUGGAAUUGGUCCAUUGACCCUUUCUCCUUGAGUGAAACAUGUCCUAACAUGGGGUCUAAGAAGGAGUUAGAUCUAAAAUGAUCCCUCAGCCCUCGAACAUAUAUCUCCUAAGUCAGGUGAUGUAAUCCCCCUGUCAUUGCACAAAAGUGAUGCCAAUCUAGGGCUUUACCUUCUAAGUGCAACAUUACCAUUCUAACAUUGGUUUACUUUAUUAUAUUUGCAGCUUCAAAGAAUCGUUCUAACUUGGACCACCAAUCUUGAUAAUCUGUCCCAUCAAAUCAUGGGCAUUCUAGCUGAAGAGUUUUACUGACAAAGUCCACAAGACCAACUUGAGAAAAAGUAUUCAUGUUUUCCAAAUCUGACACAGGUGAUAAUAUAAGUGACUUUUUGGAAGGGAACUUAGGAGGAGAGCCUCCCAUAAUGCCCUUGUCUUGAACUCUUCUAGUUACACUGGCAGAAGCAUUUUGACCAAAAUAGUGUUCAAAAAGAUAAUCCACUCCUACAAGGUAAUCCAUUCCUACAAGAUAAUCAACUCCAUUGAUUUGUGAUUUUGAGAUUUUAAUUUAAAAGAUAAAUAUCGAAAUAUAUAAUUUUUUUAAAAAAAUUAAAAACUGAGACCAGUAUAAAAUUAUUUAUCUUAGAUGGAAUGCUCAAUUAGGUGAUAUUUUAUUAGGAUCAGAUAAACGAUCUCAUCGAGAGAGAGAGUCAUCACAGGAUGGAUGAUUGGGAUCGGUAGACGAUGAGACUCCAUGAGUGUGGAGCCUUCCUUGAGUGGACAACGGCAGCAUUGGGUUCACACCUGCGCGUGGAGAGGACUUUGAAGCCUUCACAAAUCAUGUAAAGAAAUGAAAGAAAAUGAAGAAAAUGUUAAAAGCAUGUGCCAAACGUACCAUGAUGAGGGAAAUGAGAUACAACAAUACAAAGCAUGAGUCCAACUAAUAAAUUAAAGCUGACUUGAAUUUUAUAGGAUGGGAUAAUUUCAUUUUCGGUCCUCUAUAAUCUUCACUAUAUGCGUAUAGCUCCUGAUUUUAGUUUAUUUAUUUAAUUCAAUCCUAACCGUUAUUUAUUUUAGUUUUUUUUAAUUAGUAUUUGUGACUCUUAACAUUACUAUUGUAGGUAUUUAGAUAACUUAAUAGAGAUAAUAUUUUUACUAUUUGAAUGCAUAAUUUAUUUUAAAUAUUAGAAGCUAUUAUUCACUUAUCUUUAAUUACUUUUAAUAAUUUUGAACUGUCAUUAAACAAGUGCAAUUUAAUAAUCUAUUACACAUUACAUUGUCAAAUAUAUUUCACGUGAUUAAAUUUUAUAAAAAUGAUAUGUAUAAAUUUGAAAUUUAUUUUCUGUACUUUUAUUUGUAGGAAUUUCAUUUAUUUAUUUUUAAAAUUUUAAAAUUCAAAUUUAAUUGUUAACCCAUUUUUUUCCUAAAAUUUAUGUGAUAUUUUGAAAUUUAAAAAAAUACACAUUCACUCCUACUAUUGUUUCUAGAAAAGUUGAAUUGGAAUUUUGGUAGAUAAAACGACUGAAGCAUGAAGAUCACCGUGUGCCAAAUUCAACCACCUUCCUUUUCUUAUACAAAAUUUUAAAGAGUUUCACAAUGAUGCCCUCGAGAAAAGAAAGUAUACAUUAAAGGAAAAAGGAAUUGUGUAAUGAGUGAUGUCAGCUUCACCGAUUAUUUCUUCUUAUCACAUGCCAAAGCAAUUUCCUUGUACAGACUGGGAAAACUCCUGGAAUUUCGUCCAAGUUUGAACGAGGUCGAGUUUUAUAUAAUACUGGACUACCAAGUGUAUGAAGUCGACCAAACACAUAGAUUACUUCGUCCGUAAUAAAUAAUAAUAAUAAUGUCGUGUUUGAUCAUGCUUGUGUUGCUGCUUUUCCUCCUGGUUGUUGCAUCUUCAGAUAUCAACCAGGGCCAGUUUAGUUUCAAUGGUUACUAGAAUGUCGAGGGAGUUGCAGGCGUAGAUUCAAGUGGGCUGUUUACACUUACAAAAUACCACAAGCCGAAUAAGUGGUCAAAUCUUCUACAAGAAUCCGAUCCAGUUCAAGAACUCCACAAAUGCAACUGUUUCCCCCUUCCCCACUACAUUCAUUUUUGCAAUUAUACCUGGAUACACCGACCUUGGUGGCCAUGGAUUGGCCUUCGUUGUCUCCCCUAACGAUGAAAUUUCUGAAGCUCUUCCCACCCACUAUCUCGGUCUUUUCAUUGAAACAAACAUAGGCUUAGACUCGAACCAUGUUGUGGCGCUUGAGCUGGGCACGGCCCGGACCAUUGCGGUCGGUGACAUAGACGGCAACCACGUCGGCAUCGACAUCAAUAACCCAAGAUCAGUGACAGCUGCUUCUGCUGGGUAUUUCACUGAUGAAAGUGAGUUCAAAAAUCUCAACCUCAAGAGUGGAUAUCCAAUGCAGGUUUGGGUUGAAUACGACGGGGUCUAGAAGCAACUUGAUGUUACAUUGUACCCAAUCAAUGUAACGAAGCCAAAACCUCACUUUUAUCCUUGAAAAAGGAUCUGUCUCCAUAUUUGUAUGAGUCUAUGUUUUUCGGCUUCUCGUCGUCCACCGGUGUUCUUGUAUCGUCGCACUACAUAUUGGCUAUUCUAAGGACAUGAUUUUUUUGCAUCUCAAUCAAAGGUUUGAAAAGUUGAAUUCUUUGAGGUGCCCAUUCAAUAGACUAAGAAAGCUGAAAAGUUGAAAUUAUAUUUAUCAUAACAUAUCAUUUUUUAUUUAUAUCAAGGAUUUUAUCAUGUUAGCAUUAUGGACACGAAUAUAAUGAAUACUAAUUUAUGGUAAAUAAGAAUCUAUUUGUACGAUCAAACAAAAAAAGGGGAAAAAAAUCAGAAAAGAGAAACUUAUAAAAUUAACUAAUAGGGGAAAAAUCUUGAAAAAGCUAGUGAAGUAGUUUACCACAUUUAAUGCUUCUUCCCUGAUUUGGCCAUUAUAAAAUUGAAAGUUUUUUGCAUCCGUUUUGGUUGCCUUCUUCCUUCGCUUCAUCAUAGAUAUUAGGUUUCUGUUUUAUGUGAGAAGUGCCAUCUACUGAUCCAUAAAGGUGUGAGCAGAGUGUUGGUGGAUGUGAGAAGAUUGAGUGGUAUGUCACUGCAACUCUUUUAUUUCUUCCAAAUCUUUCUCAUACACUAUUCUAGCACCACACUUCUUCACCUUAGCAUUGUCUUCAUCAUUUGGGUUUGAGAAAGACACCUCUAACUCAUAACAUUUUUCAUCUGAGCAAUCUGUUGCCCAUAAAUUAUUGGUUUCACAAUGACCAUAUUUAUCCUCCAAGGAAAAUGGAUAUACUUUAUCACGCGACCAAUAACGAAGAAAAAGGUGAUCUUUCAUUAUGGGCUGGUUAAAUCGUUUAUCCACCAACCAGCCGCUCCCAUCAAUCCGUCGAGGAUUUUUACCUCGAAAAUUAGAUCCAUUACAACUGGCUUCUUCAGAAUUUCUACAAUAGAUAAUUGCUCCACAACCGAUAUGCUCGUCAUCCCUUGAAGCAUCAUUAUUGACAAAAAUGCAGCAACAAGCAACUCCAAUCCAUUGACUAUCUUUCGGAACGGGUAUCUUAAUUGAAGAGUCACUUUUUUGUUGGAUAAACCAUUCUGGGAUUUCACUUCCGGGCAUCAUAAUAUCAAACUUUUUUCUUGAAUUUGCCAAUGCCUGCAAAAUAAAACACAAGUCGUUUGGUAACUAAAACCAUACAUUCUCAAGUAUGAGAUUUUGUAAGGGAGAAAAUAGAGAUUAAUCGACCUUAAGAUGUUUUUUCAGCAGUGUUAAUGCAUUGAUAUUUUCAGCCAAUUUGAAGCAGUUAAUGGCUUUAAUGAGACCAAAAUCCAAUAAAUUGCAUACAUUUGAUGGACUUGCAACUACUUCAAGUGAAGAGCAAUCAUCUAUACGCACAUCUGCUAUACUUGUUAGAAGCUCUGGCAACGAUUUAAGCAUCUUGCAAUUUGAUAAUGCAAGGAAAUUAAGCCUGCUAAGUUGAGUAAGAGCCAAGGGAAUGGUGAUGAAAUUGUUCCCCGUAAGAUAAAGAUAACUCAAAGAGGAUAGACCGUGAAUAUCUGCUUCACCAAGUGUGCACAUGUUGCAAUUUGACAAAUCAAGAAACCAAAGCUUCGAGAGCCGAGUAAGAGAUGCAGGUAUGCUGAUGAAAUUGUUACCACUAAGAUCAACAUCUGUCAAGGAGGAUAGACUAGAAAUAUCACGUGGAAUAUCUCCUUCACAAAGAUUGCAGUUCCUUAGUUUUAGCUCUCUUAAUGAACUCAAACCUAACAGCGAAGGCAACAUCCGAGGCAUGGGAUUCUUCCUUCUUCCUACAAUUACCUUGAAAAGAGAAGACAAAUUUGGUCGUAACUUUGCUUGCUGCAAAUUCUCCGACAAAUUUUCAACUCUAUAACAACCAGAAAGAUCUAGAGUUUUAAGAUGUUCCAUUUUUCUAUCAAUCUCCGGAAACCUUACAAGACUUGAGCAACCCGAAAGAAUUAAUGUUUCAAGAGAUUCCAUUCCAAUUUUGGUCGGAAGAUUUCUAAGACUUUUGCAAUCUCUUAAAUUCAAAAGUUUAAGGCUCUUAAGCACUCCUAUUGAUGGAUGAACAUCCACUAAUUUGGUACAACCUUCCAAAAUCAAAACUUCAAGAUUUGGUGCUGUUGUGAAGUCUGGUAUCUUGAGCAGGUUUUGGGACCCUUUGAGGUUGAUUAUUUUCAACUUAUACAAGGGCUGUUGAAGACAAUAAAUAAUUAGACAGAAAACAUAAUAAUGCUAACUUUUGUAUUCUUUACCUUAACCAAAGUUUAAUCAUUUAUAUUAAAAUAAGCUAAAACGAUGAGUUAAUUCUUACUCUAUUUCCCUUCCAUAGUUGUUCAAUGUGACUAUAUGGUAAAAGAAGUGCGACAAGGUUGUCCGGUUGAAAGCUUGAAGGCAAGCAUCUUAAAGGAUAUCCUGUCCAAUCUAAAAGCCGUAGUUCAUUAGAAAGAUAUUUGAUAUCAUCACAAUUUGAGACACAAAGCACUUUGAGCAAUCUCAAUUUUUUCAUCUUCAAGAAGGUAUCGAUUCUCAAAUUAAGCAUCUUGCUUGAGUCCCUAAUAACCAUGAGCAAAACAAAAAUAAGCUUCAAAAUAUACAAAAACAUUCAAUAUCUAAAAGCCAUGCUGGAUCGAUAUUGCUUUUUUAAGUAUCCAUAUCUAGCACUUAUAUCUAUUGCAUAUCUGAAUAUGGUAUUGAGAUAUGAUUAACAUAUUAGACAAUACUUUAUCUAACACUUAUAUUCGACUUUUAAUUACCUAAGCCUAAAAUAACUAGAACUAAUAUUUUGAUUUAUGUUUGGUGCACUGAUGUAUUGUUCUAUACAUUACCAGUGAACCAAAUGGUGGCAUGACCUGAAUUUAUUUUUAAGAACUUAUAAUGACAUGUUAUAACCUAGUUCAUUGAUAUAGAUUUUCGUUACAUCAAAUAUAAACCAUUACAUUAGCAAAGACUAUGAAACACAUCUCUUUAUAAUUUCUUUUGAAAGAGUAAUGUGUUCCUAUAUAAAUUUUAUAAAUAGAACAUAAAAAAAAAUUAAGCCUUAAGGGUGUACUUAGUUGAGUGAAAAAAUCAAAGGAUAUGGGGAUGAAUUGUGCUUGGUAAAGAAGAAAAGUGAGAAGAAAAAAAAGCGGAGAAAUGAUCAUUUUAUAUUAGUAAGAAGGGAAAUGUAUUAUCUUUCAAUUUUCUGUUUACUCUACCAAGCAACGUCAAAAGGUCUUUUUGUUGUUUUUUAUUGGACUUUUUACAAAAAAAAAUAAUAAUAACACUACUAGGAGUACAUAUUGAUAAAUUUAUAUGUUUCUUUUCCUACCUUUUAUUGUCGAUGAUUAUGCCUUCUAUCACUUCAGUAGCCUGAAAAUAAUCAAGAAUCGAUAAUAAGAAGAUAAAAUUAAUGCUCUAAAUUAUACGAUAAAACUUUUAAAAAUUUACAUACAUGUUCAACAUUAUCGCAAUCUUUUGGUCAAAAUAUAGUAAUUAAACUAUAUUCUAAUGAGAGUAAUUCAAUAAAAUUAAACAUUUAUAUUACAAAUCAUUAUUAAUAUUUAUAAUCAGCAAAUGAAAAUUAUCUUAAAGCAAUUAAGAUAAAAGAAAAUUAUUAAUAUUUACAUACAAUGUCAGUUAAGGAUCCAUAUAUAAACCAAUUAGACUAAGCUUUGGAUUUACACCAUAUAUUGAUAAAAGAAAAUUUUGCAUGUAAAUUUUGUUGAAUGGUUUACCGUAUUUUUUGUUAGAACAUGAUGGACAUCCUUUUCCUUCCACAAUCUGCAACAUUUUCCAGGUUCAUUAACACAUUUUUCUUCAACAAUUUUUCUUCGCAUUUCUUGCAACAAGGCAUGCAUCUGCAAAUAUUGGUUGUCAUCACUGACUUUUAUGAGAGAUUUCUUAAUGAGAACAUCGAUUCCAAUAUCUGGAAAAAACUCACAACCAUCCAAUACUUUCAUUACCAAAUCUUUCUCCUCCCCAUUGAAAAAGCAUGCUAUAUCUAGAAAUAUAUUCUUCUCCCUUUCUUCCAAUCCAUCAAAGCUAAUUCGUAGUGUGUCAAGAAUUUCUUUGUUAGAAUCUUGUUUAAGUCUUUCGAUUGCACUUCUCCAUUGAAUUAUAUCUCUACCGAACAAAAAUGAACCCAAAACUUCAAGAGCUAAGGGGAGACCAUCAACAUAAUGUACAACAUGUUCAGAAAGUUGAUUGAAAUCAUCUUUUGUAGUUGUAUCACCACCAAAAGCUUUCAAAUUGAAAAGCCUUAGUGCAUCGUUGGUGUUCAAUGUUGUAGGCUUAUACACAUCAUCGAUUCGAUAAGAUUGGAACAAAUGUUCAUCUCUUGUUGUUACAAUGAUCCUACUACCUAAACUGAACCAAUCACGCCUUCCAACCAAGCAUUUCAAGUGUUGUACAUUAUCAACAUCAUCAAGAACAACAAGAACUUUUUUGCUAGACAACCUGCGGCUAAUUAUGGCAUUCCCUUCGUGAACAUUGAAAAAAUUGAAGCAUUCAUUUGGCAAUAUUUGAUAAAGAAGUUGUUUGUGUAAAGAAACAAGUCCACACUUGUUUGAAACUUCUCGAAUAUCAGCAAGAAAGCUUUUACCUUCAAAAUGAGGUGACAUUUGAGUGUAAACAACCCUUGCAAGAGUUGUUUUACCGAUGCCACCCAUUCCACAAAUUCCUAUAAUGCGGACAUCGUCUUCCCCAAUAUUUAUCUUCGAAUACAACUGCUCCAAACGUGAACUAAUUCCAACCAACUCAUCAUGAAGAACUGGAUAUGUCUGACAUAAUUUUGCUGAUAUCUUCUUAACGAUGUCUCCAAUAAACUCUGAUUCAUGCCUACAAUGAAAUUAAAUUUCGAUGCUAUAUUUCAAAUGCACUUCUUCAUUUUUAGUUCAAUGAAUAAUGAAAUAUAAUAUAGUUGGAAGCAAACAAAAAGCAAGAAUAAGACAGCAAGAUCUGUUAUAGCAUCAAAUGACACAACUUGCUCCUUAGUUGAAAUAUGGGGAUUCUCAAUUAAACACAAAAUUAUAUAUAAAAAAAAUGCAAUCCAAAAAAAAAAUAGUCAUUAAAAUUAGGAAAUAUAGAAGAAAAGAAAGAAAUACCUAUUAUGUAAAUGCCAUCCUUUGAUGUUAGCUACUUGAGUCAAAGCAUUUCGCCACUUUUGGAUCUUGUCUGUAUCUUCCUUGUACCUCUCUUGGUGUUUGGCGAAGGCUUCUUCAACUUUUCCUUUUUGUUUUCUUAAAUCGGAUGGAUCCACAUCGUAGAAAAUUGGAAAUACUUUAUGUCCGUUCACAUUUUUUUGUUGAACAAUCUCAGCAAGCUCCUCCAAGCACCAUCCUGAAAAGGUAUAGGUUUUUGAAAAAACGAUUACCGAGCACCAUGAUUGCUGAAUUGCAUUGAAGAGUUCAGGUGCGAUCUCUUCACCAGCCUCCAGCUUUGGAUCAUCUCUGAAGGUGACGAUCCCACUCCUCUUUAGAGCAUCAUAAAGAUGAUCCGUGAAGUUGUUGCUAGUAUCUUCACCUCUAAAACUCAAGAAAACAUCAUAUUUCUUUUUAGAAAUGGAGGAAGAAGUUGACGGUAACGACAACAUGAGGAUGUAUGAAAGGAGAUGGAUAUCUCAAUCUGGUGUUCAAAAUCAGAAAAUAGAUCGCCCGAUACCCACAAAGAAACUAGAAAAAGUAAGUAUAUGAGCAUAGGGGCAGAAAUUAGGGGUCAAAAGAUGAGCAAUGGAUGUUCUUGCCAAGAAGUAUCCAAGAAGGUGAGAGUUGGUAAAGUGGAAAUUAAGUAAUAAUUAAAAAGUUGGACGGUUUGUAAUAAUUAUGAGUAGAUGAGAUUAUGACUAAUAAUUAAUAGAAUUAAUUUAUGGGCUGGUUAAAAAGUUUACCAAACAACCAACUACUCGCAUCCACACGUGGAAGAUUUCUAUCCCCAGAGACAGAUCCAUUUCGACCAGCUUGUCCAGAAUUUCUACAAUGGAUAACAGCUCUGGAGAUGAUAACAGCUCUGGAGAUGAUAAACUUACUCUGGCAGGCAGAAGUCAGAAUUUUUUUUUUAAGUUAACUUUUAUGAUAUUAAAAAUAUAAUUUUAUAAUCUUAAUAUUUAAAAUAUUUUAUAACUUUAUAAUAUUUAAAAUAUUUAAAGGAUUAAAUUAAAUUUUUAUUAUUUUUAAAGAAUUAAAGUGUAAUUUAAUCUUUACUAAUUUAAAAUUUUAAAAAUCUUAAAAAGUUUAAAUGAAAAACUUUUCAGGAGAACCAAACCUACCAUCCCUAGAUUCGCCUCUGUAUCCCGAGAAGCAUCAUCAUCGAUAAAAAUGCAACAGGAAGCUACUCCCUUCAUUUGUCUUGAAUUUGCAAAAUAAAACUUCAGCGCUUGGUAAAUAAAACCAUAAAUUCCCUUCAUGGACAUUGAAAACUUUUGUAGCUAAUUACGCCUGAGAUUUUGCUCCUGAUUCAUCCUGUUCGCCCUAAGCUGCCUGCCUUUGCCUUUCCAUUUAUUCCUGGAUAAAUUUCUGUUGUUCUUCAUAUUUCUUCUAAUGAGAGGACAUUUGCUCCUCCAUAACUCUUAUUCUUUUCUGCAUGUCCAAAUAUUGCUAACUACCAGACUGAUGAUGCUAGGACCUUUGAUCCAUUGGUGAUGCUUCGGCAUGGUGUUUAAUUUUUGGGGUUAUAAUACCAUGAAGGAGUAUUGGUAAAACUGAUGGUAUGAAUUUUGUUGGUUUUGAUUUUGUGGGGAUAUUGUUGAAACAUACAUUAGAUCCUGGUUUGAUUUCUUAGUUUGCUCCAUAUUUGCUUCGAUACUCUGACCAAUGAGGUUUGUAACUUGAACAUUGGCAAGGUCAAACUCAAUAAUAGGAGGAUCAUUGGGAUCUAGAUGUUUCAUGCUUGUCUACGCUUACCGCACCAAUUGUUAACUAGUGAGGUGAACAAAAGGAAGAAGAUGUUGGUUUGAUGAAGGAGGUGUUGGAACAUUUUCAAAUAUUUAUAGUAUCCCAAAAGGUCGUAAAUAAACCAUGCAAUGCAUGCAUACUUAUUCUAAAAUGGACACGACACCUUUUACUAAUAUUAUUCUUUCUUGCACUCCCAUUGGCUUAGGUACACUGCAUGCGUUGUCCCUUCAUGCCGUCUAUUUAAUAAUGUCGUUAAUAAUUUUAAUGUGGUCUUCACUCCAUCCAUCGAUCGUGUCUAGCCUCAGUUUUCCUCCAUACAUCAAAUCAUUUGCAUUUGAAUAUCCCAUCUCUCCUUUUAAUUUUAAUUAUACUGAGUCUUCUUAUGUAAAUUUAGUUUAUUCAGGUUGUGCUUAUGAAUUUAGAUUCAAAAUAUGGAGUUAAAGACGAUUAUAUGAUAAAAGGCAUUGUCUAUGGUUUUUGCUGCAGAAAAUUGUUAACUUUCGGGAUGACGCCAUUAUAAAAUUUGUUUGCAUGAACUAAUUAAUCCAUAGACUUUAAUUAUGUACUAUGUAACGAUUGUAUGAUGAAAGGAAUUGUCUAUGGUUUCUGCUGCAGAAAAUUGUUAACUUUCGAGAUGACGCCAUUAUAAAAUUUGUUUGCAUGAACUAAUUAAUACAUAGACUUUAACUAUGUACUAUGUAGGCGUCCUAGUACAAGGAUUGGGUUGUGAGCAAUACUAAUGGCAGUUAGGCCAUCACAGUACAACUUCAUUGGUGAAGUUAUUGGUUUCCUCAGCUCUUCCAUAAUUCUUUUUAACGACAUCAUUUCACAAAUUCCUUGAGCCAUUGAUCUAAACUCGGCCUCUGCACUACUUCUUGCUACAACACUUUGUUUUUUGCUUCGCCAAGUCACAAGGUUUCCCCAAAAAAAUGUACAGUAUCCUGAUGUAGAUAUUCUAUAUGUUAUUGAGCCUGCCCAAUCUGUAUCUGUAUAAGCUUCAAUUCCACUUUCUUCAAAUUUCUUGAAGAAUAAGUCUUUUCCAGGUGAACUCUUCAAGUAUCUCAGAAUCUGAAACAUUGUUUCUUCAUGUUCUUCCAUUAGGGAGUGCAUAAAUUGACUCACUAAGCUCACUGAAAAAGCUAUGCCUGGCCCUGUAUGUGAUAAGUAAAUUAACUUACCAACUAAUCUUUGGUACUGCCCUUUAUCAACUAAUCGACCUUCUUUAUUUCUGAAUUUUACAUUUGGAUCAAUUAGUGUGUCAGCUGGGCAGCAACCACUCAUCCCAGCCUCUUUUAAAAAAUCAAUCAUAUAUUUUUUCUAAGAGACCACAACACCCUUCUUGGAUCUCAAACUCCAAUGCUAGAUGCUCCUUGAGACGCCUUAUUUAAUCUACAUCAUCUUCUGUAAGAAUGAUAUCAUUGACAUAAACUAUAAUAAUUGUUAUUUUACCUUUUUGACAGUGCCGAUAGAAGUAAGCUUGUUUUUUAACAACUUGAGUGAAUCAUUCAAACCAAGCUCGAAGAGAUUGCUUUAGACCAUACAAAGAUUUCUUGAGCUUACAUACUCGAGUUCCAAAUUUUUACCUUUUUGACCGAGCAACUUUCAUUCCAAGAAAGUAUUUCAAAGGACCCAAGUCUUGGAUCUCAAACUCCAAUGCUAGAUGCUCCUUGAGAUGCCUUAUUUUAUCUACAUCAUCUCCUGUAAGAAUGAUAUCAUCGACAUAAACUAUAAUAAUUGUUAUUUUACCUUUUUGGAAGUGUCGAUAGAACAUUGUGUGAUCAGCUUGCCUUUGUGAGUAACCUUGUUUUUUAACAACUUGAGUGAAUCGUUCAAACCAAGCUCGAAGAGGUUAAUUUAGACCAUACAAAGAUUUCUUGAGCUUACAUACUCGAGUUCCAAAUUUUUCUUCAAAACCUAGAGGAGGAUCUAUGUAAACUUCUUCUUCAAGUUUUUCAUUUAGGAAAGCAUUCUUCACGUCUAGCUGCUAUGAAGACCAAUCAAGAUUAACAGUAAUUGAUAAAAGAACUCUAACAGAAUUUAAUUUGGCUACUGGAGCAAAUGUUUCAAGAUAAUCUAUCUCGUAUAUUUGAGUGCACCCUUUAGCUACCAGCCAGACUUUGUAUCUAUCUAAAGAUCCAUCUGGUUUGAAUUUGGUUGUGAACACCCAUUUACAACCCACUAUUUUUUUCCCUAUAGGUAAUUCUACUAUUUCCCAUGUACCUAUUUUUUCAAGAGCGCGCAUCUCCUUUAAAAUAGCCUCCUUCCACUCAAGAACCUAUAAAGCAUCUUUCACAUUUUUGGGUAUUUCACAGUAUCGAGAUACGAAACAAAGGCUGAGAAUGUCAAAGACAAUGUUUUAUAGGAUACAAAGUUAGACAUGGGGUAUUUGACAAAAUUUCUAACACAUUUUCUUUUAACAAUUGGAAUAUCUAAAUCAGAAAAUUCAUUGGCUGGAUUAUGAGCUUUACCUGGACUUUUGACAAGAUCUUGUAGGUCGGAUUCUUGGUGAUGAAUCUGGUAGAUUCCACUUUCUUGACUUCAGUUUCUUUUUGAGUAAACAAUUAACUCCUUUGUUUGUUCUUUAUUCUCAUGAUCAGACUUUACGCCUUUAUACUCAUUUUUAUUAAUAACAUUAACAUCAUUAAUUUCUGUGUUAAUCAUAAAUUUACCUUCCCCAUUAUUAGAAUCUCUAUGUUGUAUAUUUCUAGUCUUUUCUUGAUCAAUUAUAGAAUCUUCCUUACUAUAAUUUCCUCCCUGAAGAUUAGAAUCAAAAUAAGAUUGCAUUUCAACAAAUGUGACAUCCAUGGUACAAUAAUCUUCCUAUCAAUUGUAUCAUAACAUUUGUAACCUUUUUUAUUAGAAGCAUAGCCAACAAAGGCGCAUUUUUUUUUCUCUAGGAUCUAGUUUACCAUGGUUGUAAAGAUGAACAAAAACACUACACCCAAAAACUCAAAGGGAUAAAUCUAUGAUCAAUUUAAAGUUAGGAAAGUUAUCUUUAAAGAGACGAAAAGGAGCUCUAUAGUUUAGAGUUGUACUGGGCAUUCUAUUAAUAAGAUAUGUAGCUGUUAACAAGGCUUCGCCCCAAAGAUAACGUGGUACCUGACUAGUGAACAUCAAGACUCUAGUUACUCUAAAAAGAUGUUGGUUUUUUCUUUCUACAAUCCCAUUUUGUUGUGGGGUAUUUGUACAAGAGCUUUGGUGGACUAUUCCAUGUUUGAUUAAGAAAACACUUAAUUGGUCACUAAAAAAUUCCCCACUAUUGUCACUCCGAAAUACUUCUAUUUUCACACCAAAUUGUGUUUUCACCAUAGCAUAAAAAGACUGAAACACAUUUUUAACUUCAGACUUAUCUUUUAAUUUAAAAAAACCCAACAAAUACGAAUAUGAUCAUCAAUAAAUGUGACAAACUAACGUUUUCCUGAAAAAGUUGAGACUCUUGAAGGUCCCCUGUAAUCACUGAAUUUUGCCUGGGUUGGAUUUUGGGCCGGGCUGGUCUCGUAUGGGCCCGAUGAUCGGGCCCAUUAAGAUUUAAUUUUGAACUUGUUUUAGCCUAUUUUUAAUUACUGUUUUAAAUAUUAAUAAAAUAGUAGUAAAAAAAAUCUCAAAAAAAAUAUAAAAAAUACAAAAAAAUAUAAAUUACAUUUUAACCCCUCUACUUUUUAAAAUUUACAUUUUGACCCCAAAAUUUUCUUUAAAUUACACUUUGACCCCUAAUAUUUCGUAAAUUACAGUCAAGCCCCUAAACUUUCCAGAAAUUACAUUUUUGCCCUAUAUUUUCCUAAAAUCGCAUUUUUGCCCCAGAAACUUUACACCCGUUACAAUUUAGUCCUUCUGGGCAUGACAAGACUGCCCCCAACCAGCAUCCGGGCGUGCACCGCACCCUACGCCUGACACCGCCAAUCAGCCAUGCUCCCCACCUCCAUGCCACCUGAAAACAAGAAGGAAAAAGACAAAAUUGAAAGAUUAAAAGGAGAAAAUUGAAGAGAAAGGUGGGGAUUUUUGGGCAGCCAAAAACAAAAAAAAACAGCAGAGAAAAGAGAAAAAAAACAGCAGCAAGCCAAAAGCCUCCACCACCACCCUCCCGCAACCAUCGUCGUCGCACCACCAUUGUGACGCCACCACCACCGUCACACCUACACAAAUGAGGGAAGCAACAAGCAAAUUAUAAAAGCAACAAGCAAAGAAAAAAUAGCAACCAAAAAGAAAAGGAAGAAAGAAAAGAAGAGAAGAAGAAAGAAAGAGAGAAGAGGAGAGGCCGACGAUCGUCACACCGGACGGAGGAGGCGGCGGCGGCGUAGUGACUUGGGGCUAAGGUGACCCGAAGAAGAAAGAAAAAAGAAAGAAAAAAGAAGGAAAAAGGGAAAGAAAAUAGAAAUAUAUAUAUAUAUGCCGGGCUAACCCGACCUGAUGACCCGGAUCCGACCCGCGCCCGACCCAGCCAGCAGCCAACAGGCCAACAGCAGGCCACUCCAACUGUUGGGCAGCAGCCCACUAAGGCCCAAUUCGCAGCAAAAAAAAAGAGGCCUGUCUUUCAAGCCCAAAAUUUGGGCCUUUGGUAAUUUUUUUCUUUUUAAUCUAUUUUAUUUUAUUUAAUGUAUUUAAAUUGUGUUUUAUUUAAUUUAAAUUAGUAUGUUUAAAAAUAGUUUUCAUAGAUAUUAUUAUGUCAUUUUAAUUACAUAUUUUUUUAAAAUAAUAAUGAUAAAUAUUUUAAUGCAUAAGGCAACGAACCGAUUUAGCAUCGAAUCAUCGAAUUCAUCGCUAUGUUGGAUGAAUAUCGAUGGCUCGUGUUAAAUACGGGACGCCCUUCUAAAAAAUCAAAAAUAUUCAAAAUUCCUCGUAUUUCAAUAAAAAUCCUCCUGUUUCAUUAGAAUCCCGAUUAAAUAUUAAAUUGAAUUGAUUUAACACUAAUUCGAUGGUUUCAUCGCCAUAUCGGGGUGAAUAUCAUCAAUUCGUGUUAAAUACGUUAUUUUUUAAAGAAAAAUCGUUUUUAAAAAAUUUUCAUGUUUUCAAAAUUUUCUCGUAUUUCAAAAUUUUUGACUUUUUGCGUUUUCAAAAAAAAUUCUCGUGUUUCAAAAUUGUCGUGUUUUCAAAAAUCUUCGUGUUUUUAAGAAUUUUUGUGUCUCUAAAAUUCUCGUGUUUUAAAAUUUUUUCGUGUUUCCAAAAUAAUAAUAGUAAUAAUUGUUUCAAAAAUCUGUGUUAAAAAAAUUCGUAUUUUGAUCGGAUCGCGAUUAACUAUUAAAUUGAACUCGUAUUUUUGAAAAUGAAGACAACGCGCGUUUAACGAGAUACCAAUUUUGGGCGUCGCGAGGGUGCUAAAACCUUCCUCGCGCGUAACCAACUCCCGAACCCUAAUUUUCUCUGGAUUUCAACGUAGACCUAAAAUUGCCUCUUUUUUAGAAAAGUUUAAAAUUAAAUUUUUUCUUCUAAAAAGAGAGUUUUGAAGGUGUCCGAUCACACCUAGAAAAAGAUUGGUGGCGACUCCUUUUUUUUUCAAAUAAAAUCAAAACUCCGCUUUCAAAUUUUUCAACAAUCAAUUUGAUUAGCGCCCGUACUCGAAAUUUUUUAGGUCGCUACAUCCCCAAACAUCACUAUGAAUUAAUGAAAAAGGUUUGGAAACUUAAUAUUUUUAAGGUGGAAAGACUGACCGAUGAUGUUUAGCCUGUUCACAAAAUUCACAAUGAUAUGAAUAAGGACUUUUAUUUUUAAAUAGAUUAUUUAACAAAUAUCUUAACUAGUAAAAAUUAGGAUGAACAAGCCUAUAAUGCCAAAUCAUAAUUUUAUCAAAACCAGAAACAGAAUUUAAACAUAAAGUAGUUGUUGGUUGACUUAGAUGGUCGUCGUCAAUAAAGUAAAUUCCACCAGAUUCUUUAGCAUUGCCAAGCAUCCUCCCUGAGACCAUGUCCUGAAAUUUACACAGAGAUGAGUUAAAUAUAACAUUGACAAUUCGAGGAUUGGAAUAAUUUACUGACUGAUAUGAGAUCACAAGCUAGAUUUGGUACAUGUAAAACAUCAUGUAAAACCAAGGAAGAAGAAAUUUUAACAGUGCAUUUCCCAGCUAUUGCCGAGAACGACCCAUCUACUACUUUGAUCUUUUUGUUUCCUGCACAAGAUGUGUAAGUUGAGAAAAGAAAAUGACUACUAGUCAUGUGAUCACCUGCUCCAGAAUCGAUGAUCCACGUGUUGUUUUACAAGGCUUGACACUGAAAAAAAUAAAAAAAAUUUAGUACCUGAUUGAGCAAAGGAGAAAGAAGGAUUAUUGGAUGAGUUAAGAAUAGAAGAAUUCGUCCAAAAUUGUGGUGACUGAAAAAGUUUGUGUAGAUGCUCUAAUUGUUCCUUAAUGAAUGGAGACCCUUCUAAAGAACUUUGACCCUCAUAAUUUUUAGUAGUUGUUUUAAAAACUCUACUAUCCCCUAAUUAUGAACCACGACCAUUGCCACUCUUUUUUUUCCAUUCAUCGGUUUUCCAUGGAGCUUCCAACACGUUUCUCGAGUGUUAAGGGUUAAGGGUUCAACUAAGAAACUUAACAAAAUUCUGAAAUUUAUGUAACUCAAACCUCAAACCUUUAGUGAGCAAACAAAGCACACAACCACAGAAGCAAACACAUUUUCCUUGACACAACUUAGCAAUUAAAAUUCAAAUUUUGGGGCGUUACAAUGUUGCAAAGCUAGUUUGUAACAAAACAUAUAUAUAAAUUGAAUUCAAAUCAUGCAUAAAAGUACAAACCAUAUUCGAGUUCCAAUCGUGUGUUCGAGAUUUUCCUUUCAGAGUUUUGAACUAACAAUUUUAAUGUAAUAUUUCAUGAUGACUACUACAACACAUGAAAGUGGAACACUAAGGGAGUUGGCUUCCAACUUUGUUGAACUUGAUCGUUUUGAUGGUGGCAAUUUUCGACGAUGGCAGAAAAAGAUGCACUUUUUAUUAUCAACUUUGAAGAUUGCUUAUGUUUUGGAUACUCCAAGACCUGAAGAGAAUGAAAACGAAUCUGUUGCUGCAACCCGAGAAAGACAAAAAUGGGACAAUGCUGAUUGCAUGUGCAUGUGUAAUACCCCAAAAAUUUUUACAGUAAGAUAUUAUCUUUGAUAUAAUAAAUAAGGAAAUAAAGUGAAAAAAAGGGGAAAUUUUGGAGCUAUGUCAACAUUGGGAAGUAUAUUAUGACAUAUUAGUUCAAGAAAGGAUUAAAUCGCAAAAGUGAGAAAAGUUUUGUUGCCCAAGAGUAAAUACUCAAAAUUUGAGGGGUUAAAGUGUAAAUAUGAAAAGUUAAAGGACCAAUGGUGUAAAUAUUUUAAGAGUAGAAUGAUCUAGAAACUAAGUAAAAUGGAUGGAUUAGGACCAAAUUGAAAAAUGUGAAGAAUUUUAAGGGACUAAAUUACAAUUUUACCAAAUUAAAUGAUGACUAAAGGAUGGAAUUUUAAAAGAUUAUAAAGGGAAAAAUGGUCAAUUAGAGAGAGAGAAUUCUAGAAGGUAAUGAUGAUGUUGGUGAUAUUUUUAAUUAAUUAAUUAGAUAAAUGUUAUUUAAGUUUUUUUUUUUUUGAAUUUGUAAAUUGCUGCAAAAGAAAACAUUGGUCGUUUGGGAACGAGAACCAUAAAUUAUCAAGAACCUUCGGUUUUUUUCAACAAUGUUAAUGCAUUGAUGUACUCUGCCAAUCUAUAACAGUUAACCACUUUAAUGAAAGUCGAAAGCGCUAAAUUGGGUACUUCCAAUGGACUUGCAAGUUCAUCUACUUCAAGCGAAGCACAACCAUCUAACCGCACAUCUUCUAUACUUGUUAGAAGCUCAGGCACUGAUUUAAGCUCCUUGCAAUUUGACAAUCGAAGGGUUUAAAGCUUUGAAAGUCGAGUAAGAGUUGAAGGAACGCCAUUGAAAUUGUUACCACUAAGAUCAAGUAAUAUCAAAGAGGAUAAACCAGAAACAUCACUUGGAAUAUCUGCUUCACAAAGAUUGCGAACAUUGCUAUUUGACAAUCAAAGAUAUUGAAGCUUGGAGAGUCGCAUAAGAGACACGGGUAUGUUGCUGAAACUGUUACCACUAAGAUCAAGUUUUUUCAAAGAGGAUAAACAAGAAAUAUCACUAGGAAUGUCUCCUUCCCGAAGAUUGCUAUCCCUUAGAUUCAACUCUCUUAAACGGGACAGGAAGGCAACAUCAGAGCCAUGGAAUUCAUUCUUCCUCUUUGGAUUACCUUGGAAAGAGAAGAAAGAUUUCUUUGUACCUUAGAUUGCAUCCAUUGAAAGAAAAAACUUCAAGAUUUUUCAAUUAAAAAAUGAAGGAUGGUAGUUUUGUUAUAGUUGUUUCACUUAAGUCAAGCUCUUCCAAAAAUUCUAAUUGCAGUGAACUAUGGCAAAUUUUCUAACUUUAUAUAACAGCCAGAAAGAUCAAGAGUUUGUAGGCAUCCCAUUUUCCCAUCAAUCUCUGAAACCUUACAAGAUUUGAACAACCGAAAGAAUUAAUGUUUCAAGAGAUUCCAUUCCAAUUUUGGUUGGAAGACUCCUAAGAUUCCAUUCCAAUUUUUGUGGUCAUAGGUGGCGAUUAUAGUGGUGAGAGGUUCGUGUCUUUAAAGUGUAAGAGUGAAGGAAACAAUCAAGAUGUGUGUGAUUAAGUAGGUUUAUUUUGUAAUUGUAGAAAAUAGUACACACUUUAAACUGAGUUAGGCUCCACAGACGUAGGGGGUAACUAAACUGCGUAAUCAUCUUCGUGUGUUUUGUGUGUUUUUUUGUUUUUCUCAUUUAGUACUUGAAGAAGUGCCCACUAACUUAGGUACCAAUUUCUUAGUGUUGUAUCUCUAUUAGCAACGCACUUCUUGCUAGCAAUAGUUUUUUUUUUUUCAAAAGCUUUUACAUUUUUAUUUCUUUAAUGAUUCAUUAGUUUUUGUUUAAAAAAAAAGUUUUUCAUAAGGGCAAGGAUGAAAUUAAAAUUUGACGUCAACUUGAUUUUUUUUUUAAUAAUAGCUAAAGCUACUCAUAGUCUCUUCCCAACCCUUAAAAAGGAGGAUAACAUGCUUCAGCUCGCUUAAACUCACAUUCUCCUACGCUGGCAACAAUGUCAAUGUCAAUUUAAAACUUGAAUACAAAUUAUUUAUCUCUUCACUUAUUAUUCAAUUAGAUAUAAAAAUUGUUUUGCUUAUAGUUUAGUUAUAUUUUUAAUUGAUUGAACUAGUUUAGUUUAGUUAUACAAAAACUUGAUGACAUAUUUAGGCUUCCAACAUUACAAAAAUAAAAGUCUUUUUAGCUUUCUAUUUAAUUUUUUGCCUCUCUUUAAUCCUCAAACUUAAGUUUAUUUUUUUGUCAGAUCACAGCAAAAGUGAUCAAACGUUUAAUUUGCUAAUGUGGAACAAAUAAUUAAUUUUUAAUAUUUUUUGAAUUUUUAAAAAAUUAUAAUAUAUUUUUUAUUUUUAUAAAAUUUUUAAAUAAUCUUAAUAACUUUCUAUUUUUUGGAAAUUUUUAAAAUUAAUUAAUAAGGCAUUAUGCCAUUUGAUUUUUACUGAACCCGACUGUUUUAGCUUUCACUAAAAUACUGCCAGCUCUACCAACUUUGGAGCAUUGUAGAGAUGAUCUGUGAAGUUGUUGCGAGUAUCUUCACCUCUAAAACUCAAGAAAACAUCAUAUUUCCUUUUAGAAAUGGACGAUGGAGUUGAAGGUAACGACAACAUGAGGAUAUAUGAGAAGAAAAAGAUAUCUCAAUUUAGUGCUCAAAAUCAGAAAAUAGUUCGCUCAAUACCACAGAAAGAAACUGGGAACAAUGGGUUGAUGAGGAUAAGAAAGAGAAAAGCAGAUCUACAAAUAGAUGAGGGAUGAUGUUCUUUCCAAGAAGGUGAGAGUUGAUUUUAUAUCGGAUAUAUAUAAUAGUGCUAUUAAAUUAUUUGUAUGCAAUUAUUGAAUAAAGUUAUCAAACAUAAACUCAGUGAGUCACAUGGCCUGGACAUACACCUGUGUGUCUCACCUGUGUGACUCUAAUAUGAAUUUAGUGAGUUACACGGCCUGGACACACGCCCGUGUGUCUCACCCGUGUGACCCCUACAUCUCAUUACCCACACACAGCCUCUCCCACGCCCGUGUGUCUACAAAUUCAAAGUCAAGGAGUUACACGGCCCGCCACACAGCCUCCCACAUAGUCGUGUGACUCACACGGCCAGCACACGCGCCCGUGUGCAGUUGACACUCCCGAUUCUGGCGAAGAAAAAAACACAGAAAAAGAGGGGUUUUGGCACCCACCUGUUACCCGAUGCUGAAGAAGCACCCAAUUAUAAAAUCCAAGCCUAAAACAAGUUCAAAACACUCAAUUCAAUAAAACUUCCGCAAAAUACGCAAGCACCAACAAUCAAACUUCGUCGAAACAAGUGAAAGAUUACUUACCACGGAUUCCUAGUACUCACUCAAUUCCUAAGUAAACGAUAGGCGUUAGGCAUCUUUUGAAUUCCUCCCUAAUGUAACGAAACAACGCAUAACAAGUUAUCAGACCCCAAGACUUAUGAAAACCCCAAAUUCAAAAUGACAGACUUUAUGAAAAUAUCGACUUAACUUACCUUGAAACACACCAGAACAAGCAAAAAGGCGAUCUAACGAAGCAAUUUAUACGAAAGAACAGACAAUAAAAGAAAAGAAUUAAGGAAAUAUGAACAGAAAAGAAAGAAAGAAAAAGAACAAUUUGGGAAAGAAAAAAAAUGAAGAAGAACGUCAAAUCCAAGAGGGAAGGACAUUUAAAUUUCAAAUCAAUUUUUACUGAAUAUCCAAAAAUAAAAUCAUUGUUGCAAACGCUAUAACUUGAACGCAGAAUUAGAGAGUAGACAGACAUUUAACCGGUGAACCAGCAAGUUUAUUUUUGACAUAAGCUGCACAAAACUAAACUUAAACAAAGAAUCCUAAGUUAAGGGUUCAAGUAAGAAAUUUAACAAAAUUCUGAAAUUUAUGUAACUCAAACCUCAAACCUUUAGUGAGCAAACAAAGCACACAACCACAAAAGCAAACACAUUUUCAUUGACACAGCUUAGCAAUUAAAACUCAAAUUUUGGAGCGUUACAAUGUUGCAAAGCUAGUUUGUAACAAGACAUAUAUAUAAAUUGAAUUCAAACCAUGCAUAAAAGUACAAACCAUAUUCGUUUCUCGUCUACGACUCUCGCAUUUCCUUUUUCUCGAGACAAUCUAACAUCAUCUUUAGCUAUGUACAAUAAUAUAAGUAUAGAAACGAUAUUAGUUUUUCAUCCAAUCACAUUAAAAACAAAUAAUCAAACAUAUUUUGCAUUUUAUUCAUUUUAGUCAAAUACUCAUAUUUUCCAAUAUUUAAUAGCGGAUGAAAAUCUGAUUUCAUAUAUAUCCUUUCAUUAGAGACAUUAUACUUUUAAUCUAUAGCAUAAUUUAUUAAAAAUUUUUAAUUUAUUAAAUUCAUCCCUAAGGUCACAAAAUUAUAUUUAAAGCUUAACUUGAUUUCUAACUUAAACCUUAACAUGAUUUAAGUUUACUAACUAACAAUCUCUUCAAUUUCAAGCUUAAUUUUAUCAAUUAUACAUCAAUGGUAACUUGCUAGACAUCUAACAAUUAAAGAAAUCGAUACAUGGGUAGCUAAACCAAACUCUAAUGUUUCAAAAUUCAUAAAAAUCUUAAGGAAAGAACUUAAUUACCUUGAUUAAUUUUGGAUUAAAAUGGAAAAGAAAAGAAAGAAGUUUUUCCUUCUUCUUAGCUUGGGACGACCAAACACAAUAAGAAAGAUAACUUCAUCUUUCUCUCCACUCACUUUUAAAAUCUUAAUUAGAUUAAUUAAUCAUCAUUAAUAAUAUAAUUUUAAUAAGUUAGUUUUAAUUAAUCAAGUCAAUUAAGAUAAGUGGAUGUAAUCUUACCAUUGCACUAUCAUAUUUUAAUAAUCAUCAAUUUAUUUUAAGGUCCUUAGAUUAAUUAUUAAUUAAGUCCUCAAUUAUUUUCUAAAUUAAAAUUUAAUAGCGAUUAAACUUUUAAAAUUUACGGCCUAAACUUUAAUUAUUGAUUUUCUGACUUAAUUACCGGUUUUUUAAUAUAUUUUUAUACUAACUUUGUCAAUACUUCUAUUCAUAUUUUCUAUCUCUAAGUAAAUAUAUAAUGAAAAAAUUUUAAUAAAAAAAUGAAACCAAUCAAAAUAUACACAUUUCAAUUAUAUAAAAAAAUGAAUUAAAUGAUAAAAAUUUUAAAUAGAAUAUGAGCUUAUGUUCAAAAUGAGUAUGAAUGAAGAUUUUAAUUUUUUUUGGAAAGAUCAUAUCUCAAAUGCAAAUAAAUUUAGAAUGAUUACUUUAAAUGAAAUAAAAAUUAUAAACAAGGUAGAUGUUUAAGUAGCUUACCACAGUUAAUGCUUCUUCGAUUGACCCAUUAUAAAAUUGAAAAACUUUUCCGUUUUGGUUGCAGCCCUUCUUCCCCUGCUUCCUUGUAGAUAUUAUGUUUUCGUUUUAUGUGAGUAGUGAGCAGAGUGUUGGUAGAUGUGUUCAAAAUUUAGAAAAGAUUGAGUGGUAUGGCACUGCAACUCUUUUAUUUCUUUCAAAUCUUUCUCAUGCAUUAUUCUAACACCACACUUCUUCACCUUGGCACUGCGUCCAAAAGGAUCUAUGAAAGACACCUCAAGCUCAUCCCAUUUUUUAUCUAAGCAAUCUGUUGCCCAUAAAUUGCUGGUUUCACAGUCACCAUAUUUAUCGUCCAAGGAAGAUGAGUAUAAGUUAUCACGAGACCAAUAAUGAAGAAAAAGGUGAUCUUUCAUUAUGGGCUCGUUAAGUCGUUUACCCACCAACGAGCCUGUCCAAUCAAUCAGUCCAGGAUUUUUACAAUAGAUAAAUGUUCGACAAUUGAUAACCUCGUCAUCCCUUGAAGCAUCAUUAUUGACAAAAAUGCAGCAAGAAGCAACUCCAAUCCAUUGACUAUCUUUCCGAAGGGGUAUCUUAAUUAAAGAGUCACUUUUUUUUUGGCUAAACCAUUCUGGGAUUUCACUUCCGGGCAUAAUAAUGUCAAACCUUUUUAUUGAAUUUGCAAAUGCCUGCAAAAUAAAACACAAGUCGUUUGGUAACUAAAACCAUAAAUUCUAAAGUAUGAGAUUUUGUAAGGGAGAAUAAAGAGAUUAAUCGACCUUAAGAUGUUUUUUCAGCAGUGUUAAUGCAUUGAUAUUCUCAGCCAAUUUGAAGCAGUUAAAGGCUUUAACGGCAGCCGAAUCCACUAAAUUGCAUACUUUUGAUGGACUUGCAACUACUUGAAGUGAAGAACAACCAUCUAUCUCCAUAUUUCUUAUGGUUGUUAGAAGCCCAGGUAACGAUUUAAGCUUCGUGCAAUUUGAUAAUGCAAGCACUUGAAGCCUGGAAAGUUGAGUAAGAGCCAAAGGAAUGGUGAUGAAAUUGCUACCCCUAAGUUUAAGAUAACUCAAAGAGGAUAGACCACGAAUAUCCGCUUCACCAAGAGCGCACAUGUUGCAAUUUGACAAAUCAAGAAACCAAAGCUUCGAGAGUAGAGUAAGAGAUGCAGGUAUGCUGAUGAAAUUGUUACCAAUAAGAUCAAGAUCUAUCAAGGAAGAUAGGCAAGAUAUAUCACUAGGAAUAUCUCCUUCACGAAGAUUGCAGUCCCUUAGCUUCAACUCUCUUAAUGGACUUAAACUUGACAACGAAGGCAACAUCAGAGGCAUAGAAUUUGUCCUUCCUUCUUGGGUACACCAGUUAAUAUACGAUUUCCCAUCAUCUCCAUAUGGAUCCAACAUUCUUAUAUUCAUUCUCAACCUAUAUAUAUACAUUUUAUUUUGAUAUUAUUUAAAUAUAUAAUAAAAAUAAAAUUAAUAAAACAUAAAAUUUUAUCAUAUAUACCUGAGCAAGAAUGAUGUUUCCUUGGGAUGCAAGUAGUUUCUUUUUUUGACCAUAUCAACUAUCAAAGUUGUGAAGUUUUUCAUUUCAUUCUAAAAAUAAAGGAAAAUAAAAGACAUUAUUUAUAUAUAAAAUAAACAAAAAUAGAAUUGAUUUUUUUUAAAAAAUUUACUGAAAAUUAAAAGAAUUACCAUAAAGACAUCAUUUUUAGUAUGGAGGGAAACUCCAAGCAUGUUAUGCAUCCAUACAGGAAAGCCUCUAAUAAAAAAUAAUAAUAAAACUAUUAAUACUGAAAAAUAGUUAAAUAAUUUAUGAAAUAACAUAAUUAGUUAAAAUUUUAAAAUAAAUUAAUUUACCCAUAAUUCCACUCGGCACAAGUAUAAGAUCCAAUUCAAAGAAUUGCAUAUAAACCUUGGUCUUGAAUCGUUUUAAGAAAUCAAAUAAGAUCAAGAUUUUCACUAAAAUCAUAUUGACGACGAGCUGGUUCAUGUGCAUUUCAAAAUACAUAUGUUUCAACCGCAUCCAAUCCACCUUCUUUGGCUUUUCUUAUAAGAUCCGACCACAUCUAAUAAAAAUUUAAAAAAAUCAAUCAAUCGUUCAAAUUCAAAUUAUAAAAAAUAUUCCGGAUAACUCAAUUGUAAAUUAUUACCUGAGCAGUACUUCUCGGAUAAUGAACCGAACCCGAAAAAACAAUUCUAUGAUUUCCAUAAAUUAUGAUGGAUCUUGAAUCAUAAGUGACAUUAAGCGCAUUCAAAUAAAAUAGGAUGAAAGAAAAAAUAAGAUAAGAAAAUAAAAUAGUGAAUAUAUUCUUCUUCUUCUUCUUUUUUUUUUCCAUCUACUAAAGCUAAAAGGAAGUGUUGAUUGAAAAAUCAGUAGAGUAUGAUAACGUCUUUAUAAGCGUGGUGAUUGAAUUCAUAUCAAAUACUUGAUUUUUAGAAGAUAUUUACUUUGAUUUAUUUGCUGUUUUAAAUAGAUUUAUAUAAUCAGUGAUAUGAGAUUAAAUCAGCAAAUUGUGUUGAAAGUUGAGUUUUAGUUCUAUGUAGCAGCAUUAAUUAAAUAUUUUUGAUAAUUAAAUAAACUUUUUUAAUUAUAAUUAAUUAGAGUAUUGCUUUCAUACGACGGGAGUCAUUGGUUCAAAUCCAAUAAUAGGUAGAAUUUAUUAGAUACCAUCGAUCCCGGUGUCUAAUAAGUUUUUCUAUCCACCUUCUUUUAUUGAUUUUCUAUCUUUUUCAUCCUAUUUUAUCUCCGUUUUCAAUUUUUAAAUUUUUUGUUGGAUCAAGAUCCGAUUUCACUUUUGAUUAUAUUUGAUUCUAUUUAAUUGGCAGAAUCAACAUGAGAUGUAUAAACGAAAGUUUUGUUUUUACGAAAAUUCUCCAACUUGUUACGAAAUCGCGUUGAUAACCUCGACUUGUGUCCUAGCCUGUUUGACAGCUAGAUUUGCCUCAAUUGUUUGCCUCUUGCCUUCAGCUUUCCUCAUGUUAGCUUGCUGAGCUUCUUGUGGACUCAUCUAUAAAAUUCUCGUUUAUUAAAACUUGUAGAGUUCUAGUUAAAUUAAAUUAAGAUUUCUUUCAUCAACAAAUGAGACUUGCUUUUUGAAGAAUAAAGAUUAUAUACCGAAAAGAAUAAGCGAGCAAUUAGUAAAGGGUAUAUCCAUAAUAACUUUUUACAUCACUGGUAAAUGAUACGACACAGUCACGAUUCAGCUAUAAUAUUAUCCAUAAUAACUUUUCACAUUGCUAGUACACGAAUCAAGUAGUUGCCAUCCCAAAGGAUUGUUAGUAGAUCAAUCUUGCUAACACCUGUUAGAGAAAACAGGAUGAAGUACUUCCCUGUGUAACACCAACAAUGGCUCUAAUCCGAAAAAGAGAUUGCAUUUAAAGUUGUUAGCAAACUCAUUCAUUCCUAGCUACCCACAAUGACCAUAACAUAGCGCCAUAGAAACAAGCCAUUUCCUCUUAACAUUCCAAACAUGCAGCAAUAUUCAUACACAACAUUUCAAGGAAUCGCACACAUAACACCCCACCAUUGAAACAACACUCCCCAAGCUUUCCAAGAAAGGAAGUAAGAAAGAAAAAUAUGAUCACAGUUCCCUUCAACUUCAUUGCACCAACAACAAUUGAUGGAAUCAUUAAUUGUUAUAAUACCUCGAUCCCUUAAAAAAUAUUUUGAAGGCAUACCAUUCUGGAAUGAGAGUGUCGAAACCGUUUUUUUGAAAACAAAAAUUUGGUUGUCGACUUUAAAAAUAAAACUGGAGUCGCCACCGAUCCUUUAUUAGGGUGUGAUCGGCUCACCUUAAAAAUUAUUUUGGCCUUUUGAGAAAACGAGUUCGGGAGUCAGUUACGCACGAGGAAGGGUUAGCACCCUCGUAACGCCCAAAAUCGGUACCAAAUUGACUAUUUGAUGUCUUAGUGUCGAAAGUUAAAAAGAUUUUAAAAUCAACUCAAAUGAUGGAAUUUGAAAAGAGAUAAUCAAUUGUUCAAGUCAUGUAAAGAAAUCGAGUCCCAAUACGUUAGGGUACGAUUCCUCAUAAUCUCCAAACUUUGAAUAUCACUUUAUUUUAUAUGAAAAUCUUCAUUUUGAGAAAGUAACAUGCCACACCCAAUACGUUAGGACACAGCAAGUUAGGUUCCCAAAAAUGAUUCUUUAGACUCAUGCAUUUUGAAUAAAAAAAAAUUCCCAAAUACCGAAUUGUGCCUUUUGUUUGAAAAUUCUUAUUUCGAGAAGAAAAUGUCAUGACCAGUAAGUUAGGACCCAACACUUUGAAUUCCCGAGAAUAAGCUUUUAUUUAAAAUUUGCGAACUUAUUGCAAAACAAAUACUUGGCCUUCUAGAUUCAUCGAAAAAUAAUCGCGAUCCAAUAAGUUAGGACACGACCUUCCUCGAGAACCACGAAUACCAAAUAUUUUGGAAUUUAUAAAACAUGAUGAUUUUAAUGCUUUGACGCAACCAAAAUACAUUUUCUUUAGAAAGUGUAGAAAAAUGCUAAUAUAUCACAUAAAAUCAAUAUUUUAAUUUAAACUAUACAUGUAAAAAAAAUGUUAAUACAUAUAUAUACACAUAUACAAAAAAUUAUAAAAAUAAUAAGACAUAUACAUAUAUUUACAAAAUAAAAUAUGAUAUAUAAGUAAAUUUUAAAAAUAUGUAUAUGCAUAUAUUAAAACAUAUAUAAUAAAAUUAUAAAAAUAAAAUAUAAAAAUAUGUAUAGGUAUCUAAAAGUAUAUAUAGAAAUAAAUAAAAAUAAAUAAAAUAUAUAAAAAAAAUAUAUGUUUAUAUAAGGAAAAUGCGGAAAGAAGGAAAAAAAAUAUUUAAAAGUUUUAAUAAUGUACGUAUAUAUAUUAUAAAAAUGUAUAUAUAUUUAGAUUAUAAAAUAUAUAAAAACUAUAUAAAUAUUAUAAAAUAUAAAUAUAUAUGUAUAUAAAAUAAGAAAAUAAAAUACUAAUAAUAUAUAAGAUAUGUAUAUGUAUUUAAAACCAUUUAAAAUAUAUACAUAUAUAUGUAUAAUAAGAUACAUAGGUGCGUAUAUACAUAAAUGUAAUAAUAAUAUAUAAUACAAUAAUGAUAAUAGCAAUAAUAAUAACAAAAACUACAAAAAAGCCUUAAAAAGGACCGUUAAGGAUUAAACUGAAAGCUAAACGAAGUUAAAAGGCCAAGUAAAAAUAGAAAACACCAGGAAGGUCCAAAGUGAUACGCGCGCCAUGAGGGGAGGACUUAAAAAGAAAUUUUCCCAAGUCACUGAAGCGCUGGCAGUGACAUGGAUUAAAUCGUCACGUGAGCAAAAUAUUUGGGCCGAAUUUUAAAAGAAAAAAAAACUUGAUUGAAACACGCAGCAAAAGGGGAAGGGCCAGGCGCGAAAUUUCCCCAUUCAGGGCCAGAACGCGCGGAUCCCCCCUCCGGGUCGGGUCGACGCGCGGGUCAUGGCACCCUAAACGGCGCCGUUUUGUCUUUAGUAUUAAAACUAAAAUUUUUCAAAAAAAAACAAUCUUAUUUCAUUUUUUCUUUUUUCCUUAAAACAAACAGAGGGAGAAAGGGGAGUGCUCUGCUAGGGUUUCCUUAACCUAGCCCCCCCAAGCCGCCGCAGCUCCUCCUUCUCUGCCGUUUCAGACCCCACGGCGGCGAAACGAAGGGAUCCUCCGACAACGCUCCAAAGGUAAGUUCCCCCCUUUUCCCUUCCUUCUCGUUUAUUUUUGUUUUAAAAAUUAAGGAAGAACAAAAUAAAAAAACAAAACAGUACAAGAACAGAGAGAAAGAAAAUAAAAUCAAUCACCUUUAAAAAAAAAUCUUUUUUUUAUCUCUUAUUUCUGUAUUUUUUUUUGGAACCGAUCCUCUUCCUUUUACAAAUUUUCAUCGGCUUUUAAAUAGCCGAAAAUCAGAAAGAAAAAAUGAAACAAAAAUCUAAAGAAAUCUCUUCUGUUCGUGGCUUGUGGUUUUCAUGACAGGUGUGCGACGACUGCAGCAACGUGGGAAGCGACGUGCUGCGAUGGAGGCGCGCGAGCGGCGCGAUCUGCGGAGGUGGUUGUGGCUUGCGGCGGCUGGAGCGGGGAGGCUACUUAGGGUUUCUGAAAUUUCUUGUUUGGGUUAAUGUAAUUGGGCUGAAUUUUUGGGUUUAGUUUGUAGAUGGGUAAUUGGGCCUGCUAUGUUUUUAUUUUAUAUGGGCCCGGGCAGAAAAAAUUGGGUAUUACAGAGAGCAAUAGGAAGCAUUGCACCUUUGAUGCACCAAUGAACCCUCAGAAUCAAGAGAAAACACAAAUUUCUUUACAGUAAAUUUCCCUUUGCUGUCCACCUCCCACAUUCGCCUUAUUACAUUAAUCACUGAAUCCAUACAUAGCCAAUUUCCAUACCGAUGUUCCCUCAAGUAAGCUUUAAUCACACCGUGGUCUCAAAAUAGUUUGCUCAAGGACUGGUGUUUCAGAGAAGUCAUCCCUUGGAUUAUUGCAGAGCCGAAUGAUUUGUGAUAUGGUUUUGUCGAUAUGGGAUCUUCUGUUAGCAUGAAUUGAAGCCAUUUAAGUAGUAUUAACUAUUAAGGACCUAUAUAAACUACAAAAUGAAGCUAUUUAAAUACUAUUUAAGCAACACCAAAACAGAGUACAGGUUCCCAUGGCGUUUUAUUUAGCGAAAAUAGUCUGAUGACAAAGAUAAAAGAUGAUUAUAUUUCACCCUAUUACCUGCUUCUUCAUGCAGUGAAAUAUAGAUGUAAGUUUAUACUAUAACAUAAAAUUUAAUAAAUAAAUAAAUAAUAAAUUUCAUUAAACAGUACAAGUUUCAAUCAUGUAAAAAUUAAUUAAUUAGAUGAAUAAAUUUUUAAAUGCAUAAAAACACUAUGUUGUCUUUCAACCAAAACAUGUCAUUCAAUAAAAGUUGGUGUUCAACAUGUCUAUACUCAAAAUUUAGAGUUGAUUACAUAAUUUGAAGAAUCAUAUUUCAUACUCGUAUCAAAAUAUAUGUUGAGUAAAGAUGUUCAAAAUGAAUACUUUAAAUGUAAAUAAGGUCGGUAAAAAGGUCUAAAAACAGAAUUUAUAGGGCAAGGCUAGUGAAGUAGUUUACCACAGUUACAGCUUCUUCCUCGAUCGGCUCAUUAUAAAAUUGAAAAAAUUUUGCAUCCAUUUUGGUUUUUGUUUUACAAGGGAAGUGCUACCUAUUGAAUCUAUUGAUCCAUCGUUAUUAGCAGAGUGUUGAUGGACAUCUUCAAGAUUUGGAGAACAUUGAGUGGUAUGGCUAUGCAGCUCUUUUAUGUCUUCCAAAUCUUUCUCAUUCACCAUUCUAACACCACACUUCUUCACCUUAACACAGGGAACAUCCGGGUCUGUGAAAGACAAUUCAAGCUCAUCGCAUUCCUGAUCUAAGCAAUCUAUUGUCCAUAAAUUAUUAAUUUCACAUUCACCACAUUUAUCCUCUAAGGAAAAUGGAUAUAAUUUAUCACGCGACCAAUAUCGAAGAAAUAGGUGAUCCUUCGUUAUGGGCUGGUUAAAACGUUUCCCAAACAACCAACUACUUGCAUCGACACGUCGAAGAUCUGUAUCUCGAAAGACAGAUCCAUUUCGACCGGCUUGUCCAGAAUUUCUACAAUGGAUAACAGCUCUGCAGUUGAUAAACUUAUCCCGGGAAGCAUCAUCAUUGACAAAAAUGCAACAGGAAGCUACUCCAAUCCAUUGACUAUCAUUCUGAAUAUUGAAUGGUAGAGGUAUCCUAAUUGUAGAGCCACCUCUCUGUUGGCUAAACCAUUCUGGGAUUUCACUUCCAGGUAUAAUAACAUCAAACAUUUGUCUUGAAUUUGCAAAUGCCUGCAAAAUGAAACUUCAGUCACUUGGUAAAUAAAACCAUAAAUUCCCAAGUACGAGAGGGAAAGAAAGAGAGAUUAAUUAACCUUGAGAUGUUUUUUCAACAAUGUUAACGCAUUGAUGUUCUCCGCCAAUCUGUAGCAGUUAAUGGCUUUAAUGGAAGCUAAAUCCAAUAAAUUGCAUACUUUUGAUGGACUUGCAACGCCUUCAAGUGAAGCACAACCAUCUAUGCACACUCUUGCUAUACUUGUUAGAAGCUCAGGCAACGAUUUAAGCUCUUUGCAACUUGAUAACAUAAGAAGUUUAAGCUUGGGAAGUCGAGUAAUAGACGCAGGUAUGCUGAGGAAAUUGUUACCACUAAGAUCAAGAUGUGUCAAGGAGGAUAGGCAAAAAAUAUCACUAGGAAUAUCUCCUUCACGAAGAUUGCAGUCCCUUAGCUUCAACUCUCUUAAUGAACUCAAACUUGACAACGAAGGCAACAUCAGAGGCAUAUUUGGUCGUAACUUAGAUGAUGGUCCUUUGCACCCAUUGAAAGACAGAAUUUUAAGAUUUUCCAAUUGAAAAAUCAAGGAUGGUGGUUCUGUUAUCGCUGUUUCACUCAAGUCAAGCUCUUCCAAAAACUCUACUUGCUGCAAAUUCACUGGCAAAUAUUUAAUUUUAUAACAACUAGAAAGAUCAAGAGUUUUUAGAUGUUCCAUUUUCCCAUCAAUCUCCGGAAACCUUACAAGACUUGAGCAACCUGAAAGAAUUAAUGUUUCAAGAGAUUCCAUUCCAAUUCUGGUUGGAAGACUCCUAAGACUUGUGCAGUCUCUUAAAUUUAAAAGUUUAAGCAUCUUAAGCACUCUGAUUGAUGGAUGGACAUCUACUAAUCUGGUACAACCUUCCAUAAUCAAAGCUUCAAGUUUUGGUGUUGUUCUGAAGUCUGGUGUCUUGAUCAGGUAUUGAGACCCUUUGAGGUUGAUCAUUUUCAACUUAUACAAGGGCUGUUGAAGACAAUAAUAAAUUAGAGAGAAAACAUAAUAAUGCUCAGUUUUGUUUUUGUUUUUCUUUUUUUACCUUAAUCAAAGUUUAAUCAUUUAUAUUAAAAUAAGCUAAAACACAAGGAUAAGAUAAGUUAAUUCUUACUCUAUUUCCCUUCCAUAGUUGUUCAAUGUGACUAUAUGGUAAAAGAAGUGUGACAAGAUUGUCCGGUCGAAAGCUUGAAGGUAAAUAUCUUAAAGGAUAUCUUGUCCAAUCUAAAAGCCGUAUUUCAUUAGAGAGAUAUUUGAGACCAUCACAAUUUGAUAGGCAAAGAACUUUGAGCAAUCUCAAUUUUUUCAUUUUUGAGAAGGUAUCGUCACUCAAAUUGAGCACCUUGCUCGAUUCCCUAAUAACCAUGAGCAAAACAAAUAUGAGUUUCAAAAUAUACAGAACCAUUUGAUAUCUAAAAGCUAUGUUGCAUCGAUAUUGUUUUUUGAAGUACCCGCAUCCUACACUUAUAUCUAAUGCAUAUCUGAAUAUGGUAUUGAGAUAUGAUUGAACAUAUUAGACAAUAGUCUAUCUAACACUUACAUUUGACUUUGAAUUACCUAAGCCUAAAAAACUAGAACUAAUAUUUUGAUUUACGUUUGGUGCACUGAUGUGUAAUUCUAUGCAUUACCAGUGAAUCAAAUGAUGGCAUGUUAUAGCCUAGUUCGUUAAUAUUAGCAAAGACAAUAACAUACAUCUCUUUACAAUUUCUUUUGAAAGAGUAAUGUGUUUCUAUAUAAAUUUUAUAAAUAUAACAUUGAAAAAUUAAGUAUUAAGGGUGUGUUUCAUUAGGUGGAAAAGUGUUGUUUUUUCAUUGUUUAUUAUUGGAUUUAAAAAAAAUAUAUUUUCUUUUCCUUCAAAUUUUCAUCCUUCCAAUUUUUUAUUCACUAUACCAAGCAAAGCAAAAAUGUUGUUUUUUCAUUGUUUAUUAGUGGAUUUAAAAAAAAAAUAAUGACAAUAUUAAUAGUACAUCUUGAUAAAUUUAAAUGUAUCUUUUCUUACCUUUUAUUGUUGAUGAUCAUGCCUUCAAUAACAUCGGUAGCCUAAAAGUAAUCAAGAAUAGACAAUAAGAAGGCAAAAUAAAUGCUUUAAAUUGUACGAUAAAAUAUUACCACAAUCUUUUGGUCAAAAUAUAGUAAAUAAAAUAUUUUGAACUAAGUAAAACACUUUUUAAUGAAAGUAGUUCAAUAAACUUAAACACUUAUGAAUCCUUAUUAAUAAUUAUAAUUAACAAAUCGGUACGUAAACCAAUUAGACUAAGCUUUGGAUUUACAUCAUAUAUUGAUAAUAAAAAAAAUUGUAUGUAAUUUUUGUUGAAUGACUUACCGUGGUUUUUGUUAGGACAUGAUGGACAUCCCUUUCCUUCCACAAUCUACAACGUUUUCCAGGUUCAUCAACACACUUUUCUUCAACAAUUUUUCUUCCCAUUUCUUGCAACAAGGCAUGCAUCCACAAAUAUUGGUUGCCAUCAUCAACUUUUAUGAGAGAUUUCUUAAUGAGAACAUCAAUUCCAAUAUUUGGAAAAAAAUCACAACCGUCCAAUACUUUCAUUACCAAAUCUUUCUUCUCCCCAUUGAAAAAGCAUGCUAUAUCUAAAAAUAUAUUCUUCUCCCUUUCUUCCAAUCCAUCAAAGCUAAUUCUUAGUGUGUUCAGAAUUUCUUUGUUAGAAUCUUGCUUAAGUCUUUUGAUUGCACAUCUCCAUUGAAUUAUAUCUCUACCGCACAAAAAUGAACCCAAAACUUCAAGAGCUAAGGGCAGCCCAUCAGCAUAAUGUACAAUAUGUUUAGAAAGCUCAAUGAAAUCAUAGUUCGGCACUGUAUCACUAUCAAAAGCUUUCAAAUUGAAAAGCCUAAGUGCAUCGUUGGGAUUCAAUGUUGUAGGCUUAUACACAUCAUCAAUUCGAUAAGAUCGGAGCAAAUGUUCAUCUCUUGUUGUUACAAUGAUCCUACUCCCUAAACUGAACCAAUCACGCUUUCCAACCAAGCAUUUCAAGUGUUGUACGUUAUCAACAUCAUCAAGAACAACAAGAACUUUUUUGCUAGACAACCUGUGGCUAAUUAUGGCAUUCCCUUCAUGAACAUUGAAAAAAUUGAAGCAUUUAUCUGGCAAAAUUUGAGAAAGAAGUUGUUUCUGUAAAGAAACAAGUCCACAUUUGUUUGAAACUUCUCGAAUAUCAGCAACAAAACUUUUACCUUCAAAAUGAGGUGACAUUUGAGUGUAAACAACCCUUGCAAGAGUUGUUUUACCGAUGCCACCCAUUCCGCAAAUUCCUAUAAUGCGUACAUCGUCUUCCCCAAUGUUUAUUUUCGAAUACAACUCCUCCAAACGUAAGCUAAUUCCAACCAACUCAUCUUGAACAAUUGGAUAUGUCUGACAUAAUUUUGCUGAUAUCUUCUUAACAAUGUCUCCGAUGAACUCUGAUUCAUGCCUACAAUGAAAUAAAAAAUCGCUGCUAUCUUUCAAAUGCACUUUUUCGUUUUUAGUUCAGUGAAUCAUGAAAUAUAAUAUAGUUGGAAGCAAACAAAAAGCAAGAAUAAGAUAGUAAGAUAUGUUAUAGCAUCAAAAUACACAACUUGCUCGUCAGUUGAAAUAUGGGAAUUCUCAAUUAAACACAAAAUUAUAAAAAAAAUAACAUGCAAUCCAAAAAAAAAAACAAUUUUUUAGUCAUUAAAAUUAGGAAAUAGAGAAGAAAAGGAAGAAAUACCUAUUAUGUAAAUGCCAUCCUUUGAUGUUAGCUACUUUAGUCAAAGCAUUUCGCCACUUUUGGAUCUUGUCUUUAUCUUCCUUGUACCUCUCUUGGUGUUUGGCGAAGGCUUCUUCAACUUUUUCUUUUUGUUUUCUUAAAUCGGAUGGAUCCAUAUCGUAGAAAAUUGGAAAUACUUUAUGUCCGUUAACAUUUUUUUGUUGAACAAUCUCAGCAAGCUCCUCCAAGCACCAUCCUGAAAAGGCAUAGGUUUCCGAAAAAAUGAUUACCGAGCACCAUGACUGCUGGAUUGCUUUCAAGAGUUCCGGUGCGAUCUCUUCGCCGGCCUCCAGCUUUGGAUCAUCCCUGAAAGUGAUGAUCCCACUUCUUUUUAGAGCAUCGUAGAGAUGAUCCGUAAAGUUCUUGCGGGUAUCUUCACCUCUAAAACUCAAGAAAACAUCGUAUUUCUUUCUGGAAAUUGAUGAGGAAGUCGAAAGUAAUGACGACAUGACGAUGUAUGAGAAGAAAAAAAUAUGUGGAUGUAGUGUUCAAAAUCAGAAAAUAGAUCGCUCAAUACCUUAGAAACAAAGUAGAAAUAAUGAGCAUGAGGACGGAGAAAAAUAAAUGAAAUUUACAGGGAAUAACAAAGGACUUUUCCAAAUGAAUCUUUCUGUAUGAUAAUACCUAUGAAAGGGAGUCGGUAACAAUAAAUUCUGGGGCCAUCGAUGAGCGUUAGAUGUUCUUUUCGGGAAGACUGCAAGAAGGUGAGAGUUGACAAUUGCUGCCUACUUUAAUUACAACUAAUAACGAUAGAGUUUUAAGAGUUUUUUUCACUAUUAGCGUCACAUCUGAUAGUGAAGAAGAGGCCCAAUAGGGUAAACAGGCAAUGCGCGUAGGCGUAGGUCUUCCACAAUCACCUCUGGUGUGCCACUCGUCAGUUGAGAAACCUGGGGGAGCUAUCUUCGUGGUACCAAUGACUGGGGGCAGGGGCCCAUUAUAUAAAACAGGGCAACUUAAACAUAUGCUUUGAAGGUGGAGCCUAUUGCUACAGAAGGGAGGCCGGACUUUUCCAACUAUGGCCUUAUUUAUUGCUAAUAAGAUAAUGCAAAAAAUGGGCUAUGACUUGGAAAAUCCUGUCGGACUAAAAAAUGGGAAGGGGCUUGACGAAGGCACAAAAGAAUACAUUAAAAGAUGGGGAGGCUAUCCUCCGACGUACGGCCUGGGGUACAUCCCAGAUUAUGGAACGAGAGAUGGGUCAGAAUUUGAAGCUUAUGAGUCGUCCACUACUUGUUAGAAUGUGCCACAACUUUAUGUACUUUUUGUAAAUUUAAAAUUUAAUCCCUAUACCAUUAGUUACUAAAUUAUAGGUAAAUUUUUAUUUUAAUCACUUAAUGUAAAAAAAAGUUACAAUUUGAUCAUUGAAAUUUUCAAAAUUAUUUUUUUGUCACUCAACUAUUAAGUGACACUUUUUUUAUGUGAUAUAAUAUACGUGGAUGUAGUGCUCAAUAAACAAGAAGUAAAUGAACAUGAGGGAGGAGAAAAACAGAAGAAAUUUACAGGAAACAAAGGACUUGUCUAGGAAAUUUGUGUAUACGUUUCCCACCUUUUACUUUUCCAAAUGAAUCUAUCUUCAUUAUAAUACCUAUGAAAGGGAGUCGGUAACAAUUAAUUCGGGGGCCAUAGAUCAGCGUUAGACGUUCUUUUCGGGAAGACUCCAAGAAGGUGAGAGUUGACAAUUGGUGCCUACUUUAAUUACAACUAAAACUUACAGAGUUUUAAGAGUUUUUUCUGGUUAAAAUGUGUUACAAGUCAUCGUACUUUUUAUAAAUUAAAAUUUAGUCCCUACAUCAUUAGUCAUCAAACUAUGGGUAAGUUUUUGUUUUGGUCACUUAACUAAAAAAAAUUAUGAUUUGAUCAUUGAACAUUGAGGAAGCGCAUAAUGAUCUAACAUUGUUUUGUUUUGUUCUAUUUUUAAUUUUUUUAUAGGAUUCUAUUGAAGAAUAAAUUUCUAUAUUUUCCAUACAUAUUAGUUCUUGAAAAACAACAUUUUCGAGAUUUUAUUUUUCUAUAAUUUUCAUAUAGAAUUUUCUAUUUUUUAAAUAGUUUUGAUUUUUUUUUUAUAAAUUUAUGUAGAACCAUGGUCAAGUUUACAAAAUAUAAAAAUUGAGGACUAGCGUGUUAUUUUACCAACUAAAAAGUGCCAUUUAACAGUCAAAUGAUCAAGAAAAACAAUUUUGAAAAGUUUAGCGACCAAAUUGUAACUUUUGCAGUUAAGUAACAAAAAUGAUAACUUACCUAUAAUUUAGUGACUAAUUAUGUGGUUUACCCUAAAAAAAGUGUCUUGGAUUUGGUCCUAAGCCCCAUUGGAACAUACGGGCUGUAAAGGAAUCAUUACCCAAUCUAUAUAAUAUAAUAUACAUAAAAGCACGAGUUUGAAAAACUUUUGAAUUGACGAGAAUAUCAUUUACUUUUCAUCAAAUUAAGUUCACAUUUAAAGGUUAAGCUAAUUUUAUUGAUGUAAAAUAAAGUUAUUACGUGAAUAUAAUUUUGAGCAUCUUAAUUAUCCCUUAAUUAAUAUUAGAGUUACACAUCAAUUCAAAAUUUAAGUUUAACUUUGUAAAUAACAUCAAAUAGUUAGACAUAUUUGAUUAAAUAGCAUGUAAGAAAAAUCAUCGACAAAAAAAUUGGAUAUUGUUAGCAUUAAUAAAUUAAAAUUAUAUGUAUAUAGAGAAUAUAUAUAUAUAUAUAUAUAUAUAUAUAUAAAGAAAAGCAAUGGUUCUUUGAAUAGGAAAUAGUGAAUCCUAUUCAAAUUGAAUGGCAUUAAAGAAAAAUGAAAGAUUAUUUUAAUUGAUGAUGAGAUAAUAGAAUAUAAUAUUUUUUUAUAAUUAUGUUGUAUGUUAUUCAUACUAUGUGAAGCAAGCACUCUUAAAAUUAUUUUUUUAUCUAUCUAUAAUUUGUUUGGUAUACAUGGAAAACAUUAUAUAAGUUUGUUUUGAAGAUAAAAUUAAAUUUUAAGAAUUAUUUUUUAAUCAUCAUUAUUAAUAUAAUUAAAAUUACAUGCAACGCAUGUGACAUUAGAAACUAGUGAUUAUAAAAAAUUGGAGUGCGACAAACUCUUGUUGUGAUUAAAAAGAGUUGUAUUUAUAAAAAAUUAUAUAAACAUCAUCAAACGCAUUGGUUGAAUUGCUUAACUUAAAGUUUUGCAAAAAUCAUCAUGAUAAUAUUUUAUAAUUAUUUUUAUAAAAAAGAUAAAAAUACUAUUAUAUUAAUAUUUGUUACUUCUUAUAAAUAGUAAAUUAUACAUAGGGUCUGUUUUGAAGUCAUACGUAGGCAUCUUAAAUGCCAUUUACAUAUAGCAGAUGCCUAUUUCGGUCUUUUAGUUGUUGGACCAAAUGGCGGCAGGGCUAUAAGACUGGCUAUUUCAGCGGCAAAUGGAGCUUCAUUUCUAAAUGGGCUAUAAGCUUGAAGGCAAUGAUCUUAAAGAAUAUCCUAUCCAAUCUAAAAGACGUAGAUACUUGAGAUCAUCACGAAAUUAAUUUUCAUUUCUAAAUAUAAUUAAGUACUUGUUAAUAAUUAAUAACACUAAUUGUCAUGAGUAAUUUCAUAAAUUAUAAUAAGCUUUUUGAUCCAUUAGUAACCGUAUUAUAAAACAUCACAUUCCACUACCCUAUAAAAGAAUAAUUAUUUUUCUAUAAUUUUCAUAUAGAAUAAUUUUUUUACUUUACCGAUAGCAGCACUCUUUUUCAAAGAAGGUACGGUACAUCUUCUUCCUCUUUUUUGCUUCUAAAUUAUCAUGAAUCGUUGAUUCUAUUCAGGGGGGCCUUAUAUAUAUAUAUAUAUGAUCGAUAGGGGAAUUUACACAUAAAUAAUACGUAUAGAGAUUUUUCGAAUCGAAAGGAUAAAUUAUUCUUUAAUUGCGCAGGGAUGCUGACUUUCUGAUAAGUUCCGGUGAUAGAACCGGACGGCUGUUGAAGUACAAUCCUUAUAACGGAGACGUGUCCGUCUUGUACGACGGCUUAGCUUUCCCUAACGGGGUUGCCUUGAGUGCAAACAAUUCGUUUCUUCUAGUGAACGAAUCGAUAAAAAGACGAAUACUGAAGUUCAAUGUGCACGACCCCAAAGCAGCUCCCAAAGUAUUCCUCGAAUUACCCAGGGUUCCGAAUAAUAUAAAGAGGAACGAAAAGGGCGAAUUCUGGGUGGCCCUAAACAGCGGAAGAUUAGGAACGCUUGGAAACGGUGUUCCGGAUCCAAUUGGAAUGAGGUUUAACGAAGAAGCCAAGGUUUUGGAAAUCUUGGAUGGAAAGGGCGCGCCCACUUUUAAUUCGAUAAGUGAAGUCCAGGAACACGGGGGGAAAUUAUACAUAGGGUCUGUUUUGAAGUCGUACGUAGGCAUCUUAAAUGCCUAGUUGAUUUUUGUUUUCUUUUCUUUUCUUUUUUGCGACUUUUUAAUUGUUCCUGUAAUUUGUUUUUCUUUUACUCGAUAAAUAUAAUAAAUAAAUGUUAACGAUUUUAUUUUCGAGAAAUUUUUAAUUAUCUUGAUUUGCCUAAUUGAGACAUUACAUCUUCACGCCUCGUGCACAAGACGAAGUAAGCCAGGCUUGGCGUACCUGAUGGGUUAGUUGUCGAACAUUUUAAAGUUGUCCUUUAUCCCCUUUAUGCUUCGGGGUACACUACUUUUUCCCGUCACAGAAUGUUUAUGUUGUAAACUUGAUAAGCAUGGCACCGAUUCCCAUAACACAAAUUAAAGAACAUCUGCUUCAAUUGAUUGGUCAAAAGAAAAGGUCAAUACCACGACCUAAUUUCUCAUCUCAACAAUGCCUAAUCAGUGUUCCUAAUAGGCUACGGAAAUUGAAUGAGUUGAGAUGCUACUAAGUGUAUCAAAGUAAAAGAAGGACCAAAUAACAAAUUAGGCUAAGCAACCACUCAAUCCUUGCAACACUACUCCCUGCUUCUAUUGCCUGGGGAUAUGAACCAAUAGAUCACGAUGAUAAUUCUAAAGCAACCAUUAUUUGAUCGUCCUCUUACUAGACAAUGGAUAUAAUAAUUCGUGAAGAAAAAGGUGGUCCUUCGUUAUGGAUUGUCCACCUAAAACUUUGAAACUGGAAUCGACCCUUCCAGGAUUUUUAACUUGAAAAACAAAUCCAUUAUUACUAGAUUGUCCAGAAUUUCUUUAAUGGAUAUAAGUUGGGCCACCGAUAACUUUUUCUUCGGAACCACCAUCAUUGACGAAUCCAAUCCAUUGACUGUCAUUCUGAAUAUCGAGAAACAGAGGUAUUUCAAUUACAGAGCUGCCUCUGUGUUGCCUGAACCAUUCCGGAAUUUCAUCAUUUUCGUUUUUUGAAUUCGCAAAUGCCUGCAAAUUUAAUUAUCGGUGGCUCUGUAACUAAAACCAUGGAAAAUAAUUGAGAUUAAUCAACCUUAAUCAGAAAUUUUAUUGCACUAAUGUUCUCAGCCAAUCUGUAGCAGUUAAUGGCUGUAAUGUUAGCACCAUAACUUAUCCACUACUCACUUCUCAUUCUUCCUAGAAGCACUGGCAACUAUUCAAGCUAACUGCAAUCUGACACUCCAAGCUUUUGAAGAUUUGAAAGAAGAGUAAGAGACGCAGCUAUGCUGCUGAAAUUGUUACACCUAAGAUUAAGAACUCUCAAUGAGGAUAGACCAGGAUUGAACCUGAAAUUGUCAUAUUAAUGGCAUGAAGCUACAACCAACUGAGCUAGUAAGCCAAUUGGUUUUUUUUUUAGACACUGUCUUAUAUUAAGCUUUUCUCCGUUGGUUAAAUGAUAAUAUUUUUAAAUUUUGGAUUUAAAAAAUAUAUUUAUUAUACUUUCAACAUAUAUACAUCCCAAAAUACAACCAAAAAUAAAUAGAAGGUUCAUUUUAUUUCCCCAAUAUUUUAAUGCAGAGUAAUGCUUGUUUUGUUGGGUUUGACAUAACCUGUAUGGAUUCGACAGUGAGAUUCGUGGACACCUUUGACAUGAUGAAAGACAACAACAUGCAGUAAAAGAUGUAAGAGGAAAAACCAACGUUAUGUCAUGAAAAGGAACAACACCCCCCCCCCCCCCCCAAAUGGAUCCCCCCCUAUUAAAAUUGAUCACUAAUGGCAAUUUGCUUCUUUUGCUAUGUGUAGUGUAGAGAAGAAUAAAAAUGAAGUUAACACAUAAACAGAGAGUUUUCACCUAUUGGCAUGGAUAUUGGCGGGUAAAUGAAAGAGUAAAUUAUUAAAUCCCGAUACUUUUCGAAAUUUUCAAAAAUUAAGUGCCCUUAAAACUAAUAUAUGUUGCAGUGGGCAAAAAUCACGUCGGUUGCUGCAUAGAUAAGUCGCUGAACCAAUCGUCACAACUCUUUGCCAAAGAUGCAUCAAUCCACACAGCGCCACUAUUCUAUAUAUAGAUCAUCAGCGUCUCUUAUCAUUUGGAUAUUCAAGGAAGUUAAUUUUUCUGGUUACAUUAGCAAGAGGUAAGGCAUAUCAGUGAAGAUGGAAGAUUACGGAUGCGGUAUCAGUUCGAUAGCCAUGAUGCUGUUGGUGGUUGCUCUGCUGUUUUUGGGUCCGCUUGGAAUGCCACCGUUGCAGCCUCCUCCCGCUUACAUUUUCCUCAUCUUCGCUUUCGUCUUGAUCUUCGUUUUCAUCUACCUCUCUCAUGCCUCCAAAUGAUGAUCCAUGGCGAUUUCGUUUGCUUUCCAGUAUUAUUAUUCUCUUUUAUUCAGUUGUUAUCUGAUGAUAAUAAGCUUUGCGGUGGAUAUUAACCACCAAUAGUACACAGUUAUUUGUUGUUUUCAGUCGUUUAUUAAUAAAUUAUAUGAAGUCGAUGGAAGAAUGUCUCUGUUUAUCUAGUACGUAAAUAAACCAUGCAAUGCAUGCAUACUUACGUUGCUCUAAAAUGGACACGACGCCUUUUACUAAUAUUAUUCUUUCUUGCACUCCCAUUGGCUUAGGUACGCUGCAUGCGUUGUCCCUUCAUGCCGUCUAUUUAAUAAUGUCGUUAAUAAUUUUAAUGUGGUCUUCACUCCAUCCAUCGAUCGUGUCUAGCCUCAGUUUUCCUCCAUACAUCAAAUCGUUUGCAUUUGAAUAUCCCAUCUCUCCUUUUAAUUUUAAUUAUACUGAGUCUUCUUAUGUAAAUUUAGUUUAUUCAGGUUGUGCUUAUGAAUUUAGAUUCAAAAUAUGGAGUUAAACACGAUUGUAUGAUAAAAGGCAUUGUCUAUGGUUUCUGCUGCAGAAAAUUGUUAACUUUCGGGAUGACGCCAUUAUAAAAUUUGUUUGCAUGAACUAAUUAAUCCAUAGACUUUAACUAUGUACUAUGUAGGCGUCCUAGUACAAGGAUUGGGUUGUGAGCAAUACUAAUGGNNNNNNNNNNNNNNNNNNNNNNNNNNNNNNNNNNNNNNNNNNNNNNNNNNNNNNNNNNNNNNNNNNNNNNNNNNNNNNNNNNNNNNNNNNNNNNNNNNNNNNNNNNNNNNNNNNNNNNNNNNNNNNNNNNNNNNNNNNNNNNNNNNNNNNNNNNNNNNNNNNNNNNNNNNNNNNNNNNNNNNNNNNNNNNNNNNNNNNNNNNNNNNNNNNNNNNNNNNNNNNNNNNNNNNNNNNNNNNNNNNNNNNNNNNNNNNNNNNNNNNNNNNNNNNNNNNNNNNNNNNNNNNNNNNNNNNNNNNNNNNNNNNNNNNNNNNNNNNNNNNNNNNNNNNNNAUUGCUUCUUCAUGUUCUUCCAUUAGGGAGUGCAUAAAUUGACUCACUAAGCUCACUGAAAAAGCUAUGCCUGGCUCUGUAUGUGAUAAGUAAAUUAACUUACCAACUAAUCUUUGGUAAUGCCCUUUAUCAACUAAUCGACCUUCUUUAUUUCUGAAUUUUACAUUUGGACCAAUUGGUGUGUCAGCUGGGCAGCAACCACUCAUCCCAGCCUCUUUUAAAAGAUCAAUCAUACAUUUUUUCUAAGAGACCACAAGACCCUUCUUUAACCGAGCAACUUUCAUUCUAAGAAAGUAUUUCAAAGGACCCAAGUCUUGGAUCUCAAACUCCAAUGCUAGAUGCUCCUUGAGACGCCUUAUUUCAUCUACAUCAUCUCCUGUAAGAAUGAUAUCAUCGACAUAAACUAUAAUAACUGUUAUUUUACCUUUUUGUCAGUGUCGAUAGAACAUUGUGUGAUCAGCUUGCCUUUGUGAGUAACCUUGGUUUUUAACAACUUGAGUGAAUCGUUCAAACCAAGCUCGAGGNNNNNNNNNNNNNNNNNNNNNNNNNNNNNNNNNNNNNNNNNNNNNNNNNNNNNNNNNNNNNNNNNNNNNNNNNNNNNNNNNNNNNNNNNNNNNNNNNNNNNNNNNNNNNNNNNNNNNNNNNNNNNNNNNNNNNNNNNNNNNNNNNNNNNNNNNNNNNNNNNNNNNNAUUGAUAAAAGAACUCUAACAUAAUUUAAUUUGGCUACUGGAGCAAAUGUUUCAAGAUAAUCUAUCUCGUAUGUUUGAGUGUACCCUUUAGCUACCAGCCAAGCUUUGUAUCUAUCGAAAGAUCCAUCCGGUUUGAAUUUGGUUGUGAACACCCAUUUACAACCCACUAUUUUUUUCCUUACAGGUAAUUCCAUUGUUUUCCAUGUACUUAUUUUUUCAAGAGCAUGCAUCUCUUUUAAAAUAGCCUUCUUCCACUCAAGAACCUAUAAAGCAUCUUUCAUAUUUUUGGGUAUUUCACAAUAUCGAGACACGAAGCAAAGGCUGAGAAUGUCAAAGACAAUGCUUUAUAGGAUACAAAGUUAGACAUGGGAUAUUUGACAAAAUUUCUAACACAUUUUCUUUUAGCAGUUGGAAUAUCUAAAUCAGAAAAUUCAUUGGUUGGAUUAUGAGCUUUACUUGGACUUUUGACAAGAUCUUGCAGGUCGGAUUCUUGGUGAUGAAUCUGGUGGAUUCCACUUUCUUGACUUCAGUUUCUCACAAUAAAUUUGCCUUCCCCAUUAUUAGAAUCUCUAUGUUGUAUAUUCCUAGUCUUUUCUUGAUCAGUUAUAGAAUCUUCCUUACUAUAAUUUCCUCCCUGAAGAUUAGAAUCAAAAUAAGAUUGCGUUUCAACAAAUGUGACAUCCAUGGUAACAAUAAUCUUCCUAUCAAUUGGAUCAUAACAUUUGUAACCCUUUUUAUUAGAAGCAUGGCCAACAAAGACGCAUUUUUUUCUCUAGAAUCUAGUUUACCAUGGUUGUAAAGAUGAACAAAAACACUACACCCAAAAACUCAAAGGGAUAAAUCUAUGAUCAAUUUAGAGCUAGGAAAGUUAUCUUUAAAGAGACGAAAAGGAGCUCUAUAGUUUAGAGUUUUACUGGGGAUUCUAUUAAUAAGAUAUGUAGCUGUUAACAAGGCUUCGCCCCAAAGAUAACGUGGUACCUGACUAGUGAACAUCAAGGCUCUAGUUACUCUCAAAAGAUGUUGGUUUUUUCUUUCUACAAUCUCAUUUUGUUGUGGGGUAUUUGUACAAGAGCUUUGGUGGACUAUUCCAUGUUUGGUUAAGAAAACACAUAAUUGGUCACUAAAAAAUUCCCCACCAUUGUCACUCCAAAAUACUUCUAUUUGCACACCAAAUCGUGUUUUCACUAUAGCAUAAAAAGACUAAAACACAUUUUUAACUUCAGACUUAUCUUUUAAUAAAAAAAACCCAAUAAAUACGAACAUGAUCAUCAAUAAAUGUGACAAACUAACGUUUUCCUAAAAAAGUUGAGAUUGUUGAAGGUCCUCAAACAUCACUAUGAAUUAACGAAAAAGGUUUGGAAACUUUAUAUUUUUGAGGUGGAAAGAAUGACCAAUGAUGUUUAGCCUAUUCAUAAAAUUCACAAUGAUAUGAAUAAGGACUUUUAUUUUUAAAUAGAUUAGGUAACAAAUAUCUUAAAUAGUAAAAAUUAAUAUGUACAAGCCUAUAAUGCCAAAUCAUAACCUUAUCAAAACCAGAAACAGAAUUUAAACAUAAAGUAGUUGUUGGUUGACUUAGAUGGUCGUCGUCAAUAAAGUAAAUUCCACCAGAUUCUUUAGCAUUGCCAAUCAUCCUCCCCGAGACCAUGUCCUGAAAUUUACACAUAGAUGACUUAAAUAUAACAUGACAAUUCGAGGACUAGGAUAAUUUACUGACUGAUAUGAGAUCACAAGCUCGAUUUGGCAUACGUAAAACAUCAUGUAAAACUAAGGAAGAAGAAAUUUUAAUAGUGCUUUUCCCGGCUAUUACCGAGAACGACCCAUCUGCUACUUUGAUCUUUUUGUUUCCUGCACAAGAUGUGUAAGUUGAGAAAAGAAAAUGACUACUAGUCAUGUGAUCACUAGCUCCAGAAUCGACGAUCCACGUGUUUGUUUUACAAGGCUUGACGCUGAAAAAAAUAAAAAAAAUUUAGUACUUGAUUGGGCAAAGGAGAAAGAAGGAUUAUUGGAUGAGUUAAGAACAGAAGAAUUCAUUCGAAACUGUGGUGACUGAAAAAGCUUGAGUAGAUACUCUAAUUGUUCCUUAAUGAAUAGAGACCCUUCUAGAGAACUUUGACCUCAAAAUUUUUAGUAGUUGUUUUGAAAACUCUACUAUCCCCUAAUUAUGAACCACGACCAUUGCCACUCUUUUUUUUUCCAUUCAUCAGUUUUCCAUGGAGCUUCCAACAUGUUUCUUGAGUGUUCCAAUAUUUUUUGCAUUGAUCGCACCAAGGUUUUUUUCUUUUUUCACUAUCAUCAUUAUUUUUAAUAGUUACAAUAGUAGAAUUAUCAUCAUUAGCUUCAAACCCUGGCUUUAACAUUACUUUUCUCCUUGUUUCCUCUUUUCUAACCUUAGAAAAAAUCUCACAGAGUUUUGGAAGCAGUUUUUUUCCUAAGAUCCGAGAUCUCACUUCAUCAAAUUCUUUAUUUAAACCAACCAGAAACAAAUAAGCUCGUUCAUUCUCUUCUGUUUUCAUAGCUUUUACACCAUCUCUUGGACACUCCCAUUCAUCAUUAUAACACUAACCCAAUUCUUUCCAAAGAGACAUCAUCUCGUUAUAAUAAAAAGUAACUUCCUUUUAAGUAACUUCCUUUUCCCCUUGUCUAGCUUUAUAGAGUUUUAUUUUUAACUCAAAUAUCUGUGAAGCGUUUUCUAUAUCUGAAUAAGUGUCUUUCACAACAUCCAAACAUCUUUAACAGUCAAGAGAAAAAGAAAAGGGUUACCUAUGGAUGCUUCCAUGGAAUUAAUAAGUCACGUAAUUAUCAUAGAAUUUUCUGACCUCUACUUGCUCAUCUUUGGUUCGCCCACCUGUGGUUGAUUGACUUCUCCAGUUAAAUGACCUAACUUGCCGUGCUCAUCAAUUCUUAACUUUACGGACUGCGACCAUUCCAGAUAAUUCUUGCCAUUCAUCUUGUGAGAUGUCACCUGAAAAGAAAGGUGGGACGCCUCUGUCCCUUGAGUCAUUGUACUCUCGGUAGUUGUUUCAACAGUAGAACUUUCUUCCUCUGUUUGAUUGAUGGAUCUUUUAUCUCUAGUGAAGGUUGUUUUAACCAUGAUGUUACUAGAGAUUUAAUCUAGCUCAGAUGCCAUGAAAGUUUUCAAGAGAGUAUUUAAUAAAAAUGUUCUAUAAUUUAUUAACUAAAAAGCUGAACUUAAAUAGAGAAAAUAGUCAUAACCUAAUUGAGAAAAUAAUUCCCUUAUUCUAAUAAACUACUAAAAAUAAAAUAAAAUAUUCCUAGAAUAUCUAAAAUGAUUUAUUCUAACAUAUAUCUACCUAAAUAAGAUUUAUCUACCUAAAUAAAUUUAAAAUAUAUGAGUUUCACAUAUUUCAAUAGAUUACUCUUAUUAAUUCCUUCAACAUUUCAUAGUCUUCCCUCCAUUUUUCCUACUAAAAAUCAGUUUGGGCUCCUUUUUUCUCAGAAAAAGAAAAAAGAAGUAACAGCAUACUUUUGCUCUUUAGCCCCUUUCAGUCUGCAUGAACGAUUUCAAGGCCUUGGCUAAUAUUUGAAUAUAUAUUCAAUGAGGUUUUGGUUUUGGUUUAAUAUUUGAUUAUGUUUGAUGCGUCGUUGAGAGCACCAAAAAUAUCAUAUCCCUAUAAAAUAACAAAAAGAAUAGUAUAAAAGAAGUAGGGUCAAAUCCUCAGGGACUGGACUUGCACAAGUUCAUGUUCCUCAAGAUCCCAGGUAGAGUUGUGCCCAAGAAAAACGGCGUACCUAGAAAAAAAUAAAAAAAACAGAAUUAAAAGUUUAGUUGAAUUGAGAUUGCGUAAAUUGAAAUUGAAAUUGUAAAAAUAAACAGAGUUGAGAAAAGAGAGUUUUUUAUGGAGAGAUUCCAACCUCUGGUUAUCUCGAUCCUCCUUGGGUUCNNNNNNNNNNNNNNNNNNNNNNNNNNNNNNNNNNNNNNNNNNNNNNNNNNNNNNNNNNNNNNNNNNNNNNNNNNNNNNNNNNNNNNNNNNNNNNNNNNNNAUAGUGGAAGAGGAUGCCUACAACCACCAGCUCCACUUAGAUUUUAGAUUUACAAUUUAGAGGAACUUGACUCUAGCCAACCGUUGCUUUUGUGGGACCGUCUUACAGUAGAUCAUCACUUCUCAAUGGCGAAUGCCACACCAUCUUGUCUCUUGGGCUCGACAAUCACUGACGCAAUAAGCUAACGAACCGACUGUGAAACCUUCCCAAAACAUACAAAGCAGCCGCCUUUGCACAAGAUGAAAAGACUACUUUUGGAAGGACAUGGACAGAAGUGUCAGUCCUGUAACACGGAGAAACGAUGAAUACUCGUUGAGAAGGCUAAGUGUGGAUUCUAAGCCUUAUGAACCCUUUUUGGGGAAUCUCGACAAACUUUGGCUAGAUAAAUUUAGUGGCUAAUGCUUUUUUGGGGAAAAAGAAAUAAACUUAAUAAAAAUGGAAUUUUAUUGAAUAAAUGAAAUGAACAAAAGCUAGAGCUUUUUGGGAGAGGGAGAUUUUACAAAAAAAGAUGAGUGAAAUUUGUGUCACUCCAUCCCCUAUUUAUAGUACUUAGAAAACCUAAUUUAUUCCUAUAUAAAUUCUAAAAGAUAAAUAAAGAUAAAAGCUAAAAUUAAAUCUAAAUAAUAAUCUUAACAAUAAUCCUAAUACAAUUAAAAUUCAAAUAGAGUUUUGUGUUUAUAAAAUCUCUUCUUUGAACUAUUGUCCCCAAGUCUUCCACACUUUGCAUUUUCGGCACCACUUCUUUCCUAUUUUGCAUCCUGGCCCAUUUUAUCUUCAAAUUUAUGCUUUUUGCCCCUAAAUUUCUUUUUGCCUUUAAUUUAGUCCCUACAAGAUAAAAAAACCAUAAAUAGCUCAAAUUAGUAAGAACAUACUCAAAAUAAAUAUGUAAUUAAUACAAAAAAAUAUGUCAUUCCAGAAUAUUAUCAGAUUCCCCCUACUUAGCCCAUGCUUGCCCUCAAGUAUGGUUCCUAUCCACUGUGAAAUUUAGUUUUUACCAUGAAAGAAAUAUCACUCUAAAGUUUUAUAAAAAUUAGGCAUAAUACAUACGAAAAAUAAAGAGAACCUUUAACUUCCUUUAAGUAAAACCGAAAAAAGUAUUCCAAUUAAUACAUACAAAAAUUAAAAUCAUCUUGAAUUAUUUCAUGAAAAUUAGGUAAUUCACUAAACUUACCAAGACACCCUAUUUGUUUCCACCUUUAGUCCCCAAAUGUAAUUUUAUUAUUAAUAUUCUUUUUCUUUUUCUUUUUCUUUUUCUUUUUCUUUUUCUUUUUCUUUUUCUUUUUCUUUUUCUUUUUGCUUAAGAAUAUAUUGAACCUUUUGACGCGAAAAGAGACAACAGCCAAGCACCCCACCCUGGUUACUCAGCCUAACAUACUCCUAAUUUAUUAUAUUUAAAUAUAUAUUUUUCUUAAGAAUAUAUUGAACUUUUUGACGCGAAAAGAGAUGACAGCCAAGCACCCCACCCCGGUUACUCAACCUAACAUACUCCUAAUUUAUUAUAUUUAAAUAUAUAUUUUUCUUAAGAAUAUAUUGAACCUUUUGACGCAAAGAGAGAUGACAGUCAAGCACCCCACCCCGGUUACUCAGCCCAACAUAUUCUUAAAAAAAAUUUCUCGGUUAGCAGAGUUUUACCUAACAAGUCACACAACUUUUGACGCGAAGUAGGAUGACAACCCAAGCACCCUACCCCAGUUACUCAAUCAGUCACGUUUUAAGCUGCACUCAUAACCACGGAGGCAUCAAAAUUUAUUAUAAUGAAACAGAAUUUUUAAUUUUGGAGAAUUAGGAAAAACAAUCAAGUGUCAAAAAUAAGUUUCGGCAACUACCUAACAGUCAUGAACAUAAAUUUAGCAUACAAUUGUAUUAAGUGUUCUCUUUGCAUUAAACUUAAUCUAUUUUACAAAAAGCAAGAUAGGGUUAACUCUAUUAAUCAUAAUUAUUUUAGCCUAAUAGAAAUAAAAUAGUGGAGACGAAAUCAAUAUGGCAAAAUCAUAACUAACUCAAUAUAUAGGAAUCAUGCUCGCAAAUUAAAUAGUGGGCGAUUUCUGGUCAAAAUCUUAGGCAUGAAAAAGGGCAGGAUAUACUAAAAAAAUUAAAUAUGGGUAGAAACUAGCACAAUGCAGCAACAACAGUAACACAACAGUAAAAGCAGCAGAUAAAAUGACAGAAAUAAUGAGGAAUGCCUCCCCCUACUUAAAACACAUUGUCCUCGAUGUGAAAGAAAAAUAACAAAUAGGGGGAAGAGAAAAAAGUUUAGAAAAACUCCCCAUAUAUUUACUGUCGUUCGCACAGAGCUGCAAUAAGAUCAGUCAUCUACUGGCCGAUGGUGUCGAGUCGUGCCUCAAUGCGUUCCAAUCGUUGCUCGAUGGUCACGGAAGGUUGGUCUUGAUUGGGUACCUCGUGCAGAUUUUGCCGCCGAAAGAUUCGUUCAGCCGGUGUAGAUCGGGUGCCUGGAGGUACAAAAAGAAAGGAAGUAGGAGUGCCAAGAAGCAAUCCCAUCGAAUCGAGACAGCAGGCAACUAAUGGAUCAGCUUGGUAAACAAUAUGUAAGUUUGAAAUAGGGGCAUUAGAGCCAUGUAACAUGUAAAAAGAAUAACAGUUGUGUAAUAAAAAAGCCUAAAAUGAGAAGACGCUUUGCAUUUAUAAUAUGCUCAAAUUGAAGCACAUACCAAUAGCCCAAAUUUACCGGACGACCGGUGUACAUACACCAUAAUAAGAAUAAUUUCAUCUUCGAGACGAUAGCCGGUACAUCUCUCCGACCUGAGAAAUUAUAAGCCAAAUAACAAUGUAUGUAACAUAAGGCAGGGUUACGAAACCACAAAUCCUUUGAUGUUUUAGGGCUAUAUAUGGUUUCAACAUUAUCUAUUAAUAACGCAAAGGCCUCUAUAGCCUUGAAGUCUGCUGGAAAAGUACACAAGUUGUUUUCAUAAUCAGUGGACAAAGCAUAAUCCUCUGUUACAAAAGCCAAUGCAAUAUUAAAAUCAGUUAGGGAUAAACUGUGUGGUACCAAGCAAUCGAAAUGUGAUAAUGCCAGAUAUGUCCAAUGAGAAUUGGUCGUGCCGUUGAAAAUGGAAGGUGGAAUAAAACUCUAAAAUCAGUUCGUAAUAAGUGCAGUGAGUGAUAUCAAAAUUUCCAACCCAACCAAUAUUGCGAAAAUAAUCGGCAACCAUAGUGUCUGUCGAAACCACUUUUUUUAAAAAACAAGUCUACUUGGAUUUUGAAAAGCGAAAACGGAGUUGCCACCGAUCCUUUUUAUUUAGGUGUAAUCGGAUCACCUCAUAAUUUAAUCAUUUUAAGAAAAGUUUAAAUUUACUAAAACGAUAAUUUUUGGUCUACAAAAUCCAGAAAAUGAGUUCGGGAGUCGGUUACGCACGAGGAAGGAUUAGCACCCUCGAUACGCCCAAAAUUGGUACCUUGUUGAUUAAUUAGUGUCCUAAUAUCGAAAAUUUACAAAGAUUUUAAAAUACGAUCCUUUUAUUUAACCAGAAACUUGUAUAAAUCAAGUUGCACGUUAAGACCCUCUUAUUUCAGAAAGAGAAAAUGUCAUGCCCAAUGAGUUAGGGUAUGAUAUUUCACAUCCUCAAAAAUGAGUUUGUCUUUUGAAAAACUCAUGCAAUGAAAUUUAAAAAGGAUAUUCAAUUGUUUAAGUCAGAUGAAAAAUCGAAGCCCAAUAAGUUAGGGCACGAUAUCUCAAAAUUCCAAACAUUGAAUAUUGUCUUUAUUAUUUUUUAGAAAAAAUCCUCAUCUCGAGAAAAUAAAAUGCCGUAUCCAAUGAGUUAGUAUGCAACGUAUCGAAUCCUCGGGAAUGAGCUUUUUAUUUACUUGUUUUAAUUUAAAAAAACUCGAUUACUUAGAUUCAACGAGGAAAAUUAGAACCCAAUAAGUUAGGGUCCAAUCGCCUCGAAGAUCCCAAAUACCGAGUAUUACGUUAUCUUCAAAGCUUUUGAAUAAAAUGAUUUCGACACUUAAGUGAUAUCAAACAUAACCUUUUAAACGAAUAAAAUGCGAUGGAACGAUAAUGUAUAACGCGGAAUGAUAAUUCGUAAGCCAAAAUGUACACUAAUGAACACAAAUAAUCAAUAGAUAAUACAAACAAACAUAGCAACAAUAAUCUCAAUCAUACAUUAUGCAAAUACCGAUAACAACAUCCAACAAUUAAAUGAAUUAAUAAUCAAAUUUAAAAGGUACACUAAAAAAAUUCAAUAGCAAGAGGAGAAAUCAUAAUCAAUAAAUUAUACGUACAAAAGUUUUAAAAUAAACAAUAUAUAUGAGUUUAAAAUAGAUUCAAAAUAGAGUUAAAAAUAAACACUUCAUAAAAUAACAGUAUUUAAAUGAAUUUUGAAACAAUUAUUAUACAAGAAGAAGAUUCAAAUAUAUAAAAUAAUUUACAUAUAUUAAUUUAGAAUAAGUAAUACAUAGGGAGUGAAAAGCCUCAUGUAAAUAAUAAUAUUUAUAAUAAUAUGUAAAAGGUUGAAAUAUGCCAAAUAUAAUAAAAAAAAAGGAUUUUUUGUACAAAAAUAAAUUAUGUAUUUAUAGAAAUAGGUAAAAGAUAUAUAAUAAUAUGAAAUCAAUAAUAUAUUAUAUGUACAUAUACAUAUAUAUACAAAAAUAGUUUAAUAUAAAUUGUGUACAUAUAUAAAAUAGUAUUGAAUAAGAAUAUUAUUGUAUAAAUCUUUAAAGCAUAAAAGUAUGUAUAAGUGAAUUUUAAAGAUGUAUUAUAAAAUAAAACCAUAAAAAAAUGUACAAAUUAUAUUGGACCAAAAUAAAAAAUAUAAACUAAUACAUCUUUAAAACAGUGAUACAGCACAUAUCAAAUUCUCUCGGCUCGGGGGGUGCAAUUUAAUUAUUGCAAAACUCUUUUUGUUGACUGCAUCCAAUCUUCAGCAGCGGACGGAUCAAUUCCUUUUAGUCCCAAAAACUCCGUGGCACUAUAUUUCCGUAGCUCUUUAAUCGUGGCCCAUCUGACAGUUGAUUCUGAUGUAGUAACAGGUACAGUUCCCGCUACACGCUGUAAUGCAUCAGCUAUAGUUCUUAACAAUUGUGAAUCAUCUCUUUCUCUUCCUACAUUAGGAGGUUGAUUAUCUAACGGAUUCACACUAGGUGUAGCAGAUUCAGUUUCUUCAAUUUCUCGACUUCCAGUAUGCAUUUCCUGUUCAUCAUCAUAUAUUCUUUCAUCUGACAUUUUAUCUAUAAAACAAAAUCAAAUAAAUAUAUUAGCAUCCAAAAACCCGACUCAGUUUCGACUUAAAUGUGCCAUGUAAUCUAGACUCUACUUUGAACCCGAUUUAGGCCGAGAAUCGACUAAACCUUAGCUCUGAUAUCAACAAUUCUAACACCCCCUAACCCCAAAUCGUCGCCGAAACAGGGUUACGAGGCAUUACCAGUCCUAUCAAACAAUCUACGGAUAAUUCAUAAUAAAAUAACAUUCAAAAUAUAAUUGCAUAACUAAGUCUGUGUAAUUAAACUUUCGAAGUUUUAAAUAUAAAUUAAAAGGGAAAUGAAACUCGUUCGAGUACUCUAAAUUUUUUUUUGACAAAAUUUCGGCAACAUUUCUGCUUAUUUUUACGUAAAACCCCUGCAAUUAUAACCACAUCAUUUCCAAAUAUAACCAAUUCAUUUCACAUUCUCAUUUUCUAUUCUAAAUACAGUCUAAUCGAACUCAAUCAAUGUAAUACCAAUUUAAAUUUAUCAAUAUGCUAAUUAAAUAAAAAUAGAUAAACUUCUUUCAUUAUAAUUCAUAGACUUAUAACACUAACAUUUUUAACCAUUUAUAUUAAAACAAAAUAACCUCUAUACUCAUCCUAUUUACAUGCCACAUUACCAAAAUAAAAUGUACUUCACCAAAAUUAUGCUGAAGUCGAGUCUAACUUUGGAUGCUGGUUCAGUACUUGACUUCUACAACCUGAGCACGAAAACAACCGCACGCUGAGUAUGCAUAUACUCAGUGGUAUCACUAUAAUUCAAUUUAUAAUUAAAUACAUUAAAUCACACACAUACUUUUCAUUACAAUUAUCACUACUAAUAAACAAUUCAAUCUUUUUAUAUUAUCAAUUAAUUAUAUAUAUAAAUAUCAUUCUUAUUUCUUUAUUUCAAAUUUCACUUUUCACAUAUACUAUGUCAUUCGAGAUUAGUUUUAUCAGUAAAUUUAUUUCAUUUAUCCCUAUUAACUUGACUCGGACUCGGCGGAUACACGGAUUCCAACCAAACACACCAGUAAACAGUAAUCAGUAACGGUAGCAGUAACAGUAACAGUAUUCAACACACAAAGUGCUGAAUCUGUAACAGUAAUAGUAACAGUAUUCGACACACAAAGUGCCGAAUCGGUAACAGUAACAGUAGUCGGCACAUAAGUGUCUGAUCAGUAAGCCGGCAAAUACCCUGUACUCUUUCAUAUCCUAUGGCAUGCCAACUAUAUCCGACUUUCCCGACUAGUUAAUAGGGUAUUUAAUUUACUUUUCAGUAUAAUUUCCAUCUUAGCUCAGUAUCAAUUAUAAAUUCAUUAUUUCAAUCGGUUUCACAGUAUUACAGUAAUUCUUUACUUCAAUAAUUUCACAAUUCAAUGCAUUAUAUAUAACAAUAUUCGGUAUCUUCAUAAUUCAGUUCAGUAUCAGUUUCAAUUUCAAUAUCACAUUAUAAAUUUAUCAUUUAUUAAACACUUACCUUAAAAUACUUACCACACAUAACUAGCAAAUUAAACACUUAAUAAUAAUAAAGUUUGAAUUAUAGUGAUACAAACCAGAAUUCUCUUCGAAUUUAAUCCUCGACGAUCUUUUCUUUUCCUUUUUGGCCCGAUGCUUCAGGCUCGAUAUUAGCUACGAACAAUUAAAAUAAUUUCACAAUCCUUAGGACAAAACAAUUUAAUUGCUGAAAUUUUUAUCUAACUUUUACUUUAAUUCUAAUUUAAUCCUAACUAAACCUAUAUAUUUUUCUUUCUCAAUUCAUACAUUUUUGCUACUCAAUUUCUUGCCAAACUCACACUUAACUAUCUAAUUUUUAUCAUAUUUUCAAUUUAAUCCCUAAAAUUCAAAACUUAUAGUUUAGUUUACAACUUAAUCUUUUAUUCAAUUCCAAACAAAAUUUCUAUCAAAUAAAUCCCUAAUUUAACAAUUUAUUCAACAUGAACCAUGCUUAAAAACCUAUAAACUUUCAAAAUCUCAACUUAUUUUCAACAAAACUUUGUUUUAAAACUUCUAAAACAUCUAAAUUAAAAGAAAAAGACUUGAUUAAACUUACCUUUAAAACUUUAAAACCUUAAACCCUAAUUUUUCCUUUCUUUAUCUUUCUCUUUUUCUUUCUUUCUUUCUCCCUUGUUUCUUCUCUGUUUCGUCUCCUUCAAUUCUGUUUCUUUCUUUUCUUUUGCUUUGUUUUAUUUUAUUUUAUUUUUAGUUAAUUAAUUAUAAGUAUUACAAAUGUAUGUAUUUUAUUAAUACACUUGUAUUAAAUCAUCACCAUACACUUGUCUUUAUUUAUUUUGUUUAUCAAAUAAAAAUCUCAUAAUAUAAUUAUUUAAUUAAUUAAUAUCUUUUACUUAAAUUUUAAGUAAAUAAUAAUUAUAAUACAAGUGUAUAAAUAUUUAUUAUUACACUUGUACCAUCUUUUCACCAUACAUUUGUCUUAAUUUUAAUUUAUUCCAUAAUAAAAUAAUAUAAUUAAUAUAAAUUGCCAUUUGAAUAAAUAAUUGUAAUAAUUAUAAUAAUUAUAUACAUAUAAUAUUUAUAUUUAACUUAAACAAAAUCUUGAAUUUAAUGCAUAUAUGCCGCCUCAUUUUAUAUAAAUGGCUUAAUUGCCAUUUUAGCCCUUUUUACUUUCUUUUAAUCUAUAAUUAGACUUUCACUCUUUAUUCAAUUUAAUCCUUUUCGCUAAUUACUCCUAAUUAAGCCAAAUUCACUUAUCUAAAACCUAAUUAAACACACAACUAGUCUCGUAAAUAUUUCUAAUAAUUAUUUUCGAACUCAAUUCACUAAGACGGAGGCCCGAUAAUACACACACUUUUCUGGUGUCCACGGAUUUUGGGUCGUUACAAGAGCUUUGUGUCCUUGACCAUGCAUGCCAUAGCCUGUGAUCAUAAAAUUCCAUGAUAUAACAUCUUUAGAAAGGGACACAUCUUCGAAUACCCUCUCAGCAUCCUCGAAUACACAUCUUUAAAAAAUGUCUAGAAAAAGAUUUAAUAGGAUAAGGCUAGUAAAGUAGUUUACCACAAUUAAUGUCUCUUGCAAGAUUGGCCCAUUAGAAAAUUGAAAAUUUCUUUUAUCCGUUUUGGUUGCAGCCCUUCUUCCUUCAUCCCCUCGUAGAUAUUACGCUUUCGUUUUACAAGGGAAGUGCUACCUAUUGAUCCAUCAUUAUCAGCAGAGUGUAGAUGAAUAUCUUCAAAAUUUGCAGGACAUUGACUCCUAUGGCUAUGCUGCUCUUUUAAUUGAUCUAUCUCUUCCAAAUCUUUCUCAUACACUAUUCUAACACCACACUUCUUCACCUUAACACCGGGACCAAUUGGGUUUGUGAAAGACAGCUCAAGCACAUUGCAUUCCUGAUCUGAGCAACCUAUUGUUGAUAAAUUCUUGGUUUCAUUUUCAUCUUCCAAGGAAGACUGAUAUAAUUUGUCACGCGACCAAUAACGAAGAAAAAGGUGAUCCUUCGUUAUAGGCUGGUUAUUUUGUUUACCUAACAACCAGCCCAGCCAGUCACUCUCAUCAACUUGUCCCGAUUUUCUACAAUGGAUAACCGCUCUACAGAUGAUAACCUCCUCAUCCCUAGAAGCAUCAUCAUUGACAAAAAUGCAACACCCAGCAACUCCAAUCCAUUGACAAUCAUUUUGAUUAUUGAGAGGUAGAGGUAUCUUAAUUGAAGAGCCACCUGUCUGCCGGCUAAACCAUUCUGGGAUUUCACUUCCAGGCAUAAUAACAUCAAAUAUUUUUUUUGAAUUCGCAAAUGGCUGCAAAAUAAAACACCAGUCGUUUGGCAACUAGAACCAAAAAUUAUCAAGUAUGAGAUUCUAUAAGCGAAAAAUAAGAGAGAUCAAUUCACCUUGAGAUGUUUUUUCAGCAAUGUUAAUGCAUUGAUGUUCUCUGCCAAUCUAUAGCAGUUAACCGCUUUCAUGAAAGUCGAACCCACUAAAUUGGUUACAUCCAACGGAUUUGCAAGUUCAACUACUUCAAGCGAAGAACAACCAUCUAACCGCACAUCUUCAAUACUUGUUAGAAGCUCAGGCACCGAUUUAAGCUCCUUGCAAUUUGACAAUCGAAGGGUUUUAAGCUUGGAAAGUGUAGUAAGAGCUGAAGGAAUGCCAAUGAAAUUGUUACCACUAAGAUCAAGUAAUAUCAAAGAGGAUAGACCAUAAAUAUCACUUGGAAUAUCUGCUUCACAAAGAUUGCGAACAUUGCAAUUUGACAAUCCGAGAUAUUGAAGCUUGGAGAGUCGCAUAAGAGACACGGGUAUGUUGCUGAAACUGUUACCACUAAGAUCAAGUUUUUUCAAAGAGGAUAAACAAGAAAUAUCAUUAGGAAUGUCUCCUUCCCGAAGAUUGCUAUCCCUUAGAUUCAACUCUCUUAAACUGGACAAGGAAGGCAACAUCGGAGCCAUGGAAUUCAUCCUUCCUCUAUGGAUUACCUUGAAAAGAGAAGAAAGAUUUCUUUGUAACUUAGAUGGUCCCUUGCAUCCAUUGAAAGACAAAACUUUAAGAUUUUUCAAUUGAAAAAUGAAGGGUGGUAGUUUUGCUAUAGCUGUUUCACUUAAGUCAAGCUCUUCCAAAAAUUCUAAUUGCUGUAAACUCUCUGGCAAAUUUUCAACUUUAUAACAGCCAGAAAGAUCAAGACUUUUUAGACAUUCCAUUUUCCCAUCAAUCUCUGGAAACCUUACCAGAUUUGAACAACCCGAAAGAAUUAAUGUUUCAAGAGAUUCCAUUCCAAUUUUGGUUGGAAGACUCCUAAGACUUCUACAACCUCUUAAAUUCAAAAGUUUAAGGCUCUUAGAACUCCGAUUGAUGGAUGAACAUGCGCUAAUCUGGUACAACCCUCCAAAAUCAAAACUUCGAGAUAUGUGGCUGUUGUGAAGUCUGGUGUCUUGAUCAGGUUUUGGGACCCUUCAAGAUUGACCAUUUUCAAUUUAUACAAGGGCUGUUGAAAACAAUAAUAAAUUAGAAAGAAAGAUAAAAGGCUAAUUUUUUGUUGUUAUUUUUCUAUCAUAAUAAAAUUUUAAUCAUUCAACUUAAAACAAACUAAAACACAAGGAUGGGAUGAAUUAAUUCUUACUCUAUUUCCCUUCCAUAGUUGUUCAAUGCAACUGUAUGGCAAGAUAAGUGCAACAAGGUUAUCCGGUUUGAAGCUUGAAGGUAAUGAUCUUAAAGGACAUCCUUUCCAAUCUAAAAGUCGUAACUCAUUAGAAAUAUAUUUGAGAUCAUAACAAUUCGAGAGGCAAAGGACUUUAAGUAAUCUCAACUUUUUCAUCUUUAAGAAGGCAUCGACAUUCAAAUUGAGCAUCUUGUUCGACUCCCUGAUAAGCAUGGGCAGAACAAAGAGGAGAUUCAAGAUAUAGAAAACAAAUUCUCUACAAUUAUGUUGCUUCAGCAACCUUUUUUUCUUGAAAUAGACAUGUCCAACACUUAUGUCUGACUCAUAGGUAUAAAAAUAUGAUAUUUCAAAGACUCUUCAAAGAUAUAAAACACUUAAAAAUAAAAACGAACAUACUUAAGUUAAACACAAACUCAUUCUUAACAGCUACAUCUGAGUUCAAAUAACGUAGCUUGAAAGAAUUGGAACUAAUAUUCACCAACACAUCACUAACUCUUUUUCUUUUUUAAAAAGAUUUAAGCAUUGAAAACUUUGCCAAUGCUUUUUAAUUUCUUACUUUUUACAAAAAUAAAAAUAACAACAAUACUAAUAAUAUGCAUAGAUACCUGUUUAUAUAUGUUCUCCUACCUCUUAAUAUCGAUGAUCACACCUUCAAUCACUUCUGUAGCCUAAACAUCAAGAGUAAAACAUAAAAAGACAGAAAAAUAAUGGUUUUAAACCAUAUAAUCAAAUUUGUGAAAACUUACAUUUAUAUUUAUCUAGCGUGUUCAAAAUUAUACAUAUAUUUAGGAAUAUAAUAAAUAGAUGUAUUCUUGAUUAUACAUAUUGCAUAAGUCUUAUUAAUACUUAUAAUCAACAAAAAGAUUUAAAAAGACAUAUAUUUAGAAAGAUAAUGAACUGGUCUAUUCGUUUUACUCAAUCAAGCAUUUAAAACAUAACUUCAAAAAUAUGAAGUUGUAAAAAUGAGUUAUAGACAUUUUUUCACCAGUUAUUCUUGACAAUGUAAAUAGAUAAUUUAUUUAAAUCAAUAAAUAUAUACAAAGAAGUGGUUAUAAUAAUGUAUGUUAUGCCUAAUGAAACUCCCAAACUGUCCUGUAAGGUCCAUGUGUUUUGUACCCAAAAACAUAAUAGUUUGGGAUAAAUGGAAUGACUGCAAGAUUCAAAUUGAACAUAAAAUCUACUGAAUGUCACCUCUUAAAACUUAAUCUUAACCAAUUGAAUUCAACCCGGAAUAUAUAUAAUGCAAUUUCAAUGUAAUGACUUACACUGUUUCUUGUUAGCACAUGAUAAACAUCUCUUUCCUUCCACAACCUGCAACGUUUUCCAGGUUCAUCGAUAGAUUUUUCCCUAACAAUUCUUUUUCCCAUUUCUUGUAUCAAGUUAUGCAUCCACAAAUACUUGCCUUCAUGAACCUUUAUGAGAGAUUUCUUAAUGAGAAUAUCUAUUCCAAUAUCUGAGAAAAACUCACAACCAUCCAAUACUUUCGAUACAAAGUCUUUCUCCUCCCCGUUGAAGAAGCAUGCUAUGUCUAGAAAUAUAUUCUUCUCCUUUUCUUCCAAUCCAUCAAAGCUGAUUCGAAGUCUAUCGAGAAUUUCUUUGUUAGAAUCUCUUUUAAGCCUUUCGACUACACUUCUCCAUUGAGCUACAUCUCUACUGCACAAAAAAGAACCAAAAACUUCAAGAGCUAAAGGGAGACCAUCAGCAUAACGUACAACAUGUUCAGAAAGCUCAAUGAAAUCAUCUUUUGGCACUGUAUCACUAUGAAAAGCUUUCAAAUUGAAAAGUCUAAGUGCAUCGUCAGGAUUCAAUGUUGUAGGUUUAUACACACCAUCGACUCCGUAAGAUAGGAGUAAAUGUUCAUCUCUUGUUGUUACAACGAUUCGACUCCCUAAACCGAACCAAUUACGCCUUCCAACCAAGCAUUUCAAGUGUUGUAUGUUAUCAACAUCAUCAAGAACAACAAGAACCUUUUUACCAGACAACCUGUGGCUAAUUAUGGCAUUCCCUUCAUGAACAUUGAAAAAAUUGAAGCAUUCAUCCGGAAAGAUUUGAGAAAGAAGUUGUUUCUGUAAAGAAACAAGUCCAUGUUUGUUUGAAACUUCUCGAAUAUCAGCAAGAAAGCAUUUACCUUGAAAAUGAGCUAACAUUUGAGUGUAAGCAACCCUUGCAAGAGUUGUUUUACCGAUGCCACCCAUUCCGCAAAUUCCUAUAAUGCGGACAUCGUCUUCCCCAAUAUUUAUUUUCGAAUACAACUCCUCCAAAUGUAAACUAAUUCCAACCAACUCAUCAUGAACAAUUGGAUAUGUCUCACAUAAUUUGGCUGAUAUCUUCCUAACAAUGUCUCCGAUAAACUCUGAUUCAUUCCUACAAUGAAAUAAAAUUUAAUUCUUUCAAAUAAUAUUUUGUUGAUAUCUUUCAAACGCUCUUUUUUUUCUAUUUCAAUGAACAAUAUAGUUUAGAAGCAAACAAAAAGCAAGAUAACACAACUUGUUCUUUAGUAGAAAAAUUAAACUUUACAAUUAAACACAUGUAAUCCAAAGAAUAACAAUUUUGUAGUCAUUAAAACUAUAAAAGAAAGAAUACCUGUUAUUUAAAUGCCAUCCCCUGAUGCUAGCCACUUCAGUCAAAGCCUUUCGCCACCUUUGGAUCUUGUCUUUAUCUUCCUUGCAUCUCUCUUCGUGGUUGGCAAAGGCUUCAUCAACUUUACCUUUCUGAUUUUUAAAAUCAGAUGGAUCAACAUUGUAAAAAAUUGGAAACACUUUAUGACCAUUUUUUCUUUGUUCAACAAUCUCAGCAAGCUCCUCCAAGCAAUAACCUGAAAAGCCAUAAGUUCCCGAGAAAACGAUUACCGAGCACCAUGAUUGCUGAACUGCUUUGAGAAUUCCUGGUCUGAUCUCUUCACUCGCCUCCAGCUUUGGAUCAUCUUUGAAAGUGACAAUCCCACUUCUCCUUAGAGCAUGAUAGAGAUGAUCCGUGAAGUUCCUGCGGGUAUCUUCACCUCUAAAACUCAAGAAAACAUCAUAUUCCUUCCUAGAAAUGGAUGAGUGAAUUGAAGCUAACGACAUCAUGACAAUGUAUGAGAAGAAAUUUGCCGUUUAAAAUCAGAGAACAAAACGCCCAAUACCCAGAAAGGAACCAGCAACAAUUAGUAUUUAUAAGCAACAAGAAAGAGAAAAACAGUUCAAAUUUCUAGGGAAGAAUUAAGUUUUGUAAGCAAAAGUUCUCAAUACAUUUCUCACCUUCCCUUUUUCCAAGUAAAAACGCGUAGCAGUAGAAAGUGGGGUCAUAGACGAAAUAUGAUGGGUUUUUCCACGAAGAAACCAAGAAGGCGAGAGUGGACACAGUGGAGCCUACUUUAAUUGAAGUGUUUGACGGUUUGUCGUUUUUUUAUUACAAACAAUAAUAAGUGAAGAUACAAUAUUCUUCCGUAUUAAAAAACAAUAAAAAAUUAAAUAUCUUUUAUAGAAAUUAUUUUAUGCGGAUCAUAUCAUUUAUGGUCAUUUUUUUUUGUCAUUGGCACGUAAUUUUAGUAACUGUUUAUCCUAAACUCCGAAUUCAAAUUCCGACUCCUAAAUUAUAAACCUAAACUUAAAUUUGAAACCCUGAACCUCAAACCCGAACAUGAACUCUGAACCCCAAAUUGAAAACUUGUCUAAAGUUCAAGAUUUUUAAUUUGAGGUUUAGAGUUCAUAAUUCGAGUGUGAGUUCAAGGUUCAAUAUUUAAAUUUAUGGUUUAGAGUUCAGGGUUUAAAGUUUAAGUUCAAGGUUGUGGAUUUUGAGUUUAAGAUUCAGUGUUUUAAGUUUGGAGUUCAGGGUUCAUUGUUCAAGGUAAAAAAAUUAUCAAAAUUAUAUGUCAAUAACAUUAAAAAAUUACUGAAAUAUUAUUACAUAAUUAGGAAGUGACCUUGAAUGAUAUGGUGGAAAGUAGAGGUGCUCAUGGGCUGGGCCGCCCGGCCCGUUCCGAUAGCCCGCCUGAAAUAUGGGAGGGUUUGGGUAAAAAUAUAGGCCCGAAAUAUGGGCUUGGGUAAAAAAACGAGGCCUGUUUAGAAAACGGGCCGAGCCUCGGGCACAACUUUUUUGGCCCGACCCAGCCCGGCCCGAUAUAAUAAAUAUAUUUAUUUUUUAACUUUUUAAUUUUUUUAAUUUUAAAAAUAUUUUAAAAAUACUUUUUUUAAUUUUAAAAUAUUUCUAAAAUACUUUUUUUAAUUUUUAAAAUAAAAUUUUAAUAUUUAUUAAAAAAUGGGCCGGGCCCGGGCUUAUGAUUUUUUCCCGGGCCGGGCCUGGGCAAAAUUUUAUGCUUCGGGCCGGGCCGAGCCAAGCCCGAGCCUAGGACCCGGGUCAAAAAAAUUUUAUGGGCCCGGCCAGAACCCGACCCGGCCCAUGAGCACCUCUAGUGGAAAGGAUCCAUAAAAUAAUUUCAAAUCUUUUAAAGAUGGCAAAACCCGAACCGUCUAAUGAUUCAAAACUAAUGCUAAAAAAAACUGGUCCAAAAAAACAGAUUGAAUGACUAAUUGAACCGAUUUUUAUUAUUUUAAUAAUUUAUUUAAUUAAACCAUGGAACCGAAAAUUAUUGGUCUAAUCAAUUCAACCUUCAGAGUAAUUCAGAAAAUCUUUCAUUUUGCAGGUUUCUGUAGAGACCAAAGUGAAAAGCAGAUAGUAUCACAAUUUCAAUGCAGGCGUGAGAGGAUUAAUUAUUUUAACAUCGCAAUCAAAUCAUUUUCACCAAUAAUCAUUGCAUGAACAUUUGCCAUCAACAAAGUGAUGGAAACAGUUAGCAUCUCUUACGAUAAUCUCCCUCUUUACCACCUUUGAUAUAUAUUUAGUCACUGUAUGGCAAUCACCACAUACACGGAGGUUCUUACUGAUCCUUAUCAAGCUUCUUGCCGGUGUAUGUAAAAGUCCGAAAGCAAUAGCUAACCUCUCACUAUGCCUCCACAGUGAUUUGAUCUUCAUUGCCUCAUCUACGUCGCGAAGAACACAACUUGUAUCCGGUACAUAACCUAAAGCUUCAAGUUCUGAUUUCAAGUUCUCAAGAAUCCGAUCGAUUUCAACCGAGUUCGGAUGUGAAUCUUCACCAGCGAAAAACGCAUGGAGCUGUUUUCCAACUUCAAUCAGGCUGUAUCCUGGUGUUUUUUUCAGUCCGUGUCCCCUCAUGAGACCUCGAAUAUGAUCUACCGCAUCCCAUCUCCUUGCUUCAGCAUAUAUGUUUGAUAACAUGAUGUAAAUACCCGGGUUUUGUUGAAGUCAGCUCUCAUGCAGCAACAAAGGUGGCCAUGCAAGGAACGUGCUUCAAGCAGCAAACUGGUGUAGCAAGCUAAAGCCAUUUUUGGUUCAUUUAGUUUCUUUAAAUGAAUGUUUUGUAUUUAGUUAGGAUCAAAUUUAGUUGGUAGCUGCAUUUUGAUGUAAUUAGGUGAUGAAUGACAAGUUUAGGUAGCUGUUUAUGUAUUCAAACAAGUUUACCAAGUUACUAGGCAAGUUAGUGGUGUUAGGUGUGUUAUUAGGUGGUAACUUGUUUGUUUUGUUGUUGUUAUCUCAUAUAUGUAUUGGCAUUAUGCCUUCUAAAAUUUGCAAUGAAAAAUCAGCUCAUCAUUCAUUAAAAUCUCUCUCUUUCUUUACUGUUUUCCAUUGCAAAUUUUUUUUCUUUCUUCUUCGGUUGUUUCUGCUCCAAGUCUCGAGGCUUGCUUACCAAGCAAAGCUUGAAAAUCAGCUUGCUGCUGCCUCUUGCACCAACAAUUGGUAUCUAGAGCCCUUGUCUCAGUGGACCUGUUGCUUAAAAUCAAGGAACAUGAUGGCUUCUUCAGGAUUUUCACCAGCAGCCCCACCAGUCUUCAAUAGAGAAGGCUUUCACAUAUGGCUGGUCAAGAUGAAGACUUACCUGCAGGCCUUUGAUCUGUGGGAAGUUGUCAACAUAGAUGCUGAGCCAGCACCACUGAGGGCCAACCCCACAGUAGCUCAGAUCAGACAACAUGAUAAUGAGAGGACCAAAAGGCACAAAGCCAUGUCCUGCAUCCAGAACUGUGUGUCAGAUGUUAUCUUCACUAGAAUUAUGGCCUGUGAGACUCCAAAACAGGCCUGGGACAAGCUUAAGGAUGAGUUUCAAGGCACUGAGAGGACAAGGCAACAGCAACUAUUGAAUUUGAGAAGGGAUUUCGAGAAUCUGAAGAUGAAGGAAGAAGAAACAGUGAAGCAGUAUGCAGAUAGAAUCAUGGCAGUGGUUAACAGCAUAAGGCUCCUUGGUGAGCACUUUGAUGAGGCAAGAAUUGUGGAGAAAGUCCUCUCCACUUUGCCUGAGAGAUAUGAGGCAAAGAUAUCCUCCUUAGAGGACUCAAGAGAUCUUCCUAGCAUCUCUUUGACUGAGCUAAUUAACACCUUCUAUGCUCAGGAACAAAGGAGAGCUAGCAGAUCUGAAGAUCACCAGGAAGGUGCAUUUCAAGCCAAGGCCAGAGAAGUCUUGAGCACAAAUGCUCAAAAAGGCAAAAAGCCUUGGAAAAGCAGGCCUAAGCCUAAUGCUGCAAGGAGCAAUGACCAGCCCUGCAGAUAUUGCAAGAGGUCAGGACAUUCAGAGGAUAGAUGCUGGUUUAGGCCAGAUGCAGUAUGUCAACACUGCAAGAAGAAAGGCCAUGUUGAAAGAUUCUGCAAAAACAGAACCAAGCCAAGGCAGAACCAAUUUCAGCAGCCAAAAGUUGAAGCUCGAGUGGCUGAAGACAGUAGUGACCAAGAAGAGCAGGUCUUUGCUGUUUCUUGCAUAGCUACUGAGAAGAAAUCUUCAAAAGGAUGGUUAUUGGACAGUGGUUGCACCAACCACAUGUCACCUGAUACCUCUUUGUUUAAAACCUUGGAUAAAAGUUGCAAAACCAAGGUCAAGGUUGGAAAUGGUCAGUUUAUAAGAGUUGAAGGAAGAGGAGAGGUGCUGAUAUGUACUCCUACAGGCAACAAAGUUAUUUUAAAUGUCUUGCUGGUACCUGAAAUUGACAGAAACCUUCUCAGCAUAGCUCAAUUGCUUGAGAAAGGCUAUUCUGUUGUGUUUAAGGACAAACAGUGCCACAUUGCUGAUCCCAGUGGAUCAAGCCUUAUGACAGUCACAAUGACUGAUAAAUGCUUUGAGGUUCAUUGGCCAAAUGACUCAAAGUCAGCAUACACAGCCUCCACAGAUGAUUCCAAGCUCUGGCAUCAAAGGCUUGGGCAUGCCAACUUCAGGUCAAUGGCUCGAUUGGCCAAAGAAGGCUUGGCAGAGAACUUCACCAACUCAGUAGAGCAUGAUGAUGUGUGUGAAGUGUGCCAGAUAGGAAAACAGGCAAGACUACCAUUCCCAACAAACUCAGCAUGGAGAGCCACUGAAAGCUGGUGCACUCUGAUGUAUGUGGACCUAUGAGGAUAGAAUCACUCAGCAAUAACAGGUAUUUCAUCCUCUUCAUUGAUGAUUUUACAAGGUUUUGCUGGAUUUUCUUCUUGAAACAUAAGUCUGAGGUAGCUCAAGUGUUUGUGAAGUUUAAAACUGCUGUAGAAACAGAAACAUGUUGCAAGCUGAAAUCAAUAAGGAUAGACAAUGGCACUGAGUACACUUCAGCUCAGUUCCAAGCCAUUUGCAAUGAUGCUGGCAUCAAACAUCAGCUUACAAAUGUUUACACACCUCAGCAGAAUGGGGUAGCUAAAAGAAAGAACAGAAGUCUGAUGGAUAUGGCUAGAUGUCUCCUGUUCGAGAAGAAACUGCCCAAUACCAUGUGGGCUGAGGCAGUAAACACUGCUGUUUACCUUCAAAAUAGGCUUCCUACCAAAUCUCUUGCAUCCAAGACACCUUUCGAGGCUUGGUUUGGAUUCAAGCCUUCCUUGGCACACCUAAAAGUGUUUGGUUGCCUGUGUUAUGCACAAAUACCAGCAGCAAAGAGAGACAAGCUCUCUAAAAGGGCUCAACCAGGUGUCUUAGUAGGCUACAGCUCAGUUAAGAAGGGCUACAGGGUGCUGGAUCCCUUGACAAACAAAGUCCAAGUGAGCAGAGAUGUCAUCUUUGAUGAAAAAGCUUGCUGGAAUUGGGAAAAGAGUGAACCAGAAGCUGCUUCAGAAGACCUGGUGCCUGUAAGAGGCACAAGGUCUUUGGAUGAAGUUUAUGAAAAGGCACAGGUUGCUAUAGCUGAACCUAGCAGUUUUGAAGAGGCUGAGGCAGAUGAAGGUUGGAAACAGGCUAUGGCUGAUGAGAUCAACAUGAUUGAGAAGAACCAUACAUGGGAGUUGGUUGAAAAGCCUGCCAACAGAAAGACCAUUGGUGUAAAAUGGGUCUAUCGAGUGAAGCACAAUGCAGAUGGAAGUUUGAACAAGCUAAAGGCCAAGCUAGUUGUGAAGGGCUUCAGUCAAAGGUAUGGUCUGGACUACUUGGAAACAUUUGCUCCAGUAGCCAGACUCGAUACAAUCAGAUUGCUAGUUGCUGUAGCUGCUCAGAACCAGUGGACAAUCCAUCAAAUGGAUGUCAAGUCAGCAUUCCUCAAUAGAUUCUUGGAAGAGGAGAUAUACAUUGAACAACCUCCAGGUUUCAUAAUGUCUGGAAAGGAACAUUUGGUGUACAGGCUAAGAAAAGCCUUGUAUGGCCUAAAACAGGCUCCUCGAGCCUGGUAUACUCGAAUUGACUCAUAUCUGGUCAGUUUGGGAUUUGAAAGAAGUGCUAGUGAGCCAACACUUUAUGUUAAAAGAAAUCGAGGUGAAACACAGCUCAUUGUGUCACUCUAUGUUGAUGAUCUUCUAGUGACUGGAGGAGACAAAUUCAUGCUGGCUGAUUUCAAAACAAAAAUGAAAGAGAUGUUUGAAAUGUCAGACCUGGGAUUGAUGACAUACUUCCUAAGAUUGGAAGUUAAUCAAGCAGAAGGAGGAAUCUUCUUGAGACAAAAAUAAUUUGCCUUGAAAGUUCUAGCCAAGUUCUCAAUGGAGAAUUGUAAACCAACCAGCACUCCUAUGGCUGUUGGCAUGAAGCUAUCGAGCCAAGAAGAUUAUGAAUCUGUUUGUGAAACUGACUACAGAAGCCUGUUGGUUGUUUGCUGUAUUUGACAGCAACAAGACCGGAUAUUCUGUUUGCUGUGAGCAUGCUAUCAAGAUUCAUGCACUGCUGUAACCAGCAGCAUUAUAAAGCUGGAAAACGAGUGCUAAGAUACAUCAAAGGCACCUUAAGCCAUGGAAUACAUUUCAGUAGGGCUGAUGAAUUGAAAUUGAUUGGCUACACUGACAGCGAUUGGGCUAGUUCAAAAGAUGAUAUGAAGAGCACUUCUGGUUAUGCCUUUACACUAGGCUCAGCUAUGAUUUGUUGGAGUUCAAGAAAACAAACGAUGGUGGCUCAGUCUACAGCUGAAGCUGAGUAUGUAGCAGCUGCUAAUGCAGUUAAUCAAGCUAUAUGGUUAAGGAAAAUUUUGAAUGAUUUGAAUCUACAGCAGAAUGAAGCAACUAUGAUACAUUGUGACAAUAAGUCAGCAGUUGCUAUUGCUAAAAAUCCUAUCUUCCAUGGCAGGACAAAGCAUUUCAAUAUAAAACUGCAUGUGAUAAGAGAAAUGGAGCAAGCUCGAGAAAUCGAGCUGAUUCACUGUAGCUUUGAGAAUUAGAUUGCUGAUAUCUUUACAAAGUCACUUGGUGUGUCAAGAUUUCUAAAUUUAAGAAAGCUACUAGGAGUCUGCUGCAAAGAAGUUGAGGAGGAGUGUUGAAGUCAGCUCUCAUGCAGCAACAAAGGUGGCCAUGCAAGGAACGUGCUUCAAGCAGCAAACUGGUGCAGCAAGCUGAAGCCAUUUUUGGUUCAUUUAGUUUCUUUAAAUGAAUGUUUUGUAUUUAGUUAGGAUCAAAUUUAGUUGGUAGCUGCAUCUUGAUGUAAUUAGGUGAUGAAUGACAAGUUUAGGUAGCUGUUUAUGUAUUCAAACAAGUUUACCAAGUUACUAGGCAAGUUAGUGGUGUUAGGUGUGUUAUUAGGUGGUAACUUGUUUGUUUUGUUGUUGUUAUCUCAUAUAUGUAUUGGCAUUAUGCCUUCUAAAAUUUGCAAUGAAAAAUUAGCUCAUCAUUCAUUAAAAUCUCUCUCUUUCUUUACUGUUUUUCCAUUGCAAAUUUUUUUUAUUUCUUCUUCGGUUGUUUCUGCUCCAAGUCUCGAGGCUUGCUUACCAAGCAAAGCUUGAAAAUCAGCUUGCAGCUGCCUCUUGCACCAACAGGUUUGUUGCGUCCAAACUUAAUAAAUAGUCUGCAGCUUUUAUGCCGAUAUCAAUGUUCUUGUGCAUUCUACAUCCAUUUAUGCCUCCUAGAUUCUGUUAAUAGCAAAGGUACUGUAUAAGCUACUACUCAGUUUGUACAUUACUCUUGAAAUACACCCUUUAUAUCAGAUGAAUUGGAAAUUAGAAGUAAACUUACGACAUAUAUUACCCUUUUUUUGUUUUGUUGGAAUGUUUUGGCUGAUAAAUAAUAUACUUCAUGCAAUCUCCUUUAUCAGAAAAGAAAAGAGUGGUAUAAAUAAGCUGUUAUUCCAUGUUGGUAUAACUAUUGUAGUAUUUGGUAUAAGCUGCAAUUUCAAGAGGAUUUUACAAGAAAAAUUGUGAGAUUAUUAUGAUUGAUUUAAAAGUGAAACAAUUAGAUAAAUUACUACCUCCUUUUUUUUUGCUUAUAAAUUCUUGAUGAUUUGCCAUAUAUUAUGAAAGAUGAUAAACGGAGAACUUGUAUUUGUAGGAGCAACGAAGGAAAUUCAAUUUUAUUGUCUAUAUAAAAGGAAUCAUAUUUCGAUAAGGAAAUCAUCAUUCUCCAACUUGAAUGAAAACUACAAUGAAUAUAUAUAUAUAUACAAAGGCAAAAGAGCUCGUAGGUUGAAAGUGAAACAGAGCUUCAGUAACAAAAUUUGACUCAAAUUCUGAAAAAAAAAUCUAUAAAAUUUAUUGUUUUUGGUUUCUCUCCAACUUAUCAGAAUCAUUCAACUUUUUAUUUGCAAUGCGAAACAUUUGAGAUAUUAGAAGCAUGUCCACAAACACUUUACUCUUACAAUCCAACUUCACAUUUUCCUUGAAAAUUUGAAAACAUAUCACGUGAAGCCAUGGUGAUUUUCAAAUAGAAAGAAAUCAUAGAUACUAGACGCACAAGUAUCCCAUAGCUUUUCGUUGCUUUUCCUGCUGGUAGGAACUAAUCAUUUUCUUAACCUUUGUUCCUCUAAAAUUUUUCUCCUUUCCAGCAAGACACUAUUAGGAAUGUUAACACCAGAUGGUGGUGGAAUAUUUCGAGGCUGUAAUAUUUUUUGCUGUUGAAAACAUGGUAAAGAAUCUAUUUGUACCAUCAAACAAAAACAUGGGAAAAAGAGAAACCUAUAAAAUUAACAAAAUAGGAGAAAAUAUCUUGAAAAGGCUAGUCAAGUAUUAUUGCUUCUUUUCUGAUUAGCCCAUUAUAAAAUUGAAAGUUUUUUGCAUCCGUUUCUGCUGCGGCCGUUCUUCCUCUGUUUCCUCGUGGAUAUUGCGUUUUCAUUUUACAAGGGAAGUGCUACCUGCGGAUCCAUCGUUGUCAGGAAAGCGAUGAUGGAUAUGGUCAAAGUUUGGAGAAGAUUGAGUGGUAUGGCACUGCAGCUCUUUUAUUUUUUCCAAAUCUUUCUCAUACAUUAUUCUAACACCACACUUCUUCACCUUAAGGGAAGGAUAACCAAGUGUGCCUUCGAAAGACAUCUCGAAAGACAUCUCAUCGCAUUCAUGAUCAGAGCAAUCCAUUGUCCAUAAAUUAUUGGUUUCCCAUUCACCACAUUUAUUCUCGAAGGAUAAUGGAUAUAAUUUAUCACACGAGAAAUAACAAAGAAAUAGGUGGUGCUUUGUUAUGGGCUCCGAAUAUUCUCCACCAAAAGCAAAGAAAUUUGAUGAGAUCUGUUGCGCGGAAGCGUGUAAAAGAGUAAAAUUAUUGUACUAAAAAAUCACACUAAGUUUAAUUCCCAGGAAAGAGAGAUGGAUCACGAGGAUCGCUUAAGUACCAGGUCUUUCCUAGCCAGAAUAUCCCUCUAUCGUAAUUUAAUAGCACAAUAAAUCACUACAAUCACACUCACAAAAUAUGCAAAAUAAACAAUAAAGAACACUAGAAUUUUAACGAGGUUCAGCAAAUUUUGCCUACGUCCUCGGGCACUACCAAAUAUAUUUCACUCCAAAAUACAAGUGAAAGUUUACAAAUAAGGAGAGAGAACAAUUGCCUUAAGUAGAGAAUGGCAAAUGUGGGAUGGAGAAAAUGAGAAAUAGCUAGGCCUAUUUAUAGUUGAAGCUCAAGGAUUAACUUGCAAAGUCCCUAUACAAUUAGGGACCAAAAUUGCAAUUAUCCCAAGCCAAAUUUCAACCCAAAAAUCUGUGCCUUAAAUGCUUAGAUUUUCUGUGCCAAAUUUCUGACACCAUCCAUAUCUUUGAAAAAGUCAAAGAUGGUUGCUAAUAAUCUCCACCUUGAAGAUUUGAUUAGGAUAAUCUUAUCUUCACACAUUCUUUCUGCCUUUGACAACAAUACUUGAUAGUGCCUUCUUCAACUAUUAAACUUGCAGGAUAUUGAUCAAGUUCAAACAAUGUUCGAACUUGAUUGUUGGUACCACCUUGGUCAUCAUAUCUGCGGGAUUAUCUGCAGUCUUAAUCUUCUGUAGACGAAUUUUCCCCUCAUCAAUAAUUUCCCGCACAAAAUGGAAUCGUACGUCGAUAUGCUUUGUACGUGCAUGAUAGACUUGAUUCUUUGCUAAAUGAAUAGCACUUUGACUAUCACAAUACACAUUAAUAUGCUCCUGAACCAAUCCCAAGGUUUUAACCAUACCUUGUAACCAAAUAGCUUCCUUUACAGCCUCUGUUACAGCCAUGUAUUCGGCUUCUGUGGUUGACAACGCAGCUGUAGACUACAGUAUAGACUUCUAACUUAUUGGUCCUCCAGCAAGUGUAAACACAUAACCAGUGGUUGAUCUUCGUUUGUCCAAAUCACCGGCAUAGUCAGAAUCAACGUACCCAAUAAUACCUUUACCAAGUGUAGUGUCCUGCUUGAACAGUAAUCCAACAUCCACGGUCUUCAGAAUAUACAGUAGAAUCCAUUUCACAGCUUGCCAAUGUCCUUUUCCAGGACUAUGCAUAUACCUACUCACUAUACUAACUGCCUGUGAAAUGUCGGGUCUUUUACAUACCAUUGCAUACAUCAAGCUACCCACUGCAUUAGAAUAUGGAACUUGUAACAUGUAUUCUCGUUCCGUAUUUGUCGAAGGAGAUAGUUGUGCAGAAAGCUUGAAAUGAGAAGCCAACGGCGUACUUACAGGUUUGGUCUGCUCGUUCAUGCCAAACUGCUGUAGUACUUUCUUCAAAUACUGCUUCUGAGACAAACUAACUCUGCCUUAAGCUCUAUCUCUACAUAUUUCCAUACCAAGAAUCUUCUUAGCUUCACCUAGAUCUUUCAUCUAAAACUCAAGAUUGAGUUCAGUCUUCAAUCUCUCAAUCUCAACUUUGCUCUUAGAUGCUAUCAGCAUAUCAUCAACAUAUAAGAGAAAGUAUAUGAAAGUUCCUACUUGUAGCUUCUGAAAAUACACGCAAUGAUCAAAUUUACUUCUUGUGUACCUUUGCCCUUUCAUGAACUGAUCAAAUCGCUUGUACCACUGCCUCGGAGAUUGUUUCAAUCCAUAAAGUGACUUUGUCAGUUUGCAAACCCAAUUUUCUUUAUCAGCAACCUUGAAUCCAUCAGGCUGAGUCAUAUAGAUUUUCUCUUCCAAAUCACCGUGUAAAAAAGCUGUCUUCACAUCAAGCUGAACUAGUUCAAGGUCAUAUUGCGCAACCAAGGCUAGCAAAAUCCGAAUAGACGAAUGCUUCACAACUGGAGAAAACACUUCAUUGUAGUCUAUGCCUUCUUUCUGAGCGUAACCCUUUGCUACCAAUCUAGCCUUGUAUCGAAUUUCAUUUUUACCAGGAAAUCCUUCCUUUUUUGCAUAUACCCAUUUGCAUCCAAUUGCCUUCUUUCCCUUGGGCAGUGUCACCAACUCCCAAGUCCUAUUUUUAUGAAGAGACUGCAUUUCUUCAUUCAUAGCUUGCUUCCACUUUACACCAUCAGGGUUACUUAUUGCUUCUGUGUAUGUAGAAGGAACAUCAUCAUCUGCAAUUAGAAGUGCAUAGGCCACUAUAUCACCAAAGCGAGCAGGCCUACGAAUCUCUCUUCUUGGCCUCUUAUAUGCAAUUGAAUCUUGUUGCUGUACAAGUUCUUGGGUCGAAACUUCUUCAUCAUUUGUUUCUUCAAUGUUAGCUGGAUCAUCAUUAACCUUUUCAAGCUCCACCUGCUGCAAAGUACUACUGGUUUUGUCAUCCUUUUGUGAAUCCUUGUUCUUCAUUAUGGUUGAUUCAUCAAAAGUCACAUCUCUACUGAAAACAAUCUUCCUUGUAUCAGGACACCAGAGACGGUAUCCUUUUACUCCACUAGUUAUACCCAUGAAUAAUGCUUUCUUUGCUCUUUGGUCUAACUUAGAUUCUUUUACAUGAUAUUAUGCAGUGGAACUAAAAACAUGUAAAGAAUCAUAAUCAGUAGCAGGUUUACCAGCCCACAUCUCCAUAGGAGUUUUUCCAUUUAUUGCAGCUGAUGGCAACCGGUUAAUUAGAUGGCAAGCAUAUGUAACUGCCUCAGCCCAAAUUUCCUUGCCCAAUCCAGUAUUGGACAACAUACAUCGAACUUUCUCCAGUAUAGUCCGAUUCAUACGUUCUGCCACCCUAUUCUGCUGUGGUGUAUCUCGAACAGUGAAGUGUUGCACAAUGCCCUCAUCUUGACAUGUAAAAAUGAAUCAUUUUUGUACUCAGUACCAUUAUCUGAUCGAAGUCGUUUGACCUUUCGACUACUCUGAGUCUCCACCAUCUUCUUCCACUUUAGAAAUGCAUCCAAAACUCCACUUUUUCUUUUCAUUAGAUACACCCAUACUUUUCUUGAAUAAUCAUCAACAAAAGUAAUAAAAUAGUGCAUACCUCCCAAAAAAGCCACUUUGGUAGGUCCCCACACGUCACAGUGAACAUAGUCCAGAAUUCUUUUCGUAUUGUGAAUUGCUGAACCAAAUUUUACCCUCGUCUGCUUGCCCAGAACACAAUGUUCACAGAAUUCCAAUUUGCAAGAAUUUACAACUUUCAACAAGCCUUGCUUCGCCAAAGUCUGCAAAGCUUUUUCACCAGCAUGUCCUAAUAGCAUAUGCCAUAACCUGGUAGCCUCUGAAUCUGUAUCUUUCACAAAAGCUGUUGAUAUUGAUCUAAUAACUGUACUUCCAUUUAAAUAGUACAAGUUAUUUCUUCUAGUGCCUUUUAUCACCAUCAAUACCCCAGCUACUACCUUUAGUAAUCCAUCUCUCAAAGUGACUGUGAGCCCUUUAGAUUCUAGGGCCCCUAAUGAGAUGAGAUUUUUCUUCAAGCUAGGUACAUAAUGAACAUCUGUCAAGACUUGGAUUGAGCCGUCGUGAUUCUUCAAUUUGAUUGUACCUACUCCCAUUUUCUUACAAGCACUGUCAUUGCCCAUAAAAACAACUCCACCUUCUAGUUCUUCAAGACUAGAAAACCAGUCCUUAUUAGGACACAUACGGUAAGUACAUCCCGAAUCCAAGAUCCACUCAUCCGUAUGACAUGUCAUUGCCAUGCCAACCAAGCUAAAGUCUGACUCAUCAUCAUGCUCCGCUACACAUGCAUUAGAAAUAGCCUUGCCCUUUUGUAACUUAGGACAAUUCUUUUUCCAAUGCCCUUUCUCACGACAAAAAGCAUAUUCAUCUUUGGCGGGUCUCCCUUUGGACUUGCCUCUUCUACCAGGUUUGUUGCUGUGUGAACGACCUCUUACUGUUAAGACUUCUGCAGUUGUAUCUCUGUGAUCUCUUUUAUCUUUCUUUUGAGUCUCAGAUCUAUACAACGCACUGCAGACUACAUCAAAUGUGGUCGUAUCUUUCCCAAGAAGCACUGUGGUGGUAAGAUGAUCAUAUUCAUCAGGAAGAGAAUUCAACAACAAUAAUGUCUUGUCUUCAUCUUCAAAUUUCUCAUCCAAAUUUAGCAAGUCUGCUAAAAUUUUAUUGAAGGAGUUCACAUGGUCAUUCAUCGACAUACCGGGUGCAUACGUGAACCGAAAAAGUUUCUUUUUCAUGUAAAGCCUAUUUUCAAGACUUUUCGUUAGAAACUUUUCUUCCAGUGUAUCCCACAACUUCUUCGCUAAUGUCUCCCUCAGGACAGAGUACUUCUGCUCUUUGGCCAAACAUAGGCGGAUUGUACCACAUGUCUGUCUAUUGAUCUUGGCCCACUCCUUGUCAUCCCUCUUGUCAGGCUUUUCGUCAAGGGCUAUAUCCAACUCUUGCUAACAUAAGACAUCCAGGAUCUCACACUGCCACAUACCAAAAUUAUUAGCACCAUCAAAUUUCUCUACUUCAAAUUUUGCAUUGGUCACGGUAGUCUUUGUUGAUGACGAUGCCUCUGCCAUUCUUCUCCUCAACCCCAACUACUGUAUAUGUGAACAGUACCGUCUACGUGAAUAGUGCCAUGGAUGAACAACACCGUAUACGUAAAUAGUAUCGUAAACGGUCGUAUUCCCCAAGUACGAAUCUAGCUCGGAUACCAAUUAUUGCACGGAAGCAUGUAAAAGAGUAAAAUUAUUGUACUAAAAAAUCACACUAAGUUCAAUUCCCAGGAAAGAGAGGUGGAUCACGAGGAUCACUUAAGUACCAGGUCUUUCCUAGCCAGAAUAUCCCUCUAUCGUAAUUUAAUAGUACAAUAAAUCACUACAAUCACACUCGCAAAAUAUGCAAAAUAAAUAAUAAAGAACACUUGAAUUUUAACGAGGUUCAGCAAAUUUUGCCUACGUCCUCAGGCACUACCAAAUAUAUUUCACUCCAAAAUACAAGUGAAAGUUUACAAAUAAGGAGAGAGAACAAUUGCCUUAAGUAGAGAAUGGCAAAUGUGGGAUGGAAAAAAUGAGAAAUAGCUAGGCCUAUUUAUAGUUGAAGCUCAAGGAUUAACUUGCAAAGUCCCUAUACAAUUAGGGACCAAAAUUGUAAUUAUCCCAAGCCAAAUUUCAACCCAAAAAUCUGUGCCUUAAAUGCUUAGAUUUUCGGUGCCAAAUUUCUGACACCAUCCAUAUCUUUGAAAAAGUUAAAGAUGGUUGCUAAUAAGAUCCAUCGAUGAUUUCUACCUUGAAAAUCAGAUCCAUUAUAACUAGAUUGUCCAGAAUUUCUACAAUGGAUAUAAGCUCUACCACCGACAACCUUUUCCUCAGGACCACCAUCAUUGACGAAAAUGCAGUAGAAAGCAACUCCAAUCCAUUGACUGUCAUUCUGAAUAUUGAGAGGCAGAGGUAUGUCAAUUACAGAGCCGCCUCUCUGUUGGCUGAACCAUUCUGGGAUUUCAUUUCCAGGUAUAAUAACAUCAAACUCUUUUCUUGAAUUCGCAAAUGCCUGCAAAUUAAAACAUCAGCCUUUCUUGAAUUUGUAAAUGCCUGCAAAAUAAAAUAUCGGUGGUUUUGUAACUCAAACCAUGAAAAAAAGAAAGGAGAGAUUAAUCAACCUUAAUGGCAAUAAGGUGAGCACAAUCAACUAUCCACUCACUUGUCAUUCUUGCUAGAAGCACAUGAAACGAUUCAAGCUCACUGCAAUUUGACACUCCAAGCCUUUGAAGAUUGGAAAGAUGAGUAAGAGACGCAGCUGUUGGAACUUAGAAAAUAGAUUGAAGAAAUUUGACAGAAACUUGAGCUAAAAGGCUCAAAAACUUGUUGAGCAAUCAAGCAAAAAUCAGACAAAGAACUUGAGUAAAGAACCAGAGAACCAAGAAGAAUUUUGAGUGAUAUUUUCAUUACAUUUGAAAUGAGGCAUAUUGCCAUUACAUAAACCAAGCAUUGAGCUGGUCAAAAGAGACAAACUUCACCUAAUCAUCAACCUAACUCCACUAAGUAUCCUUGAAACUUAUAAAACAUGACUUGCACACAUAGGUAAGCUGAUUUAUCAAUCCAUCAGCACCUAAUUACAUCAAGUACAUUAACAACUUGGUUUAAAUCUAAAUAAGUUACAAAACAUCAAUUUGAAAGUAACAAAAGGAAACAGCAGCUUGAACUUCAGCUGCAACUGCAUGGCUCGGGCAGCUCCUCUGCUUCUUGGCUGCAUGCAGGCCAACUUCAACAGCAGCUAUGCUGGUGAAAUUAUUACACUAAGACCAAGAAAUCUCAAUGAGGAAAGACCAGAAAUAUCACUAGGAAUAUCUCCACGAAUAUUGAAUAAGUCGCAAUUUGACAAUGUAAGAUAUUCAAGCCUGGAGAGUCGUGUAAAAGACCCCGAUAUAGUGUUGAAAUUGUUAUCGCUAAGAUCAAGAUUUGUCAAAGAGGAUAGACAAGAUAUAGCACCAGGAAUAUCUCCUUCACCAAGAUUGCAGUCCCUUAGAGUCAACUUUCUUAAUGAACUCAAACCGGAUAAUGAAGGUAGCAUUAGAGCUAUGGAAUUCAUCCUUCCUCUUUGGCUUACCUUGAAAAGAGAAAGGAGAUUUCUUUUUAACUUAGACGGACCCUUGAAUCCACCGAAAGACAAAAUUUUAAGAUUUUUCAAUUGAGAAAUGCAGAAGGGUGGUUCUUUUAUGGCUGUUUCACUUAAGUCAAGCUCUUCCAAAAAUUCUUCUUGCUGCAAAUUCUCUUACAAAUUGUUCGUGUUUAGAACUCGAACUUUGAUGGUUGAUCGAGAGUUUUAAAGCAGAAAGAAGAGACGGAAAGUUUUAAGUAGAAAAAUAAUUGAAGACGUGAAUAUAUUAAUUGAUUUGCACCUCAACUAUUUAAAUACAAAAGUUCAAGCUAAAAAUAGGAAAAAAAAGGUUCUAAAAAAUCUGCUAAAAAUUUGUUAACAUAAUAGCAAACAAAUCAAAAAUCUAAUCUCCUAAAGUCAAGGAGAAUUAUUCAAACUUAAUAACAGAAAAAAAUUUAAAUGGCAGCAAUCUUAAACACAUUAUCUCAACACUCCUCCUUGUUUAGAUGCUGCAAACUCCAAUUAUAUUUCUGUCGAGAGGUCGAUCAACCAACUCCCAAGUUUUGUUUUUCUCGAUCGUCGCAAGCUCCUCCUUCAUUGCAGCCAUCCAAUGUUGACUAUUUUUUGCAUCAUGAUACCCUGCAGGCUCACAAAUAGCCAUGUUACAUCUUUGGUAAAUGUAGGAGAGCAGCCUUGUUCUUCUGACAGGUGCAUCAUCGGCCAAAACAUCUUGCCCUUCAUCUUCAAGCUCUUCUAACGUGCUGCCAAUGGUAAAACGAUUUGGUGCACUAGAAGUUUGGUUCGUCUUGGUUGAGUCUUCCCAAUUCCAUUGCUCAUUUUCAAAAAAAUAAACAUCUCUUCUCACAAUAACACGUCCAGUGUGUGGUUGAAAGACUCUGUAAGCUUUAGAUACGUGCUAUACCUAACAAAAAUGCUAGCUUCUACCUUUUUGUCAAGCUUAUCACACUUGACCUGUGGAAUGUAAGUGAAACAUAGGCAGCCAAACACUCUAAGAAACUUUAACGAAGGUUUGUAACCAUACCAAGCUUCAAAUGGCAUCUGAUCCUUCACAGCUUUUGUUGAAAUCUGAUUUGCAAGAACACAGCAGUGUUUGCAGCUUCUCCCCAAAAGCCUUUUGGAAGAUUCUUCUCAUGAAGCAUACAACGAGUCAUCUCCAUUAUGAAUCUGUUCCUCCUUUCACUGACUCCAUUUGUUGUGGAGUGUAUGGCGCCGUCAACUGAUGCUCAAUUCCAGCCUCUUCACAAAACCUAUUAAAGGUUUUUAAAGUGUACUCCUUGCCAUUAUCAGAUCUUAAAAUCUGAAUCAUGCAUCCACUUUCAUUCUCAACUCUAGCUUUGAAUUUUCAGAACAUAUCAGCAACUUCUGAUUUUUGCUUCAACAAAAAAAUCCAACACAUUCUUGUUAGAUCAUUAACAAAGGCUAUGUAAUAGAGGUUACCAUUUAACGAAGGAGUUCUCUGAGGACCACAAAGAUCAGUAUGAACAAGCUGUAACUUCUUCGAGGCUCUCCAGGCUUGUUUAGGAAAUGUUUGUCUAUGUUGUUUCCCAAAUUUACAAGCUCGACAAUGAGGUAGAUCAUCAUCAAUGUCUGUAAGUCCUUCCACUAGCUUCUUCAACUACAUUUGAAGUAAUCCUCAAUGGUGAAAGUGCCCAAGUCUCUUGUGUCAAGUCUCAGUAGCACUAACUCUGGAUUUAAAAGCCAUUUGCUCAUUUUCCAUUGGAUUAAGAGCAAAACUUUUUCCCUUCAUUUUGACAUUGAACAAGUCUCUGCCAUUAGCAUCUCUAAUCAAGCACUGCUUAUUCUCAAAUAGCACUUUAUAACCUUUAUCUAGCAACUGGCCAACACUUAAGAGAUUUUGAUCAAUUUUAGGUACAAAUAAAACAUCUGAAAUGAAUUUUGUACCUUCAUAGCUUGUAAUAGCUAUUGUGCCUUUUCCCUUGACUUCUAAGUACUCACCAUUUCCAAUCCUCACUCUUUUGACUUCAGUGUUUCUCAAUUCCUCGAAGAGCUCCUUGUCAUACGUCAUGUGAUUUGUGCACCCACUAUCAAUCAACCAGCUCUCACUUGAUUCUCUGCCUGAGAAACAAGUAACCAUGAACAAUUGAUCUUCUUCUUCUUGAUCAACUACCUGUGCAUCUACUUCUUGCACCUGGCCUUUAACCUUGCAAAUCACUGCUUCAUGUCCAAGUUGAUUGCAUUUGGAGCAUUUGGCGUCAGGUCUUUUCCAACAUUUGAAUGGUGGAUGACCUUUCUUCUCACAAUGGCGACAAGGUGGGUAGGAUUUCUUGACACCUCCUUUUUUGAUCUUCUGAUAAUUGCCUGAUGAAUUUUCUCCACUCGUCGAUUGGUUUUAAAAUUUUUCUUCUUUUUAUACCUGUUGUUAUCUUGAUGCUUGACAGGUAAGGCCCCUUCUAUCACUCCCUCUUGCCUCAUAUUCAACUUUACAACAACCAGAAAGAUGAAGAGUUUUUAGAUGUUCCAUUUUCCCAUCAAUCUCUGGAAACCUUGCAAGAUUUGAGCAACCCGAAAGAAUUAAAGUUUCAAGGAAUUCUAUUCCAAUUUUGGUUGAAAGACUCCUAAGACUUGUUCACUCUCUUAAAUUCAAGAGUUUAAGUCUCUUAAGCACUCCAAGUGAAGGAUGAACAUCUACUAAUCUGGUACAACCUUCCAUAAUCAAAACUUCGAGAUUUGGGGCUAUUGUGAAGUCUGGUGUCUUGAUUAGGUUUUUGGACCCUUUAAGGCUGAUUAUUUUCAACUUAUACAAGGGCUGUCCAAAACAAUAACAGAUUAGAGAAAAAACGAAAAACAUAAUAAAAACCCAUUUUUAUUGUUUUUAUUUUUAUCUUAUUCAAAUUUAACUGUUUAUAUUAAAACAAGCUAAAAUACAAGGAUUAGAUGAAUUUAAUUCUUACUCUAUUCCCUUUCCAUAGUUGUUCAAUGCGACUAUAUGGUAAGAUAAGUAUGACAAUAUAUUGAAGGAUAUCCUCUCCAAUCUAAAAGUCGUACCUCAUUAGAAAGAUAUUUGAAAUCCUCACAAUUUGAGAGACAAAACACUCUGAGCAAUCUCAAUUUUUUCAUCUUUGAAAAGACAGCAACACUCAAAUUGAGCAUCUUACUUGAUUCCCUAUAAACCAUGGGGAAAAUAAAAAUAAGCAUUAAAAUAUACAAAAACAUUCAAUACCUAAAAACUAUGUUUCUUCAAUACUAUUUUUAAGGACUUGCAUCUGAUAGCUAUAUCUAACACGCAUUCAAAUAUGGGCAUUGAUAUAUGAUCCUUCAAUAACUCUUUAAAUACAUGAAAAAGCUUUUCAUUUUUUUUAUAUCACACAUAAUAUAUCUAUCUAACACCCACAUUUGACUUCGAAUUACCUAAGCCUUAGAAACUAGAAUUAAAUUUUUGAUUUAUAUUGGUGCAAUAAUAAUGCAUAAUUCUAUUCAUCGUUACUGAACGAAACUAGGACACAUCAUUAAAAAUGAAAUCAAUUAGUUUUAUUUUUAAAAACGUUUGAUGACAUAUUAAAAUCUUGUCCACUAAGAUACACUAUGAGUGCAUCAAAUACAAGCAUUUACUAUUAGAAAGGAUAUAUCUCUAUGUGUUUCUUUUGAAAGAGUCAUGCGUAGCUAGAUAAAUUUUAUAAAUAUAACAUUAAAUAUAAAGCCUUAAAGGCUUUGUCCAUUGAUUCUUAUUGGAUACUUUUACAACUAAUAACAAUAUUAAUAAUACACAUCAUAAAUAUGUACACAUAUUUUUUUACCUUUUAUUGUGAUAAUCAUGCUUUCCAUUAUUUAUGUAACGUAAAAGAAACAAGAAUAGAGAAUAAGACAAAAUAAAUGGUGUAAACGGUAUGAUAAAACUUAUAAAAAAUUGCAUAUAUAUUUAACACUAGCAUAACCUUUUGGUCGCAAUAUAGUAUAUAAAGCAUUUUAAAUAAAGUGAAAUUAAAUAUUAUUUAUAUAAAUCCUUACUAAGAGUUCUAAUCAACAAAAGGAAUUUAUCUCAAAAGCUACUGAAUGUCAUUUUUUAAUGGACUCUCUAUAUAAAUAAAUCCGACUAAGUCUUUUUUUUUUUAUUAAAAAUUCUAUAAAAUGAUAGUAUGUAUAUUUUGUUGAAUGAUUUACCGUGUUUUUUGUUAGGAUAUGACGGACAUCUUUUUUUCUCCCACAAUCUGCAAUGUUUUCCAGGUUCAUCAACAGAUUUUUCCGUAACAAUUUUUCUUCCCAUUUCUUGUAUUAAGCAAUGCAUCCACAAAUGCUUAUGUUCAUCAACUUUUAUGAGAGAUUUCUUAACGAGAACAUCUAUUCCAAUAUUUAAGAAAAACUCACAACCAUCCAAUACUUUCAUUAUAGAAUAUUUCUCCUCUCCAUUGAAGAAGCAUGCUAUAUCUAGAAUCCUCCCUAUUGAAGAAGCAUGCUAUAUCUAGAAAUAUAUUCUUUUCGCUUUCUUCCAAUCCAUCAAAGCUUUCGAAGGCUAUCGAGAAUUUCUUUAUUAGAAUUUCGUUUAAGUCUUUCAAUUGCACUUCUCCAUUGAGCUACAUCUCUACCGCACAAAAAUGAACCCAAAAGUUCAAGAGCUAAGGGGAGACCACCAGCAUAAUGUACAAUACGUUUAGAAAGUUCAAUGAAAUCAUCUUUCAAUGUUGUACCACUACCAAAAGCUUUCCAAUUAAAAAGCCUAAGGGCAUCAUUAGGAUUCAAUGUUGUAGGCUUAUACACAUCAUCAACUCGGUAAGAUCGAAGCAAAUGUCGUUACAAUGAUUCUACUUACUAAACCAAACCAAUCACGAUUUCCAACCAAGCAUUUCAAGUGUUGUAUGUAAUCAACAUCAUCAAGGACUAUAAGAACCUUUUUGCUAGACAACCUGUGGCUAAUUAUGGCAUUCCCUUUGUGAACAUUGAAAAAAUUGAAGUAUUCAUCAAGCAAUAUAUGGGAAAGAAGUUGUUUCUGUAAAAAACCAAGUCCACAUUUAUCUGAAACUUCUCGAACGUCAGCAAGAAAGGUUUUACCUUCAAAAUGAGGUGACAUUUGAGUAUAAGCAAUUCUUGCAAGAGUUGUCUUACCAAUGCCACCCAUUUUGCAAAUUCCUAUAAUACGAACAUCAUCUUCCCCAAUGUCUAUUUUCAAAUACAACUCCUCCAAACGUAAACUAAUUCCAACCAGCUCAUCAUGAACAACAGUACAGGUCUGACAUAAUUUCACUGAUAUCUUCUUAGCAAUAUCUUCGAUAAAUUCUGAUUCAUGCCUACAAGGAAAUAUGAUUUAAUUCUUUUAAAAAAAUUGUUGAAUCAUAAUAUAGUUUGGAGCAAACAAAAAGCAAGAACAAGAAAGCAAGAUCUGUUACCACAUCAAAAUACACAACUUUCUCUUUAGUUGAAAUAUUGAACUUUACAAUUAAAUAUGUAGUAACUGAAAUUGAGUUCGAAUUUUAUAUUUUUUAAAUAUUAUUAUUUCUUAUUUCUGUAAUUUUAUUAUUAAUUAGAAUUAUAGCUAUUAUAUAUUAAUAAAAGGGAAAGGAAAGAGUUAAAAGAGAGAGAGAGAACUAAAACAAGACACACCCAGCGACAGGGUGAGCCAAUAGAAAGACAGAAAUAAAACAAAGAAAUUAACAAUAUUGUUAAUUUCAAUUCAAAAAAUAGUCUAGCGGACCAAAAUACUGUUUCGACAAAACAAAUAGGAAUAUUGGAAAUAAACAUAUAUAUAUAUAUAUAUCAAUUCAAAAAAUAACAAUAUUGUUAGACACUAAAACUAGAAAAUAGAGAAGAAAGAAUGACCUGUUAUUUAAAUGCCAUCCCUGACGUCAGCCACUUCCCUCAAAGCAUUUGGCCACCUUUGGAUCUUUUCUCUAUCGUCCUUAUAUCUCUCUUCAUGUUUUGCAAAGGCUUCUUCAACUUUUCCCUUCUGUUUUCUUAAAUCGGAUAGAUCCACUUAGUAGAAUAUUUUAUGUUCCUUAUCCUUUUUCUGUUUAACAAUCUCAGCAAGCUCCUCCAAGCACCAACUUGAAAAGGCAUAGGUUUUUGAAAUAACGAUGAUCGAGCACCAUGAUUGUUGAAUUGCUUUAAAGAGUUCAGGUGCGAUCUCUUCCCCGGCCUCCAACUUGGGAUCAUCUCUAAAAGUGACAAUCCUACGCCUCUUUAGAGCAUUGUAGAGAUGAUCUGUGAAGUUGUUGCGAGUAUCUUCACCUCUAAAACUCAAGAAAACAUCAUAUUUCCUUUUAGAAAUGGACGAUGGAGUUGAAGGUAACGACAACAUGAGGAUAUAUGAGAAGAAAAAGAUAUCUCAAUUUAGUGCUCAAAAUCAGAAAAUAGUUCGCUCAAUACCACAGAAAGAAACUGGGAACAAUGGGUUGAUGAGGAUAAGAAAGAGAAAAGCAGAUCUACAAAUAGAUGAGGGAUGAUGUUCUUUCCAAGAAGGUGAGAGUUGAUUUUUUAUCGGAUAUAUAUAAUAGUGCUAUUAAAUUAUUUGUAUGCAAUUAUUGAAUAAAGUUAUCAAACAUAAACUCAGUGAGUCACAUGGCCUGGACACACACCUGUGUGUCUCACCUGUGUGACUCUAAUAUGAAUUUAGUGAGUUACACGGCCUGGACACACGCCCGUGUGUCUCACCCGUGUGACCCCUACAUCUCAUUACCCACACACAGCCUCUCCCACGCCCGUGUGUCUACAAAUUCAAAGUCAAGGAGUUACACGGCCCGCCACACAGCCUCCCACAUAGCCGUGUGACUCACACGGCCAGCACACGCGCCCGUGUGCAGUUGACACUCCCGAUUCUGGCGAAGAAAAAAACACAGAAAAAGAGGGGUUUUGGCACCCACCUGUUACCCGAUGCUGAAGAAGCACCCAAUUAUAAAAUCCAAGCCUAAAACAAGUUCAAAACACUCAAUUCAAUAAAACUUCCGCAAAAUACGCAAGCACCAACAAUCAAACUUCGUCGAAACUUUUGACUCACUACACGAAACAAGUGAAAGAUUACUUACCACAGAUUCCUAGUACUCACUCAAUUCCUAAGUAAACGAUAGGCGUUAGGCAUCUUUUGAAUUCCUCCCUAAUGUAUCGAAACAACGCAUAACAAGUUAUCAGACCUCAAGACUUAUGAAAACCCCAAAUUCACAAUGACAGACUUUAUGAAAAUAUCGACUUAACUUACCUUGAAACACACCAGAACAAGCAAAAAUGCGAUCUAACGAAGCAAUUUAUACGAAAGAACAGACAAUAAAAGAAAAGAAUUAAGGAAAUAUGAACAGAAAAGAAAGAAAGAAAAAGAACAAUUUGGGAAAGAAAAAAAAUGAAGAAGAACGUCAAAUCCAAGAGGGAAGGACAUUUAAAUUUCAAAUCAAUUUUUACUGAAUAUCCAAAAAUAAAAUCAUUGUUGCAAACGCUAUAACUUGAACGCAGAAUUAGAGAGUAGACCGACAUUUAACCGGUGAACCAGCAAGUUUAUUUUUGACACAAGCUGCACAAAACUAAACUUAAACAAAGAAUCCUAAGUUAAGGGUUCAAGUAAGAAAUUUAACAAAAUUCUGAAAUUUAUGUAACUCAAACCUCAAACCUUUAGUGAGCAAACAAAGCACACAACCACAGAAGCAAACACAUUUUCAUUGACACAGCUUAGCUAUUAAAACUCAAAUUUUGGAGCGUUACAAUGUUGCAAAGCUAGUUUGUAACAAGACAUAUAUAAAUUGAAUUCAAACCAUGCAUAAAAGUACAAACCAUAUUUGUUUCUCGUCUACGACUCUCGCAUUUCCUUUUUCUCGAGACAAUCUAACAUCAUCUUUAGUUAUGUACAAUAAUAUAAGUAUAGAAACGAUAUUAGUUUUUCAUCCAAAUUAAAAACAAAUAAUCAAACAUAUUUUGCAUUUUAUUCAUUUUAGUCCUUAUAUCUGAAAUACUCAUAUUUUCCAAUAUUUAAUAACGGAUGAAAAUCUGACUUCAUGUCCUUUCAUUAGAGACAUUAUACUUUUAAUCUAUAGCAUAAUUUAUUAAAAAUUUUUAAUUUAUUAAAUUCAUCCCUAAGGUCACAAAAUUAUAUUUAAAGCUUAACUUGAUUUCUAACUUAAACCUUAACAUGAUUUAAGUUUACUAACUAACAAUCUCUUCAAUUUCAAGCUUAAUUUUAUCAAUUAUACAUCAAUGGUAACUUGCUAGACAUCUAACAAUUAAAGAAAUCGAUACAUGGGUAGCUAAACCAAACUCUAAUGUUUCAAAAUUCAUAAAAAUCUUAAGGAAAGAACUUAAUUACCUUGAUUAAUUUUGGAUUAAAAUGGAAAAGAAAAGAAAGAAGUUUUUCCUUCUUCUUAGCUUGGGACGACCAAACACAAUAAGAAAGAUAACUUCAUCUUUCUCUCCACUCACUUUUAAAAUCUUAAUUAGAUUAAUUAAUCAUCAUUAAUAAUAUAAUUUUAAUAAGUUAGUUUUAAUUAAUCAAGUCAAUUAAGAUAAGUGGAUGUAAUCUUACCAUUGCACUAUCAUAUUUUAAUAAUCAUCAAUUUAUUUUAAGGUCCUUAGAUUAAUUAUUAAUUAAGUCCUCAAUUAUUUUCUAAAUUAAAAUUUAAUAGCGAUUAAACUUUUAAAAUUUACGGCCUAAACUUUAAUUAUUGAUUUUCUGACUUAAUUACCGGUUUUUUAAUAUAUUUUUAUACUAACUUUGUCAAUACUUCUAUUCAUAUUUUCUAUCUCUAAGUAAAUAUAUAAUGAAAAAAUUUUAAUAAAAAAAUGAAACCAAUCAAAAUAUACACAUUUCAAUUAUAUAAAAAAAUGAAUUAAAUGAUAAAAAUUUUAAAUAGAAUAUGAGCUUAUGUUCAAAAUGAGUAUGAAUGAAGAUUUUAAUUUUUUUUUGGAAAGAUCAUAUCUCAAAUGCAAAUAAAUUUAGAAUGAUUACUUUAAAUGAAAUAAAAAUUAUAAACAAGGUAGAUGUUUAAGUAGCUUACCACAGUUAAUGCUUCUUCGAUUGACCCAUUAUAAAAUUGAAAAACUUUUCCGUUUUGGUUGCAGCCCUUCUUCCCCUGCUUCCUUGUAGAUAUUAUGUUUUCGUUUUAUGUGAGUAGUGAGCAGAGUGUUGGUAGAUGUGUUCAAAAUUUAGAAAAGAUUGAGUGGUAUGGCACUGCAACUCUUUUAUUUCUUUCAAAUCUUUCUCAUGCAUUAUUCUAACACCACACUUCUUCACCUUGGCACUGCGUCCAAAAGGAUCUAUGAAAGACACCUCAAGCUCAUCCCAUUUUUUAUCUAAGCAAUCUGUUGCCCAUAAAUUGCUGGUUUCACAGUCACCAUAUUUAUCGUCCAAGGAAGAUGAGUAUAAGUUAUCACGAGACCAAUAAUGAAGAAAAAGGUGAUCUUUCAUUAUGGGCUCGUUAAGUCGUUUACCCACCAACGAGCCUGUCCAAUCAAUCAGUCCAGGAUUUUUACAAUAGAUAAAUGUUCGACAAUUGAUAACCUCGUCAUCCCUUGAAGCAUCAUUAUUGACAAAAAUGCAGCAAGAAGCAACUCCAAUCCAUUGACUAUCUUUCCGAAGGGGUAUCUUAAUUAAAGAGUCACUUUUUUUUUGGCUAAACCAUUCUGGGAUUUCACUUCCGGGCAUAAUAAUGUCAAACCUUUUUAUUGAAUUUGCAAAUGCCUGCAAAAUAAAACACAAGUCGUUUGGUAACUAAAACCAUAAAUUCUAAAGUAUGAGAUUUUGUAAGGGAGAAUAAAGAGAUUAAUCGACCUUAAGAUGUUUUUUCAGCAGUGUUAAUGCAUUGAUAUUCUCAGCCAAUUUGAAGCAGUUAAAGGCUUUAACGGCAGCCGAAUCCACUAAAUUGCAUACUUUUGAUGGACUUGCAACUACUUGAAGUGAAGAACAACCAUCUAUCUCCAUAUUUCUUAUGGUUGUUAGAAGCCCAGGUAACGAUUUAAGCUUCGUGCAAUUUGAUAAUGCAAGCACUUGAAGCCUGGAAAGUUGAGUAAGAGCCAAAGGAAUGGUGAUGAAAUUGCUACCCCUAAGUUUAAGAUAACUCAAAGAGGAUAGACCACGAAUAUCCGCUUCACCAAGAGCGCACAUGUUGCAAUUUGACAAAUCAAGAAACCAAAGCUUCGAGAGUAGAGUAAGAGAUGCAGGUAUGCUGAUGAAAUUGUUACCAAUAAGAUCAAGAUCUAUCAAGGAAGAUAGGCAAGAUAUAUCACUAGGAAUAUCUCCUUCACGAAGAUUGCAGUCCCUUAGCUUCAACUCUCUUAAUGGACUUAAACUUGACAACGAAGGCAACAUCAGAGGCAUAGAAUUUGUCCUUCCUUCUUGGGUACACCAGUUAAUAUACGAUUUCCCAUCAUCUCCAUAUGGAUCCAACAUUCUUAUAUUCAUUCUCAACCUAUAUAUAUACAUUUUAUUUUGAUAUUAUUUAAAUAUAUAAUAAAAAUAAAAUUAAUAAAACAUAAAAUUUUAUCAUAUAUACCUGAGCAAGAAUGAUGUUUCCUUGGGAUGCAAGUAGUUUCUUUUUUUGACCAUAUCAACUAUCAAAGUUGUGAAGUUUUUCAUUUCAUUCUAAAAAUAAAGGAAAAUAAAAGACAUUAUUUAUAUAUAAAAUAAACAAAAAUAGAAUUGAUUUUUUUUAAAAAAUUUACUGAAAAUUAAAAGAAUUACCAUAAAGACAUCAUUUUUAGUAUGGAGGGAAACUCCAAGCAUGUUAUGCAUCCAUACAGGAAAGCCUCUAAUAAAAAAUAAUAAUAAAACUAUUAAUACUGAAAAAUAGUUAAAUAAUUUAUGAAAUAACAUAAUUAGUUAAAAUUUUAAAAUAAAUUAAUUUACCCAUAAUUCCACUCGGCACAAGUAUAAGAUCCAAUUCAAAGAAUUGCAUAUAAACCUUGGUCUUGAAUCGUUUUAAGAAAUCAAAUAAGAUCAAGAUUUUCACNNNNNNNNNNNNNNNNNNNNNNNNNNNNNNNNNNNNNNNNNNNNNNNNNNNNNNNNNNNNNNNNNNNNNNNNNNNNNNNNNNNNNNNNNNNNNNNNNNNNCCAUAAAUUAUGAUGGAUCCUGAAUCAUAGUGACAUUAGCGCAUCCAAUAAAUAGGAUGAAGAAAAAAUAGAUAGAAAAUAAAAUAGUGAAUAUAUCCUCUUCUUCUUCUUUUUUUUUUCCAUCUACUAAAGCUAAAAGGAAGUGUUGAUUGAAAAAUCAGUAGAGUAUGAUAACGUCUUUAUAAGCGUGGUGAUUGAAUUCAUAUCAAAUACUUGAUUUUUAGAAGAUAUUUACUUUGAUUUAUUUGCUGUUUUAAAUAGAUUUAUAUAAUCAGUGAUAUGAGAUUAAAUUAGCAAAUUGUGUUGAAAGUUGAGUUUUAGUUCUAUGUAGCAGCAUUAAUUAAAUAUUUUUGAUAAUUAAAUAAACUUUUUUAAUUAUAAUUAAUUAGAGUAUUGCUUUCAUACGACGGGAGUCAUUGGUUCAAAUCCAAUAAUAGGUAGAAUUUAUUAGAUACCAUCGAUCCCGGUGUCUAAUAAGUUUUUCUAUCCACCUUCUUUUAUUGAUUUUCUAUCUUUUUCAUCCUAUUUUAUCUCCGUUUUCAAUUUUUAAAUUUUUUGUUGGAUCAAGAUCCGAUUUCACUUUUGAUUAUAUUUGAUUCUAUUUAAUUGGCAGAAUCAACAUGAGAUGUAUAAACGAAAGUUUUGUUUUUACGAAAAUUCUCCAACUUGUUACGAAAUCGCGUUGAUAACCUCGACUUGUGUCCUAGCCUGUUUGACAGCUAGAUUUGCCUCAAUUGUUUGCCUCUUGCCUUCAGCUUUCCUCAUGUUUGCUUGCUGAGCUUCUUGUGGACUCAUCUAUAAAAUUCUCGUUUAUUAAAACUUGUAGAGUUCUAGUUAAAUUAAAUUAAGAUUUCUUUCAUCAACAAAUAAGGCUUGCUUUUUGAAGAAUAAAGAUUAUAUACCGAAAAGAAUAAGCGAGCAUUUAGUAAAGGGUAUAUCCAUAAUAACUUUUUACAUCGCUGGUAAAUGAUACGAUACAGUCACGAUUCAGCAAUAAUAUUAUCCAUAAUAACUUUUCACAUUGCUAGUACACGAAUCAUAGUAGUUGCCAUCCCAAAGGAUUGUUAGUAGAUCAAUCUUGCUAACACCUGUUAGAGAAAACAGGAUGAAGUACUUCCCUGUGUAACACCAACAAUGGCUCUAAUCCGAAAAAGAGAUUGCAUUUAAAGUUGUUAGCAAACUCAUUCAUUCCUAGCUACCCACAAUGACCAUAACAUAGCGCCAUAGCAACAAGCCAUUUCCUCUUAACAAUCCAAACAUGCAGCAACAUUCAUACACAACAUUUCAAGGAAUCGCACACAUAACACCCCACCAUUGAAACAACACUCCCCAAGCUUUCCAAGAAAGGAAGUAAGAAAGAAAAAUAUGAUCACAGUUCCCUUCAACUUCAUUGCAUCAACAACAAUUGAUGGAAUCAUUAAUUGUUAGAAUACCUCGAUCCCUUAAAAAAUAUUUUGAAGGCAUACCAUUCUGGAAUGAGAGCAAUAGGAAGCAUUGCACCUUUGAUGCACCAAUGAACCCUCAGAAUCAAGAGAAAUGUUGAAAUUGGCCAACCAUGCUGCUGUUUGAAGUGCAUGCAGCUUGAUGACAUGAUGCAGCACGUAUACUUGCUGUAACAGCAAGGUUUUCUCUUUAGUUUCUCUGUUAAGCUACUUAGUUGAAAAUGAACUAAGUUGGUAUUGUUUUGAUGUUUUUAGGUGCUGAUUGACAUAAUCAGCUUGUGUGCAAGUUAAGUUUUACUUGUUUCUAAGUAUAAUUAGUGGUAGUAGGUAGUAUUUGGUGAUGUAUUUGACUAUAUAUAUGUUGUUUUCUAGUUGAAUGAAUGAGUUGAAUGAGCUAUCAGCCAUAAGCUCCCUUGCUGCAGGUUUGUGAGCAAGUAAAAAUUUUCUUGCACCUUGCUUCAUGUUCUGUUCUCUCUGUUCUCUUAUUUUGCUGCUGCCAUUGUUCCAACAAGAAAACACAAAUUUCUUUACAGUAAAUUUCCCUUUGCUGUCCACCUCCCACAUUCGCCUUAUUGCAUUAAUCACUGAAUCCAUACAUAGCCAAUUUCCAUACCGAUGUUCCCUCAAGUAAGCUUUAAUCACACCGUGGUCUCAAAAUAGUUUGCUCAAGGACAGGUGUUCUAGAGAAGUCAUCCCUUGGAUUAUUGCAGAGUCGAAUGAUUUGUGAUAUGGUUUUGUCAAUAUGGGAUCUUCUGUUAGCAUGAAUUGAAGCCAUUUAAGUCGUAUUAACUAUUAAGGACCUAUAUAAACUACAAAAUGAAGCUAUUUAAAUACUAUUUAAGCAACACCAAAACAGAGUACAGGUUCCCAUGGCGCUUUAUUUAGCGAAAAUAGUCUGAUGACAAAGAUAAAAGAUGAUUAUGUUUCACCCUAUUACCUGCUUCUUCAUGCAGUGAAAUAUAGAUGUAAGUUUAUACAUAUAACAUAAAAUUUAAUAAAUAAAUAAAUAAUAAAUUUCAUUAAACAGUACAAGUUUCAAUGAUGUAAAAAUUAAUUAAUUAGAUGAAUAAAUUUUUAAAUUUAUAAAAACACUAUGUUGUCUUUCAACCAAAACAUGUCAUUCAAUACAAGUUGGUGUUCAACAUGUCUAUACUCAAAAUUUAGAGUUGAUUACAUAAUUUGAAGAAUCAUAUUUCAUACUCGUAUCAAAAUAUAUGUUGAGUAAAGAUGUUCAAAAUGAAUACUUUAAAUAAAAUAAAAGAUGUAAAUAAGGUCGAUAAAAAGGUCUAAAACCAGAAUUUAUAGGGCAAGGCUAGUGAAGUAGUUUACCACAGUUACAGCUUCUUCCUCGAUCGGCUCAUUAUAAAAUUGAAAAAAAUUUGCAUCCAUUUUGGUUUUUGUUUUACAAGGGAAGUGCUACCUAUUGAAUCUAUUGAUCCAGCAUUAUCAACAAAGUGUUGAUGGACAUCUUCAAGAUUUGGAGAACAUUGAGUGGUAUGGCUAUGCAGCUCUUUUAUGUCUUCCAAAUCUUUCUCAUUCACAAUUCUAACACCGCACUUCUUCACCUUAACACAGGGAACAUCCGGGUCUGUGAAAGACAAUUCAAGCUCAUCGCAUUCCUGAUCUAAGCAAUCUAUUGUCCAUAAAUUAUUAAUUUCACAUUCACCACAUUUAUCCUCUAAGGAAAAUGGAUAUAAUUUAUCACGCGACCAAUAUCGAAGAAAUAGGUGAUCCUUCGUUAUGGGCUGGUUAAAACGUUUCCCAAACAACCAACUACUUGCAUCGACACGUCGAAGAUCUGUAUCUCGAAAGACAGAUCCAUUUCGACCGGCUUGUCCAGAAUUUCUACAAUGGAUAACAGCUCUGCAGUUGAUAAACUUAUCCCGGGAAGCAUCAUCAUUGACAAAAAUGCAACAGGAAGCUACUCCAAUCCAUUGACUAUCAUUUUGAAUAUUGAGUGGUAGAGGUAUCCUAAUUGUAGAGCCACCUCUCUGUUGGCUAAACCAUUCUGGGAUUUCACUUCCAGGUAUAAUAACAUCAAACAUUUGUCUUGAAUUUGCAAAUGCCUGCAAAAUGAAACUUCAGUCACUUGGUAAAUAAAACCAUAAAUUCCCAAGUAUGAAAGGGAAAGAAAGAGAGAUUAAUUAACCUUGAGAUGUUUUUUCAACAAUGUUAACGCAUUGAUGUUCUCCGCCAAUCUGUAGCAGUUAAUGGCUUUAAUGGAAGCUAAAUCCAAUAAAUUGCAUACUUUUGAUGGACUUGCAACUCCUUCAAGUGAAGCACAACCAUCUAUGCACACUCUUGCUAUACUUGUUAGAAGCUCAGGCAACGAUUUAAGCUCUUUGCAACUUGAUAACAUUAGAAGUUUAAGCUUUGGAAGUCGAGUAAUAGACGCAAGUAUGCUGAGGAAAUUGUUACCACUAAGAUCAAGAUGUGUCAAGGAGGAUAGGCACAAAAUAUCACUAUGAAUAUCUCCUUCACGAAGAUUACAGUCCCUUAGCUUCAACUCUCUUAAUGAACUCAAACUUGACAAUGAAGGCAACAUCAGAGGCAUAUUUGGUCGUAACUUAGAUGAUGGUCCUUUGCACCCAUUGAAAGAUAGAAUUUUAAGAUUUUCCAAUUGAAAAAUCAAGGAUGGUGGUUCUGUUAUCGCUGUUUCACUCAAGUCAAGCUCUUCCAAAAACUCUACUUGCUGCAAAUUCACUGGCAAAUAUUUAAUUUUAUAACAACUAGAAAGAUCAAGAGUUUUUAGAUGUUCCAUUUUCCCAUCAAUCUCCGGAAACCUUACAAGACUUGAGCAACCUGAAAGAAUUAAUGUUUCAAGAGAUUCCAUUCCAAUUCUGGUUGGAAGACUCCUAAGACUUGUGCAAUCUCUUAAAUUUAAAAGUUUAAGCAUCUUAAGCACUCUGAUUGAUGGAUGGACAUCUACCAAUCUGGUACAACCUUCCAUAAUCAAAGCUUCAAGUUUUGGUGUUGUUGUGAAGUCUGGUGUCUUGAUCAGGUAUUGAGACCUGAUGAAGUUGGUUCAGCAUGCAGCAAACUCGACAGCAUGCAGGCCAUGAAGACCAAGACAUGCAGGAGCUGCUGAUGCAAGCUUAUUUUGUAAUUCCUAGUCAAUGAAAGGUAAUCUUAGUUCAUUUCUAACUAAGUUAGGUUGUUGACUGAUGUAAUUAGCUUUUGUAUGAGCUGUAAACACAACUUUGUAUAAGUUUACAAGCCAAAAUUUCAAGUUUCCAUGUAAUUAGUGGAGGUAGGUGAUGUUUAGGUGAUUACUUACUGUUUUUGACAAGCUUAGUGCUUGGUUUAUGUAUUGGCAUUGUGCCAUUAUUCAAUUUAUGAAUGAAGUUCAGGUUGUUCAUCAAUUUUCCUCUUCAUUUUUCUUAGUUUUUCUUCUUUUUUGCUCGAAUUCUCUUGUUUGCUCAGCAAGUCUCGAGACUUGCUCGACAAGUCUGUGCUGAGUCUGUUAGUUUCAGUUACAGCACCAACAAUUGGUAUCUAGAGCCUAUUUCUUAAGGGAUCUGUUAUACAAAUCCAUGGCUUCAUCAAGCUUUUCACCAGCUGCACCUCAAGUCUUCAAUGGAGAAGGCUAUCACAUAUGGGUGGUCAAAAUGAAGACCUACCUGCAGGCAUACGAUCUGUGGGAGGUGGUCAACUCAGAUGUUGAACCAGAACCACUUAGAGGCAAUCCAACAGUGGCUCAGAUCAGGCAGCAUGCUGAAGAAAGGACCAAGAGGCACAAGGCUAUGUCUUGCAUCCAGAACUCAGUGUCUGAUGUGAUUUUCACAAGGAUUAUGGCCUGUGAAUCACCAAAACAGGCCUGGGACAAGUUGUAGGAAGAGUUUCAAGGGACAGAGAGGACAAGGCAGCAACAGUUGUUGAACUUGAGGAGAGAUUUCGAGAAUUUGAAGAUGAAGGAAGAAGAAACUGUCAAGCAAUAUUCUGACAGGAUUAUGGCUGUGGUUAACAGCAUCAGGCUCUUAGGAGAGCUGUUCAAUGAGGCUAGGAUAGUGGAGAAGGUUAUAGCAACUCUGCCUGAGAGGUAUGAGGCAAAAAUCUCAUCUCUCGAGGACUCAAGGGACCUGUCCACCAUUUCCCUAACAGAGUUGAUCAAUGCUCUAUAUGCUCAAGAGCAGAAGAGAGCAAGCAGACUGGAGGAGCACCAAGAAGGUGCCUUUCAGGCAAGAACAAAUACUGCCUACAAAGGAAAGAAGGCCUGGAGAGACAAACCAAAGAAUAAUGCUGCAACGAGAGAAGGUCAGACUUGCAAGCACUGUAGAAGGGUUGGUCAUCCAGAAGAAAAGUGCUGGCUUAAUCCAGAUGCUGUAUGUCAGCAUUGUAAGAAGAAGGGUCAUGUUGAGAGAGUCUGCAAGAGCAAGGCCAAAUCGAAGCAGAAUCAGUCUCAACAGAUGAAAGCUGAGGCUCGAGUAGCUAAGGAGGACAGUGACCAAGAGGAGCAAGUCUUUGCUGUGUCAUGAUCAGCUGCUCAGGUAAGGUCCUCAUCUGGUUGGCUCAUAGACAGUGGUUGCACUAACCAUAUGACAUAUGAUGCUGCGAUUUUCAAGUCUUUAGACAGAAGCUGCAGAACUAAGGUCAAAAUAGGAAAUGGUCAUUUUAUUCAAGCUGAAGGCAAUGGUGAUGUGCUGAUAUGCACCCCCACAGGUGCCAAAGUAAUUUCAAAUGUGCUCUUGGUGCCUGAAAUUGACAGAAACCUGCUCAGCAUAGCUCAGUUGCUGGAGAAAGGUUAUUCUGUUGUGUUUAAAGACCACCAGUGCCAAAUCAGUGAUCCAAGUGGAUCCAAACUGAUGGCAGUUCCUAUGGCUGAUAAGAGCUUUGUAGUUGACUGGACUAAGGAGUCUGACAUUGCCUACACAGCCACAUCUGAUGAAUCCAAGUUGUGGCAUCAAAGGCUGGGACAUGCCAACUUCAGAUCGAUGGCCCGAAUGGUCAGAGAAGACCUGGAUGAAAACUUCAUCAACUCAGUGGACCAUGAUGAUGUAUGUGAAGUAUGUCAGCUAGGAAAGCAGGCCAGACUCCCAUUUCCCUCGACUCAAGCCUGGAGAGCCUCUGAAAAACUCCAACUGGUGCAUACUAAUGUGUGUGGCCCUAUGAAGACUGAGUCAUUAAGUGGAAACAGGUAUUUCAUACUGUUCAUUGAUGAUUUCUCGAGAUAUUGCUGGAUUUACUUCUUAAAACAGAAAUCAGAGGUGGCCUCAGUGUUUUGGAAGUUCAAGACUACUUUUGAGACUGAAACAGGCUGCAAGCUGAAGACCAUAAGGUCUGAUAAUGGGACUGAGUACACCUCAGUUCAGUUCCAAUCCUUCUGUGAUAAGGCAGGCAUCAAACAUCAACUUACCAACACAUAUACACCUCAGCAAAAUGGUGUAAGUGAAAGGAAGAAUAGGAGUUUGAUGGAUAUGGCCAGGUGCUUAUAAUUCAGAAGAAUUUGCCUAGAACACUAUGGGCAGAAGCAGUUAACACUGCAACAUACAUUCAAAAUAGACUACCAACAAAGGCUUUGGAUCAAAAGCCCCCAUUCGAGGCCUGGUUUGGCUUCAAGCCAUCACUGGCUCAUCUGAAAGUCUUUGGAUGCAUCUGUUAUGCACAUGUACCUGCUAUCAAAAGGGACAAAUUGUCUGAAAGGGCUCAACCUGGUGUUCUGGUGGGCUACAGCACUGUUAAGAAGGGCUAUAGGAUCUUGGAUCCUUCAACAAACUAGGUGACAGUUAGCAGGGAUGUGGUAUUUGAUGAAAGGUCAUGUUGGAACUGGGAAAGACAUGAACCUGAAGAAGUUUCUGAAGAACUUGCAACAGACCAAGCUGAGCCAGACCAAAAUAUUCCAGAAAUGGACAUUGAUGAUGAACCAGUCAGAGGAACAAGGCCAUUGACUGAGAUUUAUGAAAGGGCUCAUGUAGCCAUAGCUGAACCAAGCAACUUUGAAGAGGCUGAGGCUCAGCAAGGGUGGAAGCAGGCAAUGGCUGAGGAGAUCAGCAUGAUUGAGAAGAACCAGACCUGGGAAUUGGUUGAAAGGCCAGUCAAAAGGAAGGUGAUUGGGGUGAAAUGGGUGUACAAAGCCAAGCAGGAUGCUGAUGGUACCUUGAACAAGCUGAAAGCAAGGCUAGUUGUCAAGGGGUUCAGUCAGAGGUAUGGCUUAGACUACCUGGAGACCUUUGCACCAGUGGCCAGGCUUGACACCAUCAGACUACUGAUUGGUUUAGCAGCACAGCUCGAGUGGAAGAUCCAUCAGCUCGAUGUAAAAUCAGCCUUUCUGAAUGGUUUCCUAGAUGAAGACAUCUAUGUUGAACAACCACAAGGGUUUGAAAUAGCUGGCAGAGAGCAUAUGGUCUACAAACUGAAGAAGGCCCUAUAUGGAUUAAAACAGGCUCCAAGGGCCUGGUACAGCAGAAUCGAUGGCUACUUGACUGAUCUGGGAUUCGAUCGAAGCAAGAGUGAGCCAACACUGUAUGUCAAGAAACAAGGGACACAAACACAACUUAUUGUGUCCCUGUAUGUUGAUGACCUUCUGGUGACAGGAGGAGAUCGAGCAGUGCUGGCUAAUUUCAAGACCAAGAUGCAGGAAGUGUUUGAAAUGUCUGAUCUUGGGGAGAUGUCCUAUUUUCUUGGAAUGAAGGUAUCUCAAGCACAGAAUGAGAUACUUCUAAGCCAGAGAAGCUUUGCCACAAAGACUCUGACCAAGUUUUCCAUGCAAAACAGCAAGACAACUAAAACACCUGUUGCUGUUGGAGAAAAACUAUCGAGCCAAGGUGUUUUUGAGAAAGUAUGUGAAACAACCUACAGGAGUCUAGUUGGUUGUUUGCUAUACUUGACUGCCACUAGACCAGACAUCAUGUAUGCUGUAGGAUUACUCUCAAGAUUCCUGCAUUGCUGUAAUGAAAAGCAUUUUCAAGCUGCAAAGAGAGUGCUGAGAUAUGUCAAAGGCACUUUAAACUAUGGUUUGAAGUAUAGCAAAGAAGGCAAUCUAAAGCUGGUUGGCUACACUGAUAGUGACUGGGCAGGCUCGAUAGAUGACAUGAAAAGCACCUCAGGGUAUGCUUUUAACCUUGGAUCAGCCAUGUUUUGCUGGAGCUCGAAGAAGAAAAGUCUAGUGGCUCAAUCUACUGCUGAAGCAGAGUAUGUGGCAGCAGCAAGUGCUGUCAACCAAGCCAUAUGGCUAAGGAAAAUCUUGGCUGACUUGAAUGUGCAUCAAAAGGAAGCUACUGAGAUCUUCUGUGACAACCAAUCUGCAGUAGCAAUUGCUAAAAAUCCAGUGUUCCAUGGAAGAACAAAGCAUUUCAGCAUCAAGUUGCAUGUUGUUCGAGAAAUGGAGCAAGCUCAGGAAGUAAAGCUGAUCCACUGUAAUUCAGAGGAUCAACUUGCAGACAUUUUAACCAAAGCCCUUAGUGUCACAAGGUUCGAAUGUCUAAGAAAGAAGCUAGGUGUUUGCUCCAUGCAAACCAAGGAGGAGUGAUGAAGUUGGUUCAGCAUGCAGCAAACUCGACAGCAUGCAGGCCAUGAAGACCAAGACAUGCAGGAGCUGCUGAUGCAAGCUUAUUUUGUUUAUUUUGUAAUUCCUAGUCAAUGAAAUGUAAUCUUAGUUCAUUUCUAACUAAGUUAGGUUGUUGACUGAUGUAAUUAGCUUUUGUAUGAGCUGUAAACACAACUUUGUAUAAGUUUACAAGCCAAAAUUUCAAGUUUCCAUGUAAUUAGUGGAGGUAGGUGAUGUUUAGGUAAUUACUUACUGUUUUUGACAAGCUUAGUGCUUGGUUUAUGUAUUGGCAUUGUGCCAUUAUUCAAUUUAUGAAUGAAGUUCAAGUUGUUCAUCAAUUUUCCUCUUCAUUUUUCUUAGUUUUUCUUCUUUUUUGCUCGAAUUCUCUUGUUUGCUCAGCAAGUCUCGAGACUUGCUUGACAAGUCUGUGCUGAGUCUGUUAGUUUCAGUUACAGCACCAACAAGACCCUUUGAGGUUGAUCAUUUUCAACUUAUACAAGGGCUGUUGAAGACAAUAAUAAAUUAGGCCGAAGACAUAAUAAUGCUAAUUUUUGGUUUUUUUUACCUUAAUCAAAGUUUAAUCAUUUAUAUUAAAAUAAACUAAAACACAAGGAUAAGAUGAGUUAGUUCUUACUCUAUUCCCCUUCCAUAGUUGUUCAAUAUGACUAUAUGGUAAAAGAAGUGCAACAAGAUUAUCUGGGUGGAAGUUAGAAGGCAAAAAUCUUAAAGGAUAUCCUGUCCAAUCUAAAAGCCGUAGUUCAUUAGAAAGAUAUUUGAGAUGAUGAUCACAAUUUGAUACACAAAACACUUGGAGCAAUCUCAAAUUUUUCAUCUUCGAGAAGGUAUCGUUGCUCAAAUUGAACAUCUUACUUGAUUCCCUAAUAAUCAUGAGUAAAACAAAAAUGAGCUUCAAAAUAUACAAAAACGUUCAAUAUCUAAAAGCUAUGUUGUAUCGAUAUUUUUUUAUGUACCCACAUCCGGUACUUAUAUGUAAUGCGUAUAUGAAUAUGGUAUUCCGAUAUGAUUGAAUAUAUUAGACAAUACUUAAUCUAACACUUAUUUCACACUUUUAAUUACCUAAGCCUAAAAAACCUAGAACUAAAAUUUUGAUUUAUGUUUAGUGCAUUGAUGUGUAAUUCUAUACAUUACUAGCGAAAUGAUGGCAUUAUUUGGAUUUACUUUUGAAAACUUUUAAUGAUAUGUUAUGGUCUAGUUCAUUGAUAUAUACUGUCAUUACAUCAUAUAAAUAAACCAUUAAUUUUUACAAAGACAAUGACAGUAAUUUUUUUAUAAUUUCUGUUGAAAGAGUAAUGUGUUUCUUUAUAAAUUUCAUAAAUAUAAGAUUGAAUAAUUAAGCAUUAAGAAUGUGUUUGGUUAGGUGAAAAAGUAAAGGGAUAUGAGAAUGAAGGAUGCUUGGUAGAAAAAAGAAAGAGAUGAUCAUUUACGUGUAUGUUUUCCUACCAUUUAUUGUCGAUGAUCAUGCCUUCAACCACUUCGGUAGCCUAGAAGUAAUCAAGAAUAGACAAUAAGAAAAUAAAAUAAAUGCUCUAAAUUGUACGAUAAAACUUUUGAAAAUUUACACACAUGUUCAACAUUAUCACAAUAUUUUGGUUGGAAUAUAGUAAAUAAAAUAUUUUAUAAUGAAAGUAAUUCAAUAAAAUUAAAGAUACUCAAUGUCACUUGAGGAUCAAUAUAUAAAACAGUUAGACUAAGCUUUGGAUUUAGAUCAUAUAUUAAUAAAAGAAAUUUUUGUAUGUAACUCUUGUUGAAUGAUUUACCGUGUUUUUUUUUAGGACAUGAUGGACAUCCCUUUCCUUCCAUAAUCUACAACGUUUUCCGGGUUCAUCAAAACAUUUUUCUUCAACAAUUUUUCUUCCCAUUUCUUGCAACAAGGCAUGCAUCCACAAAUAUUUGUUAUCAUCAUCAACUUUUAUGAGAGAUUUCUUAAUAAGAACAUCGAUUCCAAUAUCUGGAAAAAACCCACAACCAUCCAAUACUUUCAUUACCAAAUCUUUUUUCUCCCCAUUGAAAAAGCAUGCUAUAUCUAGAAAUAUAUUCUUCUCCCUUUCUUCCAAGCUAAUUCGUAGUGUGUCAAGAAUUUCUUUGUUAGAAUCUUGUUUAAGUCUUUCGAUUGCACUUCUCCAUUGAAUUAUAUCUCUACUGCACAAAAAUGAACCCAAAACUUCAAGAGCUAAGGGGAGACCAUCAGCAUAAUGUGCAACUUGUUUAGAAAGCUCAAUGAAAUCAUAUUUUGGCGUUGUAUCACUAUCAAAAGCUUUCAAAUUGAAAAGCCUAAGUGCAUCGUUGGGAUUCAGUGUUGUAGGCUUAUACACAUCAUCGAUUCGAUAAGAUCUGAGCAAAUGUUCAUCUCUUGUUGUUACAAUGAUCCUACUCCCUAAAUUGAACCAAUCACGCCUUCCAACCAAGCAUUUCAAGUGUUGUAUGUUAUCAACAUCAUCAAGAACAACAAGAACCUUUUUACCAGACAACCUGUGGCUAAUUAUGGCAUUCCCUUCAUUAACAUUGAAAAAAUUGAAGCAUUCAUCUGGCAAAAUUUGAGUGAGGAGUUGUUUCUGUAAAGAAACAAGUCCAUGUUUGUUUGAAACUUCUCGAAUAUCAGCAAGAAAGCAUUUACCUUGAAAAUGAGCUAACAUUUGAGUGUAAGCAACCCUUGCAAGAGUUGUUUUACCGAUGCCACCCAUUCCGCAAAUUCCUAUAAUGCGGACAUCGUCUUCCCCAAUAUUUAUUUUCGAAUACAACUCCUCCAAAUGUAAACUAAUUCCAACCAACUCAUCAUGAACAACUGGAUAUGUCUGACAUAAUUUUGCUGAUAUCUUCUUAACAACGUCUCUAAUAAACUCUGAUUCGUGCCUACAAUGAAAUUAAAAUCCGAUAUGCACUUUUUCAUUUUUAGUUUAGUGAAUCAUGAAGUAUAAUAUGGUUGGAAGCAAACAAAAAGUAUGAAUAAGACAGUAAGAUACAUUAUAGCAUCAAAAUACACAACUUGCUCGUUAGUUAAAAUAUGGGAAUUCUCAAUUAAACACAAAAUUAUAAAAAUAACAUGCAAUCCAAUAAAAAAAAAACAAUUUUUUUAGUCAUUAAAAUUAGGAAAUAGAGAAGAUAAGAAAGAAAUACCUAUUAUUUAAAUGCCAUCCCUUGAUGUUAGCCACUUCAGUCAAAGCAUUUCGCCACUUUUGGAUCGUGUCUUUAUCUUCCUUGUAUCUUUCUUCGUGUUUGGCAAAGGCUUCUUCAACCUUUUCUUUUUGUUUUCUUAAAUCGGAUGGAUCAACAUGGUAGAAAAUUGGAAAUACUUUAUGACCCUUGUCAUUUUUUUGUUUAACAAUCUCCGCAAGCUCCUCCAAGCACCAACCUGAAAAGGCAUAGGUCUCGGAAAAAAUGAUUACCGAGCACCAUGAUUGCUGAAUUGCGUUGAAGAGUUCCGGUGCGAUCUCUUCACCAGUUUCCAACUUUGGAUCAUCUCUAAAAGUGACGAUCCCAGUUCUAUUUAGAGCAUCGUAGAGAUGAUCCGUAAAAUUCUUGCGAGUAUCUUCACCUCUAAAACUCAAGAACACAUCGUAUUUCUUUCUAGAAAUGGAUGAGGAAGUCGAAAGUAACGACGACAUGAGGAUGUAUGAGAAGAAAAAUAUGUGGAUGUAGUGUUCAAAAUCAGUCGCUCAAUACCUCCGAAACAAUAAGUAUAUGAGCAUGAGGGGAGAAAAACAGAUGAAAUUUCGAGGGAAGAACAAAGGGAGUAGGUGAAUCUAUCAGUACAAUAAUAUCUAUGAAAAGGGAGUAAGUGUGGAAAUUCGGGGUCAUAGAUGCUCUUUCCGGGAAGACUCCAAGAAGGUGAGAGUUCACAAAAUGAAGCCUACAAUUUUUCUGAAAAUUAAAUUCAUUAAUUUAUUGAGAACCAUAUAAUCCAGGCGAAACUCAUAGUAGAUGAUGAAUAGUAAACUCUAUCAAUACAAUAAAGGCUUUAGCCUUAACAAUAAUAAAACAUCAUGGCACGUUAACAAUUAGUUUUGUCACAACUCAAGUACGAUAUAUUUAGAGUAAUUACAAACACUUAAUUUGAUAAGGAAAUCAACCUCGGAUGGUCUAAAGCAACGAGCAAAAAUUGACAAAAGAAUCGAACGUACGCCAAAUUAGAGAGGAUGACAAUAAAAUCAUCUCUAAAAUCACUUGUAAAACUAAGAUUAUAUGCAUAAACACAAUUAUUAAAUAAUUGAAAAAAAUAUAUAAAACUUAACAACAUGAAAAUAGAUCCUACAAUUAUCAUCAAGUAACAUGUUGGACGGUUUGUGUUUUAUUAUUAUUAUUAUUAUUAUUUUAUAUUAUCAUAUCUACUUUAUAAUCAGUAGCUUAUGUUACAUAGGUGAUUUUACGCAUUUAAUAUUUGAUUAAUUUUUUUAAAUAUUAUACUUUUAAUUGAAGUAAUUAGUAUAGAAUAAUAUUUUUCAUUUAAAUUAUUAAAUAUAUGUAAAAUAUAUUAAUUUAUCAAUUCAAACAAAUAUUAUAAUAAAAAGUUUUUAAAUAAUAAUUAAAUAAUUUUUAACAUAUUCCACAUAUAUUAUAGUUUUCCUUUAUGUAGCUAAUGCAAUGUAAUAUUACUCAAAAUAAUAACUACUUAACAUAAUUGUCAGCAACCUCUUGGCCUAUUUACAAAAACUUGGUUUUGUAGGUACGAGAGCUUGGGUUCAAUCCUAAGCAAUCCUAUUUUCCUCCCUUAAAUAUAUAUAUAAAAAAACUGAGCACAAUAAACUCUAAUAAUAAUUAUAAUGAUAAUUUUAAAUUUAGUAAUAUAAAAAAUAAAUAUAUUUUUCAAACUCGUUGUUAUAUAUAUAUAUAUAUAUAUAUAUAUAUAUAUAUAUAUUACAAAUUAAGUAUUAAAAUUGUGUUUUACGUGUCAUAGCAUUUCACCACCAUUUGAUCUUAUCUUUUAUCUUCCUUUCUUCGUGUUUGGUGAAGGCUUCUUCAACUUUUUCUUUGUUUUCUCAAAUCGGAUGGAUCCACAUCGGGGGCCAUAGAUGAGCCUUAGAUGUUCUUUCCGAGAAGACUCCAAGAAGACGAGAGCUGUUGUUAACAUUUAUAGAGUUUUUCUUGGUUAAAAUGUGCCAGAAGUCCCUGCAUUUUUUAUAAAAUUAAAAUUUAAUUCCUAUACCAUUAAUCACUAAAUUAUGGAUCAAGUUUUGCAGGUAUCUUCACCUCUAAAACUCAAAAAAACAUAAUAUUUCUUUCUAGACAUGGAUGAGGAAUUCGAAAGUGACGAUGACAUGACGAUUUAUGUGAAGAAAAAUAUAUAUGGAUAUAGUGUUCAAAAUCAGAAAAUAGAUGGCUCAAUACCUCAGAAACAACGUAGAAACAAUAAGUAUAUGAACAUGAAGGAGAAAAACAGUUCAAAUUUCAAGGGAACAACGAAGAUUUUUGUCAGCAAUUUCUCUAUACAUUUCCAUUUUUUCUUCCAAAUGAAAGCGCGUAGGUGUGGAAAUUGGGGGAUGAUAGAUGAGUGAUAGAUGUUGUCUCCAGGAAGAAUCCAAGAAAGAGUCCACAAAAUUGAGCCUACAAUAAUUAUAAGUGUUGGACCGUUUGUGUUUUACAUUAUCAUAUUUACUUCAUAAUUAUAAAGUAUUAACUAAUUGUGUUUUACAUGCUUAACUAGUUUCUUAUGUAACAUUCAUCUAAUUAUUUUUAUUUUAUUAAUUAGUGUAUUUAAUUAUUAUUUAAAGAUAUAUGAUUAUUUAUUUAAAAAUGUAUAUUAUUUUAUAUAAUGUAAAAUAAUUAAAAUAUUUUAUUAGACUUAACACAUACUUUAGUACUUGAGUUUGACACUUUUUUUUUUAAUGUGAUACUUAUGUUAUUUUUUGGUCCAAUCAGGUAUUUGUAUUUGACAAAAGUUAUAUAUUUUGACACCCAAAACUAAUGAUGUUAAGUGUUUAAUUCGAGUUUUAGGGCUGGUUUGAUGAAAAUUAAUUGCUAAUUAUGUAUUUUCAUCAAACCAACUCUAAAACCCGAAUUAAAUUACAUCCAUUGGACUUUAUUUGACAAAUUAAAUGCAAUAUUAAACAAAUCCAUAAUUAACACUAAAUUUAUUCUAUUAACAAAAUCAUGAAAAAUUCAAAGUUAAUAAUAUUAGCAAUUAACUUUCAUCAAAUCAAUUCCCAGACUUAAACUAAAUGCUAAAAAGUUAACAUCGUUACUUUUGGAUACCAAAAUAUACAACUUUUGUCAAAUAAAUGUAACAAAUUGAACAAAAAAAAAAGACAAAGAGUACCACAUUAAAAAAAAAGUGUCAAACUCAAGUACCAAAUUAUGCAUUACAUUAUUUUGUUACAAGAUAUUGUUUAAUUAUAAACUUCAAUAUUUAAAUUAAAAACAAGAGUCUUGUUUGGUGGGAUGUUUUCUUGCUGCUAGUGUGGUCCACUUCCCAAAGAUGAAGAAUACAUUGGCAAAUUUGUGACAUCCUUUAAGGUGUGUGCAGAUCUCGAAUAUGGGAGAGAAUAGAUAUUUGUUUAGAUUUUUCAAUAAGGUGAACAUUGAUAGGGUGAUUAAUGGAGCACCAUGGACUUUCAACAAUCAUUUGUUAGUGUUCCAUCAUUUGGCUAUUAAUGAAUAUCCCAUGCAAGUACCAUUGAUUUUUCAUGGUUUUGGGUUUAAGUACAUGAUAUUCCCCUUGGAUUUUUCUUUGAAGUAGUGGCAAGAUAGUUUGGUAAUUUUAUUUGAGAAUUUUUCGGAUUAUGAUUUGAAGCAGAUUUCGAGAGGUGUUGGUCAAUAUUUGCAAAUAAGAGUUAAAUUAGAUGUGAGUUCCCCAUUGAAAAUUAGUAGGAAGAAAAUUUAGGUUUCCUCAUCAAGUUUCAUAUAUGCGAGAUUUCAGUAUGGAAAACUCACAUUAUUCUAUUUCAUAUGUGGCCGUAUAGAGCAUGGAGAAACUUUUUGUCUAGUUAGGUUUGUCACACCCCGAGUUUGGUGGAUCCGAAUUAUGGCAUAAAGUUGCAAAGAUGAUCUAUUUGAAGUAUUAUAGUUUGCCAUUUUUGGUCUUUCAACGAGUACGAUUGGGUGUAAUGUACCUGCCGCUUAGGAGAUUAAAUAUUUUUGUCUCAAAUCAUUAAGUAAUUCUAGUAAAGGAUACCACCAAAUGUUUAACAUCGUGGUUUGUCUGAGCAUUGUGUGUAACAGCCCAAUUUUCAGUGGUGUUGGAAACAGUGGUUUGAGACCACUAAAUCUGACAAGUUAGCUCAUAAAUUUUACUAUAUAGUGUUUAUGAGUCGAUUGUGAAUUUAGGGAGGCUUAUGAAUUAUUGAAUUAUGCUUUAGAAAUAUUUGUUAGAUUAAUUGGUUUUGAAAACGAGGUAUCGAGACAUCAAUUUUAUAAACCGAGCCUUAAAUAUUUUUAUAAAUAUUUAAAGAGUGUCAUUAAGGUAGUAUUAAAAUUUUGUUAGAAAAUUUUAUCGUUUCGAUAGUUAAUUAAUUAAAAAGAACUAAAUUGAAAAAGGCACAAAACUUGCAAAGGUGAUUAAAUAGCAUGAAUAGUAAAUUAGGGAGGACUAAAAGGGAAAUUAGACACCCAAGGAAUGGCUGAGGCGGCAUAAGCAGAAACAAUAAUCUUGGAAUUAGGUGAGUUAAGGGCAAAAUUGUAAAUUUUUCCAAAUUAACUUAAAUAAAUUGAAUUCUAUACUUUUACAGGCUAUUCUUCUUCAACUAAAUAGCCAAAAAUGCCAUAGGAGAAGGUUUUAAGCUGGUUUUAUUUAUUUUGCUUCAUGUAAGUUCAAUUCUUGCUCUUUUAUUGUAAUUUUUGUGUUUUUAAGACUUUUACAAUUAGGUCCAACUAUCUAAUUCAUUAUUUUUUUUAUUUUAUGGGUAAUUUUGAAAGUUACCAUUGAUGAGUGCUGGGUUUUUGGAUGAAUUAACAUAGAUUUGAAGUUUUAAUUUUGUUAUAUGAUGAUUUUAUUAAGUAAUUUAAAUAGAAAUUGAUUUUAGGACCAAAUUGUGAAAAAGAUUAAAUCUUAGGGUUUGGUAUUAAAGUCUAUUUAUUAAAGGCUGUGUAGUAGCUUAUAAUAUUUAUAUAAAGUGUUAAUUGAGAAAAAAUAGCUCAUUUGAUGAGUUAAUUACCAAGGGACUAAAUCAUAAAAACUGUAAAAAUUAGGGUAAUUGUGUAAUUUCAAAAUUUAAAGGGUAUAAAUUGUAAAGUGAAUUAUAAUUGAAUUAGAUGCUAAUGAAUAAACAAUUUUACAUUAUAGAUCAAGACCCCAAAGAAAAUCGUGAAAAAAGAGAAAUUAGCUAAAUAGUCAUUGGAUUGCAACAAAUUCGACAAAUUAGUCCAAGUAAGUUCAUAUGGUUGAACUUUCAUGAUUAAUUGUUGAUUUAUGAAUGAUAUAAUGUAUUAUUUCAGGUUUUUGUUUUUGAAAUAUGAUUAUUGUAAAUAUAUGAAAAUUGAAUUGAAAAGUUCAAAUUAAGUGGAACGUAUGAUUGAGUACGAUCGUUCCAUGACACAAGAUGAAUUGACAGAUAAGACCAUGGUAGGACCAUGGCAAUGUUUGAAUGUAAGACCAUAGUUGAGAUGUGACAUUUUAAUGAAAAGACUAUAACUGGGUUAUGCCACCUUGAACGUAAGACCAUGGUUGGACUAUGGCAGUAAAUGUAUAUGUGUAAGACCAUGGCAGGGCCAUGACAAUUGUGCAAGACCAUAGUUGGACUAUGGCAUUAAGAAAAUGAUGUACUCAAAUCUGUAAGACGUUCUCUAAUUUGGCAUGAAUUGGUAAGUAUUACAGGGAUUAAUGUGAAAGAAAUUAAAUAGUUAUUGAUAUUGAGCUCAAUUAUGUGAAUUCAUCAAAAGAAGUUGUGAUUGGCAGGAAAUGUUAUGAAAUGCUUAAUCUAAAUGAAUUAUUUAGUAUGUUCGGUAAGAUUUAUAUUUAAAUCCUAUGAACUUACUAAGCUUCAUUAAGCUUACUCGUGUUGUUUAUUAUUUCUUGUAGAUUAGCGUAAGGUUAGAGGAUCGGAUCAUCACAUCAAACUACACUUCGUUAUUUCUGGUAGUUUUUGUAAUGUAAAUUUUGGUUUAUAUGGCAUGUAUAGGGUUGGUUUGGUGAUGAAAUAGUUUGAAUUAUAGUUAUGAAUAUUAAAUAUUCGUAUGCAUAUAAAUAGUAGCAGUAUUUGAUAUAUAUAUUUUUUUUCCUGAGUACUCGGUUUAGUCCCAGACCACUUUUAAUGUCUAUUUUGGGCCUUGGAGGUUCAUUUUAGGGACUACAUGAAUGAGUUUGGUUGUUUUUUUUAUUGAGAUACGAAUAUGAAAUGUAUGAUUGUUUGAGCUAAAAGUUCGGUAAUACUUCAUAACCUUAUUCUGAUAACGGAUAAUGGUUAGGGGUGUUACAUUGUGCUAGUUAAGUUGAACAUGAUCUGGUUAAGAACCAACUGGAUUGGCUGGUCAAACAUUUAUUGAGAAAGGACUUUCAUUUAUGUUUCUCUUAGAACCUGUAGGCCAUUAAGAAGGACAAUUUUAAAUGUAUUGACAUUUGUUAAGUUCCCACAGGUUGAGUGGGUUAUAUAUAUGGGUGAGAAGGGUCUAUUGGUGCGGUCGUUGAAAGCACCAAAAAUAUCAUAUCGCUAAUAAAUAAUGAAAAAAAUAGUAAAAGGGAAGUAGGGUCAAAUCCUCAGAGACUGUAUUUGUACAAUAUCUUGUUCCGUGAAAUCUCAGGCAGAAUCUUGCCCAAGAAAACCUGCGUUCCUAAAAAAAAACAAAGAAAAUAAUAGAAUUAAAAGUUUGGAUCUGGAAACGAAAAAUAAAAUAAAAACAGAAUUAAGAAUAUUGAAUCGAAAAUUUGAGAAAUUAAAAAUACAGUUGAGAGAAAGGAAAUUCUUAUGGGAAAUUCCAGCCUCCAGUUGUCUCGUUCCGCCUUGGGUUCAAUCUUCGGCUUUUAGAUGAUCCUUCCCAAAUCGAAUAAGGCAGUUAUAGUGGAAGAGGACGCCUACGACCACCAGCUCCAAGGAUUUAGACUUAUGAUUUGGUGGAACCUCACUCUAGCCAACAAUCGCUUCUAUUGGAUCGUCUUAUGCUAGAUCAACGCUUCUCAAUGGCGAAUCCCACGCCAUUUUGUCUCUUGGGCUCGCCAACCUCUGACGCAGUAAGCUAACGAACCGACUGUGCAACCUUCCCAAAACAUGCAAAGUGGCCACCUUUGCAUACGUUGAAAAGCUUACUUCUUAAGGGACAUGGACAGAAGCGUCAGCCCCGUAGUACGGAGAAACGAUGAAUACUCAUUGAGAAGGCUAAGUACGGANNNNNNNNNNNNNNNNNNNNNNNNNNNNNNNNNNNNNNNNNNNNNNNNNNNNNNNNNNNNNNNNNNNNNNNNNNNNNNNNNNNNNNNNNNNNNNNNNNNNUGGAAAAGAAAAUAAAUAAAAUAAAAAUCAAGAUUUUAUUAAAAUGAAAUAUGAGAAGAACAAAAGCAUAGACUUUUGGGGAGAGAGUGUUUACAAAAAAGAUGGAUCCUCUUUUGAGUCACUUCACCCCCUAUUUAUAGUGCUAGGGGAGAUAGUCUAAUCCUACUUAAAUUCCCAAAAGAUAAAUACAUUUAAUUAAAGAUAUAUAAAUUAAAAUCCUAAAAUUAAAUAAUCCUUAAUAAUUAUCUUAAUAUUAAUUAUCCUAAUAUAAUUAAAAUAGAGUAUGAUAGAAUAAAAUCUCUUUUUUUUUGCAUUUCAACCCUUGUGUCCUCCAUGCUUGUACUUUUGGCACCAACUUUUCCUUGUGUCGCACAUUGGCCCAUUUUAUCUCUAAAUUCAUGCUUUUGGCUUUUAAUUUUGCUUUUGCCUCAAAUUUAGUCCCUAUGAGAUAAAAGAUCAUAAAUAGCUCAAAUUAGCAGGAUCAUACUCAGAAUAAAUACAUAAUUAAUACAUAAAAAUACGUUAUUCUAAAGUGUUAUCAAAUUCCCCUACUUAGCCCAUGCUUGCCCUCAAGUAUGGUUUCUAUCUACUGUGAAAGUUAGAUUCUGCCAUAAAAGAAAUACUACUUCAAAGUUUUAUAAAAAUCAGUCAAAAAUGCAUAUGAAAAAUAAAGAAAACCCUAAGCUUGCUUUAAGUAAAACAAAAAAAGUUUUUCCAAUUAAUACACACAAAAAUUAGAAUCGACUUUAAUUAUUUAAUGAAAAUUAGGUAAAUUACCAAACCUACCAAGACACCCUAUUUGUUUCCUCCUUUAGUCCCCAAUUUAUAUAUAUAUAUAUUGUGCUUUAAGAAUAUACUGAACCUUUUGACGCGAAGAGAGAUGACAGCCAAGCAUCCUACCCCGGUUACUCAGCCCAAUAGACUCCUAAUUUAUUAUAAUUUUUUUCUUAAGAACACAUCGAACCUUUUGACGCAAAGAGAGAUGACAGCCAAGCACCCCACCUCGGUUACUCAGCCCAACAUGUUCUUAAAAAUUAAUUCCGGUUAGCGGAGUUUUACCUAACACGUCACACAACCUUUUAACGCGAAAUAGGAUGACAACCCAAGCACCCUACCCUGGUUACUCGGUCGGUCACGUUUUUAAGCUGCACUCAUAACCACGGAAACAUUAAACGACAUUUUAAUAAUAAUUUUUUUAUGAGGAUUUUAGAGAAAAAAAUAAUCAAGUGUAAAAAAAAAUAAGUUUCAGUAAUUACCUUAAUAGUCAUCAACAUAUUUUAGCAUGCAAAUAUAUUAAGUGUCCACUUUGUAUUAAACUUGACCAAUUUUACGAAAAGCAAGAUAAAGUUAACUCUAUGAAUCAUAAUUAUUUUUAGCCUAAUAAGAAAAAAAUAGUGGAGAUGACAUCAAUUAUGGAAAAUCCGUAAUUUCCUCAGAAAAUAAAAAUCUUACUUAUAGGUCAAACAGUAGGCAAUUCUUGGUAAAAAUCUUGGGAAUGAAAAGAGGCAGGAAGUUCUAAAAAAAUAAAUAUGGACAAAAUGGAGCCUCAAGCAGCAACACAGCCAAAAAUAAUCACAGCAACAACAACAACAACCAAAAUCACAGCAGAGUACCCCCUACUGAAAGCACAUUGUCCUUAAUGUGGACGAAAAGAAAUAAAUAGGUAGAAAAGUUUAGAAAAACUCCCUGUGUUGUUUCUGUCGAUCCAAUAUGAUGGGAAUGAGCUCGGUCAGUUGCUGGCCAAAGGUUUCAAGUUGGGACUCAAUGCGCUCUAAGCAUUGCUGAACGGUUUUCUUCACAUUUUUUCUCUGUUUUAUCUAAGCAAAAGAAGAAAAAUUUAUUAAUAUCCAAAUAAGUAAUAAAUAAAGUAAAGAAAAAAUAAUAAUAAUAAAAAUUAGGGUGCCUUCCAACAAGCGCUUGUUUAACAUCGUUAGCUCGAUGCCGUUAUUUGUUCUAUGGUGGUUCCAAAUGGAUUUUCUCAACCGUGUGGGCUUGAAAAUUCUCAUAAAACGGCUUCAACCACUGGCCAUUGACUACGAACCAAUUUUCAGAUUCUUCACUCUUUAUUUCAAUCGCUCUAUGUAUGAACACUUAAGUAACAAUAAAAGGUCCUUGCCAUUGUGAUCGAAGCUUACAUGAGAAUAACUUUAACAUGGAGUUAUAAAGUAAAACUUUUUGUCCUACCGAAAAAUGCUUCUGAGUUAUUCUCUUAUUGUGAAACAACUUUGUCUUGUCUUUAUAAAUGUGAGCAUUCUCGUAGGGAUCAUUGCAAAUUUUUUCUAACUCUUGGAUGUCUAAUUUCCUUGCCUUUCCUGCGGGUUCUAACUCCAUGUUACAUUGUCGAACGACCCAAUAGGCUUUAUGUUCCAAUUCGACCAGAAGGUGGCAAGUUUUUCCAAAAACAAGUCGAUACGGGGUCAUACCAAUCGGUCCCUUAUAUGUAGUUCGAUAGGCCCAAAGUGCGUCAUUUAGCUUAAGGCUCCAAUCUUUUCGGCUAGGACGAACUAUUUUCUCCAAAAUAGUCUUGAUUUCCCUAUUCGAGACCUCAACUUGACCAUUCGUUUGGGGAUGGUAAGCCGUAGCUAUAUGGUGGUAGACUCCGUAUUUUGACAACAGUGCAUUCAUGACCUUAUUACAAAAGUGGGUGCCGCGAUCACUGAUUAUGGCUCGAGGCGUGCCAAACCUAGAAAAAAUAGUUCGUUUUAAAAAAUCCAUAACAGUUAUGGCAUUAUCAUGGUGAGUAGGCUUUGCUUCUAUCCACUCAGAAACAUAGUCUACUGCAAGAAUUAUAUAUACAUUGCCAAAUGAAGAAACAAAUGGGCCCAUGAAAUUGAUGCCCCAAACAUCAAAUAUUUCACAUACAUGAAUCGGGGAAAGGGGCAUUUGAUUUUGUUUAGUGAUGUUACCUGUAUGUUGGCACCCAUCGCAAGACUUACAGAAUUUAUAUGCGUCUUAAAAAAUUGUGGGCGAAUAUAGCCCACAAUCUAACACCUUAUGAGGGUCCACUUAGGGCCAAAGUGACCUCCGCAAGCUUCAGCAUCACAAAAUUAAGGAUAGAAGUUACGUCGAUUUCUGGAACACAUCUUCGUAUUAUCUAGUCUGAACAGUGUUUCCACAAGUAUGGGUUUUCCUAAAUGUAAUAUCGAGCGUCGCGUCUAAGUUUGUCCCUCAUGGAACGUGCUAACCCAGUGGGUAACGAUCCUGUUGCUAGAAAGUUUACUAUAUCUGCGUACCAUCGGAGACAUACCUCAGUCGAGAAUAGGCUCUCAUCAGGGAAUUAAUUCUUUCUUAAUGGGGAUGUCGUCAAAAGGUACUUUUGUUCUGCUUAAGUAGUCAGCCACUAAAUUUUCGCAUCCCCUUUUGUCUCGAAUCUCGAUGUCAAAUUCUUGGAGCAGCAAAAUCCACCUAAUGAGCCUCAGUUUUGCUUUAUUCUUAGCGAUCAAGUACCUAAGGGUUGCAUGAUCAGAAAGAAUAAUUACUUUAGAUCCUAAUAAAUAAGGCCAAAAUUUAUCUAAAGCAAAUACAACUAUUAAGAGUUCUUUUUCCGAAGUAGUGUAGUUGCUCUGCGCAGUAUCUAGGGUUUUCGAGGCAUAACAUAUGACAUGUGGUUCUUUUUCUAUCCUUUGCCCCAACAAGGCUCGUACACUGUGCUCGCUGGCAUCGCACAUAAUUUCAAAUGGGUAUUUCCAAUCUGGCAGUUGCACUAUAGGAGCGGAGACUAACUUUUGCUUGAGUGUAUUAAAUGCCUACUUACAUUUUGGGCCAAACUCAAAUUUCUUAUCCUUCUACAACAACUUACAUAAUGGUUCAGCUACCUUCGAGAAGUUUUUUAUAAAGCGCCUAUAGAACCUUGCAUGGCCAAGGAAAGAACGAAUUUCCCUCACAGUAGAUGGAUAAGGCAAAGAAUUUAUAAUAUCAAUUUUGGCCUUAUCGACCUCAACUUCUUUAGAUGAAACAACAUGACCCAAAAUUAAACCUUGGUCUACCAUAAAAUGACACUUUUCAUAAUUUAAGACAAGAUUAAAUUCUAUGCACCUACUCAAAAUUAUAGUUAGGUUUUUAAGUCAUUCAUCAAAACAACUCCCAUAUACAGUAAAAUCAUCCAUAAAAACUUCGAUAAUUUUUUCAUAUAUUCAGAAAAUAUACUCAUCAUGCAUCUUUGGAAGGUGGCCGGCGUAUUCCAAAUACCGAAUGGCAUCCUUCUGUACGCAAAUGUACUGAAUGGGCAUGUAAAAGUGGUCUUUUCCUGGUCCUCCGGUGCGACUGGAAUUUGAAAGAAACUUUAGUAUCCAUCAAGACAACAAAAGUGAGUUUUUCUGGCUAUUCUUUCAAGCAUUUGAUCUAUAAAAAGAAUAGGGAAAUGAUCUUUUCUAGUGUAUAAGUUCAACUUCCUGUAAUCAAUACAGACGCGCCACGUAUUUUGUACUCGGGUAGGUACCAAGUCACCUUUAGCAUUUUUCUUUACUAUCACGCCCGUUUUCUUAGGCACGACUUGAACCGGACUUACCCACUUACUAUCAAAAAUAGGGUAAAUUAUGUCAGCAUUCAGAAGUUUGAUUAUUUCCUUUUUUACUAUCUCCAUCAUAUUCGGAUUUAGCCGUCUUUUCUCCUCUCGCCUUGGUUUUGUGUCUUCCUCUAAGUAGAUCCUGUGUGUGCACGUCAAAGGGCUUAUCCCUUUUAAGUCUGCAAUGGUCCAUCCAAUCGCCUUCUUAUGACUUUUUAGUACAUGGACCAAACUUUCCUCUUCAUGUGUAGAGAGUCUAUUGGGGAUUAUGACUGGUAGGGUAUUACCCUUCCCCAAAAAUGUAUAUUUCAGAUGCACAGGAAGUGGUUUCAACUCCAACUCUAGUGCCUAUAUAACAGAAGGUAACAUUUUAGUAUUUAGAGAUAAUAACUCAUUAACAACUUCAAAUUCAUCAAGUUUAGAAUUAUCUCCAUAAAUUGACUCAAAAUUUUCUUCCACCAAAGAGUCAAUUAUGUCGAUAUGAUUUACACUCAAGAUUUCGCUUGGAUGGCUAAUGGCGUCGUAGACAUUAAACUUUACGAUCUCCUCAUCAAACUCCAUUGUGAGAGUUCCACUUCGAACGUCGAUUUUAGUACUAGUUGUACUAAGGAACGGUCGACCCAGUAGGAGAUCUAAAGAUCUAGGAGUGCUAUCCUCCUCCAUUUUGAUCACAUAAAAAUCUGUAGGGAAAAUAAGCCAAAACAUCCUCAAGGACUCUUUUUGGAAACACAACAACCUGUCUGCCAAAUGAAUGGUAACACCUGUUUUUGUUAAAAAACCCAUAUUAAGUGAUUCAUAAAUAGAAUAUGGCAUUACAUUUAUAGAAGUCUCUAGAUCACACAUAGCCUUCUUAAUUCCCAGAUAACCUAUUUUGCAUGGUAUUGCAAACAUGCCCCUAUCCUUGUAUUUUGCCAGCAUUUUUCGCUGUAAUACUGUAGAUACAUUCUCACCAACACUCAUCCUUUCAUUACCUGUUAAUUUUCGCUUGUUAGUGCAAAGAUCUUUAAGAAAUUUAGCAUACCGCGGUAUUUGCUUGAUGGCGUCCAACAGUAAAAUGUUGAUCUUGAUAUUCUAAAUGUUUCAAGGAUUUCUUUGUACUCUUUACCUCUUCGACACUAGUUGAAUCGUUCUGGAAAUGGAGGUUGAAUUUUAGGUAAUGGAGGAUUCAGUCAGACCUGUUCAUCUUUCUCGGGUUUUUUGGGUGAUUUUUUUGCCAAGACUCCUGUUAGGAAUCGGUUCCAGUACCUUUCCCCUUUGCAAUGUCAUUGCAUUUGCAUUUUGUCUAGGGUUUGGUUCUGUUUGUGACGGCAGCUUCCCUUAAGAGGUCAAUUUCUCGAUUGAUGUGGUUAGCUCUCUGAUGGACGCCUCAAUUUUCUGUUGAAAAUCCUUCGCCUCUUUUUGGAAAUUAAGAGUUUGCUAUUAGAUUUACUGUUGAAAAUCAAGAACAUUAGCUGCUAACUUAUUGACCAUGGUUUCUAGAGAAUUACCUGAACCUUGCGGCUGUUGCAGAAACUGAUUUUGGUAUGGCUGGUUAUUUCGUAGAUUGACCCCAUAACUUAAGUUAGGAUGGUCCUUCCACCCUGGGUUGCAGGUAUUAGCGUAGGGGUCGUAUCACCUUUGUGGUGGCCCAGGGAAAUUUCCCACAGCAUUUAGAUGGGUCGUGGUAUCAUCAUACAAACUGGGAUAUGCAUCAGUUGCAUGAUCAGUUGUAGCACAUAUUCCGUAUAAUCGGGCUGUCUUCGUUUUUUCUACAAUAAGAGAGUUCAUCAUAUUAGAAAGUUUAUCAACUUUAUCAUCUAAGGUUGAAUUACUUAGCUGGUGAACCCUUUUAGGAGGUUUAGUAUUGGCUCGAAACUGCUGAGAAUUUGCAGCCAUCGUGGAGAUCAAGUCUCUCGUUUGUUGGGGAGUCAUGUUGUCCAAUGCUCCACCACUAGCGACUUCUACCAUAUUCAUCUCAAUGGGCUUCAAACCUUCGUAAAAGUAUUGGAAGAGAGACUGCUCCAUUAUACCAUAUUGUGGGCAGCUUGCACACAACUUUUUAAAUCGCUCCCAAUAAUCGUAAAGGGACCCAACUUCUUUUUGCAUUAUUCCAACGAUCUCUCUUCUUAGCUCAGUUGCUUGAGAUGCUGGAAAAAACCUGUUUAGAAACAAACGAGAUAGAUUAGCCCAAGUUGUAAUAGAUCCAGAGGGUAAAUGAAAUAACCACUCCUUAGCAGAAUCUACUAAGGAGAAAGGAAAAGCACGUAAUUUAAUCCGAUCCUCAGUUACCCCCUGAGGUUUCAUGCUAAGACAAACCAUAUGAAACUCUUUCAGAUGCUUGUGGAGAUUUUCAUUUUGCAACCUACGAAAAGUUGGCAGUAACGGGAUUAAACCUGACUUCAACUCAAAAUCAGUAUCCAUAGUAAGAUACGCGAUGCACAAUGGCAGUUGUUCUGUCGGAGCUUCAGUAAGUUACCGAAUCGUUUGAGUCAUUGGUUGGUGUGCUAAAUUCGGGUUUUCGUUAACCCUAGCGUUAAACACUUCUUCUGGUGAGUCAACUUCUACCUUUUCGCUUUCAAAUGUUCUAAUAGGGUUUUCGUUAACCCUAGACUCAACUUGGUCAUUGACUUCGAUUUCUGGCGAUGGUUUACUUUGAGUUCCAACCACCACUGACUGCUUUUUUCGUAACUUUGUCUCCUUGCGAUUGGCUCUAGCAGUCUUCUCAAUUUCUAAAUUGAACGCAAGAGUACCUGGAGCAAAUCUGGUCAUAAGAAACAAAAAAAACAAGAUUAGUACGUUGCCAAUCCCUAGAACGAUUCCAAAAUUUGGUGCGGUCGUUGAAAGCACCAAAAAUAUCCUAUCCCUAAUAAAUAAUGAAAAGGAAUAGUAAAAGGGAAGUAGGGUCAAAUCCUCAGAGACUAUAUUUGCACAAUAUCUUGUUCCGUGAAAUCCUAGGCAGAAUCUUGCCCAAGAAAACCUGCGUUCCUGAAAAAAAAAUAAGAAAAUAACAGAAUUAAAGGUUUGGAUCUGGAAACGAAAAAUAAAAUAAAAAUAGAAUUAAGAAUAUUGAAUCAAAAAUUUGAGAAAUUAAAAAAGAGUUGAGAGAAAGAAAAUUCUUAUAGGAGAUUCUAGCCUCAAGUUGUCUCGUUCCGCCUUGGAUUCAAUUCUCAACUUUUAGAUGAUCUUUCCCAAACCGAAUAAGCCAGUUAUAGUGGAAGAGGACGCCUACGACCACCAGCUCCAAGGAUUUAGACUUACGAUUUGGUGGAACCUGACUCUAGCCAACAAUCGCUUCUGUGGGAUCGUCUUAUGUUAGAUCAAUGCUUCUCAAUGGAAAAUCCCACGCCAUUUUGUCUCUUGGGCACACCAACCUCUGACGUAGUAAGCUAACGAACCGACUGUGUAACCUUUCCAAAACAUACAAAGUGGCUGCCUUUGCAUACGUUGAAAAGCUUACUUCUUAAGGGACAUGGAUGGAAGCAUUAGCCCCGUAGUGCAGAGAAACGAUGAAUACUCAUUGAGAAUGCUAAGUACAGAUUCUAAGCCUCAUGAACCCUUUUGGGGUUUUUCGACAACCUUUGGCUAGAUGGGUUUAGUGGCUCAUGGUUGUGGUAGAAAAGAAAAUAAAUAAAAUAAAAAUAGAGAUUUUAUUGAAAGGAAAUAUGAGAAGAACAAAAGCCUAGACUUUUGGGGAGAGAGUGUUUACAGAAAAGAUGGAUCCUCUUUUGAGUCACUUCACCCCCUAUUUAUAGUACUAAGGGAGAUAGUCUAAUUCUACUUAAAUUCCCAAAAGAUAAAUACAUUUAAUUAAAGAUAAAUAAAGAUAAAUAAAAUUAAAUCCUAAAAUUAAAUAAUCUUUAAUAAUUAUCUUAAUAUUAAUUAUCCUAAUAUAAUUAAAAUAAAGUUUGAUAGAAUAAAAUCUCUUCUUUUUGCAUUUCAACCUUUGUGUCCUCCAUGCUUGCACUUUUGGCACCAACUUUUCCUUGUGUCGCACAUUGGCCCAUUUUAUCUCUAAAUUUAUGGUUUUGACCCUUAAUUUUCUUUUGCCUCAAAUUUAGUCCCUAUGAGAUAAAAGAUCAUAAAUAGCUCAAAUUAGUAGGAUCAUACUCAGAAUAAAUACAUAAUUAAUACAUAAAAAUACGUUAUUCUAGAGUGUUAUCAUCUAUUGAGAAUUUUUCUUCUAUUUGUUCCUUCAAUAUUGUUCUCUGUUUCUUCAAGUUAAGUGCUAUUUCAAUCUCUUCAAGUUAGAUGUUAAAAUGCAGGGAUCAGUUAGAGGUCACUCUAUCUCUUAGUAAGUAACAUGGUUUUGCAUGUUAAGUUUUGAAGGAUUUAUGAUGUUAAGAGUUUAAUGAGAAAUAGGACUAAAACAAGGUAUUGCAUAGGGUUUAUCUAUGAUUGAGAUGUUGAAAAUUUGUGUAUAUGGAUUUUAAUAGGGAAAUUGUGUUCUUUUAGUAGCUGUUGCUGCUAGGCCAAAAAAGAUGUUCGAGUUUGGAGCUUUGAACUAUAGUUGGUGAGUAUCAGGUGAGUGUUUAUCUUAACUCUUGCAUGUUCACUGUUUAGAUAUAAACAAGCAUAAGUGAUAAUGAUAUCUUUGAAGAUUGUUAAGAAUGUGAAAACUAAAUGAUGCUAUAUGUAGUUAUGAUGGAAUGUAUGAAACUCAGUGUGAAUAGAAUGUUGUUCGUAAAUAUAUAUGUAAGAAUCAAAUAAGUAUGAAUAAUCUGAGAAGUGGGGUUGGAGUAACAUUCUUUUGUGAUGUCUCUGGUAUGUCAGGUAUAUUGCUAACUAGACUGAUAUAUCACGAUAUGAGUGUAUGUGUAAGACCAUGUGAUGGAAACCCAUGACACUGUAUGAUAUGAAAACACCCACGGUGUAUCCUCUAGUGAAACAUAGUCUGGAUUGGCAGGUCACGAUACAUGAAGUGAAUAAGUCCAUGUGUUUAAGACCAUGGCAAGAUGUGUUUGUAUGAAUACUCAUGGUAAAGCCUCUGUUAUGAUAAAAACUGGACUGGCAGAUCACGACAUAAGGUUUAAGUAUAAGACCAUGACUAAGGAACCAUGACAUCUUCUGUGAAAGUUCGUCGGGACAAUAAACACGUAGUUCUAAAUGUGUCCUAUAUGGCAUGAUCAACUAAGCCUUUGUGGCAUAUUUUGUUUGGUCCUUGUGGCGUGUUCGACCAAGUCUUCAUGAGAAAUGAUGACUAUCUGUCUUCUUUAUGGUAAGUCCUGGAUGUAUUCUGGGUAUGUUGUGAUAUGAUCAAGGUUAAAAUGAGUCGAAUUAAGCCUAUGAAGUAAUCAAAUAAGUUCAUUAAAGAAUAUUUUUGGAAAAGAAUUGUGUAUCUGUUUGUCUGAAGAAUGGGGAAUCCGCCUCGGUAAUGUGUUAGUAUAGAAAGAGUGUAUUGUGGUUAUGGAAGCUAUGAGAAAUUGGCAGUUGGAGUUCUAAUGAGCUGUAUAUAUAGUGUUGAAAUCUGGGUACGUGAUAUCCACCAUAUUUGAUUAGUAUCUCAUUCGAUUCUAGAAUUUCAAAGUAAAUACUCCAUUUGUUAAUUCAGGUUAUUACGUAUUUGUUGCCAGAGGUACAAAGAACUCUUUGAUUGAUCUGGUUAGUUAGUUAUCAGUGUGCUAUUGUGUUGGGUAUUGAAUUAGAAUAUAGAAUGAAGGAAAAACUGAUAAUAUUCAACUCAACGUGGGAAUCUACCAAAACGUAAGUAUCCGUCAAUGAAUUGUAUGCCGUCUCACUCAAGAAUCUUAUGAAAUUGGAGCUAUUCGUCAUCUUGGGUUGUUGUUCGAUGAAUUAACCUGAAGGUCUCAAACGAUCCAUAAUUAAUAUAAGUAUGUGUUAAGCUUAAGUUAGCAAAUAAUUUAUCUUUCAAAAAGGGUAUGGAAAGAUCGUAAAUCAUUUAGGUAGUUAAGAGAGUAUGAUUAUGAUAAGAGUGGUGUGUCUGGCAUAUAGGAAGUGUAGUCCAGGUAUUACUGAUUGAUACAUGACAGAAUCACUCAAACAUCACAGGAGAUACUUGAAAGAGUAGGAUCUUACAUUGGUGAACUCGAUGCUCUUAGGACCAGGUCAUCUGCAAACAUAAUGGAGUCAGAGAGAUGGAAUCCUCCGGGUAGGGGUUGGUUUAAUUACGAUGUAGCUUUUCAAAAGCACUCGUUGAGAUCAUGCACAUGGAUUAUCAUCAGAAAUCAUGAAUGGGGCACUCUUGUAUCCUCAAUAAGACAGAACAAGCACAUACGUACUGAGUUUGCGGCGGAGGCUCUUGCAUGCCUUCAAGAAAUUAGAUUGGGGUUAGAUCUGGAGCUCCAAGACGUUAUUGUUGAAGCCUCGAAGGGAUGCUCUAACGGUGGAUAAAAACUUCUGUGCAAAAAUAGAGAUGGAUCAGUUAUCGAUGCGUUCAUUUAAGAGUCAAAUCCCCUAAGUCAAAGUUGCAAGAAAUGCAUGUUUAAGCAUACUUGAGCUAUGCUAAAUUUAUUGAUGUAAAUUAAAAUUAUUACUUGAGUACAAUUUUAAGUAUCUUAAUUAUCACUAAAUUAAUAUUAAAGUUACAUAUCAAUUAAAAUUUAAGUUUAAAUUUAUAAAUAACAUCUAAUAGUUAGAUAUAUUUAAUUAAAUAGCAUGUAAAAAAAUUAUCAAUAAAAAAUUAAAAAUUGUCAACAUUAAUAAGUUAGAAUUAUAUUUUUAUAAAGAGAAUAUUAUAUAUAAAUAUAUAUAAAGAAAAGCACCGGUUAAAAUUGGAGCGUGAUAUAAAGAGAAUAUUAUAUAUAUUGUGAAAAAUAUAGUGUUUCCGGUUUUAAUCUCAUCAUGAUGACAUUUUAUAAUUUUUUUAUUAUAAAAAGUAAAAAAGUAAAAAUACUAUUAUAUAAAUAUUUAUAAAAAUAAUAAAAUUUUUAAUCAUUUCCCAAAUUUUUAUUUCAUUAAUUAUAUAUUUAUUUAUUAAUUAGUCAAACCAACCUUAAAACUGAAAUUAAAUCACAUUCAUUGGAAAGUAUUUGACAAAUUAAAUGUAAAAUUAAAAAAAAAUUUAAAAUUAGCACUAAAUUUAUUCUAUUAAUAAAAUCAUGAAAAGUUCAAACAUAAUAAUAUUAGCAAUUAACUUUUAUCAAAUCAAUCCUAAAACCCGAAUUAAACACUAAAAAGUUAAUAUCGUUACUUUUGGGUACCAAGAUAUAUAACUAUUGUCAAAUACAGAUAACAAUUUGGACCAAAAUAUAACACGGGUAUCACAUUAGAAAAAGUGUCAAACUUGGAUACCAAAUUAUGUAUUAAACCAUUUUAUUACAAAAUAUAUUGUUUAGUUAUAAAUAUCAAUAUUUAAAUUAAAAAAAUGUAAUUCAAAGACGAAUAUAAAGUGCAAUUCAAUAUUUAUCGAAUUUUAUCUACUCAAAAUAUUUAUUUAGCCCUAUUUGAUAAACGAAAAUUCAACUAAAAACCUUAAUAUUUUUCAUAAUUUUAUUUUUUAAAAUAUAUUUGAUAACUGUUAAUAAAAAUUACUUUGUAGAAUUUUUUUCACAAAGAAUGUAAAAAAUAAUAAGUAAAUAGGAAUCUAUUUAAUUUUUAAUAAAGAAUAUGUUCAAUUCUUUUUAUUUUAUUUUAUUUCUUUUUAGACUAUAUUGUCCCAAUUUUUUCUUCACUUUGCUCUUUUAUUCAACAUAAUCUCUGCACAAUAUUUAUUUUUCAUAAUGUUUAUAAUAUUUUAUAAAUAAUAUUAUAAUUUACUAUAAAUAUUUCAUCUUUAUAGUAACCUUAUUUAAAAUAUGACUUUGAUUAAAAUAAUGUGUAAUGUUUAAAAAUUAAGGAUAAAAUUGUAAAAUAGUUUUUUUAAUAAUUUAAUAUUUAAAAUUAUCAAAUAAUCUAAUUAUAUUCAAUUAUUAAUUUUAAAUGAUAUAUCAAACAUAUAUUAUAACUUAAUUUUUCCGCACUUAAGUUUUUUAGUUUAUCAAAGGGGACUUUAAUUUAAAUAUAUUAAUAAAAAUAUUUUCUUACGUUAAGUAAUAACUAUUUAAAAUAAUAAAAUAUUUUUAUUUAUAGACUUGAAUAGUUUAUAUUAUAAUGAAAAUAUAAUUAAAGAAGAAUAUAUAAUGUAAAUCAAUAUUUAUAUUUAGUUACAAUGUAAUAUUAAAAAUAGUAGUUUAAAUCACAAUGAAGUAGAAUUAAAAAUGAAUAUAAAGCGUGAUUCAAAACUUCAUCAAAGUUUUAUCUAAUUUUAAUAGAAAUAAAUAAAAAUAUUCUUAUGUUAAAGUAAGAAAUAAUUAAAAUAAUAAGAUAUUGCUCAUCUAUAAGAAAUAGUAAAUAUUUUUCUAUCUCCCAAAUAGCAAGACAUCUUUCAGAAAAGGCGAUCAUAAUUGGCUAGCAGUUGUGGGAUUGGGAGAGAGGGGGAACAAAAGAUAAUCUCUUUUUUACCGGCAUUUAUAAGCACCGGUGAAAGACCGGUAUUGAUUUUCCUGGCAAUCAUGAACCACUGGUUGACCGUCGUAGGCGGAUGCCAGUAAAAAUUUUCUGACGAGCUGACCAUAGGUGUCGGUAAAGUGUGAACAUUUACCGACAAUAGUCAAAAUCAUAAAAAAUACCAUAUAUCUCUUACUAAGUCCCACUAUAUCGUAUACAAAAGAAUGUGAUGGAACUUACAAAGUCGAUUACAACAAAAUAAAGGCUCUUACAAAACAUAAAGUUUGAGUUUUAAGCAUUCUGAAAUACAUCCAAACUAUGCGAAAAAGCUUGAAUCUGUUAAGUUUAGUUCCCAUGCAAAGGUGGCCAUGCACGACAUGCAAAGGUGGCCAUGCACGACAUGCAAAGGUGGCCAUGCACGACAUGCAAAGGUGGCCAUGCACGACAUGCAAAGGUGGUCAUGCUCGAAGAAAUAGCAGCAAGCAGUGGUGCCAUUGUGUGCAGCAACUGAAGUUUGAAGCUGCCAAUCCACUUGCUGUUUUUAGUUCCAUUUUGAUUGUUUUGUAAUCUAGUUCAUGUUGAACUAAGUAGGUAAAUGUUUUGAUAUUGAUUGACUGAAAAGUCAGCAAUGCAAGUUGUACAAGCUAAUCUUGUAAGUUUCAAUGCAAAUUAGUGGAGUUAGGUAGUUGAUGUGAUUACUUGUUUGUUUUACUUGUUGACUGAAAUAUGUAAUGGCUUAAUGCCUUGUUGUGUGUUAAUGAAAAAUAUCAGCUCAUUUUUCAUUCAUUCUUCUUCUCUCUUUUCUGUUAAUUCACUUGCUAGUUUCAUUUUCUGUUUUUGCUUCUGAGUUUGUUUCUUCACCAAGGCUCGAGGCUUGCUAUUCAAGCAAGAUACAAAACAGCCUGUUAUUGUCUCUUUGUUCCAACAGAAUCCUUACUUAUUUGUUGAUGCAUUUCCAACCUGCAUAGAAAAAAGAAUCAACAUGAAGCAAACAAAUUACAAAUUAGAGAAUGAAAACUGAAUAAGCAAUCAACACCCAUACAUCACGCACCAAGGAUGAACAUGAAACACACUGACAAAUUUUAAUCCCCUUCUAGCUUGUUAAUAAGAAGCAGAAGCCAAAAUUGUAGAGUGAAAGAAGAUAUGAACAAGAACAUAUUCACUUUUAACCAAGCACAUAAAUUGUGGAAACCUCCUUUGCAUGGCCUUGAUGAAAGAGAUAGGAGGCUUAUAAUCAUUAAUCUCAAUGGCUUUUCUCAAAACUGAUAUCAGUAAAUACAACGAAACAUGAAGAUAAGAUUAUGUGAUGGAAGAGAAUAGAAUGUACAGAUCCUAAAAACACUUGUGCAAUAUUGUACUCCAUCAUAUCAUAUCUUUCCCCAGCUUAAAAGAAGUUGAACUUAGUUUUCUUCAAAUAUAAAUAGUGGAAUUUGAGGUGAUGAUAAUCGAAUUUCAGCAUGAUUUCUCAAGGAUUAUUACAAAAAAAAUAUGGAGCUUCUGAAUUCAUUAAAAAAGAACAAGGUAAGCAAUUAUAGAUAAUUGUUCCUUGGUUAAUUCUGUUGUUAAGGUGGAAAUGAUCACAGCAUUGUUAAGCUCUUGCAACUUCUAAACAGAGGCAAGGGCCCUGUCUGUACCAACAUCACUCUCAGAAAACACAAAAUUGCUGGAUAAAUCCCACAAUUCCACUACCCCUUCAUCAUGAAAACUCAUUGGUUUGACACCAGCGAGAAUGAGAUUCUUUGCUGCACAAUGAAGAAUAAAAUUGAUCAGUAAUGGCAAUUUGGUUCUUUUGCUAUAUGUAGUGUAGAGCAGUUAAUAAAAAUGAAUAAUAAACAUUGCCACCUACUGUGGGGGAAAUGAAAGAGUAAAUUAUUAAAGUCCAGCAUUUUUUGAAAAAUUUAAAAAUAAAGUGCCCUUAAAACUAAUAUAUUGUUGAGAGUUGGACUGCAAUGCAACAUGGUGCCAGCCACUAUCGAGAUCAACAGCAGCUAUCGAGCUCAACUGUUUUAGCUUGGCAUGCAAGGUUGAUUUUUGGACCGAAUGAAGCAAUCAGUUUUUAGCUAUUUUGUUGUAAUGUUAUUUAGCUUAGUCCAAUUGUAACUAACUCUCAAAGUUAGUAGGAUUAAGUUUGUGAUUUGAUUUUUGAUGUAAAAGCUGAUAUGUCAGCUUAUCUUUGUAGUUGUUUAAGUUUGUAUUAGUUUUAGUUAAGUGGGAGCAGUUAUGUCAUUAGGUAACUGUCAAAUUAAGCCAAAAUAACUCUUUUAUAUUUUCAAAUUAUGAAUGAAAAUAGGUAAUGUUCAGUUACAAUUUUCUUGCUGUACAUUCAAGUUUCAUUUGCUGCUUUGCCAAUUUUUCUUUUCUGCUUCGAUCAAUCUUGCUUCUGCUUGGUAAAUUUGUUUGCUCGAUGCUGCCAAUGUUCCAACAAAUGGUAUCGUGAGCCCGAAUCUUUGAGGGGCCUAUGCAUUCUGUUGUUUUUCAAACCAAAAGCAAAGCUAAAAUUUAGAAGUGAUAGAGGUCUUUGAACUCAGUCUAGCAAAAUGAGUUUCACUCCACCACCUCCACCAGUGUUCACUGGAGAAAACUAUCACAUUUGGAUAGUCAAAAUGAGGACUUACCUUCAGGCACACGAUCUCUGGAGUGUAAUCGAGAAUGAUGCUGAACCACCUCCAUUGAGGGCUAAUCCCACCAUUGCACAGAUGAGGCAGCAUGCUGAGGAGAGAGCCAAGAAGCAUAAGGCUAUGGCCUGCUUGCAAAAUGGAGUCUCUGAUGUGAUAUUCACUCGCAUCAUGGCCUGUGACUCACCAAAGCAGGCCUGGGAGAAGCUGAAGGAGGAGUUCAUGGGGACUGAUAAGACAAGGCAACAGCAGGUGAUCAAUCUCAGGAGAGACUUUGAGAAUUUGAGGAUGAAAGAGUCUGAGACCAUCAAGCAGUAUUCAGACAGGAUAAUGGCCAUUAUCAACAGCAUAAGGCUCCUGGGAGUGGAUUUCACAGAGAGCAGACUUGUUGAAAAGGUCAUCACAACUCUCCCUGAGAAAUUUGAGUCAAAAAUCUCUUCACUUGAGGACUCGAGGGACUUAUCAGCCAUUUCAUUGUCUGCGCUGAUAAACUCCCUGUAUGCACUUGAGCAAAGAAGGGCAAAUAGGCAGGAGGAGAAUCCUGAGGCUGCUUUCCAAGCUAAAGCCAGUGAAGGCUCGAGUGUGAGUGCAAAAGGCAAAAAGCGUUGGCACAAUAGAAGGUCCAAGUCAGGAAGAGAUGAAGCAAAAAGGGUGUUCCCACCAUGUGUUCACUGCAAGAAGACAACACACUCAAAAAAAUAUUGCUGGUUUAGGCCAGACAUACAAUGCAGAAAGUGCAAGCAAUUUGGUCAUAUGGAGAAGGUGUGCAAGGGCAAGCCAAAAGAAAUCACUCAGCAACAAGCUCGACCUGCUGAGGAUUUGCAAGCUCAGGAGAAGCAUGUAUUUACUGCAACCUGCUUUGUUGGCACAACAAAGGCCAGCAAUGAUUGGCUGCUAGACAGUGGUUGCUCACAUCAUAUGGCAGCAGAUGGGAAGCUGUUCAAGGGCCUAGACAGAAGCCUCCACUCAAGGAUCAGAAUUGGAGAUGGCAAGCUAAUUGAGGCUAAGGGUAAGGGCAAUGUGCUGGUUAGCACUGGUUCAGGUAACAAGCUGAUCUCAGAUGUGCUUUUUGUACCUGACUUAGACCAGAACUUGCUUAGUGUAGGCCAAUUAGUUGAAAAGGGCUAUACAUUGGUUUUUAAAGAUGGCUGCUGUAGUGUUCAAGAUAUGCAUGGUCAAGAAUUAGUCACAGUCUCUAUGACUGAUAGGUGCUUUAUGCUGGAUGUUAGCCAAGUGGAAAGAAAGGCAUACACCAGCCUUGCUGACAGCACUGACUUGUGGCAUAGAAGACUAGGCCAUGCCAAUUUUAGAUCUAUUAAUCUGUUGCAUAAACUGAAUUUGGUUGAUGACAUUUCAAAAAUUGAGGCUAGUGGGAAUGUUUGUCAGGUUUGUCAGCUUGGUAAGCAGGCUAGACUGCCUUUUCCUGCUGAUAGUGCUUGGAGAGCUCAAAAUAAGCUCGAAUUGGUGCACUCUGAUGUCUGUGGCCCUAUGAGAACACCUUCAAUCAAUGAGAACAUGUACUUUGUCCUGUUUAUAGAUGAUCUAACAAGGUUUGUGUUGGUCUACUUUUUGAAGCAAAAGUCAGAAGUGUUUGAGGCAUUCUGCAAAUUCAAGGCAUAUGCUGAAAAUCAGUCAGGCUGCAAAAUUAGAGCCUUGAGGACUGAUAAUGGUAAUGAAUAUAUGUCUGAGAGAUUUCAGAAGCUUUGUGACAGUGCUGGGAUUCACCAUCAGCUUACUACAGUCUAUACUCCUCAACAGAAUGGUGUUUGUGAGAGGAAAAAUAGGACUGUGUUGAACAUGGCCAGGUGCCUAUUGUUUUAAGGUAAGCUUCCAAGUCAGUUUUGGGCUGAGGCAGUUAACACCUCAGUAUACCUGCUCAACAGGCUGCCAACUCAAGCAGUCAAGGAUAAGACUCCUUUUGAAGCUUGGCAUGAAGUCAAACUAGUGGUAACACACCUGAAAGUGUUUGGUUGUGUGUGUUAUGCUCUUGUUCCAGUGGAAAAGAGAACCAAGCUCGAGAGCAGGGCAACUCCAGGAAUCUUUGUUGGCUAUAGCAGUAACAAGAAAGGUUAUAGAGUGUAUGAUCCAACAACAAAGAAGGUUUUGGUCAGCAAGGAUGUAAAAUUUGAUAAAGAAAAGGUGUGGAAUUGGAAUGGUGCUGAAGAUGACAUGUCUGAAAUGGACCAGUUAGACUUGGUUGCUGAACCUACAGAAGAAGGAUCGAGUGAUGAUGCUGUUGAUGAUACACCAGUGAGGGGCACCAGAACUUUGGUUGAUGUCUAUCAGAGGUGUAAUAUUGCUGUGAUUGAGCCUUCAGACUUUGAAGAAGCUGCCAAGGACAGGAACUGGAUGAAAGCUAUGGAGGCUGAGCUGGAAAUGAUCACCAAAAAUCAAACAUGGGAAUUGGUGAGUAGACCAGAACACAAGAAGGUCAUAGGAGUUAAAUGGGUGUACAGGGCCAAGUACAGUGCUGAUGGCUCAUUGAACAAGCACAAGGCUAGGCUUGUGGUGAAGGGCUACAGUCAGCAAUAUGUGGUGGACUUCCUGGAAACAUUUGCUCCAGUAGCAAGACUGGAGACAAUCAAGCUUCUGUUUGCUUUAGCAGCUCAGAAGCACUGGAGGGUUCACCAAUUGGAUGUAAAGUUAGCAUUCCUAAAUGGCUUUCUUAAGGAGGAGAUCUUCAUCGAGCAACUAGAAGGUUUUGAAGUUGCUGGACAUGAAGACAAAGUGUACAGGCUUAGAAAAGCCCUUUAUGGCCUGAAACAGGCACCAAGGGCCUGGUAUGACAGAAUUGAUGCUUACCUGAUCAAGCUUGGAUUUGUGAAGAGUUUUAGUGAGCCUACCCUGUAUGUUAAGAGGUCAUAAGUUGAAACCUUGUUGAUUGUCUCCUUGUAUGUGGAUGACUUGUUGGUGACAGGGAGCAAAGUUGAACUCAUUGAUGAAUUCAAGCUUCAAAUGCAACAAGUGUUUGAGAUAACUGAUUUGGGGGUCAUGAUAUACUUCCUUGGCAUGGAAGUUCACCAGUCUGAUCGAGGCAUCUUCAUCAGCCAACAAACAUUUGCUUUAAAGAUUCUAGGUAAAUUUUGCAUGCAUAACUGUAAAGCAGUCAACACACCAGUGGCUCAAGGAGAAAAGCUGACAAGCAGUGGUAAUCAGCAGAGAGUUGAUGAGAUGCACUAUCGAAGCCUAGUAGGUUGCCUGUUAUAUUUGACAGCAACCAGACCAGACAUCAUGUUUGGUGUUAGUCUGCUAUCUAGGUUUAUGCACUGUUGUAAUGAGGUACAUUUGAAGGCUGAAAGAGGGUCCUUAGAUAUAUCAAAGGCACUGCUAGCUUUGGUGUGAUGUUUGAAAGUGGGAAGGAACUGAAACUAAAAGGUUACUCAGACAGUGACUGGGCAAGAUCCCUCGAUGACAUGAAGAGUACCUUUGGAUACUUCUUCAAACUUGGAUUAGGCAUGUUUUGCUGGAAUUUAAAGAAGCAACAAACUGUUGCUCAGUCCACAGCUGAAGCAGAGUACAUUGCUACAGCAGCAGUAGUCAAUCAGGCCAUUUGGCUUAGGAACUUACUUCAAGAUCUUAAUGAAACACAAGCUGAUGCAACUGAACUUUGGGUGGACAACCAGUCAGCAAUUGCCAUAGCCAAAAACCCUGUGUUCCAUGGUAAAACUAAACACUUUAAAAUUAAGUUGCAUUUUGUUUGGGAAGCUGAGCAAACAAGGGAAGUCAGCCUUGUGCAUUGGAACUCAGGAGCAAAAUUGGUUGACAUACUGACAAGCCCUUAGGGGCUGCUCGAUUUGAAUCAUUGAGAAGUGAAAUUGGAAUGUGUUGCAUAUAGUCCAAGAAGGAGUGUUGAGAGUUGGACUGCAAUGCAACAUCGUGCCAGCCACUAUCGAGAUCAACAGCAGCUAUCGAGCUCAACUGUUUUUGCUUGGCAUGCAAGGUUGAUUUUUGGACCGAAUGAAGCAAUCAAUUUUUAGCUAUUUUGUUGUAAUGUUAUUUAGCUUAGUCCAAUUGUAACUAACUCUCAAAGUUAGUAGGAUUAAGUUUGUGAUUUGAUUUUUGAUGUAAAAGCUGUAAUGUCAGCUUAUCUUUGUAGUUGUUUAAGUUUGUAUUAGUUUUAGUUAAGUGGGAGCAGUUAUGUCAUUAGGUAACUGUCAAAUUAAGCCAAAAAUGUAACUCUUUUAUAUUUUCAAAUUAUGAAUGAAAAUAGGUAAUGUUCAGUUACAAUUUUCUUGCUGUACAUUCAAGUUUCAUUUGCUGCUUUGCCAAUUUUUCUUUUCUGCGUCGAUCAAUCUUGCUUCUGCUUGGUAAAUUUGUUUGCUCGAUGUUGCCAAUGUUCCAACAUAUAUGUUGUAGUGGGCAAAAAUCACGUCGAUUGCUGCAUGGAUAUGUCGCUGAACCAAUCGUCGCAACUCAUUGCCAAAGGUGCAUCAAACCAUACAGUGGCACUACUCUAUAUAUAGCUCAUCAGCGUCUCUUAUCAUUUGCAUAUUCGAGGAAGUUAAUUUUUCUGGUUACAUUAGCAAAAGGUAAGGCUUAUCAGUGAAGAUGAAAGAUUACGGGUGCGGUAUCAGUUCAAUAGCCAUGAUGCUAUUGGUGGUUGCUCUGCCGUUUUUGGGUCCGCUUAGAAUGCCACCGUUACAGCCUCCUCCCGCUUACAUUUUCCUCAUCUUCACUUUCGUCUUCCUCUUCCUUUUCAUCUACCUCUCUCAUGCCUCCAAAUGAUGAUCCAUGGCUAUUUCAUUUGCUUUCCAGUAUUAUUAUUCUCUUUUAUUCAGUCGUUAUCUUAAACAAAACUAUUAACCGUACAAAUAUAUAUAUUUGAAGGAUGAUAUUUCAUACUCAUAUUAUGAGCAAAGAUAUCUAAAAUAAUUAUUUUAUGUAAACAACGUAAAUGUGCAAAAGAAAAGGAAUUAAUAGGACAAAGGUGGUUAAAUAGUUAUACUAUAGUUAAUGCUUCUUCCACGACUGGCCCAUUAUAAAAUUGAAAACUUUUUGCAUUUGUUUUGGUUGCCGCUCUUCUUCCUCCGCCUCCUCGUAGACAAUAAGUUUUCGUUUUAUGUGAGAAGUGUUACCUACUGAUCCAUCGUGGUGAGCAGAGUGUUGGUGGAUGUGUUCAAAAUUUGGAGAAGAUUGAGCGCUAUGGCACUGCAACUCUUUUAUUUCUUCCAAAUCUUUCUUAUACACUAUUCUAACACCACACUUCUUCACCUUAGCACGGCGUCCAAAUCGAUCUACGAAAGACACCUCAAGCUCAUCGUAUAUUUUAUCUAAGCAAUCUGUUGUCCAUAACUUAUUGGUUUCACAGUCACCAAAUUUAUCCUCCAACGAAAAUGGAUAUAAUUUAUCACGCGACCAAUAACGAAGAAAAAUGUGAUCUUUUAUUAUGGGCUGGUUAAAUCGUUUACCCAACAACCAGCUUCUCCAAUCAAUCCGUCGAGGAUUUCUACCUCUAAAAAUAGAUCCAUUACAGCUGGCUUGUUUAGAAUUUCUACAAUAGAUAUAUGCUCCACAACCGAUAUAUUCCUCAUCCCUUGAAGCAUCAUUAUUGACAAAAAUGCAGCAGCAAGCAACUCCAAUCCAUUGACUAUCUUUCUGAAGGUUGAUAGGCAGCGAUAUUUUAAUUGAAGAGUCACUUGUUUGUUGGCUAAACCAUUCUGGGAUUUCACUUCCGGGCAUAAUAAUAUCAAAGAUUUUUCUUGAAUUUGCAAAUGCCUGCAAAACAAAACACAAGUCGUUUGGUAACUAAAACCAUAAAUUCUCAAGUAUGAGAUUUUGUAAGGAAGAAAAAAGAGAUUAAUCGACCUUAAUAAGUUUUUUCAGCAGUGUUAAUGCAUUGAUAUUCUCAGCCAAUUUGACGUAGUUAAUGGCACUAAUGAAAGCAGAAUCCACUAAAUUGCAUACUUUUGAUGGACUUGCAACUACUUCAAGUGAAGAACAACCAUCUAUCCACACAUCUUCUAUACUUGGUCGUAGCUCAGGCAACGAUUUGAGCAUCUUGCAAUCUGACAAUCUAAUAGAAUAAAGCUUGGAAAGUCGAAUAAUAGAUGCAGGUAUGCUGAUGAAAUUGUUACCCUUAAGAUUAAAACGUCUCAAAGAGGAUAGACCAGAAAUAUCACUAGGAAUAUCUCCUUCACAAAGACUGCGGUCCCUUAGAUUCAACUCUUUUAAUGAACUCUGAAAACAAAGGCAACAUUGGAGCCAUGAAAUGCGUCCUUCCUCUUUGGAUUACCUUGAAAAGAGAAGGCAGGUUUGGUAGUAACUUAGAUGAUGGUCCCUUUCUCCCAUUGAAAGACAAAACUUUAAGAUUUUUAAAUUGACAAAUGAAGGAUGGUGGUUUUGUUAUGGCUGUUUCACUCAAGUCGAGCUCUUCCAAAAACUUUGCUUGCUGCAAAUUCUCUAAUAAAUUUUCAACUCUAUAACAACUGGAAAGAUCUAGAGUUUUUAGACAUUCCAUUAUCCCAUCAAUAUCUGGAAACCUAACGAGACUUAAGCAACCCGAAAGAAUUAAUGUUUCAAGGGAUUCCAUUCCAAUUUUGAUCGGAAGACUCCUAAGACUUUUGCAAUCUCUUAAAUCCAAAAGUUUAAGGUGCUUAAUGACUCCUGUUGGAACUGAGAGUAACUAACAGCAAGUUUAACCAAGAAACUUGAGCAGCAAGUGUCGUGACUUGUAACAGAAACAAGCAGAAAACAAAACAUAAAUUUUGUUUUAAGAAAAGCAAGAAAGAUGGAGAGAGUUUGAAUGAAAACUUAAUUCAAUUCAUUCAUUCAUUACCAUUACAAGAAUAGCUUUAAGCCAAUACAUAAGUCAAGCUUCUAGCUUGUCAAAAAAACAGUAGGUUAACCAAAACAAUACCUACCACCACUAAGUUUCCUAGUAAAUUGGAAUAAUAACUUGUACAAAUGAAUAAAGCUGGUAAACAGCUCAAUCACUAUCAAAAUUACAUCAAAUAUCAUCUUAUCAUAGUUCAAAAUGAACUAGAUUACAUUACAUAAACAAAAAAUUCAAAAUGAAGCUAAACAUCCUUGCUUUCUCGUGCAAACUGCUGCUUCUGCAUGGUGGUCUUCAAUGCUGCAUGCUAACCACCUUUCAACACUCCUCCUUGGUUAGCAUGUUGCUGACUCCCAUCUUCAUUCUUAAGCUUUGAAACCUUGAAACAUUAAGAGGUUUUGUUAAAAUAUCAGUUAAUUGUUCAUCAGAACUGCAAUGAACCAGUUUUACUUCAUGAGCUUGUUGUUUUCUCGAACUGCAUGAAACUUAAUGUUAAAAUGUUUUGUCUUUCCAUGAAAAAUAGGGUUCUUUGCAAUUGCAACAGCCGAUUGGUUGUCACACAUUAUCUCUAUUGCUUCCUCUUGUUCAAGGUUGAGGUCGAUUAGAAUUUUUCUAAGCCACAUGGCUUGAUUAACAGCUGCAGCAGCUGCUACAUAUUCUGCUUCUGUAGUAGAUUGAGCAACCAGUGCUUGUUUUUUUGAACUCCAACAAAAUACUGCUGAGCCAAGAUUAAAAAGAUAGCCUGAAGUGCUUCUCAUAUCGUCUAUCGAGCCAGCCCAAUCACUGUCACUGUAACCAACCAAUUUCAAGUGUUUUGCUUUGGUAUACAGCAUUCCAUAGCUCAGGGUUCCUUUGAUGUAUCUGAGAACUCUCUUGGCAGCUUUAAAAUGACUUUCAUUGCAGCAAUGCAUGAACCUUGAGAGUAAGCUCACAGCAUACAUUAUGUCUGGUCUAGUGGUAGUUAGAUAUAAUAAACAACCAACUAGACUCUUAUAAGUUGUCUCACACACUGGUUCAAAAAAACUUUGACUCGAUAGCCUUUCUCCUAAAGCAAUUGGUGUGCUAGUGGCUUUGCAAUUCUCUAUUGAAAAUUUGCUGAGAAUUUUCAUGGCAAAGGUCUUUUGACUUAACCAAAUUCCUUUCUUUGAUUGUGUUACUUCCAUGCCUAAAAAAUAGGUCAUCAACCCCAAGUCUGACAUUUCAAAAUGCUGUUGCAUUUUGGUUUUGAAACUGAUCAGCAUCUCUUGAUCUCCUCCUGUCACCAAUAGGUCAUCGACAUAUAAUGACACAAUGAGCUGAGUUUCUGCCUUGGUCCUUUUGACAUACAAAGUUGGCUCGCUAAUACUCCUCUCGAAUCCCAAACUGAUUAAAUAACUAUCAAUCCUGCUGUACCAGGCUCUUGGAGCCUGUUUUAAGCCAUACAAGGCUUUCUUCAACUUGUAUACCAUUUUUUCUUUACCAGUCACUUCAAAGCCUUGAGGUUGUUCCAUAUAAAUUUCUUCUUCAAGAAAUCCAUUGAGAAAUGCUGACUUUACAUCGAGCUGAUGUAUCUUCCACUGCCUUUGUGCUGCUAGUGCAACUACCAAUCUGAUGGUGUCAAGCUUGGCCACUGGUGCAAAGGUCUCCAGGUAUUCUGAUCCAAACCUCUGACUAAAGCCUUUGACAACUAACCUUGCCUUUAAUUUGUUUAAACUACCAUCAGCAUUCUGUUUGACUCGAUAAACCCAUUUAACUCUAAUGAUUUUCCUGUUUGCUGGUCUUUCAACUAGAUUCCAGGUCUGAUUCUUUUCAAUCAUGCUGAUCUCUUCAAUCAUUGCCUGCUUCCAACCCUCCUGACUUUCUGGUUCUUCAAAACAACUUGGUUCAGCAAUGGCCACUUGUGCUCUUUCAUAAACAUCAACCAAUGAUCGAGUCCCUCUGAUUGGUUCAUCAUCCACAUCCAUUUCAAAUGUGUCUUGAUCAGUUCCAACUUGAUCUGAUGUAAAUUCUUUAGUUACAGCCUUUGGUUCAUUUUUAUCCCAGUUCCAGCAUGCCUUUUCAUUGAACACAACAUCUCUACUCAUAAGGAUCUUGUUUGUAGAGGGUUCUAGCAUUCUGUAGCCUUUUUUAACUGUACUAUAGCCUAUCAGAAUCCCUGUUUGAGCUCUUUUAUCCAGCUUUCCUCUUUUCACAGCUGGAACUUGUGCAUAACAUAUGCAACCAAAGGUUUUGAGAUGAGCCAGUGAUGGCUUGAACCCAAACCAAGCUUCAAAUGGAGUCUUCUGAGCUAGGGCCUUGGUUGGAAAUCUAUUUUGAAGAUAGACUGCAGUGUUUACUGCUUCAGCCCACAAGGUUUUAGGCAGAUUCUUCUCAAACAAGAGGCACGUUACCAUAUUCAUCAAACUUCUGUUUUUUCUUUCACUGACCCCAUUCUGUUGAGGUGUAUAUACAUUAGUCAGCUGGUGUUUAAUGCUUGCAUUCUCACAGUAGGCUUGAAACUAAGCUGAGGUAUACUCAGUUCCAUUAUCUGACCUUAGUGUCUUAAGUUUGCAGCCAGCUUCAGUUUCCACAGCAGCUUUAAACUUUAAAAACACAUGAGCCACUUCUGAUUUGUGUUUCAUAAAGUAAAUCCAGCAGUAUCUUGUAUGAUCAUCUAUGAAAAGAAUAAAGUACCUGCUCCCAUUGAGAGAUUCGGUCUUCAUUGGUCCACACACAUCAGUGUGCACAAGCUGCAACUUCUCUGAUGCUCUCCAUGCUGUGUUUGCAGGAAAUGGCAACCUUGCUUGCUUUCCUUGUUGACACACCUCACAAAUUUCAUCAUUUUUCACUGUUUUAAUGAAAUUUUCAGCCAACCCUUUAUUAAUCAUCUGAGCCAUUGAUUUGAAGUUAACAUGUCCAAGCCUCUUGUGCCAUAGUUUGGAGUCAUCAAUGGAGGUAAUACAGGCUGAAUGUGAGUCACUUGGCCAGUCCACUUCAAAGCACUUAUCAGUCAUGGUGACUGUCAUGAAGUUUGAUCCACUUGGAUAAAAAAUUUGGCAUUCUUUCUGCUUGAACACAACUGUGUAUCCUUUCUCUAGCAGUUGAGCUAUGCUAAGAAGGUUUCUGUCAAUCUCAGGCACUAAUAGCACAUUCGAGAUGACUUUGUUACCUGCAGGAGUGUGUAUCUGCACAUCCCCUUUUCCUUCAGCCUUUAUAAACUGACCAUUUCCAAUUUUUACUUUGGUUUUACAAGCUCUGUCCAAAGUUUUGAAAAUGGUUGCAUCUGGUGACAUGUGGUUUGUGCAUCCACUGUCUAGCAACCAGCCUUUCAAGCCGUUCUUUUGGUUUGCUGAGCAUGACACAGCAAAAACCUGUUCUUCAUGAUCACUACUAUCCUCAGCUACUCGAGCUUCAGCUUUUGGUUGCUGAAAUUGGUUCUGUCUCGGUUUACUUUUAUUUUUGCAAACCUUUUCUACAUGCCCUUUCCUUUUGCAAUGUUGGCAUACAGCAUCUGGUAUGAACCAGCAAUCUGCUUCAGGAUGACCAGUCCUUUUGCAGUAUCUGCAGGGUUGAUCCUUCCUUCUUGUGUUUUCAGACCUUGACUUGUCCCUCCAAGUCUUUUUACCUUUAUGAGCAAAGGUGCUCGAUGUUGGCUUGGCUUUGGCUUGGAAGGCUCCUUAUUGGUGCUCUUCUAGUCUGUUGGCCCUUCUUUGCUCUUGUGCAUACAAGGCAUUGAUUAACUCAGUUAGGGAGAUGGUUGUCAAGUCCCUUGAGUCUUCGAGAGAUGAGAUCUUUGCCUCAUACCUCUUAGGUAAUGUGGAUAUGACUUUCUCCACUAUUCUGGCUUUACUGAACUGCUCUCCUAGGAGCCUUAUGCUGUUUACAACAGCCAUAAUUCUGUCUGAAUACUGCUUGACUGUUUCUUCUUCUUUCAUCUUCAGAUUUUCAAAGUCUCUUCACAAGUUUAGCAGCUGUUGUUUCCUUGUUCUCUCAGUCCCUUGAAACUCUUCUUUCAGCUUGUCCCAAGCCUCCUUUGGUGUUUCACAGGCCAUGAUUCUUGUGAAAAUCACAUCUGAAACACAGUUUUGUAUGCAUGACAUGGCCUUGUGCCUUUUUGUUCUUUCAUCAGCAUGUUGCCUUAUUUGAGCAACUGUUGGAUUUGCUCUGAGAGGUGCUGGCUCAGCAUCUGAAUUGACUACCUCCCAUAGGUCGAAUACCUGCAGGUAAGUCUUCAUUUUGACUACCCAAAUAUGGAAUCCUUCUCCAUUGAAGACUGGUGGUGCAGCUGGUGAAAAACCUAAUGAAGCCAUGGUUUCUAGUACUGAACUACAACAGGUCCUCUAAGCAUAUGGCUCUAGAUACCAAUCAUUGGAACUGAGAGCAACUAACAACAAGUUUAACUAAGAAACUUGAGCAGCAAGUGUCGUGACUUGUAACAGAAACAAGCAGAAAACAAAACAUAAAUUUUGUUUUAAGAAAAGCAAGAAAGAUGGAGAGAGUUCGAAUGAAAACUUAAUUCAAUUCAUUCAUUCAUUACCAUUACAAGAAUAGCUUUAAAGCCAAUACAUAAGUCAAGCUUCUAGCUUGUCAAAAAAACAGUAGGUUAACCAAAACAAUACCUACCACCACUAAGUUUCUAGUAAAUUGGAAUAAUAACUUGUACAAAUGAAUAAAGCUGGUAAAUAGCUCAAUCACUAUCAAAAUUACAUCAAAUAUCAUCUUAUCAUAGUUCAAAAUGAACUAGAUUACAUUACAUAAACAAAAAAUUCAAAAUGAAGCUAAACAUCCUUGCUUUCUUGUGCAAACUGCUGCUUCUGCAUGGUGGUCUUCAAUGCUGCAUGCUAACCACCUUUCAACAACUCCGAUGGAUGGAUGAACAUCCACUAAUUUGGUACAACCUUCCAAAAUCAAAACAUCAAGAUUUGAUGCUAUUGUGAAGUCUAGUGUCUUGAUCAGGUUUUGGGACCCUUUGAGGUUCAUCAUUUUCAACGUAUACAAGGGCUGUUGAAAACAAUAACAAAUUAUAAUAAUGCUCUUUUUUUUUAUCUUAAUCAAAGUUUAAUUAUUUAUAUUAAAAUAAGCUAAAACGCAAGGAUCAGAUGAGUUAACUCUUACUCUACUUCCCUUCCAUAGUUGUUCAAUGCAGCUGUAUGGUAAGAGAAGUGCAACAAGGUUGUCCGAUUGGAAGCUUGAAGGCAAUGAUCUUAACGGGCAUCCUUUCCAAUCUAAAAGCCGUAGCUCAUUAGAAAGAUAUUUGAGAUCAUCACAAUUUGAGAGGCAAAGCACUUUGAUCAAUCUCAAUUUUUUCAUCUUUGAGAAGGCAUCGACACUCAAGUUGAGCAUCUUACUCGAUUCCCUAAUAACCAUGAGAAAAAAAAAAGAGUUUCAGAAGAUACAAAAAUAUUCAAUAUCUACAAGCUAUGUUGCAGCGAUAUUGGUUUUUAAAGCAUCCAUACCCAAUACUUAUAUCUAAUGCAUAUCCAAAUAUGGUAUUGAGAUAUGUUUGAGCAUACCCAUGAUAGACAAUACUCAGAAACACUUGCAUCCGACUUUUAAUUACCUAAGCCUAAAAAAACUAGAAUUAAUAUUAAUAGUACAUAUUGAUAAAUUUAUAUGUUUUCUUACCUUUUAUUGUCGAUAACCAUGCCUUCAAUCACUUCGGUAGCCUAUAAGUAAUCAAUAAUAGACAAUAAGAAGACUGAUAAAACUUUUGAAAAUUUACAUACACAAUCUUUUGGUGGAAAUAUAGCAAAUAAAAUAUUUUGAACAAAGUAAAACAUUUUCUAAUGAGAGUAAUUCAAUAAAAUUAAAUGCUUAUAUUACAAAUUAUUAUUAAUAUUUAUGAUCAACAAAUGAAAAUCAUCUUAAAGCUACUCAAUGUCACUUAAGGAUCAAUAUAUAAAUCAAUUAGACUAAGCUUUGGAUUUACAUCAUAUAUUGAUAAAAAAAAUUGCAUGUAAUUUUUGUUGAAUGAUUUACUGUGUUUUUUGUUAGGACAUGAUGGACAUCUCUUUCGUUCCACAAUCUACAACGUUUUCCAGGUUCAUCAACACAUUUUUCUUCAACAAUUUUUCUUCCCAUUUCUUGCAACAAGGCAUGCAUCCACAAAUAUUGGUUGUCAUCAUUGACUUUUAUGAUAGAUUUCUUAAUGAGAACAUCAAUUCCAAUAUCUGAGAAAAACUCACAACCAUCCAAUACUUUCAUUACCAAAUCUUUCUUCUCCCCAUUGAAAAAGCAUGCUAUAUCUAAAAAUAUAUUCUUCUCCCUUUCUUCCAAUCCAUCAAAGCUGAUUCUUAGUGUGUUAAGAAUUUCUUUGUUGGAAUCUCGUUUAAGUCUUUCGAUUGCACUUCUCCACUGAGCUAAAUUUCUACCACACAAAAAAGAACCCAAGACUUGAAGAGCUAAGGGGAGACCACCAGUGUAAUUUACAACAUGUUCAGAAAGCUCACUAAAAUCAUCUUUCAGCAUUGUGUAACUGUCAAAAGCUUUCAAAUUGAAAAGCCUAAGUGCAUCGUUGGGAUUCUAUGUUGUAGGUUUAUACACAUCAUCGAUUCGAUAAGAUCUGAGCAAAUGUUCAUCUCUGGUUGUUACGAUGAUCCUACUCCCUAAACUGAACCAAUCUUGCCUUCCAAUUAAGCAUUUCAAGUGUUGUAUAUUAUCAACAUCAUCAAGAACAACAAGAACCUUUUUGCUAAACAAUCUAUGGCUAAUUAUGGCAUUCCCUUCAUAAACAUUGAAAAAGUUGAAGCAUUCAUCUGGCAAGAUUAGAGAAAGAAGUUGUUUCUGUAAAGAGACAAGUCCACAUUUGUUUGAAACUUCUCGAAUAUCAGCAAGAAAGCUUUUACCUUCAAAAUUAGGUGACAUUUGAGUGUAAACAACCCUUGCAAGAGUUGUUUUACCGAUGCCACCCAUUCCGCAAAUUCCAAUAAUGCGGACAUCGUCUUCCCCAAUGUUUAUUAUCGAAUACAACUCCUCCAAAUGUAAGCUAAUUCCAACCAACUCGUCAUGGACAAUUGGAUAUGUCUGACAUAAUUUUGCUGAUAUCUUCUUAACAAUGUCUCCGAUAAACGCUGAUUCGUGCCUACAAUGAAAUAAAAGAUCGCUGCUAUCUUUCAAAUGCACUUUUUCAUUUUUAAUUCAGUGGAUCAUGAAAUAUAAUAUAAUUGGAAGCAAACCAAAAGCUAGAAUAAGACAGCAAGAUCUGUUAUAGCAUCAAAAUACACAACUUGCUCAUUAGUGGAAAUAUGGGAAUUCUCAAUUAAACACAAAGUUGCAAAAAAUAACAUGCAAUCCAAGAAAAAACAAUUUUUUAGUCUUAAAAUUAGGAAAUAGAGAAGAAAAGGAAGAAAUACCUAUUAUGUAAAUGCCAUCCUUUGAUGUUAGCUACUUGAGUCAAAGCAUUUCGCCACUUUUGGAUCUUGUCUUUAUCUUCCUUGUAUCUUUCUUCGUGUUUGGCGAAGGCUUCUUCAACUUUUUCUUUUUGUUUUCUUAAAUCGGAUGGAUCCACAUCGUAGAAAAUUGGAAAUACUUUAUGUCCGUUAACAAUUUUUUGUUGAACAAUCUCAGCAAGUUCCUCCAAGCACCAUCCUGAAAAGGCAUAUGAUUCCGAGAAAAUGAUUACCGAGCACCACGACUGCUGGAUCGCUUUGAAGAGUUCCGGUGCGAUCUCUUCGCCAGCCUCCAGCUUUGGAUCAUCCCUAAAAGUGAUGAUACCACUCCUCUUUAGAGCAUCGUAGAGAUGAUCCGCGAAGUUCUUGCGGGUAUCUUCACCUCUAAAACUCAAGAAAACAUCGUAUUUCUUUCUGGAAAUGGAUGAGGAAGUCGAAAGUAACGAUGACAUGACCAUGUAUGAGAAGAUAAAUAUAUGUGAAAGGAGAAAAACAGAUGAAAUUUACAGGGAGCAACAGACGACUUUUCUUAAAAAAUUCUGUAUACGUUUCCCACCUUUUACUUGUCCAAUAAAUUCGUGGGCCAUAGAUGAGUUAGAUUUUCUUAUAGAUUUUCAGAGUUUUUUGUUAAAAUUUGCCACAAGUCCCUGUCCUUUUUUAUAAAUUUAAAUUUUAGUCCCUAUACUAUGGGUAAGUUUUUGUUUUGGCCACUUUAUUAAAAAAGUUUUAAUUUGAUCAUUGAACUUUUCAAAAUUGUUUUUUUGUCACCCGACUAUUAAGUGACACUUUUUUAGUUAGUAUAAUAACAAAUUUAAUCCUCAAUUUUUAUAGUUUUUUGUCAAUUUGACCCUGAUUUUAUAUAAAAUAAUAAAAAUUGAAAUUCAUUUUAAAAAAAAUUAGAGAACUCUAAAAUUUUAAAUUAAAAUAAAAGUAAAUAAAAAUUUCAAAAAUAGAUAAAUGAGAAAGUGAGCGAAAACUGUUUAUAAACCUUCCAAAAUUUCUCUCAAAUUAUUGGUUCUAUAUAUAUAUUUUUACCUCUUUUGUUUCAUGGUUCUUUCGUUAUAAGAAAAGAAAAUUCAAAAUAUAGUUUUUUUUUUUUUUGCUAUUUGGACUUAUAAAAAAAUAAUUAAAUUUUUGAAUUGAGUCUGAAAAAAGGAAAUUUUAUGGUAUAAUUUGUAUUUCUUUUUUAAAAAUGGCAUUAGAGUCGAUUUCUUAAGCCUCUGUAAUAUCAAUUUUCAAUGUUCUUCAAGGACAUGAAACUUGACUUGAAAAUAUUACUAAUUUAGUUUCAAGAAACAUUGAGGAAACAAGUAAUAAUCUAACAUUUUUUUGGUUUUGUUCUAUUUUUAAUUUAUUCUAGGGUUGUAUUGAAUAAUAAUUUUCUAUAUUUCCCAUACAGUUCUUCACAAAUUUAGAGAGAUUCGUGGACAGAUGUUCAGUAGCAUGUAUUGGGGUUAUGAAGUGAAAUGAAUAUGUUGUGAUUUGGGCCCAUACCAUCUCCAUUUCAGUUUUCAUUUUCACCUUUCACAUUAUUUUAUUUUAUCUUAAUUUCUUUUCAUCAUUCUUUUCUUUUUGCUUUUGAUUGUUGGAAACUUGGAGUACUUGGGCAUUCCCAAGCCUCGCUUUGGGACUUCUUGAUAGCACACCGGCCUUAUAGCAAAUUAAAUGGGAUAUAAACAUUGUGACAUUAAUCUCAUAUUUUGAAAUAUUUAAUACAAGGUUUUCAGAAUUAGAUUGGUGACUAAAUUAAUCAAUUCAUUGAUUUUUUAUUGGUUUAUUCGAUUUAAUUAAAUAAAUUAUUAAAAAUUAUAAAUAUUAAAAUAUUAGAUAAUAACGGUUGAUUCAACAUGUUUCGAACAUUUUGUGAGUCAAAUGGUAAAUACACUUUCAGAAAAUCUCCACCAUAUCACAUCUUUCCCCAGCUUGAAAGAAUUUCAACUUAGUUUUUUUCGGAUAUAAAUAGUAGAAUUUGAGGUGAUGAUAAUCGAAUUUCAGCAUGAUUUCUCAAGAAUUGUUACAAAAGGUAUGGAACUUCUAAAUUCAUUAAAAAGGAACAAGGUAAGCAAUUAUAGACAGUCGUUCCUUGGUUAAUGCGGUUGUUAAGGUGGAAAUUGAUCACAAUAUUGUUAAACUCCUGCAACUUCUAAACAGAGGCAAGGGCCCUGUUUUUACCAACAUCACUCUCGGUAAACACAAAAUUGCUGGAUAAAUCCCACAAUUUCACCACCCCUUCAUCAUGCAAACUCAUUGAUUUGACACUAGCGAGAAUGAGAUUCUUUGCUGCACAAGCAAAAGAAAUAAACGUCUAAGUGAGAUACCACAACCUGUAUGGAUUCGACUGUGGGAUUCGUGGACACCUCUACAUUGACAUGAUGAAAGACAACAACAUGCAAUAAAAGAUGUAAGAGAAAAAACCAACGUUAUGUCAUGAAAAAGAACAACCCCCCCCCCCUCCCUCCCCCCCAAAUGGACCCUCCUGUUAAAAUUAAUCACUAAUGGCAAUUUUCAUCUUUUGCUAUGUGUAGUGUAGAGAAGAAUAAAAAUGAAGUUAAUAAAUAAACUGAGAGUUUUCAGCCAUUGGCAUGGACAUUUGCCACCUAAUGUGGGGGAAAUGAAAGAAUAAAUAUAGUACAAGGAAGAUUACCGGAUCUCUUUAACUAUCAAUUUAUAAAUUCAGGCAUAAGUAUAUUGCAGGUCUAAAAUAUGAAAGUAAACAUUCGAACAAGAGAUAAGUAAAAAACAUAUUCUUGGUGCAUGGAUAUCCAGUGAUUAAUCUUCCAUUUAAGUGUCUAAGAAAGUAAUAAUUCAAUCCAAUUAAUUCCUCAAUCAGCCCAAUUACAUAAGCAUGCAGCCUACUACUCUAGUAGUACUAUACGACACAGCAUCCAACGUAUCACAGAAGAAAAUCUUUAGCAGCAACAUGUUGAAUGUGCGAUAGAGGGGGCACUAUCAUCAGGUUAUCCAAUAACUUUUAUUUUAAGCUGAAUCCUCUUGUUUUUUAUUUUUUGCAAAGUCAGUGAAAUACACUGAAUCCCCUUGUUAGAACACUAUUCUUACCGGCCGACGAAUUAAUAAGUUUGAAAUUGGAAAAAUCUUAUAGAUCCCCUCUUAUAUGCCUCUGACCCAAACAUACAAGCAACAGAAUCAUCACCAGAUCAAAAAUUUUGACUAAGAACUAGCGUAAAGCUAGUGAGGUUACAUAUACACUCAUAACGCCUAAAAACCCAAGAAAUAAUAAAAAUAACCACCUGUAAAUAACUCCUAAAUGAACUCAUUAUAACGAAUUUCAAAACACUAAAAUUUAAUACAAAACUAAUAUAUAUAUGUUUUAGAGGGCAAAAAAUCACGUCGGUUGCUGCAUAGAUAUGUCGCUGAACCAAUCCUCGCAACUCUUUGCCAAAGUUGCAUCAAUCCAUAUAGUGCCACUACUCUCUCUAUAUAUAUAUAGAUCAUCAACGUCUCUUAUCAUUUGCAUAUUGAAGGAAAUAAAAUUUUCUGGUUACAUUAGCAGGAGGUAAGGCAUACCAGUGAAGAUGGAAGAUUACGGGUGCGGUAUCAAUUCGAUAGCCAUGAUGCUGUUGGUGGUUGCUCUGCUGCUUUUGGCUCCGCUCGGAAUGCCACCGUUGCAGCCUCCUCCCGCUUACAUUUUCCUCAUCUUCGCUUUCGUCUUGGUCUUCCUUUUCAUCUACCUCUCUCUUGCCUCCAAAUGAUGAUCCAUGGAGAUUUCAUUUGCUUUCCAGAAUUAUUAUUCUCUUUUAUUCAGUCGUAUCUGAUGAUAAUAUGCUUUGCUCGGGAUAUUAACCGCCAAUAAUACACGGUUAUUUGUUGUUUUCAGUCGUUUAUUAAUUAAUUAUAUGAAUUUGAUGGAAGAAUGUUUGGGUUUAUGUAGGACGUAAAUAAACCAUGCAAUGCAUGCAUACUUAUGUUGCGACACGACGCCUUUCACUAAUAUGAUUCUUUCACUCACUCCCAUUGACUUACGUACGUUGCAUGCGUUGUCCCUUCAGGCCUUCUAUUUACUACUGGAUUAAUAUUGUCGUUAAUUCAUCAAUCAUGUCUUAAAAAUCAAUUUGAGUAAAUUAAAUUUACAUAAGAAGACUAGCGAAAAAAGAAGAUUAGCGAAAGAAGAGCUUUAGUCCCUCCAUACUUAGGUUGUGGUCAUGAACUUAGAUUCAAAAUAUGGAUUUAAAUUUAGUCUAUGCUUCCUGCUGCAGUUGUGGUUAACUUUCAAGAAAGUACAUAUUCGGGAAAGCCAAACAAUUCAAGAUCACUUAAAUUGUACGGAUCAUACAUUGUCAUCAACUGUAGUAGAUAACAAGUAGGUGGAAAGUUGCAUAUAUGGGUAAUUAGAGAAGUAGCAGGUUGAGCAGGAAAAAUAGAUGAAUCGUACAUGAGAGAGCAAGCAUUUGGGUUAUCGUCGCUAAAAAUUUGAGGAUAAGCAAACUCGGAGUAUCUUCUUGCCAUCGUCUCCAUCCAUCUCCUUUGCCUUGAUCUUCUUCUUUCUUCUCUCCUGCAUCUUUCUUCUUUUCUUCCUUGUUUUCUUCGUCAUUCACUAUACAUUAAUUAUGGUAUUAUACAAAGAAAAAAAGCGCCAACUACGGAUUCAAUGGAAUUUGUAGUGGAGAUUCCUUUAAAAUCUUGAGACAUAAAAUUUUACUAAAUUUCAAAAAUAAAAUUUAAAAUAUUUGGUUGAAUUUUGAAAUUAACGAGUUACCAAUUUUGAGUAUGGUAAGGAUGCUAUAAUCUUUAAUUUAUAAAAAUUGAAAGGGAUUUAUAAAAUCUGAUUUUAUAGAUGGCCAAUUACACAUGGCCAACAAAGAUUUGUUUUAUUAUAUGUGAAUACUUAAAAUUGAAAUUUAAAAAUAUGUACGAAAUUAAUAAGAUAUCAAUUUUGAGUGUCGUAGGAGUACUAUAACUUUUCCUACCCAUAACUGAUUCUCCAACUUAAUUUUUUUCUAGAUUUAAACACGGAUCUUAAAAUUGUCCUUAAAAGACAUUUUAAAAUUUCUUUAUAAAAUUUAAUUCUAUGGGUGACUGGUCACAUCUAGUAAAAAAAGAUAGGUGAUGAGUUUUAAUUUGAAACAUUAAUGCAUUGUAAUUUAAUUACUAUUAGAUUCCUUGAUUCAUUUAUUCUAAAAGCAUUCACGCUUUACUCGACCAAAGUCAUCCAUUCAUGGGAUGCCUUCCUUUGCACUCAAGCAAUGCUCGACUUGGAAGGCACUUGGAAGGCAAUCGAAGUUGCUUGUGGUAGACGGCCGAUCGAAGCUAGAGCGCCGGUAGAUGAAACCUUUCUCGCUGACUGUAUAAUGGAUUGCUAGGAUAAAGGAGAUAUUCUGGCCGCUGUCGAUGGGAGGUUGGGAAAGAAGUUUGUGUCUUAUGGUCACCAUUCCUCCAUUAACAAGUACAGAGUCGCUUGUGUCUUAUUCAUCAUACAAAUUUUUUUUUUAAGGAUUUAUGAUCCAAAUUCAAAAUAUUUGGGAUAGAGCGUAUUGCAGCUUCAAAGGCCAAAGUUGUUGUAAAUUUACAACAAUUGUAUAGAGUGUUGCAUAAGCCCUCGAAGCCCCCAUGUUCUUGUUGGAGUUGGAAUCCUCAUUUGUAACAGGCGCUGUAUCAAAUAUUUCAACCAUUAAUCAAAAGCUUCUUUUUCAGGGACUUGAUUUUUUGCAUCUGAAUCGAAGGUUUGAAAAGUUAAAUUCUUUGGGGUGCCAUUCAAUGGACUAAGAAAGCUGAAAUGAUAUUUUUAUCUUAUCAUUUUUUAUUUAUUAAAUGUGUCGUAUUUAUAUCAAGGAUUUUAUUUUAAACUUUUAAUUUCAAAAUGCUUUUUGCCUUCUUUGAUUUAGUACUCUCUAUAUCAAUUUCAUGUUUGUGAAAUUCAUCCAUUCUAAAUGCAUUUUGCCUUUCGUUUUCAAUAGGGUGAUGAUGGAUAUGUUCAAAGUUUGGAGAAGAUUAAGUGGUAUGGCACUGCACCUCUUUUAUUUCUUCCAAAUCUUUCUCGUACAUUAUUCUAACACCACAGUUCUUCACCUUAACAGAAGAAGACCUUUUUGAGUCUUGGAAAGACAUCUCAAGCUCAUCGCAUUCAUGAUUAGAGCAAUCCAUUGUCCAUAAAUUCUUGGUUUCACCUUUAUCCUUUAAGGAUAAUGGAUAUACUAAUUCACGCGAGAAAUAACGAAGAAAAAGGUGGUCCUUCGUUAUGGGUCGUCGAUCAAAAUUAAGGAAAUUGAAAUUGACCUUUCGAGGAUUUUUAACUUGAAAAACAGAUCCAUUACUACUAGGUUGUCCAGAAUUUCUAGAAUGGAUAUAAGUUGGACCACCGAUAACCUUUCUCUUGGAAUCACCAUCAUCGCCGAAAAUGCAGCAGAAAGCAACUCCAAUCCAUUGAUUGUCAUUCUGAAUAUUUAGAGGCAAAGGUAUUUCAAUUACAGAGCCGCCUUUCUGUUGGCUGAACCAUUAUGGGAUUUCAUUUACAGGUAUAACAACAUCAAAUCUUUUUCUUGAAUUUGCAAAUGCCUGCAAAUUAAAACAUCAAUCGUUCUUGAAUUUGCUAAUUAAUAAAAUAUCUGUUGCGUUUAAAUCAUUAAACAAGAAUCAAAACAAAGAAUUUGUGUUUGAAAGAUGAAAAAUAGAAGCAAAAAUCGUAUGUUGGAUUGAGAGAAGAAGAUGACUUAUCUCAUUACUUGAAUAAGUAACAUAACAUAUACAUAAAUAGUUCUAUUAUAUUGGAAGAAAAUAAACAUUGCUUGUGCAAAUAACCAAGCUGUAAAAUCAGCUUAAUGAUAACAUAAAACCUACUAAAUCUGCUAAGUACAUGGCUGAACCUUAGCAAAACAAAAAGUUACAAUCAAAUCAAACAUAAGUCACAUGUUACAAAAGUAAAUCCACUAUGGACAUUGGCAUGUUGCAUGCAUGCUGCUGCAUUGUUGCCAACUUUCAACACUCCUCAAUUGGCUACAAAGUAGCAGACUCCAAUUUCCUUCCUCAGAUACUCAAAACUUGUGGCAGCCAAUGGCUUGGUCAAAAUGUCUGCGAGCUAAACCUCCGAGCAACAAUGAAUCAAGUUAACUUCCUUUGACAAUUCUGCCUCCCUUACAAAAUGGUGCUUGAUACUGAAGUGCUUGGUCUUGCCAUGAAAUACAGGAUUCUUGGCAAUGGCAACAACUGACUGAUUAUCUACUUUGAUCUCUGUUGCUUCCACUUGAUCAGCAUUCAAGUCAUUCAAAAGCUUCCUAAGCCAAAUUGCUUGAUUAACAGCAGUAGCAGUUGCAAUAUACUCUGCCUCUGCAGUGGAUUGAGCUACUGUCUGUUGUUUCUUAGAACUCCAACUAAAAACUUCUAAGCUUAGAGUGAAAAAGCAGCCCGAUGUACUCUUCAUGUCAUCAACUAAACCAGCCUAGUCACUGUUUGAAUACCCAACCAGUUUCAGUUCUUCAACUUUCACAAACUUCACUCCAUAGCUUAAGGUUCCUUUGACAUACCUUAGGACCCUUUUAGCAGCCUUGAAAUGAGUAACAUUACAAUUCUAUAGCUCUUCUUAUCAACUCGAGCAUGGUCACUGUUGCUGGAGAGUUUUUCUCCUUGUGCCACAGGAGUGCUAGCAAGUUUACUAUUUGUCAUGCAAAACUUGUUUAAAAUUUUUGAAGCAAAAGCCUGUUGGCUUAUGAAGAUGCCAUGUUCAUUCUGAUUCACUUCCAUACCAAGGAAGUAGGUCAUCAAUCCUAGAUCAGUCAUCUCGAAAACAUCUUGCAUCUGCUCCUUGAAUUCUUUAAUCAACUCACUUAUACAACCAGUAACCAACAAGUCAUCCACAUACAGAGACACAAUCAACAAGGUUUCUUUCUCAACCUUCUUUACAUAGAGUGGAUGCUCAUUAGUGCUCUUCUCGAACCCCAGCCUUGACAAAUAAGCAUCAAUCCUAUCAUACCAAGCCCUUGGAGCCUGUUUUAGGCCAUACAAGGCCUUCUUGAGCUUGUAAACCUUAUGCUUUUUACCAAGAACCUUGAACCCAUCAGGUUGCUCAACAAAGAUCUCUUCCUUGAGAAAUCUAUUCAGAAAAGCUGAUUUAACAUCCAACCGGUGCACUUCCACUGCUUCUGAGUAGCUAAAGCAAACAAUAGCCUUAUGGUGUCUAGCCUUGCAACUGGUGUAAAUAUUUCAGAGAAAUCGGUGCCAUACUGUUGACUAUACCCUUUCAAAACCAAUUUUGCCUUAUACUUGUUCAAUGACCCAUCUACAUUGUUCUUGGUCCUGAACACCCAUUUUACACCAAUAACUUUUCUGUUUGCUGGCAUGUCAACCACCUCUCAUGUGUCAUUUUUGUGAAUCAUCUUCAUUUCUGCCUCCAUUACUUCUUUUCAAUAACCCUCCUUUGCAACUUCAUCAAAGUUGAAAGGCUCAAUAAUGGUCAUAUCAUACCUCUCGUAGAUGUCAUAAUAGUCCUUGUACCUCUGACAGGUACAUCAUCAUAAUCAUCCUCAGUUUCAGCUUCAGUCUUAGCAUGCUGUAAACCAAGAACAUGCCGGUCUUGCUCAAACAAGCUUGCAUCCGUUCCAUCCCAUUCCUGACAACUGCCCUCAUUGAAUUUCACAUCUCUACUUUCAACAAUCUUCUUAGUGGAUGGAUCAAAGACCCUAUACCUUUUUUUAUUCUACUAUAGCUAACACAGACUCCAUGUAUGGACCUUUUUUCUAGCUUGAUUCUCUUCUCAGCUGGCACCAGUGUGUAGCAUAUGCAACCAAACACCUUCAAGUGUGAGACAGUUGGCUUAUGUCCAAACCAAGCUUCAAAUGGAGUUUUACCCUUGACUGUAUUAGUUGGCAGCCUAUUUAGCAAAUACACAGAUGUAUUUACUACCUCAGCCUAAAAAUUGUUAGGCAUUUUGCCUUCAAAUAAUAGACACCUGGCCAUAUCGAGAAUAGUCAUGUUCUUUCACUCAUAAACACCAUUCUGCUGUGGUGUGUAGAUGGUGGUUAAUUGGUGCUGAAUUCUAGCUUCAUCACAAAUCUUCUGGAACCUUUGAGACACAUAUUCAGUCCCAUUAUCAGACCUCAAUAUCUUCAACUUGCAACUGGCUUGAUUUUCAGCCAAUUCCUUGAACUUGCAAAAGAAGUCAACCACAUCUGACUUUUGUUGCAAAAAGCUUACCCAACAAAAUCUGAUGCAAUCAUCAAUGAACAAUGCAAAAUACCUACUGCCAUUCAAAGAGGAGGUUUCCAUAAGUCUACAAAUAUCUGUAUGGACCAGUUGGAGCCUCUCUUGAGCUUUUCAAGCUUUGUUAACAGGAAAAGGUAGUCUGGUCUGCUUGCCAAACUGACAGACUUCACACACAUCAUUCCUAGGCUCUGUCUAGGACAUGUCUUCAACUAAGCUCAUCUUGUGUAGUAAACUUAGUGACUUAUAGUUCACAUGCCCCAGCCUCUUGUACCACAAACAUGAUUCAUCAGUCAAAGCUGUAUAUGCGUUUGCUUCUAACUGAUUCACAUCCAAGGUAAAUGAUUUGUCAUGUAUAGCUACUGUCACUAUUACUUAAUCAAAAGCAUCAUUAAUCACAUAUGUCUUUUCUUCAAAAAUAAGGGAGUAACCCUUUUCUAACAACUGACCAAAACUAAGUAGAUUCUGGUCAAUAUCAGGUAAAAAAAGAACUUCUGAAAUGGUUUUGUUACCUGACUGAGUGCAGAUCACAACCUUGCAUUUGCCUUUCGUCUCGAUGAACUCACCAUUCCUAAUUUUGAAUUUGGACACAAAACUAGUGUCUAGCUCCCUGAACACGCCUUUAUCUGAAGCCAUGUGAUGAGUGUAGCCACUACCAAUCAGCCAAUUCUUCCCGACUUUGCUCAAACUUGCAAAACAAGAGGCAGUGAAAACAUGCUCCUCUUGAGCUUGAACAUCCUCAGCAACUUGAGCUUGAUUCUGCUGCUGUGGUUGUUUUUUUACUUUAUUCUUGCAAACUUUUUCAAUAUGGCCAAGUUUCUUACAGUUUCUACAUUGAAUGUCAGGCCUGUACUAGUAGUACUUUUCUAAGUGAGUGGACUUUUUGCAGUGAGUGCAUGGUGGAAACUUCCUUUUAGCAGCAUCCUUCUUUUCUUUUUCUUUCUUUUCUGACCAAUGCCUCUUGCCCUUGUUGCUUGAGCUCGAGUUUGAGCUUUCUCUGCUUCUAGCUUGAAAGGCUCCUUCAGAAUACUCCUAUAUUCUGUUUCCCCUUCUUUGCUCUUAUGCAUAGAGAACAUUUAUCAGCUCUGUCAAAGGUAUAGCUGAUAGGUCUCUAAACUCCUCCAAAGAAGAGAUUUUUGACUCAUACUUCUCUGAAAGAGUUGUAAUGACUUUUUCAGCUAUCCUUUUGUCACUGAACUCAUCCCCAAGAAGCCUUAUGUUGUUGACUACAGCCAUAAUCCUGUCAACAUACUACUUGAUGGUUUCAAACUCUUUCAUCUUCAGAUUCUCGAAGUCCCUCAUUAGGUUUAUCAACUGCUGCUACCUGGUCUUGUCUGACCCUUGAAACUCUUUCUUGAGUCUGUCCCAGAUCUAUUUUAGAGUGUCACAAGCCAUUAUCCUUGUGAAUAUCACAUCUGAAACUCCAUUUUAAAGGUAUGACAUAGCCUUACACUUUUUGGCACAGUCUUCAUUAUGCUGCCUAAUUUGAGCUAUGGUUGGAUUAGCUCUCAAAGAUGGUGGCUCUGUGUCAGCUAGAACAACACUCCAUAGAUCAUGAGCCUGCAUAUAUGUCUUCAUUUUCACAGCCCAAAUGUUGUAGUUUCCACCAGGAAAGACAGGUGGUGGUGGUGGUGGUGGUGGUGAGAAACUCAUUUUUCUACAGCAACUAAAACAAGCCAACAAAAACAACUUCCGUUUCUUUUCUUUCAAGCACGAGUCACUCAAGGAAUAGCUUACAACAAAAGGCCCUAAAAGAUGAUAGGCUCUUGAUACCAUUUGUUGAGUUUAAAUCAUUAAACAAGAAUCAAAACAAAGAAUUUAUGUUUGAAAGAUGAAAAAUAGAAGCAAAAACCGUAUGUGGAUUGAGACAAGAAGAUGACUUAUCUCAUUACUUGAAUAAGUAGCAUAACAUAUACAUAAAUAGUUCUAUUACAUUGGAAGAAAAUAAACUUUGCUUGUGCAAGUAACCAAGCUGUAAAAUCAGCUUAAUGAUAACCUAAAACCUACUAAAUCUGCUAAGUACAUGGCUGAACCUCAGCAAAAAAAAAAGUUACAAUUAAAUCAAACAUAAGUCACAUGUUACAAAAGUUCAAUGACUGAAAUACACCAUAGACAUUUGCAUGCUGCAUGUAUGCUACUGCAUCGUUGCCAACUUGCAACAAUAUUGGUGGUUCUGUAACUAAAACCAUGAAAAAAGAGAGAGAGAUCAAUCAACCUUAAUAUUGUUUUCAGCAAUGUUAUUGCACCAAUGUUCUCUGCCAAUCUGUGGCUGCUACCGGCCAUAAAAUAAGCCUAAUUAUGUUUCCACUCUGUUGUCAUCCUUGUUAGAAGCACAUGCAAUGAUUCAAGCUCACUGCAAUUUGACACUCCAAGAUAUUGAAGAUUGAAAAGACGAGUAAGAGACGUAGGUAUGCUGGUGAAAUUGUUACCACUAAGAGCAAGAUAUCUCAAUAAGGAUAGACCAGAAAUAUCACUAGGAAUAUCUCAUAUACCCAUAUUGCACAGGCUGUAAUUUGACAACUUAUCUUCAAGCUUGGAGAGUUGAGUAAGAGAUGUAGGUAUGUUGUUGAAAUUGUUACCGCUAAGAUCAAGAUCUGUCAAAAGGGGAUAGAUAAGAAAUAGUACUAGGAAUAUCUCCUUCACCAAGAUUGCAGUCCCUUAGUUUCAAGUUUGUUAAUGAACUCAAACUGAAUAAUGAAGGUCAUAUUGGAGCUAUGGAAUUCUUCCUUCCUCGUUGGCUUACCUUGAAAAGAGAAAGGUGAUUUCUUUUUAACUUAGACGGACCCUUGCAUCCAUCGAAAGAAAAAACUUUAAGAUUUUUCAAUUGAGAAAUGAAGGAUGGUGGUUCUUUUAUGGUUGUUUCACUCAAGUCAAGCUCUUCCAAAGAUUUUGUCUACUGCAAAUUCUCUGGCAAAUAUUCAACUUUAUAACAACCAAAAAGAUGAAGAGUUUUUAGAUGUUCCAUUUUCCCAUCAAUCUCUGGAACCCUGUCAAGAUUUGAGCAACCUGAAAGAGUUAAAGUUUCAAGGGAUUCCACUCCAAUUUUGGUUGGAAGACUCCUAAGACUUUUGCAGUCUCUUAAAUCCAAAAGUUUAAGUUUCUUAAGCAGUCCAAGUGACGGAUGAACAUCUACUAAUUUGGUACAACCUUCCAUAAUCAGAACUUCGAGAUAUGGGGCCAUUAUUAAUGGUAGUAACAUUUUAAUUAUUUUAAUAUACUUUUACUUUUAGAAAUUUUGUCCCAUUCUUUUGUUUCAUGUCAUGUUCGAAAAAGAGUAUGAAUAAUAGGUUUGGAGUAGUAAAAAAUGGCUCAUUUAAUAUCAUAAUAAUAUUUGUUACAUGUCAAAUCGAUUUCAUGUUGUCUUAAUAUCUGGAAUUUGUUUUCUAAUUUUUAUUAUUAUUAUUUUUCGAAACAUUAUUAUACAUUUAUAUCAUAUUCGUUCUUUUUGAUACAAUGCCUAGAACUAUCCAUAGUCCCUCCCUCACCCUUAAAUAGGAGGAUAACGUGCUUCAGCGUACUCAAACUCACGUCCUCCUGCACUAGCAACAAUACUGAUGCCAAUCGAGUUAGGACUCAAACCCACGUGUUCUUAAACAACUAGGUUUGACGACCCUAAGAAGUUAUCAUAGGCUAGACGAGGUCGGGAGGUAAGCGAGUAUAAACCAAUCGAUUAAUUAGUUAGAGGUCGGGAGGUAAUAAUUGACUAAUUAGUAGCUAAUCUACCGUAAAACCCUAAUCCGAAGUUUAUUACGAAUCUUGAAGCGAGUUAAUCUUUCUAAUUGAUUUUUUUUAAUUUUAGUGGAUUGUUAUUUUUCUUAUUUAAAUUCUCUCAUUAAUCUAUUUUAUGGUUUAUCGUAAUAUAGAGAUUAAUUACUACUACUUAGACUUAUUAUUGUAGAAAGGUUUCCGUAGAUUUAUUCCAUCCUCUCUUGGGUACAAUCCUUAGAAUACUUUCAAAUAUUUUGUUAUACUAACUAUAUUACACUUUGACCCGUGCACUUGCAAACACCGCUAUUCUAAAUUCUUAUAUAUUUUUGGUGUAUUAUUUUAAUAUAAACAAUAACCCCUUUAGCACUACCUUGGCCAACUUUAGCUACAGACCCCUGCUUCAAACGAAUUGGGUCAGUGGUCCGACCUUCUCCACUACCUCCAGCCUCAACCAAGACACCCUUUCCUUUUUUAUUAGCUUCCAUAAUUAUCUCCCUUAUUUCCUCCCCCGAAUUAGCGUUGCCUGGCUUCCAAGGAUCCCUGAAAUUACGCCUUAACUUUCUCUCCACAAGCAUCCAUGGUCUGUAGACUGGUGACUCCUCUGGUUUAUCAUCUUCCACCAUCACCGCCAUAUCCGCCAUAGAGUGUUUCGCAUAAGCCCUCGAAGCCCCCUUGUUCUUGUUAGAGUUGGAAUCCUCAAUUGUAAAAGUCACUGUAUCAAAUAUUUCAACCAUUAAUCAAACAAUAACAGAGAAACUUAACUAAAUAGGAGAAAAAAUCAAUUUGUACGAAAGGGCUAGUGAAGUAGUGUACACAAUUAUUGCUUCUUCCCUGAUCGGCCCGUUAUAAAUUUGAAAAUGUUUUGCAUCCUUUUAGGGUGCGGCCCUUCUUCCUCGGUUUCCUCGUCGAUAUCACGUUUUCGUUUUACAAGGGAAGUGCUGCCUGCGGAUCCAUCUUUUUCAGUAGAUUGAUGAUGGAUAUGUUCCAAGUUUGGAGAAGAUUGAAUGGUAUGGCUCUGCAGCUCUUUUAUUUCUUCCAAAUCUUUCUCAUACAUUAUUCUAACACCACACUUCUUCACCUUAACAGAAGGAUACCCUUCUGAAUAAGAUUGGAAAGACAGCUCAAGCGAUAAAUUCUUGGUUUCACAUUUAUCCUUUAAGGAUAAUGGCGAGAAAUAACGAAGAAAAAGGUGGUCCUUCGUUAUGCGUUGUCCAUUAAAAUUAAGGAAAUUGAAAUCGACUAUUCGACUAUUUUUAACUUGAAAAACAGAUCCAUUACUACUAGAUUGUCCAGAAUAUGUAGAAUGGAUAUAAGUUGGACCACCGAUAACCUUUUUCUCGGAACCAUCAUCAUCGCCGAAAAUGCAGCAGAAAGCAACUCCAAUCCAUUGACUGUCAUUCUGAAUAUUGAGAGGCAAAGGUAUUUCGAUUACAGAGCCGCCUCUCUGUUGGCUGAACCAUUCUGGGAUUUCAUUUCCAGGUAUAAUAGCAUCAAAUCUUUUUCUUGAAUUCGCAAAUGCCUGCAAAUUAAAACAUCAGUCGUUCUUGAAUUUGCAAAAUAAAAUAUCGGUGGUUCUGUAACUAAAACCAUGAAAAAGAAGAGAGAGAUCAAUCAACCUUAAUAUGUGUUUUCAGCAAUGUUAUUGCACUCAUGUUCUCAGCCAAUCUGUAGCUGUUAGUGGCUAUAAAGUAAGACCAAUUAUGUUUCCACUCACUUGUCUUCCUUGUUAGAAGCACAGGCAACGAUUCAAGCUCUCUGCAAUUACACAGUCCAAGAUAUUGAAGAUUGGAAAGACGAGCAAGAGACGCAGCUAUGCUGGUGAAAUUGUUACUAUUAAGAUCAAGAACUUUCAAUGAGGAUAGACCAGAAAUAUCACUAGGAAUAUCUCCUUCACCCAUAUUGCACAGGCCGCAACUUGACAACUUAAGAUCUUCAAGCUUGGAGAGUCGAGUAAGAGAUGCCGGUAUUCUGUUGAAAUUGUUAAAGCUAAGAUCAAGAAAUGCCAAAGAGGAUAGACAAGAAAUAGCACUAGGAAUAUCUCCUUCACCAAGAUUGCAGCCCCUUAGUUUCAACCUUGUUAAUGAACUCAAACCGGAUAAUGAAGGUAGCAUUGGAGCUAUGGAAUUCAUCCUUCCUCUUUGGCUUACCUUGAAAAGAGAAAGGAGAUUUCUUUUUAACUUACACGGACCCUUGCAUCCAUCGAAGUAUAGAACUUUAAGAUUUUUCAAUUGAGGAAUGAAGGAUGGUGGUUCUUUUAUGGCUGUUUUACUCAAGUCAAGCUCUUCCAAAGAUUCUGCUUGAUGCAAACUCUCUGGCAAAUAUUCAACUUUAUAACAAUCACAAAGAUUAAGAGUUUUUAGAUGUUCCAUUUUCCCAUCAAUCUCUGGAAACCUCGCAAGAUUUGAGCAACCCGAAAGAAUUAAAGCUUCAAGGGAUUCCAUUCCAAUUUUGGUUGGAAGACUCCUAAGACUUUUGCAAUCUCUUAAAUUCAAAAGUUUAAGUCUCUUAAGCAUUCCAAGUGAUGGAUGAACAUCUGCUAAUCUACUACAACCUUCCAUAAUUAAAACUUCGAGAUAUGGGGCUGUUGUGAAGUUUGGUGUCUUGAUGAGAUUUUGAGACCCUUUAAGGCUGAUUAUUUUCAACUUAUACAAGGGCUGUUGAAAACAAUAAUAGAUUAGAAAGAAAAGAGAAAACAACAUAAUAAACCUCAUUAUUAUUAUUAUUAUUAUUAUUAUUAUUAUUAUUAUCUUGUUCAAAUUUUAACCGUUUAUAAUAUUAAACAAAUUAAUUGUUUAUAUUAAAAUAGGCUAAAACAUAAGGAUUAGAUGAAUUUAAUUCUUACUCUAUUUCCCUUCCACAGUUGUUCAAUGCGACUAUAUGGUAAGAGAAGUACGACAAGGUUGUCCGGUUGAAAGCUUGAAGGCAAUGAUUUUAAAGGAUAUUCCGUCCAAUCUAAAAGUCGUAGCUGAUCAGAAAGAUAUUUGAGAUCAUCACAAUUUGAGAAACAAAGCACUCUGAGCAAUCUUAAUCUUUUCAUCUUCGAGAAGACAUCGUUACUCAAUUUGAAUAUCUUGCUUGAUUCCCUAAAAACCACAGGCAAACAAAAAAUGAACAUUAAAAUAUACAAAAACAUUCCAUACCUAAAAGUUAUGUUUCUCCAAUACUAUUUUUUAAGGGCUUUUAUCCGAUACUUAUAUCUAACAUGUGUCCAAAUAUAAGCAUUGAUAUAUGAUCCUUCAAGAACUCUUUAAAUACAUGAAAAGGCCUUUUAAAAAAAUCAUACAUACCCAACUUAGACAUAUAUAUAUAUAUAUAUAUAUAUAUAUAUAUAUAUAUAUAUAUAUAUAUCUAUCAAACACUCACUUUUGACUUCGAAUUACUUAAAGCUUUAGAAACUAGAAAUAAAUCUUGAAUUAUAUUAGUGCAAUAAUAAUGCGUAAUUCUAUUUAUUGUUAUUGAACGAAACAGUAACACGUCAUUAAAAAUGAAAUCAAUUGGUUUUAUUUUUAAAAACUUUGAUGACAUAUUAAAAUUUUAUUCUCUGUGAUAUACCAUCCGUGCAUCAAAUAUAAGCACUUAAUAUUAGCAAUGAUAUAUUGCUAUUGUGUUUCUUUUGAAAGAUUAAUGCGUUGCUAGAUAAAUUUCAUAAAUAUAAUAUUAAAUAUUAAACAUUCAAGAUAUUUUCAUUGAUUUUUAUUGGAUACUUUUACUAAAAAAAACCAAUAACAAUAUUAAUAAUACAAUAUGUAUAUUUUUUUACCUUUGAUUGUCGAUGAUCAUGCCUUCAAUUAUUUCUGUAACCUAAAAAAAGUAAGAAUAGAGAAUAAAUUAUUUUAAUUAAAGUAAAACAUUUCCAAUGAGAGAAUCGAAUUAAUUACUUAUUUUUUCAAAUCCUUAUUAACAGUUACCAUCAACAAAAGGAAUUUAUCUCAAUGCUAUUGAACGCUACUUUUUUAUGGACUGCUAUAUUAAUCAACUGUACUAAACCUUACUCAAUUUUAUUUCAGAAAUAAAGUAAAACAUUUUGUAAUGAGAGUAAAUCAAUCAAAUUAAACACUUAUUUUAUAAAUCCUUAUUAAUAUUUAUAUUCAACAAAUGGCAAUUAUCUUAAAGCUACUCAAUGUCACUUAAGGAUUGAUAUGUAAACCAAUUAAACUAAGCUUUAGAUUUACAUCAUAUAUUGAUAAAAAGAAAACUUUGUAUGUAAUUUCUGUUGAAUGAUUUACCGUGUUUUUUGUUAGGACAUGAUGGACAUCCCUUUCCUUCCACAAUCUACAACGUUUUCCAGGUUCAUCAACACAUUUUUCUUCAACAAUUUUUCUUCCCAGUUCUUGCAACAAGGCAUGCAUCCGCAAAUAUUGGUUGUCAUCACUGACUUUUAUGAGAGAUUUCUUAAUGAGAACAUCAACUCCAAUAUCUGGAAAAAACUCACAACCAUCCAAUACUUUCAUUACCAAAUCUUUCUCCUCCCCAUUGAAAAAGCAUGCUAUAUCUAGAAAUAUAUUCUUCUCCCUCUCUUCCAAUCCAUCAAAGCUAAUUCGUAGUAUGUCAAGAAUUUCUUUGUUAGAAUCUUGUUUAAAUCUUUCGAUUGCACUUCUCCAUUGAAUUAUAUCUCUUCCGCACAAAAAUGAACCCAAAACUUCAACAGCUAAGGGGAGACCAUCAGCAUAAUGUACAACUUGUUUAGAAAGCUCAAUGAAAUCAUAUUUCUGCGUUGUAUCACUAUCAAAAGCUUUCAAAUUGAAAAGCCUAAGUGCAUCGUUGGGAUUCAGUGUUGUAGGCUUAUACACAUCAUCGAUUCGAUAAGAUCUGAGCAAAUGUUCAUCUCUUGUUGUUACAAUGAUCCUACUCCCUAAACUGAACCAAUCACGCCUUCCAACCAAGCAUUUCAAGUGUUGUACGUUAUCAACAUCAUCAAGAACAACAAGAACCUUUUUUCUAGACAACCUAUGGCUAAUUAUGGCAUUCCCUUCAUGAACAUUGAAAAAAUUGAAGCAUUCAUCUGGCAAGAUUUGAGUAAGGAGUUGUUUCUGUAAAGAAACAAGUCCAUGUUUGUUUGAAACUUCUCGAACAUCAGCAAGAAAGCAUUUACCUUCAAAAUGAGGUAACAUUUGAGUGUAAGCAACUUUUGCAAGAGUUGUUUUACCGAUGCCACCCAUUCCGCAAAUUCCUAUAAUGCGGACAUCGUCUUCCCCAAUGUUUAUUUUCGAAUGCAACUCCUCCAAAGGUAAAAUAAUUCCAACCAACUCAUCAUGAACAAUCAGAUAUGUCUGACAUAGUUUUGCUGAUAUCUUCUUAACAAUGUCUCCGAUAAACUUUGAUUCAUGCCUACAAAGAAAUUAAGUUCUGAUGUUAUCUUUCAAAUGCACUUUUUCUUUUUUAGGUUAGUGAAUCAUGAAAUAUAAUAUAGUUGGAACCAAACAAAAACAAGAAUAAGACAGCGGGAUCUGUUAUAGCAUCAAAAUACACAACAUGCUCGUUAGUUGAUGUAACGCCCACUUCAGAUUUGUUAAAUUUUGUCAUUAAUCAGCAUUUGUAGUAGUGGUUUAGUGUCUUAGUUUUGUUUGAGGUCUUGGGUUUAAGUCAUGUUUUUAUUUUGGGGAAUUAAAUUAUUUUUGUUAGACCAUGGUCAAUUGUUUAGGUUGGAGGUGUUGGAUUGGGUUUUGUUUUGAACUCU